Molecule: long non-coding RNA, 183883 nt
Filed under: Triticum aestivum (bread wheat)
Lineage: Eukaryota; Viridiplantae; Streptophyta; Magnoliopsida; Poales; Poaceae
Description: long non-coding RNA (TAES_LNC012582)
Rfam family: tRNA (bases 26668-26736)
Source: RNAcentral
AGUGGUGGUGGUGGCUGUUGGGGAACAUAGUAAUUUCAAAAUUUUCCUACGCACAUGCAAGAUCAUGGUGAUGCAUAGCAACGAGAGGGGAGAGUGUUGUCCACGUACCCUCGUAGACCGAAAGCGGAAGCGUUAGCACAACGCGGUUGAUGUAGUCGUACGUCUUCACGAUCCGACCGAUCAAGUAUCGAACGCACGGCACCUCCGAGUUCAGCACACGUUCAGCCCGAUGACGUCCCUCGAAGUCCGAUCCAGCCGAGUGUUGAGGGAGAGUUUCGUCAGCACGAUGGCGUGGUGACGAUGAUGAUGUUCUACCGACGCAGGGCUUCGCCUAAGCACCGCUAUAGUAUUAUCAAGGUGGACUAUGGUGGAGGGGGGCACCGCACACGGCUAAAAGAUCAAACGAUCAAUUGUUGUGUCUUUGGGGUGCCCCUCUGCCCGUGUUGGUUCUCCCUGAUAUCAGUAAAAGAUUUGUGCUAGAGACAGAUGCCUGUGGGCAUUGGAGCUGUGAUAAGGGGUAGAAGUAUUCGUGUGGGGUGGGUUUCGAAGGGAAGGUUGCACAAUAGAUCGGAGAUCCUUCGAGGAAGACUGAAAUGACUAUACUUAUAGAAUGGUCCAUAUCGAACAGAUACGAUACUGGUUUACACGUGAUGCGGCCGGCCUGGAGGAGGCGCGCCAGGAGGACUCCUACUCCCACCGGGAGUAGGAUUCCCCCCGCCCUCCAAGUAGUAGGAGUAGGAGUCAAGGAAAGGGGAGAGAGAAGCGAAGGAAGGAGGGGCCGCAGCCCCUCCCCCUAGUCCAAUUCGGACUAGGCCUUGGGGGGGGCAGCCUCUCCUCUCUCUUUCCCCUAAAGCCCAAUAAGGCCCAUAUACUCCCCGGCGAAUUCCCGUAACUCUCCGGUACUCCAAAAAAUACCCGAAUCACUCGGACCCUUUCCGAUGUCCGAAUAUAGUCGUCCAAUAUAUCGAUCUUUAUGUCUCGACCAUUUGGAGACUCCUCGUCAUGUCUCCGAUCUCAUCCGGGACUCCGAACUACCUUCGGUACAUCAAAACACAUAAACUCAUAAUAUAACCGUCAUCGAACUUUAAGCGUGCGGACCCUACGGGUUCGAGAACUAUGUAGACAUGACCGAGACACGUCUCCGGUCAAUAACCAAUAGCGGAACCUGGAUGCUCAUAUUGGCUCCCACAUAUUCUACGAAGAUCUUUAUCGGUCAGACCGCAUAACAACAUACGUUGUUCCCUUUGUCAUCGGUACGUUACUUGCCCGAGAUUCGAUCGUCGGUAUCUCAAUACCUAGUUCAAUCUCGUUACCGGCAAGUCUCUUUACUCGUUCCGUAAUACAUCAUCCCGCAACUAACUCAUUAGUUGCAAUGCUUGCAAGGCUUAAGUGAUGUGCAUUACCGAGUGGGCCCAGAGAUACCUCUACGACAAUCGGAGUGACAAAUCCUAAUCUCGAAAUACGCCAACCCAACAAGUACCUUCGGAGACACCUGUAGAGCACCUUUAUAAUCACCCAGUUACUUUGUGAUGUUUGGUAGCACACAAAGUGUUCCUCUGGUAAACGGGAGUUGCAUAAUCUCAUAGUCAUAGGAACAUGUAUAAGUCAUGAAGAAAGCAAUAGCAGAAUACUAAACGAUCGUGUGCUAAGCUAACGGAAUGGGUCAAGUCAAUCACAUCAUUCUCCUAAUGAUGUGAUCCCGUUAAUCAAAUGACAACUCAUGUCUAUGGCUAGGAAACAUAACCAUCUUUGAUCAACGAGCUAGUCAAGUAGAGGCAUACUAGUGACACUAUGUUUGUCUAUGUAUUCACACAUGUAUUAUGUUUCCGGUUAAUACAAUUCUAGCAUGAAUAAUAAACAAAUAUCAUGAUAUAAGGAAAUAAAUAAUAAAUUUAUUAUUGCCUCUAGGGCAUAUUUCCUUCAGUCUCCCACUUGCACUAGAGUCAAUAAUCUAGAUCACAUCGCCAUGUGAUUUAACAUCAAUAGUUCUCAUCACCAUGAGAUUAACACCCAUAGUUCACAUCGUCAUGUGACCAACACCCAAAGGUUUUACUAGAAUCAAUAAUCUAGUUCACAUCGCUAUGUGAUUAACACCCAAAGAGUACUAAGGUGUGAUCAUGUUUUGCUUGUGAGAUAAUUUUAGUCAACGGGUCUGUCACAUUCAGAUCCGUAAGUAUUUUGCAAAUUUCUAUGUCUACAAUGCUCUGCACAGAGCUACUCUAGCUAAUUGCUCCCACUUUCAAUAUGUAUCCAGAUUGAGACUUAGAGUCAUCUGCAUCAGUGUCAAAAUUUGCAUCGACGUAACCCUUUACGACGAACCCUUUUUGUCACCUCCAUAAUCGAGAAACAUAUCCUUAUUCCGCUAAGGAUAAUUUUGACCGCUGUCCAGUGAUCUACUACUAGAUCACUAUUGUACUCCCUUGCCAAAAUCAGUGUAGGGUAUACAAUAGAUCUGGUACACAGCAUGGCAUACUUUAUAGAACCUAUGGCCAAGGCAUAGGGGAUGACUUUAAUUCUCUUUCUAUCUUUUGCCGUGGUCUGGCUUUGAGUCUUACUCAAUUUCACACCUUGUAACACAGGCAAGAACUCUUUCUUUGACUGUUCCAUUUUGAACUACUUCAAAAUCUUGUCAAGGUAUGUACUCAUUGAAAAAACUUAUCAAGCGUCUUGAUCUAUCUCUAUAGAUCUUGAUGCUCAAUAUGUAAGCAGCUUCACUGAGGUCUUUCUUUGAAAAACUCCUUUCAAACACUCCUUUAUGCUUUGCAGAAUAAUUCUACAUUAUUUUCGAUCAACAAUAUGUCAUUCACAUAUACUUAUCAGAAAUGCUGUAGUGCUCCCACUCACUUUCUUGUAAAUACAGGCUUCACCGCAAGUCUGUAUAAAAGUAUAUGCUUUGAUCAACUUAUCAAAGCGUAUAUUCCAACUCCGAGAUGCUUACACCAGUCUAUAGAUGGAUCGCUGGAGCUUGCAUAUUUUGUUAGCACCUUUAGGAUUAACAAAACCUUCUGGUUGCAUCAUAUACAACUCUUCUUUAAUAAAUCCAUUUAAGGAUUGCAGUUUUUGUUAUCCAUUUGCCAGAUUUCAUUAAAUGCGGCAAUUGCUAACAUGAUUCGGACAGACUUAAGCAUAGAUACGAGUGAGAAACUCUCAAUAACACUACUAUCAGCGUCCGUCUUCCUCUUGAAGAUUCAUUUAAUCUCAAUGGCUCGCCGAUCAUUGGGCAAGUCAAUCAAAGUCCAUACUUUGUUCUCAUACAUGGAUCUCAUCUCAGAUUUCAUGGCCUCAAGCCAUUUCGCGGAAUCUGGGCUCAUCAUCGCUUCCUCAUAGUUCGUAGGUUCGUCAUGGUCAAGUAACAUGACCUCCAGAACAGAAUUACCGUACCACUCUGGUGCGGAUCCCACUCUGGUUUACCUACGAGGUUCGGUAGUAACUUGAUCUGAAGUUACAAGAUCAUCAUCAUUAGCUUCCUCACUAAUUGGUAUAGUAGUCACAGGAACAGAUUUUUGUGAUGAACUACUUUCCAAUAAGGGAGCAGGUACAGUUACCUCAUCAAGUUCUACUUUCCUCCUACUCACUUCUUUCGAGAGAAACUCUUUUUUCUAGAAAGGAUCCAUUCUUAUCAACGAAUGUCUUGCCUUCGGAUCUGUGAUAGAAGGUGUAUCCAACUGUCUCCUUUGGGUAUCCUAUGAAGACACAUUUCUCCGAUUUGGGUUUGAGCUAUCAGGAUGAAAUUUUUUCACAUAAGCAUUGCAACCCCAAACUUUAAGAAACGACAUCUUAGGUUUCUUGCCAAACCAUAGUUCAUACGGUGCCGUCUCCAUGGAUUAGUCGGUGCCCUAUUUAAUGUGAAUGCAGCUGUCUCUAAUGUAUAACCCCAGAACAAUAGUGGUAAAUCGGUAAGAGACAUCAUAGAUUUCACUAUAUCCAAUAAAGUACGGUUAUGACGUUCGGACACACCAUUAUGCUGUGGUGUUCUAGGUGGCAUGAGUUUGUGAAACUAUUCCACAUUGUUUUAAUUGAAGACCAAACUCGUAACUCAAAUAUUUGUCUCCGCGAUCAGAUCAUAGAAACUUUAUUUUCUUGUCACGAUGAUUUUCCACUUCACUCUGAAAUUCUUUGAACUUUUUCAAAUGUUUUAGACUUAUGUUUCAUCAAGCAGAUAUACCCAUAUCUGCUCAAAUCAUCUGUGAAGGUUAGAAGAUAACGAUACCCGCCGCGAGCCUCAACACUCAUCGGAUCGCAUACAUCAGUAUGUAUCAUUUCCAAUAAGCCAGUUGCUUGCUCCAUUGUUCCGGAGAAUGGAGUUUUAGUCAUCUUGCCCAUAAGGUAUGGUUCGCAAGCAUCAAGUGAUUUAUAAUCAAGUGAUUCCAAAAUCCCAUCAGCAUGGAGUUUCUUCAUGCGCUUUACACCAAUAUGACCUAAACGGCAGUGCCACAAAUAAGUUGCACUAUCAUUAUUAACUUUGCAUCUUUUGGCUUCAAUAUUAUGAAUAUGUGUAUCACUACGAUCGAGAUCCAACAAACCAUUUUCGUUGGUGUGUAUGACCAUAGAAGGUUUUUAUUCAUGUAAACAGAACAACAAUUGUUCUCUAACUUAAAUGAAUAACCGUAUUGCAAUAAACAUGAUCAAAUCAUAUUCAUGCUCAACGCAAACACCAAAUAACACUUAUUUAGGUUCAACACUAAUCCCGAAAGUAUAGGGAGUGUGCGAUGACGAUCAUAUCAAUCUUGGAACCACUUCCAACACACAUCGUCACUUCACCCUUAACUAGUCUGUGUUCAUUCUGGAACUCCUGUUUCGAGUUACUAAUUUUUAGCAAUCGAACAAGUAUCAAAUACCCAGGGGCUACUAUAAACACUAGUAAGGUACACAUCAAUAACAUGUAUAUCAAAUAUAGCUUGUUCACUUUGCCAUCCUUCUUAUCCGCCAAAUACUUGGGGUGGUUCCGCUUCCAGUGACCAGUCCCUUUACAGUAGAAGCACUCAGUCUCAGGCUUAGGUCCAGACUUGGGCUUCUUCACUUGAGCUGCAACUUGCUUUCCGUUCUUCUUGAAGUUCUCCUUCUUCCCUUUGCCCUUUUCUUGAAACUAGUAUUCUUGUUAACCAUCAACACUUGAUCUUUUUCUUGAUUUCUACCUUCGUCGAUUUCAGCAUCACGAAGAGCUUGGGAAUUACUUUCGUCAUCCCUUGCAUAUUAUAGUUUAUCACGAAGUUCUACUAACUUGGUGAUGGUGACUAGAGAAUUCUGUGAAUCACUAUUUUAUCUGGAAGAUUAACUCCCACUUGAUUCAAGUGAUUGUAGUACCCAGACAAUCUGAGCACAUGCUCACUGCUUGAGCUAUUCUCCUCCAUCUUUUAGCUAUAGAACUUGUUGGAGACUUCCUAUCUCUCAACUCGGGUAUUUGCUUGAAAUAUUAACUUCAACUCCUGGAACAUCUCAUAUGGUCCAUGACGUUCAAAACGUCUUUGAAGUCCCGAUUCUAAGCCGUUAAGCAUGGUGUACUGAACUAUCAAGUAGUCAUCAUAUUGAGCUAGCCAAAAGUUCAUAAGGUCUGCAUCUGCUCCUGCAAUAGGUCUGUCACCUAGCGGUGCAUCAAGGACAUAAUUCUUCUAUGCAGCAAUGAGGAUAAACCUCAGAUCACGGAUCCAAUCCGUAUCAUUGCUACUAACAUCUUUCAAUUUAGUUUUCUCUAGGAACAUAUCAAAAAAUAAAACAGGGGAGCUAAACGCGAGCAAUUGAUCUACAACAUAGAUACGCUAAUACUACCAGGACUAAGUUCAUGAUAAAUUUAAAGUUUAAUUAAUCACAUUACUUAAGAACUCCCACUUAGAUAGACAUCCCUCUAAUCCUCUAAGUGAUCACGUGAUCCAUAUCAACUAAACCAUGUCCGAUCAUCACGUGAGAUGGAGUAGUUUUAAUGGUGAACAUCACUAUGUUGAUCAUAUCUACUAUAUGAUUCACGCUCGACCUUUCGGUCUCAGUGUUCCGAGGCCAUAUCUGUUAUAUGCUAGGCUCGUCAAGUUUAACCUGAGUAUUCCGCGUGUGCAACUGUUUUGCGCCCGUUGUAUUUGAACGUAGAGCCUAUCACACCCGAUCAUCACGUGGUGUCUCAGCACGAAGAACUUUCGCAACGGUGCAUACUCAGGGAGAACACUUAUACCUUGAUAAUUUAGUGAGAGAUCGUCUUAUAAUGCUACCGUCAAUCAAAGCAAGAUAAGAUGUAUAAAAGAUAAACAUCACAUGCAAUCAUAAUAUGUUACAUGAUAUGGCCAUCAUCAUCUUGUGCCUUUGAUCUCCAUCUCCAAAGCAUCGUCAUGAUCUCCAUCGUCACCGACAUGACACCAUGAUCUCCGUCAUCUUGAUCUAUAUCAAUGUGUCGUCACAUGGUCGUCUCACCAACUAUUGCUCUUGCAACUAUUGCUAUCGCAUAGCGAUAAAGUAAAGCAAUUAUUUGGCGCUUGCAUCUUAUGCAAUAAAGAGACAACCAUAAAACUUUUGCCAGUUGCCGAUAACUUCAACAAAACAUGAUCAUCUCAUACAACAACUUAUAUCUCAUCAUGUCUUGACCAUAUCACAUCACAACAUGCCCUGCAAAAACAAGUUAGACGUCCUCUACUUUGUUGUUGCAAGUUUUACACGGCUGCUACGGGCUGAGCAAGAACCGUUCUUACCUACGCAUCAAAACCACAACGAUAGUCCGUCAAGUUAGUGAUGUUUUAACCUUCCCAAGGACCGGGUGUAGCCACACUCGGUUCAACUAAAGUUGGAGAAACUGACACCCGCUAGUCACCUGUGUGCAAAGCACGGCGGUAAAACCUGUCUCGCGUAAGCGUACCCGUAAUGUCGGUCCGGGCCGCAUUAUCCAACAAUACCGCCGAACCAAAGUGUGACAUGCUGGUAAGCAGUAUGACUUGUAUCGCCCACAACUCACUUGUGUUCUACUCGUGCAUAUGACAUCUACUCAUAAAACCUGGCUCGGAUGCCACUGUUGGGGAACAUAGUAAUUUCAAAAUUUUCCUACGCACACGCAAGAUCAUGGUGAUGCACAGCAACGAGAGGGGAGAUUGUUGUCCACGUACCCUCGUAGACCGAAAGCGGAAGCGUUAGCAGAACGCGGUUGAUGUAGUCGCACGUCUUCACGAUCUGACCAAUCAAGUACCGAACGCACGGCACAUCCGAGUUCAGCACACGUUCAGCUCGAUGACGUCCCUCGAAGUCCGAUACAGCCGAGUUUCGUCAGCACGACAGCGUGGUGACGAUGAUGAUGUUCUAGCGACGCAGGGCUUCGCCUAAGCACCGGUACAGUAUUAUCGAGGUGGACUAUGAUGGAGGGGGGCACCGCACACGGCUAAAAGAUCAAACGAUUAAUUGUUGUUUCUUUGGGGUGCCCCUCUGCCCCCGUAUAUAAAGGAACAAGGGGGGGGGGGAGGUGCGGCCGGCCAGGAGGAGUCCUACUCCCACCGGGAGUAGGAUUCCAUCCCAUCCAAGUAGUAGGAGUAGGAGUCAUGGAAAGGGGAGAGAGAAGAGAAGGAAGGAGGGGGCGCAGCCCCUCCCCCUAGUCCAACUCGGACUAGGCCUUGGGGGGCGCCCAGCCUCUCCUCUCUCUUUCCCCUAAAGCCCAAUAAGGCCCAUAUACUCCCCGGCGAAUUCCCGUAACUCUCCGGUACUCCGAAAAAUACCCGAAUCACUCGGAACCUUUCCGAUGUCCGAAUAUAGUCGUCCAAUAUAUCGAUCUUUACGUCUCGACCAUUUCGAGACUCCUCGUCAUGUCCCCGAUCUUAUCCGGGACUCCGAACUAACUUCGGUACAUCAAAACACAUAAACUCAUAAUAUAACCGUCGUCGAACUUUAAGCGUGCGGACCCUACGGGUUCGAGAACUAUGUAGACAUGACCGAGACACGUCUCCGGUCAAUAACCAAUAGCGGAACCUGGAUGCUCAUAUUGGCUCCCACAUAUUCUACGAAGAUCUUUAUCGGUCAGACCGCAUAACAACAUACGUUGUUCCCUUUGUCAUCGGUAUGUUACUUGCCCGAGAUUCGAUCUUCGGUAUCUCAAUACCUAGUUCAAUCUCGUUACCGGCAAGUCUCUUUACUCGUUCCGUAAUACAUCAUCCCGCAACUAACUCAUUAGUUGCAAUGCUUGCAAGGCUUAAGUGAUGUGCAUUACCGAGUGGACCCAGAGAUACCUCUCCGACAAUCGGAGUGACAAAUCCUAAUCUCGAAAUACGCCAACCCAAUAAGUACCUUCGGAGACACCUGUAGAGCACCUUUAUAAUCACCCAGUUACGUUGUGAUGUUUGGUAGCACACAAAGUGUUCCUCUGGUAAACGGGAGUUGCAUAAUCUCAUAGUCAUAGAAACAUGUAUAAGUCAUGAAGAAAGCAAUAGCAGAAUACUAAACGAUCGUGUGCUAAGCUAACGGAAUGGGUCAAGUCAAUCACAUCAUUCUCCUAAUGAUGUGAUCCCGUUAAUCAAAUGACAACUCAUGUCUAUGGCUAGGAAACAUAACCAUCUUUGAUCAAGAGGCUAGUCAAGUAGAGGCAUACUAGUGACACUAUGUUUGUCUAUGUAUUCACACAUGUAUUAUGUUUCUGGUUAAUACAAUUCUAGCACGAAUAAUAAACAUUUAUCAUGAUAUAAGGAAAUAAAUAAUAAAUUUAGUAUUGCCUCUAGGGCAUAUUUCCUUCAGUGGCGCCAUUUUCCUAAAGCAAUAUGAACAAAGGAUUAACGAUUCACUUCACAGGAAAGAAAAACAGUAGCAUGUGAUAUUUUUGGUUCUUCCGCGAGAAGCAAUUUUAUGGACAAAGCAUUUCGGUGGCACCAAUUGCCGAAAAAACUUUGCACAAAUAUCUACCAAAUAAGGGUACCACCUACCAAGACAUUUCAUCUCAUUUGGCCCCUAUUGCCUAAGAUAAUUGAUUUAAAAAACAAGUGGCAAAUUUAACUAAAUUGGCACCUACAUUUUGCCAAAAAUAACUUAUUACAAAAAAAACAAAAGCAUCUACCUAUCCAUGUACAGAAAAAAUAACAAUAAAAUGGUGCAUACUAAAUCAAGUAAAUCAACUAGCCUACUAAAUCCACUAGCAUACUAAAUCAACUAAAUCAAAAUGUUCUAAAUCAACUAGCCUACUAAAUCAACGAAAUCAACUAGCCUACUAAAUCAACUAAAUCAAAAUGUUCUAAAUCAACUAAAUCAACUAGCAUACUAAAUCAACUAAAUCAAAAUGUUCUAAAUCAACUAAAUCAACUAGCCUACUAAAUCAAAAUGUAGCAGGGAGGAGGGGUUGUGGAUGGAGGAGGGAGGAGGGAGAAGGAGGGGCGAAUCGAGGAGGGAGAAGAGAGUAGGACGAAGGAGGAAGACGGAGCGAGGAGGGGCCAGCCGGCGGCGAGUGGAGGGAGGACGGAGGAGGAAGACGGAGCGAGGAGGGGCCGGACAGCAGCGACUAGAGGGAGGACGGAGGAGGAGGCCGGUACUGAGUCCAGCGAGGAGGAGGAGGUGGCGGCGGCGUAGAUCGAAGGAGGGGCGACGGGGGAGGACCGGCGUGGGGGGUUGAGGGGGAGAUCAAGUGAGUGUGAGUGUGAGUGGAUCGGAUAGAUCGGAGGCGGAGAUGGAAUGGCUUAGGAGUAGCGCGCUAUAGCAGAAGGCGCUACUGCUAAACGACCUACCAGUAGCGCCUUUCACAAAGAGCGUGCUACAAGCUAUGUGUCAGCAUGUAAAAAUAGACAUCAAAAAUACAUUGAUGAUCAAUGAUCUUUUUGUGUACAAUCUGAUUUGUCAAUAUGAGUCCUCACCAGUUUAGGAACUGGUGAAGACUCAUAUUACGGCCACAAAUUCUACACACAGAGUUCAAUGAAGACCAAGUGGUUGUGAAAGUUUGAGAAGUAACAUAUUUAAGGUGGUACAAACUCUCUUCACGGAGCGAGGUGGGACAAUUUUUCUAGUAAACUUAGCAGUAGCGGUUAUUGUGUAAAUGCGCUACUGCUAUGGCCCGUAGCAGUAGCGCUCUUCAUAUUAGCGCGCUGCUGCUAGAAGUAGCCUCGCGGCGGCGUCGUGGCAAUUAUAGCAGUAGCGCAUCUUAGAGAGGGCGCGCUACUGGUACAUUUAUUUCAGCAGCGAGUUUUGUGCGUGCGCGCUACUGCCAGUUAGCAGCAGCGCCUUAUUUUAAAACGCGCUGCUAGUAAGAUUCUGUGUAUAGGCUUUUCCUUAAUAGUCCUGAUCCACUAGCUCAGACCGCCGCCACGAAUCUAGAACCCGUCCAAGCACAAGGCAGCCAGAUCCUCACCACCAGCCUCCUCGGCUAGCUUGUGAUGCACCGCGAUCCGUAAUGUGGCGACAAUGGGGAGAGUCAGGAUUGGGAGCGCAGGCGGUGGCGCUAGGGUUGAGCUGCGCGAGUCGUCCCGGAGGCAGCGACGCGGGUGGCGGAAGGAAUUUCUGUAUUCACCUGCAAAGUCCUUUGAAUACAUGUACACUUUUUUUAGGCGCACCAGCAGGAAUUUAACUGCUAACUCACUCCACUCACUAUUUAAAAAAUACACCGUGCCAAGAAUACGUACUAAUAUAUUAUUGAAAAAUUCAUAUAAAAAGUCUGAACAAUUAAACUGCUUACAAUAGUACAAAAUAAGCGUACCGAAAACAAAUAACACGAAUCUGAAAGUAGUCUGAACAAUUAAACUACGUAAAUGAUAAGCACUAGAAAUUAAUCUACCAAGAUAUCCAUAAUGAAACUAGACAUAGUGCGCUAAUUAGUUACCAAUAUAAUGAGACUAGCCGGCUUGGAUGAAUCAGCUCGAGUUCCCCAGCGGCUGCGGUUCUUCAGAGUGGCGGGUGGAUGGACCGGUUAUGCACUUGUGCAGCGCCGCCUCGGUGUCCAGCCCGGAGCACGCAGCAGUCAACGCGUUGACCUUGUCCAGGCAUUCGUCUUUGCUCGCCUGCACGCAGAAGUACUUGAUAGCACUCACGAUGUCGGCCGAUAAUUUUGCCAACGACGUCUCCAUGUUGGCCAAGGAUUUUUCCAACAACGUGUCGACGCUCUGCCUCUCUAGGGCGAUGGCCGACGACGGUAGGUGGGGCGUCAAACUGUGUGUCGAUGUCGAUGUCAUUGUGGCCCGUUCCCCUUCUUGGAGGCAUCGGUAUAGACUUAUCUCCUCACUUCACCUUCUCCUAGGUCUUCCGGGCGAAAGCCCUAACUUUGUUGGGCGGCGGCGGCGCUCACGGCGCCGUUCCCUUCUUGAAGGCGGUUGGGUGGCGCUUGUGGGUGGUGGGCGACGGCGGUGGUGCGGCCCUAUCCUAGCAUGGAUUUACGUCUGUUGCUUGGAGAUUGACUCGCGUAGGUGAGGACCUGCCAAGGCUUGCAUAGGUGGAGGUGGUUGUUUGGCGUCGUGGUGGCGUCGAUGAUGGAGGACCUGCCAAGGUUGUCACCUCAAUCUGCUCUGAAGAUGGACUUGUGGAAGACGGCGGCGACGACACUUGUGAGUGCGUCGGACCGGUUUGAGCCCCAGACCUGGCAGAUGGCUCGGUCGGGGCUCCGACUUUAGAUGUUAGGCUUAGGUGAGAGGUCUGUGUAUGUGGCCCAGCUUGCACCCCUUCAUCAUUUGGAUAGGAGUAGCGGCAGAUGUUGCCAAGAUGGCCGAUUCAGGCAUAUUGUUGUUCUACUUUGUAAGGUCCUCGAGAAUAAUUAAUAUAAUGGCCGCAUGCAUCUUCCAGAUGCAGAGACCGGGGGUCAUCCUCCUUUUUGAGAAAAAGAAACCUAAAGGUUCUGAAAUCCGCCCUUCGACGUACGCCCUUCUGGUCGAUCCAUCAGCCGAGGCCGCCGCCACGGAUCCAGGGGCGUCCAAAAACAAGGCAGCCAGAUCCUCACAUCCAACUUCCUUGGCUACCGUGCGGUGCACUGGCAGUCCCUUGGGUAGCAAUAGGGAGGAGAGUCGGGAUUGGGGGCACAGGGGGCAGCGCUAGGGUUUUCACCAAACACCUACAAAAUCUUUUGAAUUCAUGUAGACUUUUUUAAGGGGAAGCAACAGGAAUUUAACAGCUAACUCUACUCCACUCACUAUUUAAACAUACACUGCAGGAAGAAAUUCCAACUAUAUUUUUGAAAACUUCAUAAGAAAAAUCUGAACUAUUAUUGUAUGGCUUAGUUGCUGCAACUGCUUACAAGUGCAAGACGACUGUUCGAAACAAAUAACACCAAUAUGAAAGUAGUUGCUACAUAGUACUCCCUCCGUUCCAAAAAAGAUGACCCAAUUUUAUACUAACUUUGUUCCAAAGUUAGUAUAAAGUUGAGUCAUUUAUUUUGAAACAGAGGGAGUACAUCAUAAAAACUAUCCAUAGUGAAACUACUCCAGCGAGGAGACCCGCUGCAAAGGAGCCACCAUCACCACACCACCUCGCCGCUCCUGGCCGAGGAGGACUGCCAGCACCAAACAAGCGCCGACCACUGUAGAGCCGACGUCGAUCCACCAGCCAAGUCUACCACCACGGAUCAAGGGCCCCCGUCCAAGCACGAGGCAACCAGGUCCUCACCGCCAACUUCAUCGGCUACCAUGUAGUGCCCCGCCGACCUCUUGGAUGGUGACGUGGAGGGCGGUCUGGAUUGGAGGCGCGGGCGUCUACGCUAGGUUGAACUCUCCGAGUUGCCCCGGAGGGAGCGACGUGGGCAGAGGGUUUUUUCACCAAUCAAGUACAGAGUCUUCUGAAUACUUGUAGACGUUUAUUUAUGCGAAAGAACAGGAAUUUAACUGUUAACUCUACUCCACUCAUCACUAUUUAAAAUAUACACCGUUGGAAGAAAUUCCUAUUAUAUUUUUGAAAAUUUGAUAUAAAGAGUCUGAACAUUUAUUGUACUGCAAAACUGCUUACAAGUGUACCGAUACAAAUAACACGAAUCUCAAAGUUGUUACUACCUAGUACAUCAUAAAAACUCGAAACAAAUAAUUAAUCUACCUAGGAUAGUAUCCAUAUUGAAACUAGACAAAGCGCCCUAAUUAAGUAAGCUAUAUAACGAGGCCAUGCGACAUGGAUGAAUCAAUCAACUGGAGUUCCCGUGCGUCUGCGGUUCCUCCUGGUAGGAGGUGGAUGGAUCUGAUAUGCACUUGAGCAGCGCCGCCUGCGCGCUGGUGCAUGCCGCGGCGUCGGGCUCCGUCCCCAACCCGAAGCACGCAGCAGCCCAGGCGUCGAGCUUGUCCGGCACGCGGAAGUACGUGUUUGCUCUCUUGAGAUCGGCCGUUAGUUUUUCCAUCGACGUCACUAUGUCGGCAAAGGAUUUCUCGAACGACGUCUCAAUGCUGUGGCUAUCCUCCAUGGCGAUGGCCGACGGUGUUGCUGCGCUCGCCAACACGAUAAGAUGGCCAACGUUCUGUGGAUGUCGAUGUGGCCGGGAGGACUCGAUCGAUUGGUUUUCUUUUCCUAUGGACGGACGUGCUAGCUCUUGUAUUUGUAUAUAGGCGCACGUACGUACGCGCUGAUAGGAGUACGUAGUUGAAUUCGGCUCCAACUAGGAUUGGAUUUGUGUUGGUUUUGGAAUCUAUUUGUCGCAAGUGGCAACCGACCAUAGUACGGCUAAACUUAGGCGGACAAGCAAAGAAAUCAAAGACGAGUCCGGCGUACAGGACAGGUACAACUACUAGCGCAUGCAUGGCGUGAGGCUCCAUCGUCGGGUCCCGAUUCUGGACAUGCAACGUCAUGAGCCCGGAGGACGAUGGACGGCGACAGACGGCAGCGGCAAGCGGCGACGGCGACGGAUGGCAGCGGCAGCGGCGGCGCCUGCCGGCGACCUUGUGGUCCCCCAUGACGGCAUGGUGUUGGCCGUCUGGCCGUCUCCCUCUAGGUCGUGGAGCACAACGUUCUCAUCGUAUCGAUCAAGGUCAACACCUCUGAAAUGUCUAGCCUGAUCGGUACUUGUAGCGCAGUUUGGAUUCCUAUGGAGAGUUGUGAACCGAUCAAUGACUGUGAAUUGCAUGGAUUUGGCGAACGGGUUCAUGUUCUCGGAAGGCUUCAUCGACACCACGGCGUUUCUGAUUCCUCGAAUCCAAACUUGUUUUUCUAAAAUCCGAUGAGAGUGAUUUUUCUACACCCCGGCUCGGUACACCCAAGCAAUAAAACAUAGCAAGACAUUUUAGAAAAAAUAUAAAACUUUGGGAAUGAUUAUGAACAAAAGUUGUAGGUGCUUGCAAAGUUUUGUGGUCAAAUGAUAUUUGAGAAGCUCAGUACAAAAAAGGAAAGUUACUCAAAAUGUAUGUUAGUAAUACCAGUUUUCCUAAAAUUCCUACUAAAACUUGUUUUCAAAAAACCAAUCACACAUCAUUCUUAUCAAAAUGACUACUAAAUGUCCUCAGCACCAGCUCCUAUGACCUCAGUAUAUGAAUACUAAAAUCCGGGAAAUAGAAAAUAAAUUCAAAACAAUCUGAACUUUUUGGCAAACAUUGAUAAAAGUUUCGAAUGCUUGUAAAGUUUCAUAAUGAAAUAACAUUCAUGUUAUUCGUGAGAAAAAUAAAAUAAAAUUAGCACUCCAAACUAUUUUUGAGAAUAACUUUUGUGAAGCAUUGAAUUUGUUUUCUUUGCCACGUUGCCCAUGAAUUUCAUUCUGUGAUGAAACUUUGCAAGAAAUCAGAACAUUUGCCCUAUAUAAAAGCAUCUUCAACAGUCUCCAUUGUUCCUAAAACUACCAGUUUUAGGAAAAGUUGGCAAAUAUAUGACACGCACCAACAACUUCUUUAUACCGAAAUUUUUUUAGGUGAUCACCUAAAAACACCCUGUUUGCCCCUAUAAAAAAAAUAUUGUUGGCCGGAGCCACCGCGUGACACUUCACAGCUUCGCACGCCAUUGCCACAUCUGACGAUCCCCGCGGCUGCAUUGGGCCUCGCCCGCUGUGUUGCUGGUCGCCAAAGCUUCACCGGCAUUUUUCGUGGAUGCGCGCGCAUGAGAGAGAGAGAGAGAGAGAGAGAGAGAGAGAGAGAGAGAGAGAGAGAGAGAGAGAGAGAGAGAGAGAGAUAUUAGCCACUGGCAGGUGGUCUACAUAUGCCAGACUAAUUAUAAGGGUACUCGUAUAGGGGAGCUGCUUCUAAUUAUAAGGGCAAUGCACCUGUGAAAUCUAAUAAAUGUAUUCACUAGCGCAGAAAAUGGUUAUAUACAAUCGUAAUUAGUGGUGCCAUUUUCAGUUCAUGCCUUCUAAAUGCUGCUUCUCUCUCACCUAUUGCUACCACUUUCUUCCUUCAAAUCCUCUCUCUAGAUUAGUCUCCCCACAUGCCCACGACCUACAAUAGUACUCCAGUACUCCUGGCCUCUCUCACCUUGAUGAAUCAACGACUAGCUCGGUCAUCUUAGUCUCUCUAGGUGGGAGAACUAACUUCGUUAAUAAAUGUUUCAUCAAAUUUUUGUUUCGUAAAAUUUCUAGCACUCAAUAUGUUCCAUUUUAGUGAUGGGCAAGCCAAAAUUUGCUAUGACCCCAUUGGUUAUAUUUUGUCUUAUACCCCUUGUUGGCAGAUCGAUCUAUCGAAUGAUUGCACGGAUCAAACAAUAAAUGAAUUCUACAAGACGGUGAUGGAAGAUAUGAAUCAAAAGGGUAAAAUACAGAGGCGCGCCCCCUCCCUCCCCGAGGCGCUCCCGCGAGCGCCCCCGGGAGGAAACCCUAGCGUCGCCCUCGUCGUCCCCUUCGCCUCAACCCCCUCCCUCGCUGCCACCUGGGGCAUCGCCGGCCAAAGGCCGUGUGGUGUUGGCGGCGGCGGGGCGGCUCUCUCCCGCACGCAGUUGGGUACUCCGCGGGGCGUUUCCCUCUGCCUGGUGGCGCCGGGCCUCGGGCCGGCCCUGCCUCGGCUCCUUCUCCCCCUCCCGGCGUCCUCCGGUGGCGCCGCCUCCACCCAUCCGUGGUGGUGGGUGGCGGGCCCUGCGAAUCUGUGAUCCCUUCGCAGAUCCGGUGGAUGGUGGGGGUUGGUGUUGGCAGCGGUGGCCCUGGUGAGGUGGUGGUGACGCGGCUAUUGUCUCCGUUGCUCCGGGCAGGGUGGCGGGGCACCGGGCGGAACUGGCCAGGGCGUGGACAUGCUGGUGUUGUGGUGGUGGCAGAUCGGUUGCGGCCUAGGGCUCUUCACGUGCCUGGCCGUGGCUGCCUGUCAGGCGUGGUGGCAGCGAGUCUCGCGGCCUCUAGGCAUCGUGGAGGUGCCGGCGGCGGCGGGUACUUAGCCUGCGGCGGUGGCCAUGCACGGGAAUUGGAUUCCUUCGAACAGAUCUGGGUGAAAACUUGCCUUUGGCUACUGCCAAGGCCGGCGGUGGCGGUGCUAUCUGCAUUGUUCCCUUCUUGAAGGCAUCGCCGUGGAGAAGUUCAAGGCCACUCUCCGCUACCUCCGGAGGAAACCUAGAUUGGAUGAUCGGAUGAUGGCAGCGCUCUGGUGUCAUUCUCCCCUUUGGGGCGUCAUUCUUGGAGGUGCACACGUGAUCGAGGGACCAGAGGACGGAUUCUUUGGUGGAGUGGUGCUUAAUCUCACUCAUUGAUGGCGGCGGAUCUCGGCGGCAUGGCGCUCUGGUGACUCAGCGUCUGUUGCGCGGAGAUGGACUCGCGCGGGAGGGUGACGCGGUCUGGCGUCGUGGUGGCGUCGACGGCAGCUAGACCGGGCAAGGUAGAUGCAACAAUACAGUUCUGGAGAUGGAUUGGUGGCAGGUGGCUGCGGCGGCCUCAUACCAGGCAGGCGUCCUGGUUGGGGAGUGCGUCGGACUGGUGGGUGCCCCAUACCCGGUAGGCAUCCUGGAUGGGACCUCAGAUCUUAGAUGGUAAGUUUGGCUGCGAGGUCUGUUUUGUAUUAGGCCCAGACUAUCAACAUCCCUUCAUCAAUUGGAUAGGAGUAGCGACAGAUGUUGCCUAAACGGUGGCUUUAGUCUUAUUGUUGUAUUUCUUUGAAGGUCUUGUGUGAACAAUUAAUAAAGUGGCUGCAUGCAUCGUCCAGAUGCAGAGGCCGGGGGUCUUCCUCCUUUUCUAAAAAAAAGAGGGUAAAAUAGAGUUAUUAUGUCCAGGUAAGAAUUGCAAAACAUAGUUUUGAUCCACCUUUUACUACCAAUGUGAAGAUAUACUUGUUCAAACAUGAUUUCAUGCCUGCUUAUAUAUGGUGGACAAGAUACUGUGAGGACGAGGAGGAUAUUGUUUCCGACAUCGAGGGGCAACAGAUGAAGAAGCGGAAAACCCUUUUGAUGAAGAGCCGGAAGGAGGGAAUGACAAAGAGGCGCUUGAAUAUGAAGAAGAUCAUCAGGAUGGACAUGAAAGCUAGUUGGCCCAAUGCUUGUACAUAACGGACUCCACAAAGCUGAGUCGUGUUGUCAUUGAGGAGACGCGAAAUGAGUAUCGUCAGAAUGGAUGGAGUCCCCAACGAGGAAUACUACGACGGAGAAGGGUACACCACAAGAACGUGCAGAACUACGUUGCCUAAGACCGAAACUAUCUUUGAGAGGAGUGUGAAACGACGACGUACUUGAUUUGCGUAUCUCAUUAGUUAAGUUUGUAUGGACUGCACAUAACCGUAACAUAUAUUGAUGUACCGUAUAUUUGCAUCGAUCUUUCUUUGGAAUAUUUGGAAUCCGUCCAAUUAGGCACAUUACUUUUGAUUAAUUUGUGUGUCUUCUUAAUUAUAUGUAAACUUAAUUGUCAUUUGACUUGGCUCAAAUGCCAUCUACCCCCAAUCCAUUUUACACCCCCCCCCCCAAAGGCAUGUAAUCGGUUUGUUUAAGUGUGGAUCUUUCCUUUCAUUCUUCUUUUUACAUUCUAAUGAGAUCUCUCCUAAUCCACUUAAUCCGGUGGAUCUCAACUUCCUUUUCAAUAUGAAACUUAGAGGUGCUGAAGAAUCAAGUAAUCCCAAAACCCAAGAUUUUUUUCUUACUUGUCUAAAUUUAUGAGGCCUUGUUUUUUGCAAUGUACUUGCAUAAUAAAGAAAUGUUAACCAGCUCCGGAAUACAUUGCUUAAUAGUUAAUAUCAUCACAAGGAUGUGAAAGAAAUAUGCCCUAGAGGCAAUAAUAAAGUUGUUAUUUAUAUUUUCUUAUAUCAUGAUAAAUGUUUAUUAUUCAUACUAGAAUUGUAUUAACCGGAAACUUAGUACAUGUGUGAAUACAUAGACAAACAGAGUGUCACUAGUAUGCCUUUACUUGACUAGCCCAUUAAUCAAAGAUGGUUAAGUUUCCUAGCCAUAGACAUGAGUUGUCAUUUGGUGAACGAGAUCACAUCAUUAGAGAAUGAUGUAAUUGACAAGACCCAUCUGUUAGCUUAGCACUAUGAUCGUUUAGUUUGUUGCUAUUGCUUUCUUCAUGACUUAUACAUGUUCCUCUGACUAUGAGAUUAUGCAACUCCCAAAUAGCAGAGGAACACUUAGUGUGCUAUGGUGAUUAUAAAGAUGCUCUACAGGUGUCUUUGAUGGUGUUUGUUGGGUUGGCAUAGAUCGAGAUUAGGAUUUGUGGCUCCGAUUGUCGGAGAGGUAUCUCUGGGCCCUCUCGGUAAUGCACAUCACCAUAAACCUUGCGAGCAAUGUGACUGAUGAGUUAGUUGCGGGAUGAUGCAUUACGGAACGAGUAAAGAGACUUGCCGGUAACGAGAUUGAACUAGGUAUGGUGAUACCGACGAUCGAAUCUCGGGCAAGUAACAUACCGAUGACAAAGGGAACAACGUAUGUUGUUGUGCAGUUUGACCGAUAAAGAUCUUCGUAGAAUAUGUAGGAACCAAUAUGAGCAUCCAGGUUCCGCUAUUGGUUAUUGACCGGAGAAGUGUCUCGGUCAUGUCUACAUAGUUCUCGAACCCGCAGGGUCCGCACGCUUAACGUUCGAUGACGAUUUGUAUUAUGAGUUAUGUGAUUUGAUGUACCGAAGGUUGUUCGGAGUCCCGGAUGAGAUCACGGAGAUGACGAGGAGUCUCGAAAUGGUCGAGACGUAAAGAUUGAUAUAUUGGAAGGCUAUAUUCGGACAUCGGAAAGGUUCUGAGUGGUUCGGGUAUUUCUGGAGUACCAGAGAGUUACGGAGUUCGCCGGGGGAAGUAUUGGGCCUUCAUGGGCCUAGUAGUGGAAGACAGGAGGCAGGCCAAGGUGGGGCGCGCGCCCCCUAGCCCAAACCGAAUUGGACUAGGGGGGCCAGUCCCCCUUUCCUUCUCUUCUUCCUCUCCUUCCUUUCUCUCCUACUUGGACUAGGAAAGGGGGAAACCUACUCCUACUAGGAGUAGGAAUCCCCCUUGGGGCGCGCCAUAGAGUGGGUCGGCCCUCACCUCCUCCACUCCUUUAUAUACGGGGGAAGGGGGUACCCCAUAGACACACAAGUUGAUUGUUUAGCCGUGUGCGGUGCCCCCCUGCAUAGAUUUCCAUCUCGGUCAUAUCGUUGUAGUACUUAGGCGAAGCCCUGCAUCGGUAACUUCAUCAUCACCGUCAUCACGCCGUCGUGCUGACAAAACUCUCAUUCGGCCUCAGCUGGAUCUAGAGUUCGAGGGACGUCACCGAGCUGAACGUGUGCAGAUCGCGGAGGUGUCGUGCGUUCGGUACUUGAUCGAUUGGAUCGCGAAGACGUUCGACUACAUCAACCGCGUUACUUAACGCUUCCGCUUUCGGUCUACGAGGGUACGUGGACACACUCUCCCGCUCGUUGCUAUGCAUCACAUAGAUAGAUCUUGCGUGAUCGUAGGUAAAAAAUUAAGUACCGCGUUCCCCAACAGUGGUAUCAGAGCCAGGUCUAUGCGUAGAUGUUAUAUUGACGAGUAGAACACAGAGUUGUGGGCGAUAAUAGUCAUACUGUUUACCAGCAUGUCAUACUUUGAUUCGGCAGUAUUGUUGGAUGAAGCGGCCCAGACUGACAUUACAUGACCGCGUUCGUGAGACUGGUUCUACCACCGUGCUCACACACAGGUGGCUAGUGGGUGUCUAUUUCUCCAACUUUAGUUGAAUCGAGUGUGACUACGCCCGGUCUUUGUUGAAGGUUAAAACAACACACUUGACGAAAAACCGUUGUGGUUUUGAUGCAUAGGUAAUAACGGUUUUUGCUAGAAGCCCGUAGCAGCCACGUAAAACUUGCAACAACAAAGUAGGGAACGCCUAACUUGUUUUUGCAGGGCUUGCUGUGAUGUGAUAUGGUCAAGACGUGAUGAUAUAUAAAUUGUUGUAUGAGAUGAUCAUGUUUUGUAAAAGUUAUCGGCAAUUGGCAGGAGCCUUAUGGUUGUCGCUUUAUUGUAUGAAAUGCAAUCGUCAUGUAAUUGCUUUACUUUAUUACUAAGCGGUAGCAAUAGUCGUAGAAGCAAUAGUUGGCGAGAUGACAACGAUGCUUCGAUGGAGAUCAAGGUGUCAAGCUGGUGACGAUGGUGAUCAUGACGGUGCUUUGGAGAUGGAGAUCAAAGGCACAAGAUGAUGAUGGCCAUAUCAUAUGACUUAUUUGAUUGCAUGUGAUGUUUAUCUUUUAUGCAUCUUAUUUGCUUAGUACGGAGGUAGCAUUAUAAGAUGACCUCUCACUAAAAUUUCAAGGUAUAAGUGUUCUUCCUGAGUAUGCACCGUUGCGACAGUUCUUCGUGCUGAGACACCACGCGAUGAUCGGGUGUGAUAAGCUCUACAUUCACAUACGACGGGUGCAAGCCAGUUUUGCACACGCAAAAUACUCGGGUUAAACUUGACGAGCCUAGCAUAUGCAGAUAUGGCCUCGGAACACUGAGACCGAAAGGUCGAGCGUGAAUCAUAUAGUAGAUAUGAUCAACAUAGUGAUGUUCACCAUUGAAAACUACUCCAUCUCACGUGAUGAUCCGACAUGGUUUAGUUGAUAUGGAUCACGUGAUCACUUAGAUGAUUAGAGGGAUGUCUAUCCAACUGGGAGUUAUUAAGUAAUAUUAUUAAUUGAACUUUAAUUUAUCAUGAACUUAGUCCUGGUAGUAUUUGCAUAACUAUGUUGUAGAUCAAUAGCUCGCGAUGUAGCUCCCUUUUUUUUUGAUAUGUUCCUAGAGAAAAACUAUGUUGAAAGAUGAUAGUAGCAAUGAUGCGGACUAGGUCUGUGAUCUGAGGAUUAUCCUCAUUGCUGCACAGAAGAAUUAUGUCCUUGAUGCAUCACUAGGUGACGGACCUAUUGCAGGAGAAGAUGCAGACGUUAUGAAUGUUUGGCAAGCUCGGUACGAUAACUACUUGAUAGUUUAGUGCGACAUACUUUAUGGCUUAGAACUGAGACUUCAAAAACCUUUUGAACGCCACGGAGCAUAUAAGAUGUUCCAAGGACUGAAAUUGGUAUUUCAGAAUCAUGCCCGAGUCAAGAGGUAUGAGACCUCUGAGAAGUACUUUGCCUACAAGAUGGAGGAGAAUAGCUCAACCAGUGAGCAUGUGCUCAGAUUGUCUGAGUACUACAAUCGCUUGAAUCAAGUGGGAGUUAAUCUUCCAGAUAAAAUAGUGAUUGACAGAGUUCUCUAGUCACUAUCACCAAGUUACUGGAACUUCGUGAUGAACUAUAAUAUGCAAGGGAUCACGAAAACGAUUCUCGAGCUCUUCGUGAUGCUGAAAUCAGCAAAGGUAGAAAUCAAGAAAAGCAUCAAGUGUUGAUGGUUGACAAGACCACUAGUUUCAAGUAAAAGGGUAAGGGAAAGAAAGGGAACUUCAAGAAGAAAGACAAGCAAGUUGCAACUCCCAUGAAAAAGCCCAAAGCUAGACACAAGCCUGAAACUGACUGCUUCUACUGCAAAGGAAAUGGUCACUAGAAGUGGAACUGCCCCAAAUACUUGGUGGUUAAGAAGGAUAGUGUCGGGGAUAUACCCCGCGGUAUGACCCGGCCGGAAUUGGCGACUCACUUGUGACCCGCCCGGAGCUUGGCGAUUCACAGAUAACCUGCCCGAUCUUGGCGACUCAUUAGUAACCCGGUGGGCGGGUCAGAUGGACAACAAGGCCCAAAGCCCAGAAGGCCGGCUCACGUUAUGAUGGGCCGGAUUAAGAGGAAAGGGAUGACGAAUAUUUCCUUUACAAGGAAGCAAGACCCGGACUUGUAAUCAACUUGUAAGAGAAGAUGGACUAGUCCUAGUCCUACUAGGACUCCACAUGUAACCCGCCUCUCUAACUUAUAUAAGGAGGGGCAGGGCUCCCCAAAGAGGGACAAGCUACAGACAAGAAACAAUCUCUAGGGCUAGACACCGAGAGCCGGUUCCCGGCGACUCUCCCUCGUGAUGAUAAUGAGACCUAGCCACAAACAGCAUGUAGGGCUAUUACCGGAUGAUAUUUCCCGGGGCCCGAAGCUGUCUAAAUCCUUGUCUUGUGUUGCAUCUCUCGAUUCCGCCUAACCCCUCUCAAGCUACCACAUAGAUCCGCUGGCCUCGCGACUAAGUCCUGACACUAAGGACAUCUGUCGUGCCUAUUCCACGACAGUUGGCGCCCACCGUGGGGCCCGCGCACGGUGGUGUUGAGUUCUUGGAGGGAUCUCUUUAGGGAUGGAGAAGUUCGUGAUGUGCUGGAGGAAAAAGAGCCGGCGCAAAAGAAUAUACAUCGUCUCCGUGGCAAGCUGUCGGAGUGACAUACGAGAUUGAGAUUAAAAGAAUUAGGGUUUUGCGUUUUACAUGCCGCCGACGCGAGAUGAUAUGUCCAACCCGACGGAAGAUUUGUUUCGCCGAGUCCUGCAAUCUGUCACGUCAAAGUUUCCAUCGAAACAGACAAAGGAUUUCCGCUAUCCGAUCGGCUGAGUUCGGUAAGUUGCUGCGGCUGGAUUACAGGCUCAAGUCCCAAGGCUGCUUACUGCUGCUAGUUCACGUGGAUACAAAUACAAAGAUAAAUCAAGUGGAGAUCAAAAACUAGUACUGGUCCGCGUAUAUCCUUCCAAAUCUACAGAGCCAUUGAAACCGUUUUUUCUACAGUCAGAAAAUCGCCAAGGCCACACACUGGGGUCGGACAAGUCAAUGCCAUGGACUAAUAUUUCUGGUUUGGCAAGGAUACGAGGUCAAACCAAUCACGACCCGGAGGAGGAAUCAAUGUUGCCUGCCCGAUCACACUUUGCUUUCCUGCGGCCGUUCUGCGUCUGCCGCAGUUCUUCUCGGCCUCCGUGCUGUGAGCCGCCGUGGCCUCAAGCCGUCCGGCUACCUGAGAUGUUCGAGAAGCCGAAUCGUCAGCUCUACUCUGCAAACCACGGUUUGCCCCUUUCGUGAGUCGCCGCCGCUGACUCGUGCCCGGACUCUGGCUCCGAGUGGCCUUCGCUCCGACUCGGCCUCGCUAUGGCCUAUCCUCGCCUCAUUGAACCGCCAACCGGAGAGCCGCCCGUUCGCCUCCGAAUAGACUCGCCGGCUCGCCUUUUGUUGCGGUCUCGGGUGAUCCCGCCAGCGUCCGCGGGAUGCCUUGCCGCCUGCCUCUGCUCUUCGGCCUCACGCUGAGCCGGCCGCCGUCGAGCCGCACCUGCAUGCUGCCCUCGCCGUGGCCAUGGCUCGCCUCCACGCCCGCCGCUGUACAACACCGCCUCGGCGCUUGGACGCGCGCCCAUGCCGCCUCCGCGGUCGCGCCCGCCUGCCGGCUCACUACUGCAAGUCGCCGCUCUUCUGCACCGUUACCGUGCCCUGCCGGUUUGCUGCUCGCCUCCGGCCCUCUGCUACGACUCCGAGCUGUUGUGAGCCGCCACUUGCUGCUCCGGUUCUGCUGCAAAUCAGCGCGGCCUCGAGCCCAGCCUCGUGUCGCCUCCGUCGGUGAGCCGGCCUGCCGGGCUGCAUCUCUGACUCGUCACACGGAACCAUUUCGCCGACGCGAGUGCGUGCGCCGGACACUUCCUCUGCUGCUGCCUCGUUUCACCUUCGUUCCGAGCCACUAUUUCUGGUGAGCCACCGUUUAUUCUACAGACAGCCACAAACAAAAGCUCCACGGACGUUCAAUCGCUUGAGGAAUUGCAAAGGAGAAUAAAAAUGUCUGAUGCGGCCGGUCACAUGGCUAAUCAAGAUUGACUUGGUCAAUGGCGGGACAAUUACUGACAGAUGUGAAGCAAAUUGGAUUAAAAUUGUUGGUCAAAUCAACCAAAGAAGUACGCAUGUGAAAACAAGGUCUGAUGGAUUCCUAUGAUCCUCCAAGUGAACACCCCUGAACUAUUACAACUGCUGCGUACACAUGGACUCCAAAGAAGGAUUUAAAUAUUAAAAGUAUAUUGCUGUGGCCUAGCACGGGUUAUUUGUCAAGCGUAUGAGUGAUCUGUCAAAGCUUCUAAGCCCAACAUGACCCGGAGGGUCCGUUCAGAUCAUCCAGCUCCGGUUCUGCUGCGGUCGAGCUUCAAGCCGCCUCCGAGUCGCCAAACUCUCCCGCGUUAAGUCAGCCUCGAGCCGUUGACCAACACCACGGCCACACUCCGUUUUUCUGCUAGAGUUUUGAGACGCUGCACCGCCAAGCCCUCCAGGCCCGUCCGUGCCUACAAAUCGCCCCUGUCCUUGACUGAUCUGGACAAUUAUUUACGACAAAGGUGAUGUUAUACUGCGGGUAUGGAGCACGCACUGGCAAUGUUCUGCACCAGCGUUUUAUCCGUGCCACACUACCUGAUGAACGGACGUGCGCAAGUCGCCGCCCCUGUGGCCCGGUCUAUAUUAACUCGCCGGGACCGCGCCCGCGGCUGACUCUCUCGUCCACACCAGCUUACAACGCCGCUGCCGACUCUCCCCAUCCGCACCGGCUUACAACGCCGCGGCCGACUCGGCCGUGAUUAAUUUCAGCGUCACCGUGGUGAUCAUCAACUCCGCGGUGAAUAAUUUCUGGCUUAACAUAUCAGGUGAAAUCCAUCCAGUAUAUUUUUAUAUUAUAUAUUGUUUUCUUUAAAAGGAAAAAUUACGCUGGCUUGCAAGUUCGCCAAUGCAGGACAAGUUAUAUCAUUGAGCUGUUGAAGGACUCAUACCGGUUUGUAUCACGGUCAAAUAUGGAGAAUCUCAAGACAACUCCCCGAGUCGCCUUAAGACUCGGGGGCUACAAAGGCAUGACUCGGCAAAAUUGGCCAGUAUCAAUUAUCCAGAACUCCGGGUUAUUGGAGGGAAAAAAUAACGCGGCCCCGGAGACUACUGCUAUAUUGAUAAGAAUUUAAAGGCCGUCAGAAAAUUUCUAGUUCAAAAUGAAGAAUGCCGGUUUAAAAUCCGGCUCAAGGUAAACCUGUCUCCCACAAAGCUUUGAAGGUCUCAAUAUCCGGUUUGAAAUUUCGGUUUAAAAAAGAAUUCAUCUCUCGCAAGUUCGAGUUUUCAGAAAAAAUUACAGGGACCAAAGAGAGUUUGUUGCACAGCACAACUGAACAUAGGCACCCGAUGAACACAGCUCAGAAAUAUAUCACUUGGGGGCUUCCGGCUUAUUGAGCUAAGCUAUGAUUACCCUUUGAUCCAGCUCAUAGCCACAGUUACAGGUCAUUUGGGGGCUUCCUGUUCAAACAUAGGUCGUAUUCGAACCAAAGAGAACAUAGCUGUCGGUACCCUCUUGAUCAGCACACUGCCGAGCUCACUAGGGGGCUUCUUGAUCGUAUUCGAAUCAUAGCUCAACCCCUUUUGGGAACCGACGUGGAUCGUAUUCGAAUCAGCGUCGUUAAACAACUCUCAAGGUCAUUUGGGGGCUUCGUGUUCAAACAUAGGUCGUAUUCGAACCAAAGAGAACAUAGCUGUCAGUACCCUCUUGAUCGGCAACGCCAAAGCCACUGGGGGCUAUAUGAUCGUAUUCGAAUCUUAGCUUAACCCCUUUGGGACGGUUUUCUGAUCGUAUUCGAAUCAGAAGCCUCAAAUUUUUUGAAGUCCCUUUUUGCAAACAAUUUUUGGAUUUUAUUUGAAACUCUUUUGAUCAUAUCUAAAGUGUAUAUGAGUGGUUGCUAUUUAACCCGGUUUGACUUUGGAUGAUAAGUCGCCAUCAUAUGACAAUCAUAAACAUUUGGAAGUAUUGAUUUCUAAAGAUUGGGUUAUCACCCUUACUUCACAGGUCAUAUAAACCGGCAGUGAAAAUUCAAUAUCACAGGUAUAAUAUUAUUAUUAUAGUUAUGUUUCAAAGUUAUGAUUCAUAACAGGCUUAUCUGUGACUCCUUGUUACACAUCAAUGGUUAUAUGUGAGAUAUUAUGACCCGCCCUGCGGUAAACCGCCAAGGGAUCUUGUGAUCUAAUUAUGUGCAGGAUAAGACUACAUUUGGGUGGUUACCCGCCCUGGUUUUUGACGUUAAGUCGCCAGGGUAUAUGUUGUUUAAACACUGCAGGAUUUACAGAGCUAUGACUUACAUAAAUGAUUAAAUUCAAGCCAUCAUCAUAGAUUGAAAUUGGUGUCUCAAAAGGGUUAUCAAUUCUUGAUUUUCUCAAAGGCUAUAAGCCGCCGGGUUGUACAAAUUCCGGCUUACAAUGGAGGCGUAUUAAAUCGCCAUCGCCCAAGAGCCGUCGGGUAUUUAAACUCCGGAUUGACUUAUCAGCAGAUGAGGUAUUCAAAGUCGCUUUGGCGCAAUGGCUAUUAUUUUAUCAAUGGAUAUGAUUUAUUCUACAAUGGAAAGAAUAGUCCCGAGUCGCUGCAGGCUUACGACUCGGCACUUGGGGGCUACAUUAUUUAAAUUGAGAUCACAUCUAAUAUGCAAGUCCCAUGUCACUGCCAGCAUGCACCAUGGCACUUGGGGGCUUAUGUAAAGACAUUUUUUGCUCAACUUAUUGAAGACCCGACUCAUCACAUUGUAAUGAGCCGGCCCUUGGGGGCUACCGAUUGCUCCUGUCGAAAAUUCAAGGUACACAAGCCUUAAUCCAUUACAUUGAAAGAUCCACUACUCAGUUGGUAGAGUACAAAGCUCUUAACCUUAUGGACGUGGGUUCAAGCCCCAUGGUGGAGAUUACAUCAUAUGAUGUUAUUAUCAAUGAAUUAUAUACAAAGUCCCAGCUCAGUAAUAUCUUACUAAGCCGGCCCUUGGGGGCUACACGUUGCUGCUCCAGUUUACAUGAUCAUAUUUACAAAGUCCCUGCUCAUUAUUGCAUAAUGACCCGGCCCUUGGGGGCUGCACUGGUUGAAGUUUUAUGAGUAUAAGGCAAUUACAAGUCCCAGGUUGCUACAAGCAUGACAACCCGGCACUUGGGGGCUACAGGUGAUAUACAUAUAAGGGGAAAAAAUCUUCAAAUUCUCAGUUUUGAGCAGAUCAGGUUGACCCGGUGUUUGCAACAAUCAUGAUCCGGUCUCACCAAUAAUUAUGACCCGGCGUCGGCAACAGUUAUGACCCGGUGCUAUCAAUAUUUACAAACCGGCAACUUUGGUUAUGAUAAACCGGCAAGUUUUACCUCUUCAAGCCGGCUCAAAGUCAGAUGAGUAUUUCAAGACCAAUAUGUUUUAAGCCGGCGCUUUGGAAGCCGAUUCAAGUGGAUUAUUUCUUACAAUAUUUCUCUACAAAAGACCAAUGCUUGCAAAUUGACUCUGAAGCUGGCCUAUUGACCCGGAUUUCUCAAAAGAAGUAUCUGGAUCAUUUUUGCAUUCACAAAGUUUGAACAUAUCUACUAAAGGAGAUUUGCUAUGAGUUCAUGGGCAUGUAUCAACAAGGAAAUGACAAGGAUUUAAAGAUGAUCAGGUGCAGGGUUACAAAAAUUUAACCCGGAGUACAACCUAUCAAGUUUGUUCUUGUGUUUAUUUUGCAGGAUGAGUUUAACAUGGAUAAAUCCAAAUUAAACUAGGGGCUAAUGUCGGGGAUAUACCCCGCGGUAUGACCCGGCCGGAAUUGGCGACUCACUGGUGACCCAUUCGGAGCUUGGCGAUUCACAGAUAACCUGCCCGAUCUUGGCGACUCAUUAGUAACCCGGCGGGUGGGUCAGAUGGACAACAAGGCCCAAAGCCCAGAAGGCCGGCUCACGUUAUGAUGGGCCGGAUUAAGAGGAAAGGGAUGACGAAUAUUUCCUUUACGAGGAAGCAAGACCCGGACUUGUAAUCAACUUGUAAGAGAAGAUAGACUAGUCCUAGUCCUACUAGGACUCCGCAUGUAACCCGCCUCUCUAACUUAUAUAAGGAGGGGCAGGGCUCCCCAAAGAGGGACAAGCUACAGACAAGAAAUAAUCUCUAGGGCUAGACACCGAGAGCCGGUUCCCGUCGACUCUCCCUCGUGAUGAUAAUGAGACCUAGCCACAAACAGCAUGUAGGGCUAUUACCGGAUGAUGUUUCUGUAGGAGAUAUGCCCUAGAGGCAAUAAUAAAUGAUAUUAUUUAUUUCCGAGUUCAUAAUUAUGUUUAUGUUCCAUGCUAUAACUGCAAUGAUUCUCGAGUCUACAAUAUCCACGAGGCUCGGAGGAAGACUCAAAUGCACGUGUGGAAUAAUAAACGGUAAGAAGUAUUCCUAGUCUGGCCUCUAAGACUAGCUCAAGUGUUGCAUGAUGAUUAUGUUUUCCUGGUCAUGGGCAUGUCUAUGCCAGCAACUUUGAGGGCACAAUGUUAAGAGAACAUUUAUGUUGAAUCGACCCGGAUUGAUGUUAUGCUAUGAGAUUCAUUCGUCACAAGUUUAUUGGUACAUAACACAGAGAUGGUUAACGUUUGCAUGAUUCCUUAGACCAUGAGAGUAUCGAGUUUCUUCAUGCUUGCUUCAUGAACUUUGGGGUUUGUUAAACGUCAUCCGUAAAUGGGUGGCUAUUACGGCGGCUUACGGGUUCAUGGAAAAGUGUGUCAAGUAACUUGAUAGCUCAAGAUUGGGAUUUGCUCCUCCGACGAUGGAGAGAUAUCUCUGGGCCCUCUCGGUGUUACGGUAUCCAUCAUCGUCUGGCCAGACACUUUGUGAUUUGAUCACGGGGAUGCCGGAACACGAUAACGAGAAAAGAGGACAAUACCGGUAACGAGGUAACUAGCAUAGUGGACAAGUUGUUGAUCCACGGGAAUGCCAACAUGUCUCACCUCGGGUAUUUGUAACAUAUCGCGAAGCAACAGGAAUAGCACAGGGAAACUGGAGGUUCACUCGAAUAUUUAUUCGUGUGGGUAUAGGGGUCAAUAUGGGUGUCCACGGCUCCGAUGUUGAUCAUUGAUCGGAAGGGGUUCCGGGUCAUGUCUAUACUUCACCGAACCUAUAGGGUCACACGCUUAAGGGUCAUCUAUCUGCUGAAUACUAGACAGGGAGUCUGAGAGAAAAUCACCGGGAAAGUUUCGGACAGCGGAAUCGUACCGCAGAGAGAGGUCAUCGGAUAAGUUUCGAUGAUACCGAAAAGUUGUUUCGGGAUACACCAUUAAGUCAAAUUGGUUUCGGCACAUGCCUGAUAAUUCUUGGAGGAUGCCAGAAUCAUUCUGGAAGCUUUUUGGAAUUUUCUGAGAUAAAAACCGGAAAUGUUCCGGAGCUGCCGGAGCCACUUCAGAUGCGUUUCGCAGAUGAAAAUCACUAAAACCGGAAUUGUUUCGGAACGCGUUGAAAAUCAUUUUAGUGGGUACUGGAAAUGUUCUUAGCCCACAUAAAUAUUUUCAGUUCGAUCAGACGCUGAAAAAUGUCGUCGUGAAUAGUGAAAAUCAGCUUUAUGGUUACUUUAUGGAAAGCCACCUUUUGGGGCUUUGCUCCAAAAGAUCUUGGGGAUGACAUGGAUGGAUAGGAGCCAUUUUUGGGGCCCCUCAUGGGGGUGUGGCCGGCCACAUGGGGUAUCCCCCCUUGGGGACCCUCUAGUUCCUUGGUUUCACUCCUAGGUCCUUGUGGAAGGACUUCAUUCAUGUGCAUUUUGGGUUUUUUGUGAAACUACCCUACCCCCUUGGGAUUUCCUAUAAAUAGAGGUGGAGGGGCAGCCCUCCACGCUCAUCCCUUGAUCUCAUACACAUGCCAUGCAUUAUCUGGCUUCUUCUCUCCCUCCCACGAAAAGAGUUUCGUAGAGCCGUAAGGCUGUCUGGGUUCCGGCAGGAACUAGUUCUGGACGGCGAAGCCCUGCUGGAUAGAUGACACCGUAUGUGUGCAACUCUGUAGAGAGAUCGUAGUUUCGGUCUUAGUUCGUGAGUGCCUCCCGAAGGGCUGUCCGUGUGACCGUCCGAGUUUCGAAGGUCCUCCCGAAGGGCUGUCCGAGUGACCGUUCGAGUUUCGAAGGUCCUCCCGAAGGGCUGUCCGCGACACCGUCCGGGGGGCUGUUCGACCGCCUCCCGGAGGGCUGUCUGAGGAGCAGAUGAGGGUAUACAUCCUCGCGGUUGGGAGGUUGUAAAUCCUAGCUGCGGGGAUCUGCACCGCCGAUCGUCAUCGACUCUACUUCCCGCUGCGCUACGAGUCGGUAACGAAAAAGAUCAAACCAUGUAUGCAGUCUCCAUAGUGGUCCUGGGCUGGUGCGUAGGUCGGAAAAUUUUUGUUUUCUGUCGCGUUCCCCUUCAGUGGCAUCAAGAGCCGUGCUAUGCGUAGAUGCAGGUUUCGAUCUAGAAUACAUGGAGAUGUAUGGGUAUUGCAUAAUAUAAUUAGGUAGUAGAUGAGACCUAUUGCUGAAAAUUAUUUAUGCGGGUGACAGAUGAAAUAUGUUACCCGAGGUUCUUGUUGCUUCCCUAGAAUUUGCGUUUGCUCAAUCUUGAGACAGCAUGGUGGAAUUUGACAAAGUUCUGGCAAUCCGUGAUCCUGAUUGAUCAUGGAAGUGCUAUCAGUUCUUUGGGUUCUGCCGUAGUCAAAAGAAAGAUGAAAUUCGCAGAUGAAAGGGCAUUGCAGAUAUGAUCUGCACGGGGGUCAUGCGUAUGACGAAGUUUAGUAUGGGGCUCGAGAUUUAAUUAUCCCGUGUUUCAUACACCCCGAGAUGUUAAUCUAGCAACUUGAAUAAUCAUACUUGAUGAUAAAACGUUGGUCGCUGCGGUUUAAGUCAAAACCUUAGAAGCCACGUAAAAUAAAUUUUGCAUAAACCGAUUAGAGGCGUCUAACUUGGUUUUGCAGGAUGUGCAUAUGAUGUGGUAUAGCAGUGCUCAUACUAAUUCGAUUAUGUAUGAGAUGACUAUAUGAUGUAAUUUGAUUAACAUGACCUGCGUGUCAUGAUUCGGCAUGAUGGUUGGAGCCAUAUGAUUGCACUUUAAUGACCUGCGUGUCAACCUUGUUGUAAUGCAUUAUUUUGUUAGCUAUAGAGAUAGCAAUAUUAUCUGGUGCAUCGACAAGGUGGUGGCAAUCUUCGCGAAGGUGAACACCGAUGCGAAUGCCGAAGACGAAGAAAUGAAAGACUUCUCCGUCAGAAAGGGCUAUACCAUAUCAUGCUAUUAUGAAUUGCCUGAGAUGUUUAUCCCUUAUGAUGCACCCUUCUUGAUUGCGCGGUAGUCGCUUUUAUUAGGGUGAUCUCUCACUUAAAAUACCAAGUAGUUAGUGUUCUCCCAAGUGUAGCACCGUCACGGCACCUAUCUUUUCGGGGUGCGCCGUGUCACACGGGUACGAACGAUUAGAGAAGUGUGAGGCGGGUGAGUUGAGACCUCGCAGCAAGAUCACUUGGUUGUCUUGACGUUCAGGCAUGACCGUCAUGAGCUCGGAACACACGCAUCGAAAGAUGAACAAGAGUCACAUAGAGAUGUGAUUGGCAAGUUGGCCUACCGGUUGAGAUUUUUCAUCAUCAGUGGUGUUACACCAAUGGCGAACAAUUGAAAUGUGGGUCUUGUAUCACUCACAAUCAAUUUUGAGAGAUAUUGAUUUGAGUGGGAGCGCACUGUUGAAUUAACAUGUUUAAUUCUUAGUGCAAUUAAUUAUGAACAUUGUCUAAGUGUUAUAUGCAAAAUAGUUGUAGAAUAAUGGCUCGCGUUUCCACCUUCCCUGUUAAAAUUGAAUAGCUGUUAAAUAUCUGGUUAAAACUUUACGAUUGGUACCGUAAUAUGAGGAUUGUCCUCAAAAGUGCCGAGAAGGACUUUGUCCUAUCGCAUGCUUUCCGUAUCCUCCCGCUAAUGCUAUGGAUCAUGUGACUCUCGUCCUUUGAUCCAAAAGCUAGAAUUCUGUUAUGGUCAAGUGGAAUAUAUUUGCUUCCAUGAAACCCAACCUUCGAAAGUUGGGAUAGUUAUAUGAUAUUCAUGGAACUGAAAAUUAUUUUCAGAUACAAACAAAGCAAUGUUUGUUUGCAAGUAUUAGUAAAAGUGUUUACUAUGCAUUUGACUGUUGGGAAAGGGAUCCAGAAGAACGCCUGUCAUAUAAUGAAAGGUGAAUAAAACAACAACUUAAAGAGAAAGGAAGUGUCCAAAGGGUGUUAGUAUGACUUACACGCCUAGGAAGUCCGGGGCUAAUGCCACUCUUAAGUUGGGUGCUUCUUCUGAGAGUAGGAGAAAUACUAGAAGUUAAACUGCUAGAAGUAUAAAGGCAAAAGGAAAGAAGACUGGAAUAUCCAGCUCAUGUAUGAAUGUCAUACAAGUUUUUGAUGUAUAGAAGGCUGGUCAAAGAUAUAGUUCUUGCGAAUUAUGGUUAAACAUGUUAAUCACUAAUUCUUGGGUAUUGUGAGUUCAUCACAAAAAUGCCCGCUCGAUUGCAUUCUGUUGUAACUCGAUGUAAGAACUACUAUGGCCUGAAAGACUAGCUAGAAAUGAGGUUAAGGUAUACAUAGGGAACAUAGUAAAUGUUACUAUACCUUCCAUCGGUGUAUUGCCGUCUGUAUUUAUUUUCAUAUUUCAUUUAGAGUUUUACAAACUCUAUCCCAUUUCAUAAGGCAUCUUGCAAGAUGGUUGUUCAUAAGAGAACCUUUUAUGUUCGUUGUUAUGAAUAACACAAGGGCCAAAGUUUCAUUAUGAAUGAGAUGUAUGUUAUGAAUAUUGAUAAUAAUACAAUACCUCUGGGUUUACUUUCAUAAUUCAUUUUAGAGUUUCAUACACUCUAGCCCAUUGCACAAUGUUUGUUGCAAAAGAGUUGUUCAUAAAAAGAACAAUUGUUGUUAAGUAUUAUGAAUAACAUAAGGGCCAUACUUCCAUCAUCGAUGGGACGUAUGUUAUGAAUAUUGAGGGUAAUAUGAUACAUCCAUAACACUGACGCUAAAUGUCGCAAGACUAAAAGAAUACCACACAAGUGUGGCACUACAUUUGGUCACAUUGGAGAAACCCGCAUGGAAAAUUCCAUUAUGAUGGAUUUUGAAGUCUUUUUGAUUUUGAAUCAUCUGACACUUGCAACUUUCCUCCGAAAAGUGAAGUGACUAAAAUACCGUUCACAGGCCAUAAGGAACGAACAACAAACUUAUUAGUGAUCAUACAUUUGAUGUGUGUAGUCCGAUAAGUGUUGUUAGUGGUGGAUUUAUUUAUCUUCAGAAAUGACUCAAGUAGAUAUAUGAAUAUUUACUUGAUGAGACGUAAGUCUGGAUCUUUUGAAAUCAUUCGAAAGGUUCUCAAAAAUGAAGUAGAAGUUAUUGUAACAAGAAAAUUAUGUUUCUGCAAUUUGAUUGCACAAAGGAAUAUUUGAGUUACAUGUUUAGCGAAUGUCUGAUGAGUUGUGAAAGGGGUUUCAUAAACUUGCACCUCCCGGAACACCACUGCAAGUGAAAAGUCCGUGGAGAUGUAAUCAAACCAUUUAUGACAUGGUAAGGUCAAAGAUGACAUAAAUAAAUUUGCCAUUAUCCCUUUUAAAGUGAUGCUUUAGAGACUGCGGCUUUUACACUGAAAAGAGCUACAUCGGGUCUGUUGAAAUGAAGCCAUGGUAUGGUACGCCCAACCAUGUUAUAUAUUUUCUUAACAUUUGGAAUAUGGGGCUUGUGUAAAAGGUUACAAACCUAUUCCAAAUCAGACAAGUGCUACUUUGUAGGUUAUACCAAAAUGUUGGGUAUUCCUCCCUCACUAUACCGAGGCAAAUAGUUUUGCCGCGAAACGGUGUGCUUUUAAAGAGAAUGGUUCUUUCUAAAAGGUGAGUGGGAGAAUAGUGCAACUCGACGAGAUAAAUAGUAUCUUCAUCAGAUCAAAGGAAAGAGACCUUGGAAGAAAUUCCAGAGUUUCCUACUGCGACUGAUACAGAAGUCUCUACAAUAAAAUGUAUGAACUUCGGUCGAACUUGCAGCUGAACCACGUAGGCAAGGCUCGUGCAAACCUCUCAGGUGCGCAAACGAGAUAUUGUUGUUAGACAACAUUAUACCUACGAUACACAAGGAAGCGUUGAUGGGCCCUGACUCCGGAAUUGGCUAAAUGCCCAUACAACCCGAGUUAGUUUCCAUAUAAGUGAUUCAAGAUUAAAACCUUGAUACACCUUUCGGAAGACUUAGAGUCUAACGAAUAUUUAUGGAACUUAAAACUGAUACGGAUAAAAUGUUUUAUCCAUAAAGCUCGACUUGUUGAAAUAAUACGAUGAGGUUGUUUUCAUCGUAGCGAUGCUUAAAGUCGGUUCGGGUUGAACUAGCAAUUAAUACAUAUUUCAAUCAUGAGAUAUGAAACAUGGAUGAUAAAAGGAUUUCCAUCUGAUGAAAAUGAAAGCUAGGACUUGUAUAUGAUACAGUCCAAAGUAAUUUAUCGAUCCAGAGGAUGCUAGUAGGUAUGCAAACUUCAGAGUUCCAGCAAUGGACAGAAGAGAGCAAAAUGGAGUUGGAAUCUUCGUGUUUUGAUGAAAUAGUCAAAGGGGUUUUGAUUUCAUCAAUGGGUAACGAAGAUGCUUGUAAUUCAAGAAAGUAAGUGGGAGCGUAAUAAUAUUUCUAAAAACCUUAUGUGCUUGGCACAUUGGUAAUUGGAAAUAAAUUUCUUGACACAAAUUAGGACUUCAUUUGAAAAUAGUUUUUCGAUGAAGUGCUUAGGCUAAAUAGCCUCAAUAUUAAGCAUGAUGAUCUAUGGAGAUAGAUUUACCUAAUGGGGCUAAGCAACGAAUGCAUAUUGACAAGAUGCUAAAACCUUUUAGUAUUUAAAACGCCAAGGAGUGAUUCUUGCCAAAGUCACAUGGAAAGAGUUUUUGCAAGACUCGGUGUCCCAAAACACUGAUGAGUAAAAUACAUUAUGCAGAUUCCACACACUUUUGUGUUUGGAUUAAUCAUGUAUUCCAUGGUAUGUAAAACAACCAGAUAUGUCCGAUACUCCCAAGGUGUUGCGAGUAUGGAUACCAAAGUGAUCAAAUUACUGAUCAUGGGACAACAGUGAAAGAUGUCACAGAGUACUAGAGUAAGUACUGAUGACAUGGUUUUCUCGCAAGCAGAGAUCAUGAAGAGUUCGUUGUAAAAUGUUACAUCGAUAGAGUCUUCAUCUUUUCUCCAUGCGAUUUUCGAUUUAAAUUAAGGGUUUUGUGUAACACACAAUGUGGUGGCACAGUUAGUUGGAAUUUGUUCAAACUAGUUACUGUGGCGAAUUCUAUAACAAGGGCUAAGUAUGUUGACGCUUUAGAAGCGACAAAGAAGAUGUUGAAUCAUAUAGUUCAUUCAUGAACUUAGUAUAGUUCCAAGAUGGCUUUUGACAAUGGGACACUACUGCAGGUAGUUGCUCCAUAACUCAGUCUGAGGAAUCCAGGUUCGACCUGUGAUUCACAUACAUACAGAGCCAAGUCCACACAAAAUAUGAAUUUUGUGAAAACGUGAAAACGCGAGGACAUGCAAAGAUACACACGGAACUGAAGUCGUCAGAUCCGUUGGACAUCAGGCUAUACCACAAGCGAAGCAUAUUUACACCGGUGUGCCACAGGUGUGAAGUGCAUUAGCAUAAGCUAGAUUAUUGACUCUAGUGCAAGUGGGAGUCUGUAGGAGAUAUGCCCUAGAGGCAAUAAUAAAUGAUAUUAUUUAUUUCCGAGUUCAUAAUUAUGUUUAUGUUCCAUGCUAUAACUGCAAUGAUUCUCGAGUCUACAAUAUCCACGAGGCUCGGAGGAAGACUCAAAUGCACGUGUGGAAUAAUAAACGGUAAGAAGUAUUCCUAGUCUGGCCUCUAAGACUAGCUCAAGUGUUGCAUGAUGAUUAUGUUUUCCUGGUCAUGGGCAUGUCUAUGCCAGCAACUUUGAGGGCACAAUGUUAAGAGAACAUUUAUGUUGAAUCGACCCGGAUUGAUGUUAUGCUAUGAGAUUCAUUCGUCACAAGUUUAUUGGUACAUAACACAGAGAUGGUUAACGUUUGCAUGAUUCCUUAGACCAUGAGAGUAUCGAGUUUCUUCAUGCUUGCUUCAUGAACUUUGGGGUUUGUUAAACGUCAUCCGUAAAUGGGUGGCUAUUACGGCGGCUUACGGGUUCAUGGAAAAGUGUGUCAAGUAACUUGAUAGCUCAAGAUUGGGAUUUGCUCCUCCGACGAUGGAGAGAUAUCUCUGGGCCCUCUCGGUGUUACGGUAUCCAUCAUCGUCUGGCCAGACACUUUGUGAUUUGAUCACGGGGAUGCCGGAACACGAUAACGAGAAAAGAGAACAAUACUGGUAACGAGGUAACUAGCAUAGUGGACAAGUUGUUGAUCCACGGGAAUGCCAACAUGUCUCACCUCGGGUAUUUGUAACAUAUCGCGAAGCAACAGGAAUAGCUCACGGCAACUGGAGGUUCACUCAAAUAUUUAUUCGUGUGGGUAUAGGGGUCAAUAUGGGUGUCCACGGCUCCGAUGUUGAUCAUUGAUCGGAAGGGGUUCCGGGUCAUGUCUAUACUUCACCGAACCUAUAGGGUCACACGCUUAAGGGUCAUCUAUCUGCUGAAUACUAGACAGGGAGUCUGAGAGAAAAUCACCGAAAAAGUUUCGGACACCGAAAAGUUUCGGACAGCGGAAUCGUAUCGCAGAGAGAGGUCAUCGGAUAAGUUUCGAUGAUACCGAAAAGUUGUUUCGGGAUACACCAUUAAGUCAAAUUGGUUUCGGCACAUGCCUGAUAAUUCUUGGAGGAUGCCAGAAUCAUUCUGGAAGCUUUUUGGAAUUUUCUGAGAUAAAAACCGGAAAUGUUCCGGAGCUGCCGGAGCCACUUCAGAUGCGUUUCGUAGAUGAAAAUCACUAAAACCGGAAUUGUUUCGGAACGCGUUGAAAAUCAUUUUAGUGGGUACUGGAAAUGUUCUUAGCCCACAUAAAUAUUUUCAGUUCGAUCAGACGCUGAAAAAUGUCGUCGUGAAUAGUGAAAAUCAGCUUUAUGGUUACUUUAUGGAAAGCCACCUUUUGGGGCUUUGCUCCAAAAGAUCUUGGGGAUGACAUGGAUGGAUAGGAGCCAUUUUUUGGGCCCCUCAUGGGGGUGUGGCCGGCCACAUGGGGUAUCCCCCCUUGGGGACCCUCUUGUUCCUUGGUUUCACUCCUAGGUCCUUGGGGAAGGACUUCAUUCAUGUGCAUUUUGGGUUUUUUGUGAAACUACCCUACCCCCUUGGGAUUUCCUAUAAAUAGAGGUGGAGGGGCAGCCCUCCACACUCAUCCCUUGCUCUCAUACACAUGCCAUGCAUUAUCUGGCUUCUUCUCUCCCUCCCACGAAAAGAGUUUCGUAGAGCCGUAAGGCUGUCUGGGUUCCGGCAGGAACUAGUUCUGGACGGCGAAGCCCUGCCGGAUAGAUGACACCGUAUGUGUGCAACUCUGUAGAGAGAUCGUAGUUUCGGUCUUAGUUCGUGAGUGCCUCCCGAAGGGCUGUCCGUGUGACCGUCCGAGUUUCGAAGGUCCUCCCGAAGGGCUGUCCGAGUGACCGUUCGAGUUUCGAAGGUCCUCCCGAAGGGCUGUCCGCGACACCGUCCGGGGGCUGUUCGACCGCCUCCCGGAGGGCUGUCUGAGGAGCAGAUGAGGGUAUACAUCCUCGCGGUUGGGAGGUUGUAAAUCCUAGCUGCGGGGAUCUGCACCGCCGAUCGUCAUCGACUCUACUUCCCGCUGCGCUACGAGUCGGUAACGAAAAAGAUCAAACCAUGUAUGCAGUCUCCAUAGUGGUCCUGGGCUGGUGCGUAGGUCGGAAAAUUUUUGUUUUCUGUCGCGUUCCCCUUCAGUUUCCCGGGGCCCGAAGCUGUCUAAAUCCUUAUCUUGUGUUGCGUCUCUCGAUUCCGCCUAACCCCUCUCAAGCUACCACAUAGAUGCGCUGGCCUCGCGACUAAGUCCUGACACUAAGGACAUCUGCCGUGACUAUUCCACGACAGAUAGCAAAGUGAACAAAAGUAUAUAUGAUAUACAUGUUAUUGAUGUGUACUUUACUAGUAUUCAUCGUAGCCCCUGGGUAUUUGAUACUGAUUCAGUUGUUAUGAUUAGUAACUUGAAACAGGAGUUAUAAAAUGAACAGAGACUAGUUGAGGGCAAGGUGACGAUGUGUGUUGGAAGUGAUUCCAAGGUUGAUAAGAUCACCAUCGCACACUCCCUUUACCUUCGGGAUUAGUGUUGAACCUACAAUAAAUGUUAUUUGGUGUUUGCGUUGAGCAUAAUAUGAUUGGAUUAUGUUUAUUGCAAAACGGUUAUUCAUUUAAGUCAAAUAAUAAUUGUUAUUCUGUUUACAAGAAUAAAACCUUAUGUGGUCAUACACCCAAGAUGAAUGGUUUAUUGAAUCUCGACUGUAGUGAUACACAUAUUCAUAAUAUUGAAGCCAAAAUAUACAAGGUUAAUAAUGAUAGUGCAACUUAUUUGUGUCACUACCGUUUAGGUCAUAUUGGUGUAAAACGCAUGACGAAACUCCAUGCUGAUGGGCUUUUGGAAUCACUUGAUUAUGACUCACUUGAUGCUUGCGAACCAUACCUCAUGGGCGAGAUGACUAAGACUUCGUUCUCCAGAACAAUGGAGCGAGCAACAGACUUGUUGGAAAUAAUACAUACUGAUGUAUGCGGUCCGAUGACUGUUGAGGCUCACGACGGGUAUCGUUAUUUUCUGACCUUCACAGAUGAUUUGAGCAGAUAUGGGUAUAUCUACUUGAUGAAACAUAAGCUUGAAACAUUUGAAAAGUUCAAAGAAUUUCAGAGUGAAGUGGAAAAUCAUUGUAACAAGAAAAUAAAAUUUCUACCAUCUGAUCGUAGAGACGAAUAUUUGAGUUACGAGUUUGGUCUUCAUUUGAAACAAUGUGGAAUAGUUUCGCUACUCACGCCACCUGGAACACCACAGCGUAACGGUGUGUCCGAACGUCAUAAUCAUACUUUGUUAGAUAUGGUGCGAUCUAUGAUGUCUCUUACCGAUUUACCACUAUCGUUUUGGGGUUAUGCAUUAGAGACAGCUGCAUUCACGUUAAAUAGGACACCAUCUAAAUCCGUUGAGAUGACACCGUAUGUAUUGUGGUUUGGCAAGAAACCUAAGCUGCUAUUUCUUAAAGUUUAGGGCAGCAAUGCUUAUGUGAAAAAGUUUCAACCUGAUAAGCUCGAACCCAAAUCGGAGAAAUUUGUCUUCAUAGGAUACCCAAAGGAAACUGUUGGGUACACCUUCUAUCACAGAUCCAAAGGCAAGAUAUUCGUUGCUAAGAAUGGAUCCUUUCUAGAGAAGGAGUUUCUCUCGAAAGAAGUGAGUGGGAGGAAAGUAGAACUUCAUGAGAUAAUUAUACCUGCUCCCUUAUUGGAAAGUAGUUCAUCACAUAAAUCAGUUCCAGUGAUUCCUACACCAAUUAGUGAGGAAGAUAAUGAUGAUUAUCAUGAAGCUUCUGAUCAAGUUACUACCGAACCUCGUAGGUCAACCAGAAUAAGAUCCGCACCAGAGUGGUACGGUAAUCCUGUUCUGGAGGUCAUGUUACUUGACCAUGACGAACCUACGAACUAUGAGGAAGCGAUGAUGAGCCCAGAUUCCGUGAAAUGUCUUGAGGCCAUGAAAUCUGAGAUGGGAUCCAUGUAUGAGAACAAAGUAUGGACUUUGAUUGACUUGCCCGAUGAUCGGCAAGACAUUGAGAAUAAAUGGAUUUUAAAGAGGAAGACAGACGCUGAUAGUAGUGUUACUAUCUACAAAGCUCGAAUUGUGGCAAAAAGGUUUUCGACAAGUUCAAGGUGUUGACUACGAUGAGAUUUUCUCACUCGUAGCAUUGCUUAAGUUUGUCCGAAUCAUGUUAGCAAUUGCCACAUUUUUAUGAAAUCUUGCAAAUGGAUGUCAAAACUGCAUUCCUUAAUGGAUUUCUUAAAGAAGAGUUGUAUAUGAUACAGCAAGAAGGUUUUGUCAAUCCUAAAGGUGCUAACAAAGUGUGCAAGCCCCAGUGAUCCAUCUAUGGACUGGUGCAAGCAUCUCGGAGUUGGAAUAUGAUAACCCACAAGUAUAGGGGAUCGCAAUAGUUUUCGAGGGUAGAGUAUUCAACCCAAAUUUAUUGAUUCGACACAAGGGGAGCCAAAGAAUAUUCUCAAGUAUUAACAGUUGAGUUGUCAAUUCAACCACAUCUGGAUAACUUAGUAUCUGCAGCAAAGUAUUUAGUAGCAAAGUAAUAUGGAAGUAACGGUAGCAAAAGUAAUAUUUUUGGGUUUUGUAGUGAUUGUAACAGUAGAAACGGAAAAGUAAAUAAGUGGAGAACAAUAUGUGAAAAGCUCGUAGGCAUUGGAUCGGUGAUGGAGAAUUAUGCCGGAUGCGGUUCAUCAUGUAACAGUCAUAACAUAGGGUGACACAGAACUAGCUCCAAUUCAUCAAUGUAAUGUAGGCAUGUAUUCCGAAUAUAGUCAUACGUGCUUAUGGAAAAAAACUUGCAUGACAUCUUUUGUCCUACCCUCCCGUGGCAGCGGGGUCCUAGCGGAAACUAAGGGAUAUUAAGGCCUCCUUUUAAUAGAGUACCGGACCAAAGCAUUAACACAUAGUGAAUACAUGAACUCCUCAAACUAUGGUCAUCACCGGGAGUGGUCCCGAUUAUUGUCACGUCGGGGUUGCCGGAUCAUAACACAUAGUAGGUGACUAUAGACUUGCAAGAUAGGAUCAAGAACUCACAUAUAUUCAUGAAAACAUAAUAGGUUCAGAUCUCACUCCAUGGCACUCGGGCCCUAGUGACAAGCAUUAAGCAUAGCAAAGUCAUAACAACGUCAAUCUCAGAACAUAGUGGAUACUAGGGAUCAAACCCUAACGAAUCUAACUCGAUUACAUGAUAAAUCUCAUCCAACCCAACACCAUCCAGCAAGCCUACGAUGGAAUUACUCACGCACGGCGGUGAGCAUCAUGAAAUUGGUGAUGGAGGAUGGUUGAUGAUGACGAUGGCGACGGAUUCCCCUCUCCGGAGCCCUGAACGGACUCCAGAUCAGCCCUCCCGAGAGAGUUUAGGGCUUGGCGGUGGCUCCGUAUCGUUAAACGCGAUGAAUCCUUCUCUCUUAUUUUUUUUCUCCCCGAACACGAAUAUAUGGAGUUGGAGUUGAGGUCGGUGGAGCUCCAAGGGGCCCAUGAGGCAGGGGGCCGCGCCCCCACCCUCGUGGCAAGUGUGUGGGCCUCCUGGCCUUGAUUCUUUCGCCAGUAUUUUUUAUAUUUUCCAAAAAUAAUCUCUGUUGAUUUUCAGGUCAUUCCGAGAACUUUUGUUUCUGCACAAAAAUAACACCAUGGCAAUUCUGCUGAAAACAGCGUCAGUCUGGGUUAGUUCCAUUCAAAUCAUGCAAGUUAGAGUCCUAAACAAGGGCAAAAGUGUUUGGAAAACUAGAUACGACGGAGACGUAUCAACUCCCCCAAGCUUAAACCUUUGCUUGUCCUCAAGCAAUUCAGUUGAUAAACUGAAAAUCAUAAAGAAAAACUUUUACAAACUCUGUUUUCUCUUGUUGUUGUAAAUAUGUAAAGCCAGCAUUCAAGUUUUCAGCAAAGAUUAUGACUAACCACAUUCGCAAUAACUCUUAGGUCUCAUGUUUACUCAUAUCAAUGGCAUAAUCAACUAGCGAGCAAUAAUAGUAAAUCUCGGAUGACAACACUUUUUCAAAACAAUCAUAAUAUGAUAUAACAAGAUGGUAUCUCGCUAGCCCUUUCUGAGACCGCAAAACAUAAAUGCAGAGCACCUUUAAAGAUCAAGGACUGAAUAGACAUUGUAAUUCAUGGUAAAAGAGAUCCAAUCAUAGUCAUACCCAAUAUAAAUUAACAGUAAUGAAUGCAAAUGACAGUGGUGCUCUCCAGCUGGUGCUUUUUAAUAAGAGGGUGAUGACUCAACAUAAAAGUACAUAGAUAGGCCCUUCGCAAAGGGAAGCAGAGAUUUGUAGAGGUGCCAGAGCUCGGUUUUUGAAAUAGAGAUAAAUAAUAUUUUGAGCGGCAUACUUUCAUUGUCAACAUAAGAACCAAGAGAUGGCGAUAUCUUCCAUGCUACACACAUUAUAGGCGGUUCCCAAACAGAAUGGUAAAGUUUAUACUCUCCCUCCACCAACAAGCAUCAAUCCAUGGCUUGCUCGAAACAAUGAGUGCCUCCAACUAACAACAGUCCCGGGGGAGUUUUGUUUGCAAUUAUUUUGAUUCGAUUUGCAUAAAGCAUGGGACCGGGCAUCCCGGUGACCAGCCAUUUUCUCAUGAGUGAGGAGCGGAGUCCACUCCUCUUGAGAAUAACCCGCCUAACAUGGAAGAUACGGACAGCCCUAGUUGAUACAUGAGCUAUUCGAGCAUACAAAACAGAAUUUUAUUUGAAGGUUUAGAGUUUGGCAUAUACAAAUUUACUUGGAACGGCAGGUAGAUACCGCAUAUAGGAAGGUAUGGUGGACUCAUAUGGAAUAACUUUGGGGUUUAAAGAAUUGGAUGCACAAGCAGUAUUCCUGCUUAGUACAAGUGAAGGCUAGAAAAAGACUGGGAAGCGACCAACUAGAGAGCGACAACAGUCAUGAACAUGCAUUAAAAUUAAUAAACAUUGAGUGCAAGCAUGAGUAGGAUAUAAUCCACCAUGAACAUAAAUAUCGUGAAGGCUAUGUUGAUUUGUUUCAACUACAUGUGUGAACAUGUGCCAAGUCAAGUCACCUGAAUCAUUCAAAGGAGGAUACCACCCUAUCAUACCACAUCACAACCAUUUUAAUAGCAUGUUGGCACGCAAGGUAAACCAUUGUAAGCUCCUAGCUAAUUAAGCAUGGCAUAAGCAACUAUGAUUUCUAAUUGUCAUUGCAAACAUGUUUAUUCAUAAUAGGCUGAAUCAGGAACGAUGAACUAAUCAUAUUUACAAAAACAAGAGAGGUAGACUUCAUACCAGCUUCUCUCAUCUCAAACGGUCCUAUCAUAUAUCGUCAUAAUUGCCUUUCGCUUGCACGACCGAACGAUGUGGAUGAUAAUAAUAGUCCACGUGCAUUGGACUAAGCUGGAAUCUGCGAGCAUUUAAUAAACAGGAGAAGACAAGGUAAUAUGGGCUCUUGGUUAAAUCAACAAUAAUGAAUAAUAGAGCCACUUCAACAAUUUCAUUAUGGUCUUCUCCUAUCGACCCACAAAGAAAAGAAAAGAAAUAAAACUAUUUACACGGGAAAACUCCCAACAAGCAAAAGAAGAACAAGAAAUAUUUUUGGGUUUUCUUUUAAUUAUUACUACUACAGCAAGAAAAGUAAACUAGCUAAACGCUACAACUAUUUUUUUUUGUUUUCUUAAGAUUUUUCAAACACACAAGAAGAAGGCAAAAAAAAAUAAACUAGCAUGGAUAUUACAGUGAAAGAGUAUGAGCACCGACAUCUAGCAAUGAGUGUGUGAACAUGAAUAUAAUGUCGGUGAGAAAUACGUACUCCCCCAAGCUUAGGCUUUUGGCCUAAGUUGGUCUAUUGCCACGGCUGGCCUAGCGGAUAUCCAAAGUUAUAGUUGGGGUUGUACUGUGAUGCAGCAGUCAUUGCAUCGUGGGCUGCAGCUUGGAGGCGAGCUAUAUCAGCCCUCCUCUUAUACUCUUCCGCCUCCUCUCUUGUUAUAAAAUAUCUCCCUUUUGCCUGAAAGUCAAAGAAAGUAGAAGCAGGGAGAGCGACGUGAUAGGUGCGUCGUCUGUCAAAUAUUAGUCGGUACUAGAGGAACUGAUCAUUCCUCUCAACAAAAUGAUGACGAACCAUAGCCUCAUAAUCCAAAUAAGCAGGAGGCAACUCAAUAUCAUCCUCACGUAUGGUUACACCAAGAAAAUUAGCUAAACGGGUUGCAUAAAUUCCACCAAAGAAAUCUCCAUUAAAUGUAUUAUUAUGCAACCUACGUGCAACAAUGACUCCCAAAUUAUAAUGUUUAUCUCCUAAUACAACACUCCUGACAACACUGAGAUCAGGGACACAUAUGUGACAUGCUUCAUCCGUACCAUUUAUGCACCUACCUAUGAAGAGAGCAAAAUAAUGUAUAGCAGGAAAGUGAAUGCUCACUAUGGUAGCUUGAGCUAUGUCUCUAGAUUCACCCAUAGUUAUACUAGCAAGAAAAUCUCUAAGCUCAGAUUUGCGAGGCUCACUAGUAUUACCCCAUUGUGGAAGUUUGCAAGCAGUGGUAAAAUCCUCUAAGUCCAUAGUAUAAGAAUUUUCAUAAAGAUCAAACAGGACAGUUUGAGAAUUGCGUGAAGAUGAAAAUGUAAACCUCCUCACAAAGGAACUAGUGAGAUAGUGGUACUGACAGCACUUAUCUGCCUCGAAGCUCACAAGAUCAGCAUUACGCAAAUAUGCGUUAAAUUCUUCCUUGAUUCCUACUUGAUCCAUGAAGUCCUCGGAAGACCAUUCACAAGCCCGCACUGGAGCGUCCCUUGGUGGUUCAUCGUCAGCAUCGCGCACUGCAAGCCUGGGUCCUUGCUUCCUUGAAGAACCAUCUUGGUACAUUUUCCGAAACAUAUUUCUUCCUCUGAAAAAUUUCUGAAAAUUUUAGUAACUUCAAAUAAAAGUGAACCAAGCUCAACAAAAUUGAUAGCAACUACUCCUACAAGUGUCUAGAGCCUAUAUCAUGCAUUAGAACUACUUGGAACCAUAUAAAUUUGACAUGCAAGCUCAAGAACAUGGUCACCUAGGCAGCACAAAUUUGCAAUGAAUAAAGCACUACUCAUCACUGCGUCCACGUGCACGAUGGUGUGAAGAAAGUCUGUUUCGCUAUGUUUGAGUGUUCAAGCUCGGUAUUGUUCAGUAUGAACCUUAAUUACCGAGACGCUUAGUUGUGCCGAGUUGUAACGUAUAGGUUCAGGUUGCAAAUGAGUUUGGAAGCCAAACGUUUCAAUUUAUAUUAUGUGAGAUGGCGCACACAAUGUGUUGACUGUGGCGUGUUUAACGUGAGUACUUUGUUAUUCACGCAAAAAAAAGCGUGAGUACUUUGUUAUUUGUGUUCGUCCAGCCACUGCAUGUGUCCAGAUUCCAGCUCUGCGAUCUUAGUCCUGAACUCACAUCAUGGCCUAAUCUCAGCUUCCCAAUCUUGUUAACCUCAUGUCACUUUUGUUCUUCUUUUCUCCUUUGAUAAAGGAUCGUGUUUGUUCCUUGCCAUCUCUUGUUUCGUCCAUGGACUGUCGAUCUCGCUCUGACCAGAAAAAAUGGAUUACAAUACAUUGAUGAUCAUUGUUGAUGUCUCGUAUAGUCAAAUCGGCCACUGUAUUCAGAAAUGUUGAAAUCAGUGUCACACUGAGUAUACUGAGUACGUCAUGAGGAGCAAGGGCGGAGCUACGUUAUCGCCUGAGGGGGCCGUGCCCUGCCACCCCAGCCAACACGAUUUUUUUGCAUUAGUACUACUACCGUAGUAGUGGCCCCUGCAGGCUGCAGUUUAGCUUAGAAUUAGGCUCAGCUGCACGCUGCACCAACGAACAAGCUCUCUUUAUGCACAGCUCGGCUGCCUCUCAGCUCCUUUGGUAUGCUUAAAUCAACCAGCUGACCGUGCCGCGACGUCACGGACAGCCUCGAGCCCUCGACGCGGUCCGGCCGGUGCUGAGGAGGUUAGGAGGAGCUCCGCUUUUGGGCCGGUGGUGACGACUCCAGCGCCUGGGGGAUCAUGGGCGCGCCCAGUAUCACCACUGGCCACUUGCCGGUGGUGGCGGGUGGCCGGUGCCGUCGACUGCUUGAACUCUAGUCGCCGGUGCCACACCUUGCAUAAUUCUUCCGGUGUACAUCAAAAAAUGCAGCCAUCCAUCCCAUUCCAUGUACCGUGCCAAUAUGUCCGUACAAGUUUUUUCUGUUUUUUUCAAUGUCAUGUGGUAUAAAUUUUUGUGUCAUAUUUGUUUGUAAAAGUUUGUUCUGACAUCAUUUGUGAUAUGUGCAGUAAUGGCAUUUCAAGUUUUAAACCGAAGACAUGGAGGGAAAUACCAAGACUAGUCCGCGAGCAGACACUAGUAGAAAAGGUUUUUUUUCAAAUUUCUGAAUUAUUUUAACCUCUAAUCACUCCUCUCACUACUCCAGCCUGAGCACGCUUAACUUCCGGGUUCUAUUCUCCCUCGUUUCCAAGUCUGCACUUGUUGUUUUCCUCACAAUAGUAAGAUGUCAAUCCUAUUAACCCUCAGGAAUUUAGCUUGAGCAUGAAGUCACACAUUACACUGUUUGAGUUUGAAACUAUUGUUCUAAAAAACAAUAAUUAUUUAGUAAUACUAAUAUUUCUUGAAUAAGUAGUUUGACCAUAGUUUGACCACAGUUUGACCAGAUUUGACCAAAAUUCAAAAAAAUUGAAAUAAUUAUUUAGUAACACUAAUAUUUCUUGAAUAAUUAGUUUGACCAUUGUUUGACCAUAAUUUGACCAGAUUUGACCAAAAUUCAAAAAAACUGAAAUAAUUAUUUAGUAACACUAAUAUUCUUGAAUAAUUAUUUAGUAACACUAAUACUUCUUGAAUAAGUAGUUUGACCUAGUUUGACCAGAUUUAACAAAAAUUAAAAAAAACAGAAAUUUGAGCAUAACUUUUUUCCUUUUAGAAUUUGAGGAUUCUAAAAAUUUGCAAACAGGUCGUAGGCAGUCAAAAUUGGAUGCGGAUUUUCGUGCUGAACAUUUUGAUAUAUUAUACGUUUUUUUCUGACAUCGUAUGCAAAAGUUAUAGCCAUUUUACAUUUUCCCUACACUUUUUGCAAAAUAUGUCCAAAUUUAAGUUUUUAAAUUUUCCUAACUAGUACAUGUAGUAACAUAACUACAUCUGGAAGGAUUUUAAUUUUUGAAGUCUUUAUCAUUUUCUUUUGCUUUUUUACAAAACUGAAAAGGCGAUCCACAGGGGGGGAGGGGGGUAGAGUUUGAAAAUAGGACCUUUAGUACCGGUUCGUGCCAUGAACCGGUACUAAUGCCUCAAACCCCAUUAGUACCGGUUGGUGGCUCGAACCAGGACUAAAGGCCUAACCUUUAGUAGCGGUUGGUGCCACGAACCGGUACUAAUGGGCAUCGCACCCUUUAGUCCCGGUUCGUGGCACCAACCGGGACUAAAAAUCCCAUUUGAACCGGGACUAAUGCCUGUACGGUGCCCUAGCCGCUCGAACCGGGACUAAUGCAACCGGGAUUAAUGCUCUUUUCUGACCGAACCAAAGCCCUGUUUUCUACUAGUGAGAGGAAUGCCACUUGAAAAGCAAGGGAACUAAAGCAAACCAUGCGGAAGUUUAAAAGGGCAGGAACCAUGUAGAAAGGGCAUAUGGAUUUUAUUUUGCUUCAAAUAAUGUUAUGUGAUGAUUGUAAUCAAUCGGCUCGGUUGAACUUUGACCUUUAUCUUGUCCAGAUUCUUGCAAUGUGAAUUAAUUCAUAUCCUUCAACAAUUCCUAGAUUUGAUUUCAAAAAAAAAAACAUUUCCUAGAUUUAGUAGAAGUUGAGAUAUACACACUUUGGCACACGCACAUACUGCCUUUUCUCUUGUAUUUCUUCUCCACACCACAAAUGAACUUGUUCAAAGGCUUAAAUAGUGUAACAGCAACGCACUAAGCCACACACGCCGGGUUAUCCUAAACUAACUCCCAACUAGCUAGCUGCAUGGACGCACACGUUCUCCACUUGUACAGCAUCUCCACAAUGGUUUCACGACUCAGCUAGAACAACACACAUGCAGCCGGCCGUUACUAACAAACUCACAACCACACUAGCUAGCACUUGCACGUUCAUGCCACAACUUCAGUACGUGUACGAGCUAGCUGCUGGUCGGUAAUUUAUCUGGGAAAUUUAUUACCAUGUACGUGCACUCGGCCGUGUACGUGUACAAAUAACACCAAGAAACCCUGGGAUAAGCAUUUAUCUGGGAAAUUUAUUACCAUGUCCAAAGGUGAAGAAUCUUCAAAUUAACUGAAACUACAUGCCGAUGAAGCUCAAUAAUUUACGGACAUCUCGUGCAAACAUGCAACGAUAACAUGAUUGCAGUACUGCCACAAGUAUCAACCGCAAUCACAACAUUAUAAAAAAAAUGCUCACGAGGCCAUAAUUCUCCCAGGACAUGCCACCUUGAAUAUGUGAAAAAAUGUCUAAAAUUAAUACAAGUAUGAACCAAGAAUAAAUCCUGAUUACAUGCUGGCACUUCAAGAUAAUUAGAGGUAGGGCAUGAAACUUUGCGAGGAGUUGCCAAUCUAGCUCUGCUGUUUCUAAUGAGUAGACAGAACAAACCUAAGGUGAAAAAGUGAGAAUUAUACCCUAAAAUAGAGCUAACCAUUUAUGUAUUACACCCUCGGUUGUAACUAUAAGUCUUUGUUGAGAUUCCACUAUGGACUACAUAUAGAGCAAAAUGAGUGAAUCUACACUCUAAAUUGCAUCUACAUACAUCCAUAUGUGGUCCAUUGUGAAAUCUCCACAAAGACUUAUAUUUAGGAAUGGAGGGAGUACAUCGAGAGGUAUAAGAUGCACCCAUCUGUAAAUUAAGAACUACUCCCUCUGUCCCAUAAUAUAAGACCUUAUUACAUCCAAUACGCAAGUUCUUAUAUUAUGAGACGGAGGGAAUAAUACUCACUUCAUAUCUAAAACAAAGUGACAGCCACUAAAAGGUUGGUAUUAAAUUUCUUUUUCCGUCAUCCAUGGAAAAGAAAGAUCAGCUAAAAACUGAGAGUAAACCGUUAGCCUGAGAAAAUUCUUUCAACCAGGAAACUGUAUGCAAGAACAUUUAGCUUACAGGCAAAUUAAGACAAAAAAUGUAAUCAAUGUUCUAUUUGUUAUCAUGCUACCUCUUCCUGGAAAGAGCCAUGCUUUUUUCCUAGUAUACCUCCCUCAUAAAGCAUUAAAUGGUCAAGUAAAGGCUUGGUUGUGUGUACAUUUUUCUUAGCUUUCUAGCUCGUUAAUUUCUUCAUUUUCGGUUUUAGCUGUAGAAGCUGUUUUGUUCUGUAAUUUUUUCAGUAUAGCUUCGGUUCUUAGUUGCUUUUAGCUUUCUUUUGUUUGCAUGUAAGAUAUUUCAGCAAUUUUCUUUCUUAAAUAGAUCAAACUCAGAGUAAAAUAGAAGCUCAUGUGCAUUUGUUCAACCAAGAAGAAUUUAAGAACUCAUAACCAGCUUCUUCAUGCCAAAAAACAGGGAAGAAAUAGAAAAAAGGGCAAUUGCAUGAGAAGUCUGCAACCGGAAUGAAGAAUCUGUAUAGCUGAUGGGAUUCGUUACAGUGUACCAUUUGCAUAACAUGUUUUUUACUAUUUACUUAUCUAGCAAUGUGAAUGCAAUUCACCACUUUGUACUUGUACAUGUUUUCCCAUAAACUAAAAGCAACAGAAAGCUAACAUAAACAAAAAACAAGAGGUAAUAAUAAUUUUGAAAAAACAGAGAUGUGCUAAUCAAUUAGAAGUAAACAUAUGGAAAUAUCAUUAAUUAUAAACCUCUUAUGGAAGAGUUUCUUAUGAAUCUCUGUAGAAUGUUGUCAUGUAAUCGAUACGUUCAACCUUCUACUACGAAAAUGAAUAAAAGCGUGUAGGAAAAAGAAAGGGAAACCUUUUACCACAUGGUGUCUCUUGCCCAUAUGAUAUCCCCGGUGUUUUACAUAAUUUGAGGUAACUCAAAAAUGGCCUGAAAAAUAUAAGAAUUCAAGUUCCAAUUUUCCAAUGUAUAGGAAACUGAAUUAAUUGCAUAUUUGAAGAGCAGAUUCUUACCUUUCCAUUGAUCUCAAGACCCGGACACUUGGAGUUCAGCACACACCAGCGGAGCUUCAGGACCCCAUAUAAAACGCAGGGAGGAUACAUAUCAUCGACAUACAUUAGCCCCAUAUAAAAAAAUCAUAGAGACCACUUCCGGUCAUUUACUAAUCAAGCAUUAAUGCAGCCUAAAAGAACUAUACUUAUUCAACACAUAUUAACCCCAAAUAAGGCACAUAGAACCAUAUCAAAAAUCAUGAGGCCACUUCCGGUCAUUCGCUAAAAUGAAGCAUUAACAAACUAAACCUAUUCUCCAAAAAUAAGGAUAUUGCCAUUUACCACACCAAGCACUUCUUAGUAAGGAUGGUCGCCAACCUUAAAUUUUACAAUAUAUGUAAUACUUAUGAUCACCAGUUUACUAGCGUUGCUGUGCAGUGCGAAUUCUGUUGCUACAUGUGUUCAUAAAGAAGAAGAAAACGGAAAAAGGGAGAGAAGCAGUUUUACAUUGGUCUGUGUUGUGUUUGCUCGGCAUGAUCAAGGGGUGAAGGUCUCUGUUAGAAGGGAGAGAGAGGGAUUGGUGCGGAAUAUGAUGGAUGUAUUAUUGAGCCUCGAGGGCGACUAUAUAUUGAGUACAAGACUUGGAGGACAAGACGCCUCUCCUAGAGAUAAUGUAGAAGAAGGAUUACAAAUCCUAGACUACGAAAUACAUGUAUCCCAAAUAUAUCUCUAACAUCCUCCCACAAUAGAAGCGACGGGCUGACAUCCCCCUGCAGUGGCAUCCCCCCGCAGCCGUAGCGUGAGCGUCGUGGACGGUGUCGCGUCGCGGACGCGUUGACUGUAGAGGAAGCCGACGAGUUUCUCAAGCGGAUGAUAACCCUUUGUGCGGAUGUCGAGGUAGCAGAGAGCGUAGGGUGGUGUAGCCAUGGUCGAGGUAGCCGUGUGCAGAACAUCGUGGUCGAUGUCGAGUCAGGGUAGCCGAUGUCGACAAAGUCGCCAUGGAGCCGCUGGCGCAAGGAGGCCCCGAGUUAGUCAUGGGCGCAUUGGUGUCGAAGUAGUGAUGCGUCGGGGAGAAGACGAUGUUCACGAGGCGUCGCGCCGGGUUUGCCAAGCCCACGAACACGUCAUAGACGAAGGCACUCGUCGGUGCUGCCAGCACCGGACAUGCGUAGACGGACGAAGACAAAGUUGACGAAGCGCCACACUAGGCUUGCCAGGCCCGGGGACACGUCGUGGACGAAGGCACGCAUCGGUGUUGCCAGCACCGGGGAUGCAUAGACGAGGGACCUGCACAAGCUGUACGUCAUGUCGAGAAGUCAGAGGGCCAAUAGAGAAGAAGACUCGACGACGGUUGUGGUGCCAAUCGACGCGGGGCCGAUGUCGCCAACGGUGGUCGGAGUAGACGAAGAGGUCGGGGAAGAUGACGGCGACGCUGGCGAUGAGCUGGUGUUAGAUGAAGACGAAGGGGGUGGAUGGGCGGCGGCGGGCGGCCGAAGAAGAGCAGUGGCAGCGGCUAGGUUAAUAGCGUGGCGGCGGUGCUCGAAGUAGGUGAGGAACUCGACAGCCUCACGAAGACCGGCGCGGACGGUGGCGUUCCUGCGCCGAGGGAGACGACACGUCGCAUACCAUGGGAGGUCGACACGUGGUGACAGCGUAGUGGACCGCGGGCCACAAUGCUACAUCCCAAAGGGGCGACGCAGUGCCGGCGGGCAGGUCGGGGCGACGGCGGGAAGACCUCAGGGCGGUGGCGGGGACCGCGGGCCGCGGUGCUACGACCCAAAGGGGCGGUGCAGCGCUGGAUCCCGGGUCGGUGCAACUGCGUGAACGGUCUGGGAUGGCGGUGUGGACCGCGUGCCACGCUCGCUCUGGCCCGACGGGGCGACACAGCGGCGACGUGAGGGUCGGUACAGCCACAGGGACAACCUGGAGCGGAUGCCCUCAGGAGGCGGUGGACCAUGGGCCGCGGCACUACGGCCGAAGGGGCGACACAGCGGUGACACGGGUCAAUGCAACCAGGAGAAGAACCACGUGGUGGCCGCGCUGCGGCCCGACGGGGCGACGCAACAGCAGCCUGUUCCUUGAUCGAUGGAGGGGCGCGCUGAACUCGGGGGCGAUCUUCACGGGACUUGCGAAGGCGCGCGCAACCAACGGGCCAGGUUGGUUGCGUUGCGUAGAUGAGGCGUAUCAUGGCGGCGACCGGGUGAUCAAGCCGAUCAUGCGCGAGGUCGGGGACGCCGCUUGGUUGAGACGGGGUGACGGCUGAGUCCGCGAUGAAGCCGGCGAUGACGAAUGGGGUGGGAUGUCAUGCGGAUGAGCAUGUCAGCACCGGCACCAGGGCUGCCAAAGCAGCGUCGGCGCUUGGGCAGCGAGGCCCGAGCGACCAACGUAGCAGCGGCGCCCGAGCUGAGGCAGCCGACGAGCCUGACGCAGCCGGGGACGAGACCCGUGAGGCAGACCGCAAGGCCGCCUUGCGGACGCAGUGGAGGCGGGCUAUGAUGGGCCGCCGCAUGGCGCGAGGCCUCCGGGUCAGGGCGAUGCAGGUGUCCCGGUCGGAGAGGGCGGUGAUGGCCGUCAUAGAUCGACGAGCAGGCCGACGCGUGUAUGAUGCAGCCGCCUGUCGCGUGAGGCUGCCGGUUCGGUGAAGAGGCCGGCCGGUCGCGCCGGUGUUGGAGUAGAGGCGCUCAGGGGUCGACGACGGCGGCGAGCGACGCAAACCGAUCAAGUUUAGAUCGGAAAACCAAAAAAACGCCGAUCAAGGUGACCAGCGGGAGAGAGAAAAGCCCGAAGCAAGGGCUCAAGAAAAUGACUCUCUAGGGCGGCCGGUCAACAUCUAUCAAGUAUAUGUCUAACCGUCUCCUACUAUUUCGAAGGAAUUGGGACACCACGGCUCGGAAGGUGGAACGCCAGCACUGGUGUGCGCCACUGCUCCAGCCAAUGGGCUGCAGGCCGCACUCGCGUUGUCUCAUCUCGGCGGCUCCCGCCGAUUCAGCACAAAUUAGAGCCAAACAAACCACCGAAAUCCAUACCAACAAGCAAGGAAAAACACCAGAAUAUUUGCUAAAAUCAAUAGCCCAUGCAAUCGGAUAUAUACAGCUAGCAACAACCACUUUUUACCCAUAAACAUCAACCACAAUCUCCAUCCACCCACAACGUUACGCUAACUGUACAACUUCUGGGAAAAAAAGCAAGAACAAGUAAUCCAACGUCACCACCACAAAUCUAACAAUCUUAAGAAGUUGAUCCCUACUACUACCAAGUCUCUUAACAUGCACACUGUCCACAUCAUCAUCAUGCCACAUCAUCAUUCAGUUUGCAAAUUCUCUUAACAUGCAUCUACUCAACUCAACCAUGCAGCCACAUCAUCGCACAGCUGGCUGGCUUUCUCCCCGAAGCUGAAGGGUUCUCAACGAUCGCUUCCUUUCUUCUUCAUGCUACGGGCCAUUAUAGUUGCCAUUUCAAUCUUCCACUAUCCCAUACAUACAAGAUUAAUUAUCGAGGUAAUCAAGCGGCUGGCCAACGGUCCCCGUCCCGUACUUUAUAGUUGUACGUCCCCUCACGUCUUCCUCCACUUCCCAGUCUGCAUCUCUACUCAGGACGGCGGUGUCGAUCUGCAUCAUCGUUGUGUGGUUGCAACGUUGGCCGGACAAUUCACUUGCAAUUCCGCGAGUGCAGGUGCCACUGUUGCUCCCCGUCAACCUCAAAGGUCUGCCUCAUGAUUUGUUUGUUUUCUGCAUCCAUUAUUCCAUUGAUUGUUGAGAGUAUAUAUGCAGAAUAGCAAAACACGCGCAGACACGCUUGCUUCUGGUAUUGACGAGCAUAUUCUCCCGGAUCUCAUUCGUAGCAGCUUAAGAUUCUUUAACAAAGGCACCAAUAUUUCUUGCAUUGAUUUAGAAGACAAUUCAUUACAAAGGAAGUAUAAAAUGGAAGAUUGGAGGUAUGAAGAAUAUUUAUAAAUUAGAAGAGUGGAUGAAAGAAAUUAUGUAUGUAAUGCCAUUUCCUUCAAGUUGUGGAGGCCAGCCAUCCACAUAUCAGUGGAACUAAAGAUUCUGUCGUUUCUUUUCAUUCCUCAGGUGCCACCAAAUUAGCAUAACCAAAGCAGGGAAAUCUUUUUUGCGAGGUGGCUAAAAUGACAAUUGGUACAUCAGUCCUCCACGUUGUUAGCCAGUAGAGAAGAAGCAAGAUCAGCUAGGAAACUACAAAAACGCAAGGCAAAAUCCCAAACUGCAGAGGAACCUUUUUUAAUUAUUCAUUCAGUUACCUCUGUCUCUGUACAUUCUUAUCAAAAAACUGUGAGUGGAACACUUGUCAACAUUGAACAAAUACAAUUUCAUGGAUUUGAGAUAAGCUCUACAGACGUUGUUAGAUCUAUGAAUAUUUGGCCGACCACAGUAGGCAGACGCCAAGACGCGUACCAUCGUAUUUUAAUGUUCUUUUAGAAUAUUAAUAUUUUCAGGUAUCAUGAAUACCCAAUAUGUUAUGAAUUUUCAGGGCGCUGACAUACAGUCUUUGUCAUAUGAAAAUGAUAUUCUUAAACUAUCAAAUCUCAAAUAAGUCAUCAAAAAGUCCCGCAGCAAUGCGCGGGGCAUCGUCUAGUAAUAACAAAAUGAAGAUCCACCACCGCCGCACCACUACAACGUUAACACCCCACCAGCCCAGAGGAGAAAAAAAUUAACAAGGGGAGAACGGCAUACUGCACAGGCCCAGCUAGAUAUAACGGAGGAAGACAGCGAGGGAGCCGCCCGAGAAGACGGCCAGGAGUGGCAAUACGACCAAAACAACACUCGCACCACCUAACUUCUUACAACAGCAACAAUGGCGAUAACGGGAACCCAACACGGCACCAAAUCCUCCUAUUGCGCCCACCCAACCCUCCCCUAUGCGACGCCGCCCACCGUCGAGAUCCUGCCCGUGCUGCAGAUGCGCCAUUUGGUGGCCACACAAGGUGUGCCGGCGAGCAUCUGGGACGCAAGCAGCUGCAGGAGGAUGCGGGGCCGUGCAGGGAAGCAGGCGGCUGGGACACACAGGGGGUCUAGUUAACAGCGAGCUAGGGGGCCAUAUCGCGCUGGGGCAGAGACGGCGGCGGCUUGCAUGAGGAGGAGACGAGCGUCGGUGUGCUAGGGGCUAGGCUGGCUGUUUGGUGGCGCGACUUGGGUCAGGGACCGUUGGUUUGGGAGGUUUGGAAUAUGGGCAGGGUUUGGUCGGUCGGGUAGUCUGGCUCAUACUCUAGUUCGUCCUUCGCGAAGAUGUGCACCAGUGGCUCUGACUCAUACUCCAUUGUAAGCAUCUCGAAUCGGUCUAGUUCGUCCUUGGCGAAGAAGUGCUCCAAUGGUUCUUGCUCGUUCUCCAUGCUAAGCAUCUCCAAUGGCUCCGGCUUGUGAUUGUGCGUCGAAAAACCCUGAGCCCAGUUUAUUUGUUACAUGGAUGGCAUGUCGUUGUACAUCAUUGUGGAUCCAUGGAAGUUGUGCUAAAGGUAGGAUCACUGCGAUGAUAGUUGUGGCAUACCACUCUGGUUUGCCUAGUUCUAACUGUUCCAACAGGGAACACUGUGCAUAUUUGUUUCACUCCAAUAUCUCAUACAAGUUGUAUGUACAUUGCUAAUAACCCUGUAAUGCAGGGAUUAUUUUCAGACAAGUAAUAAUUACUAGAGUAUCUAGCUACAAGUCCAGGACUAGAUGCUUCAAUCUAAAGCUAUACUAUAUGGCUACAUGACUAUUACAUCCUAUAUUUAUUAGUGGAGGAAGAAAGUUACAUUAUGAUGGACAACAUAUAUAUACCAGCGAAAGGCCUAGAUCAUCCGAAAGGCAUGCAUGUAGUCAUGAGUGUAUUACUGCAUAGCUGCAUGCAAUUCGUUCGUGAUGUUCAUUGUUUCUCUUUCUCUUCACAUGAAGAAUACAUGCAGAGUUGAUUACACAACAUACAUGUGUGAGACACUUACAGCUGGAAACGGCUGCUUCAUUUGGGCCAGACCAACUUUAGAGAAGUUCCAGUUUUCCAAACAACCAAGCCGUAGUAGGCAGAUGGCCCAAAAAAAUCAGGAUCACAUGGAAUCUUGAGUGAGUUCCAAUUCAUGAUCGAGUUUACCUACUCAAGGACGAGCAGGAAUUAAGUUUGGGGAUGCUGAUACGUCUCUAACGUAUCUAUAAUUUAUGAAGUAUUCAUACCAUGUUUGCAACAAUUUUGGUAUGAGUUGAAAGGAACUAACCCGGGCCGACAUUAUUUUCAGUAGAACUACGGUGGUGUUUUUUUUUUGCAGAAAUAAAAGUUCUCAAAAUGAGCUGAAACUUUUUGACCAUUUUUUAGGAACAAGAGGGAACCAGGAAGCUUCGGGGGAGCACUAGAAGACAAAGGGACCCAACGAGCCAUCUGGGUGCGCCCGCCGCCUGGGCGCGCCCUGGUGCCUCAUGGGCCCCUUGUGGCACCUCUUGACGUGAGACCGACGUAAAAAAUUCCUAUAAAUAUAGACACCUCCAGAAAUAACCCUAUAACUUUGACUCCGCCGCUGCAAGCCUCUGUACCUUCGAAAUGCCAUCUGGAGCCAUGUUUCGACACCCUCCUAGAGGAGGAAAUCAUCACUAGAGGCCAUCUUCAUCAUCCCUGCAGUCCUCCUGACGAGUACUGAGUAGUUCACCCUCGAGGCUAGGGGUAUGUACAAGUAGCUAUGUCUUUGAUCUCUCUCUCUCUCUCGUGUUCUUGAUUUGUCACGAUCUUGAUGUAGCACGAGCUUUAUUAAUGUAGUUGGAUCAUAUGGUGUUUCUCUCUCUCUAUCUUGUUGUGAUGAAUUGAGUUUUUACCUUUGAGUUUUACUAUUAUCGGAUUGAAUACAUGUUGGAUUUGAGAACACUUGAUGUAUUUCUUGUAUAUGAAUACCCGUGGGGAAAAUGUGGUACUAUAUUGAUUCACUUGAUGUAUCUUUUCGCACACAAUUUACGGAUUCCCGAGGUGACAUUUGGGUAAUCUAUGCAUUGGGGUUGAUGCACGUUUUCAUCCUACUUUUUCCGGUAGUAAUCUUGGAGCACUCUUCGUCCAUACUACACUUGUAUCACCAUCUCUUGAUUGAAACUAGUGCACAUAUACAAUUUACCGUUGUAUUGGGUGUGUUGGGGACACAAGAAAUUUCUGGUAUUUGAUUACAGGAUAAUUUGAGAGAGACCAUCUUCAUCCUACGCCUCCCACGUAUUGAUAAAUCUUAGGUCAUCCACUUGAGGGAAAAUUGCUACGGUCCUACAAAACUUUGCGCUUGGAGGCCCAACACAAGUCUACAAGAAUAAGUUGUGUAGUAGACAGCAGCGUACGCGCAUAAACUUCUAGAGAAGAGCGGCAUGGCAGGGUGCAAGGCGUGUCACAUGCCGAUGGAGCCACGGUUCAAGCUGUCAAGGGAAAGCACGGCGUCGGUCAUCGACGAGAUGGAGUACCGCAGUAUCGUCGGGAGCUUGCGGUACCUGGUGCACACACGACCUUACCUGACAUUCUCGGUUGGGUACGUGUCUCGGUUCAUGGAGGCGCCAACGAAGGAGCAUCUCAUCGCAAUCAAAGCACAUUUUGAGGUACAUCGUCGACACACUUCAACUGGGUUGCAAGUACACCAAGGGAGAGAGCACUGCCCAGCUCGUCGGGUACAACGACAGUGAUCUGGGCGGUGACAUCAACAACCGCAAGAGCACCACCGGCACCCCAUUCCUCCUGGGUGGCGGUGUGGUUACUUGGCAGUCACAGAAGCAGAAAAUCAUGGCUCUCUCAAACUGUGAAUCGGAGUACGUCGCUGCAACCACGAUGGCUUGCCAGGCGAUCUGGCUCUUGCAGCUACUCGACGAGUUCAGAGAAACAAAGGCAGAAGUGGUGAAGCUCAAGGUGGCCAACAAAUCAGCAAUUACGUUGGCCAAAAAUCCUAUGAUGCACAACAGAUCGAAGCACAUCGAGCUCACAUAUCAUUUCAUCAGAGAUUGCAUGUCGACAAAGAAGAUCGAGCUUGAUUACGUGGCAACAGAGUUGCAGCUUGCAGACAUGCUAUGACAAAGCCUCUUGGUCACAUUCGACUGCAGCAGUUGCGAUCAAGCAUCGACAUGAUCGACUCGCUACCUGAACCUUCAGUUUAGGGGGUGAUUGUCGGGAUAAACUUCAGUUUCACGUUUAGCUGGGUUUUAGGUGUCAUGUUUUUUGAAUUUCAGAUGAAUUUUGGAUUUACUAGAAUUUAAAAAUAAAGUACUCAACGUUUUGCCGGCAAUCAACGAUGCCCUGGUGUUUGAAAUUCAUUUCCAUUUCUUGCAUGUGACCUAAGCAUGCACCCAAGGACACAGAUUUGUUUUUCAACCAAUUUAUAUGCACUCGAGCAUGUGGAUGUAGUUCAAAUUUGAAUUAUGCACAUAAAUGCAUUGAAAACUCAGUUAAUGCAUAAACGUGUCCAAAUAAACCCCGAAAAAUAACAAAAUUGACACAACACUCCUGUUGUUCUAUCUUGACACGAGAAAAAAUUUGAAAGCAAUAAGAGGCAAUGAAUAUCCCCAAAGGUGGGACGUUCCCUAUCGAAACCAUCAUGCUUAUUGUGAGAAGCUCUGGUUUGUGAGAAGCAUAUACCCAAACCUGCCCCAAAUGGGACAAAAUUUUUACCACGGCAUGUUGAUGCCGCUCCAUGAUAGCAUGCCAAGUUUCAUGAAUUUCAGAUGAGUUUUGGAUUUACUAGAAUUUAAAAACCAGGCAUCUCAAUGUUUUCCCGACAAUCAAUUGUGCCCUGGUGUUUGAAAUUCAUUCCCAUUUCAUGCAUGGGACCUAAGCAUGCACCCAAGGACACAUAUUUGAUUUUUCAAUCAAUUUAUAUGCACUGGAGCAUGUGCAUGUAGUUCAAAUUUGAAUUGUGCACAUAAAUGCAUUGAAAACUCAGUUAAUGCAUAAAAAUGUCCAAACGAACCCCAAAAAAUCACAAAAAUUCACACAACACUCCUGUUGUUCUAUGUUGACACGAGAAAACAAAUUGAAAGCAAUAAGACGCAAUGUAUAUCGUUUCGUCCCUAAAGGUGGGACGUUCCCUACCGAAAACCAUCAUGCUUGUUGUGAAUUUUAGACAAACCUGCCCCAAAUGGGACAAAAAAUUUACCAUGGCAUGUUGAUGCCGCUCAAUGAUAGCAUGCCAAGUUUUAUGAAUUUUAGACAAGUUUUGGAUUUACUAGAAUUUAAAAACCAGGCAUCCCAAUGUUUUGCCGGCAAUCAACGGUGCCCUGAUGUUUGAAAUUCAUUCCCAUUUCUUGCAUGGGACCUCAGCAUGCACCCAAGGACACAUAUUUCAUUUUAAACCAAUUUAUAUGCACUGGAGCAUGUGCAUUUAGUUCAAAUUUGAAUUAUGCACAUAAAUAAAUUGAAAACUCAGUUAAUACAUAAAAAUGUCCAAAUAAACCCUGAAAAAUCACAAAAUUGACACAACACUCUUGUUGUUCUAUGUUGACACGAGAAAACAAUUGAAAGCAAUAAGAGGCAGUGGAUAUCGUUUCGUCCCUAAAGGUGGGACGUUCCCUACCAAAACCAUCAUGCUUGUUGUGAGAAGCUCUGAUUUGUGAGAAGCAUAUACCCAAACCUGCCCCAAAUGGGACAAAAAUUUUACCACGGCAUGUUGAUGCCGCUCCAUGAUAGCAUGCCAAGUUUCAUGAAUUUCAGACGAGUUUUGGAUUUACUAGAAUUUAAAAACCAGGCAUCUCAAUGUUUUGCCGGCAAUCACCGGUGCCCUCGUAUUUGAAAUUCAUUCUCAUUUCUUGCAUGGAACCAAAGCAUGCACCCAAGGACACAUAUUUCAUUUUUCAACCAAUUUAUAUGCACCGGAGCAUAUGCAUGUAGUUCAAAUUUGAAUUAUGCACAUAAAUGCAUUGAAAACUCAGUUAAUGCAUAAAAAUGUCCAAACGAACCCUGAAAAAUCACAAGAAUUCACACAACACUCAUCUUGUUCUAUGUUGACACGAGAAAAAAAAUUGAUAGCAAUAAGAGGCAAUGGAUAUCGUUUCGUCCCCAAAGGUGGGACGUUCCCUUCCGAAAACCAUCAUCCUUGUUGUGAGAAGCUCCGGUUUGUGGGAAGCAUAUACCCAAACCUGCCUCAAAUGGGACAAAAUUUUUAUAUCGGCAUGUUGAUGCCGCUCCAUGAUAGCAUGCCAAGUUUCAUGAAUUUCAGACGAGUUUUGGAUUUACUAGAAUUUAAAACCAGACAUCUCAAGUUUUGCCGGCAAUCAACGGUGCCCUCGUGUUUGAAAUUCAUUCCCAUUUCUUGCAUGGGACCUAAGCAUGCACCCAAGGACAGAUAUUUGAUUUUUCAACCAAUUUAUAUGCACUGGAGCAUGUGCAUGUAGUUUAAUUUUGAAAUGGCUAGAAAACCAAUUUAAUGUAUAAAAUGUUUGAACGAACCCUAAAUAAUUACAAUUCUUUUACGACACACAUAUAGUUGCAUGUUCACUCCAGAUAAAAAGGUCUAGCAAUUCAAACACCGUCCAUUGCCGUUGUGUCCCCAUUAUGUAAUUCAAAUCAAGAUGAAAAAUCAAGUAGAUCGCACGCAGUUUAUUAUCAGCAACCGUGUGAGAUGCAACACAAGAUAUCCUGGAGCACCGUCGGCGUAUAGUACGCCUAUGAUUUACGCGAGAAUGUGCGUCGGCUACAGUCCACAGCCGGUGUCUCAAGCACACUAGCUCUCUCCCCAAAUAUCAUUUCACUGUUCAAUCGUCGCCAGCGAAAGAUGGGCACGUGGACCCGUGUCGUGAGGGCAACUCCGGUGGCCCACUCCGGCGAGAGCGUGGCCGCAGCCGCCAUGCGCGUGCUAACAAGGUGCAUGAGCGUGGCCGCAAUCUGCGGCCGGGCGGCAAAGGCAGCCCAAACGGCCGUUGUUGCUUCUCAGGUGGCGGCAGCAACAUCUGCCUCGGGGAUAGCAACUGGCGAGAGCGGCACAGCAGCUGUCCAUUCUGCAGCGGGGGCCUUAGCCCUGAUGGAGGCCGCCCACGACCAUGUCGAGGCCGCCCACGGCCAGCUCCUAGCGGUCACCGCCCAAAUCGAAUGAAGCCUCUCCGACAACGGUCGACGACCCACGGCCGAAGAGCUGGCAAUCGCCGAGAGGAUUCAAGCAACCUCCGUUCCUGCGCCGCAUACCUUGCAACGACGGAGCCUGUCCAAGCCUAGAUUGCAUCCGCCCACGCCCAGCUCGUGGCGGCCUUUUCCAAAGAGAUGGCGGACGCGGAUGGCGAGAUGCUUGCCGAGUAUGGUGCGAUGGAUGCCAUGGAGCCCCUUCCCCAGGAGACCGUCGGGCGCGAGGUGGACAUGGAGGCGGCGGCGGAGGUCAACGAGCACCAGCCGUAGUAGUAAUCUUUAUUUUGUUUAAUUAAGAGCGCCGGUCUUUAAUUUGUUAGAGUAAUGUUUAGGUCAGCUAGCUCUGUUUAAUUGCUGAACUUGCUCGAUUAAGAAGUGUGGGUUUGCUGUAGUCUCCUUUGUGUACUCAAAUUAUGCAAUGACGUGGAUGAACACUGUAACCAUGGAAAUUCGAACCAAAACUUUUAAGUUAUCUGAAUCGUUUGUGAUGUCCACAUAUCGUACACAGUUCUGAAUAAGGGACCGUGUCUGAUGACACUUUACGCGCCAGUUUUUUGGCUGAAGCGAUUCCAAAUUUUCGGCUUCCGCGGAAAUAUCUACCUCCCCGCCCCUCCCCCUUACCAAAAGCCACAUUUACCCUCUUUCCGCCUUCCUUUCCAAGUUGAAACCUUCACUCCUUGCUUGCAGCGCCGCCUCCUCGUCGGUGAUCCUCCUUCACGCUGCUCGGCCUCGUCUAUCCAGGCAGGUAAUCCACACCAGACCCUCAUCCUCCUCCUCCUUCCACAUCUCACAUGCCCCGACCACCGACGCGAGCGCGACACCUUCCACCCAAAUCACCGACCCCUCCACCAAAUAAGCACCGCCCUAAGCCAUGGUGCACGAAGUAUAGCCAGGAUCUCAAGGAGCAUUUGGCAGUGGAGAAGCAAAUCGCGGCCACACGUGCGGAUGAGGUCGAUGGCUGCCAUUCGUGCCGACCCCCAGAUCUUGGAGGAGCACCUUGCCAUUUGCUAGCUACGCCCGUUAAGCAUGCUCGGCUUACCCAUUGCGUGUGCUGCUCCUGCCUUUCCUUCACAAAUUCUAGUGAAUUGUGCUAUCUAAUUUUACCAUGCAACCUGUUGUUCCAGUGUAUAUGUUCUAUAUGUACUGCAGUGUGGUGCUCACUUAUUAACUGUUUUGUUAAUUACUUGUCAUCUUCAGUUAACUGUUUGGUUCAAUUCUGCAAAUGUGAUGUUCAAUUCUUCAGGCAGCAAUUUUGUAUUGUCUUCCAUGUGAGAAAUAAAUCGAAUUUAUCUUUACAAAAUACCUGAGAAACGAAUACAAUUGCUAUAUUUCCAAGUUGUCAAGCAUGGUUGGUUUGGUUAUACAUUGUGCAAUGUGGUUCUCAGUUAACGUUUGGUUCAUUUGUGUUGUGGUGUUCAGUUAACUGUUUGUUUCAAUUCUGCAAUGCGAUGUUCAAUAGUUGUUGGUGCAUUCUGUUAUUGUAUACCAUGUGAGGAAUAAAUUGAAUUUGGCUGUAGUAAAUACAUGAGAAACAAAUACAAUUGCUACAAUUGGCUGUAGUUAACUAUUUGGUUAACUGUCUGAUCUUCUAUUAGGAGUAUGUUAUAUUAUGCAAUGUGGUGCUCAGUUAAUGUUUGGUUCAUUUGUUGUGGUGUUUAGUUAACUGCUUGGUUCAAUUCACAAUAUCACACACAAGAGCUUAGAGGAAAUUGUGCCCAAUGCAAACUUCAAUACCACUCGUAAAUUGUUCAGGAAACGUGUGAGAUGGUUUCAUGCAUGGCAGACGAUUGCCACAUAAUACUUGUGUGCGAUGGGGCACAUAUCACACACGGUUUCUAUUAUGGCCCAUGUUCCUUAGGUACAGUUUCGCAAACAGUCCAAUAUGAAACACCGUUUGGUUUCACUGCGUAAUUACAAACGUUUGAUCACCAAUCCCACACGUGUGCCAGAAUGUAGAGUGUGCGAUAUGUUGUUGCAUCACAUACGAUUACAUUUGGCAUCGCAUGUGCAACAUCUAUGCCUAUCACCAACGGUUUCUGGGUCGUGUGGGAAAAAAACCCCUGUCGUACAAAUAGACAAGGCGAUGGACAAACAGACAAGGCGACGGUUUAAAACUCCAUCGUGGAAAGGGGUUAAAAACCGUUUGUAUAGGAGCUCGUUGUACAAGUGGUUGCACAUCAAAGAUGGACUUGCAUAUGGGAGAACAACACAAAAAUAUGAUACCAUUUGCGAGUCAAGGGUGGACUUGCAACUGAGAAAAUAACAAAUUACAAAGCCCAGUAAUGAGUUGAGAGUCGACUUGCAAGUGGGAUGAAAAACAAAAACACAUGCACAUUUUCAAGUCGAGGGUGCACUUGCAACUCGGAAAACUACAAGCCCAAUUGCGAGUCGAGGAUGGACAUGCAACUGGGACAACUACGAAACUACGAGCACAAUUGCAAGUCAAGGCUCAAGUUGCAACUGGGACAAAAUAAACUAUGGGCCUAGUUGCGAGUGAAGGGUGGACCUGCAACCGGGAGGAAAACUAAACACACGCCGAUUUGCCAGUUUAAGGUGGGUUUGCCACUGUAAUGAAACAAACUACAUUCCUAGUUGCGAAUCGAGGAUGGACUUGCAACUGGGACAACUACACAAAACUACGAUACGAGCUGCAAGUCAAGGGUGGACUUGCAACAGGGACAACUACACAAAACUACAACACGAGGUGCAAGUCGUGAGGGUGGACUUGCAACUAGGGCAACUACAAAACUACAAGGCUAGUUGUGAGUCAAGUAUCGACUUGCAACUGGGAUGAAACAGACUACGGGCCUAGUUACGAGUCAAGGAUGGACCUGCAACCAAGAUUAAAAACUAAACACAUGUCGAGUUGCGACUUAAGGAUGGGCUUCAACUGGGAUGAAACAAACUAUGGGCCUAGUUGUGUGUCGUGGGUGUACAUGCAACUGGGAAAACUACGCAAAACUACGAUACGAGUUGCGAGUCGGGGGUCGACUUGCAACUACGACAACGACACAAAACUACGAUACAAGCAAGUUCCGAGUCGCGACGGUGGACUUGCAUCUGAGGCAACUAAGAAACUACGACCCUAGUUGCAAGUCAAGUAUCGACUAUGGGCCCACUUAUGAGUCAAAGGGUGGACUUAGAACCGGGAGCCCAGUUAUGAAUCAAUGGUGGACUUGCAAUUAGGACAACUCUGAAAUAUGAGCCUAGUUGCAAGUCAACUUGCAGCUAGGAUAAAACAAACUACGGGCCCAGUUGCGACUCAAGGGUGGCAGCAAACGGGACAAAAAACUAAACACAUGCCAAGUUGCGAGUCAACGGUGGGCUUGCAACUGGGAUGAAACAAACUACGAGCCUAGUUUCGAUUAGACUGUGUAUUUGCAACUCGGACAACUACACAAAGCUACGAUGCAGGAUGAGAGUCGAGGGUUAACUUGCAACUGGGACAAGUACACAAAACUAUGAUAUGAGUUGCAAGUCAAGGGUGUACUUGCAAAUAGGACAACUACAAACUACGAGCCCAAUUGUGAGUUGAGGGUGGAGUUGCACUUGAGCUGAAAAUUAUACUACAUGCCUAGUUGCGAGUCAAGAAUGGGCUUGCAACUAGAAUGACACAAAUUGUGGCCCUAAAUCGAGUAAAGGGUGAACUUGUAAAUGGGACAACUAUACAAGGAAAUAGAAGAACGAAAAGCAAAAUAUAAAAAGAAAAAUGAAAAACCGAACCAUAGCUCGACGGAAGAGAGAGAGAGAGAGAGACAGAGAGAGAGAGAGACAGAGAGAGAGAGAGAGAGAGAGAGCAACGACUCAUGUUACUCUAUACAAAAACGGAACCACACCCACAAAAUAGAGUGAGAAGAGCUGCAGCCUACACAAAGUGAAAACUGACACAACCCCGACAACAAAUUUGUGCCACGAAACGGCCCCUAGCAUGCGACGAUACAUAACCUACCAACAAUGGACGGAAGCCGCGAAACGGGUCUAGACCCUGAUGCGGAUCAAAACCCCGCACGAAAAUUUCAGCAACAAAAGAUCAUACAUUUGAACAUUUAGAUGAGACAUUGCUAGAUCUCAUCCCGAUGAAUUACAAUCUAUGUGAAAAAUAGGCUCAUAUACUCACACAUACGCAAACAUGGAAGACAAUGAGAAAAAUGGCCAGCAGUGUGACACAAAAAACCGGCUUGACAACGCAAACACCAGCAGGACCCAAGGCACAUGCAUGUGAACAAAACAAUUUUGCACGAAACAUACAUGUUUUGAUCAAGUGAUGAACAACUUAGGUGUGACAUAGCUAAAAAUCAUCCAGAUGAGAAUUAACAAAUCAAGAAGAAAAUAAAUGAAUAUAAAAAUAUUUAAAAUAAAAGUAAAAAAAAAAAAACAUACGUGUGGCAUGUCCAUUUUUAUCAUUUUUCACCUCGUGCGGUAAGACAACAAAUAAGGAAAUAAAAUAAAAUUUUAAAAGUGCAACUAAUAGUGUGCAGGGUGUGUUUGCACGAGCUACAACCCAUGCAUACAGCUAGACAUACAUGCAAAUCGACCACAGCCACCAAAUCGAUGCGAAAGAAAAAGUAAACAGACGCUCAAUAGAGCCCCAUGAGUCUAUACGUGAAACAAGCUCAUUGGCGCGGGCUAUGGAAGAACAAUAAGAAGAAAAAACAACGCACUAAGCUGAGAAAAAAGAAUGAAUCUUAAAGGGCUUUCAUCAUAUCAUGAUAGAGUUAGAUGUGAGGUAACUAUUUCACAUCUAGACGUGAAAUAGCAUAUAAUCAAGUGCAUUUCACAGUGUUUUCUGCGCCUAGCUAGUUGUAAAGAACAAGUUCAAUUCAGUCUAAUUUAGUUCUUAUGAUGUUAUUAUUGAUGCCUUCCUUCCCACCCUGAACCUCUCAUAUAUCCCCUUCGAACGUCACGUCUUGCUUCCUCUCGUAGAUGGUCUUGGGAAGAAGGUCUCCGAGCUCUUCAUCGGGUGCGGGCAUAUGUCGACAGCGGCCACUCCAGCCUUCCCGUCAACACAAGCAAAAAAUUAUCAACCAUGUUUGUCCGUCUCUUCUGCGAUUCGGUUCACAUGAAUAUUAAGGGGCACACCCAUUUGCAUAUCAGCUACAUGAAUCAGGAAGGUCAUGGAGCAGAAUUCAGUCUUGUAGCCUGACAGUCAUGUACAUUUGUGCUUUGCUAGCUGAAUAACUCCUGCUCUAUAUAUGUGGAUGUCACUUCAAAUAAUCACCAAAUUUUUGCCUACGCACGGUAUGCAGGUGGAGGAGAAGCAGUGGGUGUGGAGGUUCCAUCCCUUUUCGACGUCUGAGAAGAAAAUUCAUCCAUUCCGUGGUCACUGGAAGGAUAUCCAAGUUAGUUACAACAUUAAAUCCUCCGUAUGUCUCGGCGUCCUUCUGUUUUGCACUGUCAAAUUUCAUAUGUGCAUCAGAGGAAAUGUGCUUUCUAUGGGCAUGUUGGAGCGAACCGAGUUCCAGACCACAUCUAUAUGGCUAUAGGCAAUGAUCAAUAAAAGGGCACUGCAUUUUAUAUCUUCUAAAACAUCACUGAAAUUUUAGCGCUAUAUCUUUAUUUUUGUUGCUUCCGUUCAAUGUUUAGAAACUCAUUAGUACAAUAAAAAGAAUUCCAUUUGUCCCUUUAUCCGUCUUUCACUAUCUCACAAUAACAGCACAUAUUAGGCUCACCAAACUGGAUCACAUACUCAUACAUAUCUUUCAUCGUCCAAUAGCAGGAGAUUGUCAAGUUGCCUUUUAUCAUGUCAGUAUACUGAGUAUUAUGUAUGUUUGUAUGAACAAGAAAUAAUCAUCUACCAGCAGAUUAGGAUCACUUCUGAGGUCGAUCAUGUACUCAAUCUUACUUACUGGUGUCAUUAAAAAGGACAAGAAAGUGACCACUUGCUACCGGGUCUUCUCUAUUCCGCAGUAAGCAUGUGAUGCAUUCUAGAUUCAAUGAUUUCACGUGAACUAAUCCUUGUCGGGUAGGUUCUUGAGAUAAAUUAUAUUUUGUUGUCGCACAACAGGUGUGUUAUUUCAUGUCUAGUCAAUGGAGGUAAUUGCUUAAUUUGCAAUCCUGCAACUUUUUGUAGUAUUUGGAAAGAAAAUUCGUAUCAUUUGCUAAGGUCAUAGGCUCAUAGCCAUUGGAACAUCAUUUUGAAAAACUGCACUGGAUGUUCUGAAUACAUAAUAUAGUGCUCUACUUGCAAUAUUCUGGAUUAUAUGCUCAUGAUGUCUCAUAUGUCUGCUGGUGCCUCAUUUUAGCCAUUUGACUAAUUAAAAACCUGCAUCGUUAAUGUCAUCACCUUGUUUAGUUUGGCACUGUGUAUGGCUCUCUGAUCUCAUGAGGGCUAUUGCUUUCCAAUUAAAAUGAUGUAAGGAGGAGGAUGUGAAGUUGACAACACCAAGUCUCAAGUUUUAUGGUUUCUACAUGCGUUUCUUAUUUUGCUUUCCAUCAAGUAAAAAUGUGGUAUUGCAUAUAAGAUCAUCAAAAGAACAAAAUAAAAUAAUGCACAAAUCAUACACAUGCAACAACCCCCCUCCCCUUCCCCACACACACAGACUGUUCUAGCUGGUCUAGGGCAUAACCAGCAACUUAUUUCAAAUUAACUAUCUAGUGGUGUCUGUGAAGUUCAAGAAAAAGCUGGCUUUUUUCUUGAAAAAUAAGUUAAUGUGCAAAGAAUCAACGAACGUAUUUGCAAAAAAAUCUAGCAAACUAUGAAACCAGUUGUGGUGGUCAUGUAGACAAUGGUAGUAGCAAACCAAUAAAAAAACAAGAUCUCCAACCAUUAAAGAGUUGUAUGUAUGUCCUUGCUUCAGUUCAACCAAAAUUUCACAAUAACACUAUUAUAUUUAAAUCUAGAUUAUUGCAAGCAUGGUAAUACACCAGGUUGAGGUUGUGAUCAGGCAAGACGAAGUUAUGAACUUGCAAGCAUGGUAGUCAGAUCGAUGUCCACACGACGCUGGUAUGAACAUUGUCUAGAGAAAACUUUAUUUGUAUUUUAUUCCAGAAUUUAACUACUAGUUUGGGUGUGUCACACAUGACAUUGUGUGACACUUUAUUUUUCACCGCUUCCUCGACAUGUCCAUCGAGAAAAUGACGGUGGUCCAACUAUAUAUUACUAGAGAUCUUUUCUUAUCAGUAGGCACCAACUCGGCUGCCAACGCCUAAUGGCGCACUAGUGAUGGAGCUGUACAACGGCACAUUGACACUGCACAUCGUUGGCAGGGUACGGAGUGCAAUGGAAGUCAUCACCUCAAGGCGAGCUAUCUGGUGUGGCUGCAAAAAGGUACCCUUUUGUACCUGUUGUUGUUGAGGUUGUUGACCCAGUUGUUGUUGAGGUUGUUGGAAAGAACAUUGUCCGAGCUGCUGCUGCGACUGCUGUUGGGGUUGGUAGACACCUUGAACCGACUGUUGGGGUUGUUGCUGCUGAGGUUGGACAAAACCCUGUUGUUGUUCUUGUAGGAUGAUGGAGAAGAUGAUAGCACGGAUUGCCUCAUAGCGGGAUUGUUCGGGGAUUCGUGGCAAUUGUUGGCAACAUUGUUGCUGCAUCACAUUGCAACUGCUCUGCUGCCACAUCUGCGACCUAGCAAGAUGUUGUGGCAUUGCCACAGGGCUACACUGCUGCUGGAGGAAUACCUUGCACGGGUUUAGCUGCUGCAAAAUGGAUGGAUGAACAAUAGGGAUUUGUUGUUGCAGAAGCUGUUGGUGUUGUUGCUGCGAAAAUGCUGGUUGUUGUGGUAGAACUGUUUGUUGUUGCUGCGAAAAUGCUGGUUGUUGUGGUAGAACUGGUUGUUGUUUCUGUGAAAAUAGUGGUUGCUGCGAAAAUGAAGGUUGUUGCUGCAAAAAUGGUGGUUGUUGAGGAAAUGGUUGUUGUUGUUGUGAAGAUGGUGGUUGUUGUGGAAAUGUCUCUUUUUGUUGUAAUGGUUGUUGCUGCCAUGGUCUCUCCAAACCAGGGAUGCAGCUAGUCUCCAUCUGUGCAAUGGCAGAUGUCGCCACAACGGCUAGAAGGGCAAAGACGAGGAAGGUCUUCAUGAUGGAUUGGUGCUAACUAGUUUUGCUUGGUUUUGAUGCUUGUGCUUGUGAUGAUCUUUAUACUUCAUGCCUAUUUAUAGUAGUCCGGGCACCACCUCUUUCCUUCUAUGCAUCAACUUUAAUAAUUCUGUUUGCAUGCAUCAGAAAUGAUUUUUUGGUACAUUGUGGUAGGUUGCACUAGCUACAACGGUACUUUUGGAUUGAUCAUCAAAGUUGCUUUUUAGUUGUGCAUAUGAUCAUACACAAAGUACAGAAAUCCUGAUGUGUGGUAUAUAUGACUCGCCUUAUUCACUUUACAUGUCAAAUACUUAUAAGAAUAGUAUCACUUUAGCAACUGAGUUUGGAACCUUGUAUAGGCUGUCAACCAUAAACAAGAAAGGCAAAACUCGUGUAGAACCUUGUGGGAUGUUAAGAUAUGUUCGAUUAUUAAAGCCCUGCAUGUGGAGGGUUUGUCUAGACUCGGUUGCUUUUUAUAAAACUAACUUUGUAUUGUUCUCUAAGAUGAUAAGAUGAACUGCCGUAUAGAGCAUGACAUAAUUCACAGAAUUCCCUUUACAUGUAAGGAUGGUAGUUGCUUACAAGUUACUAGCAUAUAUCCGGUCCUCACUCUAGAUACGUCAUCAUCAGUUUGAUCUAUUUGUGAAGGAUUUUUCUAGAUAAGAUGAUUCUUUUGGUGGACUAAGUUUGUACUGUUAAGUAAAUAUUUCAUUGGGGCCGCCAGGUCUCUUUUACUAAAUCUUACGGGCAUGAGGUUGAUACUUAAUUGAAUUGUGUAGAACAUAUACACAGAUAACCUAUUGGAAAAUAUUAUAUGUUUGUUAUACUUUUAGGCAAACAUAGUUUGGUUUACUAUGGGGCAUGUUCAUGUGUAUAAUAAUGCAUUUACAUGUAUCGAGGUAUUUCAUCAACCCAAAAGGAAAAGUGCAAACAUUUUAAUAUUUUUCAUGAACAAACCUUAAGAACCUAUUCGUAGCUACCCUGCUAGAUCAUGGACAACAAGCACAUUUUAUUUGUUGGAUUUUGAGAAGGUCUAUAUUGUUCCCCGCAAAAAAAGUUCUAGAUUGUUUCAUGGCAACUUGUUUGUGACCGGCUAUUCUGAAGCAUCUUAUCUAGGUCAUACAUAUGUUUUUUUGUUAUUAAUCUAUUAAUGGCUGAAUGAACAGAUCCUAAAUGAUAAAGAAAAACAAUUCUAGGAUUAUGGGGCAUCUCCACCGCUUGUUUGAAUAAAACCAGAGGAUUUUAUGAUUAUGAUUUUGGUCCGAAAUAUGUUAAUGAUAUGUGCACUCGAUCUGAGCCAAUAUCCGAUGAGCUGAAAACUGUUUAAUGGCCCGUGAAUAAGUUUCUUUUUCUUCAUAUGUAUCAGAAAUCUGGAAUGGUAAUACUACAUACUCAAUUCAAAUUUGAAAAUACAUCAGAUCCCAGCUACAGAGGUCGCCGUGUGUUUCAAAGGGGCCUCUAUCGCAACUCUGGCCGUCCGCAAUUACAUUGGAUGGCACGCUAGUCCGCCAUUCAUCGUGGGGAGCCGCCGGCAGAGCAGGUCAGAGGUCCUGCAAUUGCAACUAGCAGGUUAUUCAUCCAAUCUAUGUCCAUCAGUUAAUGCUUGAUCCUGGAGUAAAUGGUACUUGUAUGGAUAUAUAGUUGCUGAGAGGAAUUUCUUUGCCUAGUGUUUGUUCUGAUUGCUAGCUUGGUUGGUGGAGAAAUCGCUACUUCUUCGUGGUAGGGCAGCAGUGGAGAAUUAGUACAGACAAACUUUGCAAAAAAUUCCGGUGGGUUGAGAAGUACUCCUAGAUUAAGUGGAGAUAGUACUAGAUCUGAUGGCUGCCGGAGAUAGUAGUAGAUGUUAUACUGUACACUAGCACAGUAUGAGGUCAUUCUGUUGUUAUGUACAAAGUCUAUCACUGAGAUGUACAUAUAUGAGUGAUAGCUGCAUAUAAUUUCUUGCAAAAUCCAUGCUUCCUUGCAGGUAGGAGGCCCUCAUGGCGCCCCGUGACGAGCCUGAUCCCUAUUUGGUAUGGUGAGUAUCGAAUCGAAACUCAAAUAUGCUUUCAUCGAUUUGCCGAUCUCACAUUAUAUGAAUCUAAGUGUUGAAUCAGAACUCAAAUAUUCAUUUAUUGAUUUUCCGAUCUCGUAUUGUAUGCAUCUGGCAGGAGAGAUUAUCGCCAGAGGCUGUGGAACAACCUGAAGGACACUUGUGGUUAAGCAGCAGCAGCAGCAGCAGGUGAGGUGUUCAUGCCAGUCAGUUGGUGGUCAGACUGGCACUUGUUGGAUUUGGAUGAUACAGGUGAGGAAGAAACUAAACAAAGACUAGUUAUGUGGUCACCUGGGACUCCGGAUUGUUUUUUGGUGCCAUGUAGUCUUGUUUUGCUGUUAUACACUUGAUAAAUGCCAUGAGCCGUUUUGGCAGUGUUAGAGAUAAUCACGAUUAGGCAUCUGAGUCCGGCACGGACUCGUAGCCCAGGCCGAGUCGGCUGUGUAUAGGUAGAUAGGUAGUGCUAUAUAUACCUGUACGUGGUUCCCCCUGUAAGGAUUAGAUCGAAAAGUAAUAAAAAUCAGCAGGACCGAUACGGCCCUGUAGCCAUCAAGUCGCCGCGUGUGUUUCGUGUGUGUUCCCGGCAACUAGUACUUCGUACGUGAUUGUUGUCUAGCCAGCCAGAGCAAUCGAACUACUUGUGAAUCCUACACUAGCGUUCGUCCAGAAAGAAAUCGGCCGUAGCUAGUUCGUCGUCCAUUGUUCCGCCGGAAAGUAAACAGCGGAUCGCUGCGUCGACAUCCGGACCAGUGCUAACAAUUGGUAUCUAGAGUUUUGGUAUUGACGUGAUUCUCGGGAAGCAAUCGAAGGAUCAUGUAGACCACACGCAAGGAGAUUGUGACGGCGGCAGCGGGAGCACCGAUGCCGAUGGUGGGGGGAUCACAAUUCCCCCGUCUGGAUCGAGAGGACUACGCACUAUGGGCGAUGAACAUGGAGGUCGCGAUGGAGGGAGCUGAGUUCUGGGAAGCCGUCGACCCGGGCGGCGCCGAGUACGCAAAGGGCGCGGCGAAGUACCGGAAGGAUCGUCAGGCGUUAACAGCGAUCUACUCCGCCAUGCCGAAGGAUGUGCUGCAACACCUCGUCGGAAAGAACUCGGCGAAGGAGGCAUGGGAGACCAUCAAGAUCCUGCACCAGGGUCAUGACCGUGUCAAGGAAGCACACCUUCAGUCCCUGAUGAGAAGCUACGAGUGCCUGAAGAUGGAUGAAAGUGAGACGGUUGAUCAGUUUGCCGCCCGUCUCAAGACCCUCGUCAAUGGCAUACGCAGCUAUGGUUCAACCCUAGAAGAAGUUGCGAUCGUACGACGAUUUUUGCGCGCCGCGCCUGCACGCUACAUCCAGAUCGUCACGUCGAUCGAACAAUGUCUCGACCUAAAGACUCUCACGGUCGAGGAUCUCGUCGGAAGGUUCAAGGCCCACGACGAGAGAAUUCGUCUCAGCUUCGGCGAUUCGAAGGAGAGUGAGCAUCUCAUGCUUACAAUGGCUCAAUGGAUGGCCCUGAUGAAAGAAAAGCAAGGUGGAUCCUCGAGCGGCAGUAAAGCAAAGGAGAAGCAACGCCCGGCGAGAAAGGACUUUGCUGGACAGGAAGAAAAGGCUGGAAAACCAAGGAGAAAAUUUGACAUAAAGAAAGUAAAGUGUCACAACUGUGGAAUCCUCGGUCACUUCAAGUCUGAUUGCAAGAAUCCACCGAAGGAAAGAGCUCUCAUGGCCAAGGGAGGCGAUGAUAGCGACAUGAUGCUCAUGGUCGAAGUAUGCGAGCUUAUGGACAAGGUGGGUCCAGCUCCAAAGGCGCCGGCUAUCGAGGUUGUCACGCUCAACGAAGAGAAGGUUUAUCUUCAUGACAAGCAGAGGACGAACACGGCGGGACACGUGUGGUACCUCGACACGGGAGCAAGCAACCACAUGACUGGCGACAAGGACCAGUUUUCUGAGCUAAAUCUCUCGGUGGGAGGCACGGUUCGGUUCGGUGACGGGCGAACCGUUGGCAUCACAGGGCGAGGCACUGUCCUGUUUGAGCUGAAGAACGGCGGUCACAAGGUACUCACAGAUGUGUACUAUAUUCCCAAACUAAAGAGCAACAUCAUAAGUCUCGGCCAGCUUGAGGAGCGUGGUUGCAAGAUUGUGCUCGAAGAUGGCUAUUUAUGGGGGUAUGACCGUCAAAGGAUGUUGAUCAUGAAAGUGCAGAGGUCGCCGAACAGACUCUACAUCCUCAACUUGGAUCGUGUGGAUCCAGUAUGUCUCUUGUCAAGCAUGGAAGACUCGGCAUGGAAGUGGCACGCGCGCUACGGUCAUCUAAAUUUUCAAGCUCUUCGGCAACUUGGACAAAAGGAGAUGGUACGUGGUCUACCGUGCAUCGAUCAUGUUGAGCAAGUGUGCGACGGUUGCCUUGUUGGGAAACAAAGGCGGGCCUCGUUCCCUAGAGAGGGAAACUUUAGAGCAAGUAAAGCUCUUGAGUUGGUCCAUGGAGAUUUGUGCGGCCCUAUUACUCCGGCUACCCCAGCUGGGAACAAAUACUUCUUGCUCAUCGUCGACGACUUCAGCAGAUACAUGUGGAUUGUGUUGUUGAAGACGAAAGAUCAAGCUUUGCAAGCCUUCAGGAAAGUAAAGAUGGCGGCCGAAGUCGAGUCUGAAGCCAAGCUGAAGGCCCUCCGUACCGAUCGGGGGGGUGAGUUCAAGUCUCGUAAAUUCACGGAAUUUUGCGAAGCACAUGGGAUCAAGCGGUAUCUUACGGCGCCAUAUUCACCACAGCAAAACGGUGUUGUGGAACGGAGGAAUCAAACUGUGGUGGCGAUGGCACGAAGCAUGAUGAAGAGCAAAGGGAUGCCGGGCAAGUUUUGGGGUGAGGCGGUCAACACGGCCGUUUAUUUGCUGAAUCGGGCUCCAACCAAGAGUGUGGUUGGGAUGACGCCGUAUGAAGCAUGGUACGGGCACAAGCCCGCGGUUGAUCAUCUUCGCACUUUUGGGUGCGUCGCGCAUGUGAAGACGGUGGCCGGGCAUACUAGCAAGUUGGCGGACCGGAGUACUCCAAUGAUGUUGGUUGGCUAUGAAGCGGGCACGAAGGCAUAUCGUGCAUGCAACCCCUCUAACAAUAAGGUGGUUGUAACGCGUGACGUGGUCUUUGAAGAAGCAAGGUCAUGGAAUUGGAACUCCACCGAGCCGGUAUACCCGAUCUCUGAUGAAAUCUUUCACGUUUUUUACAACGAUUCUGAGCGUGCAGAUAAUAUUGAUCAACCGGACACUUCGGCGGCACGGAGCGAUGCUCGAGACGACGACGCGCGGCGAGACGCGUCAGGGAGUUCACCUAUAUCUGGUGGCGUGCCAGGAAGAGACGCUGCGAGCGGCGCUACAGGCAGCAGCAGCAGUGGAGAGAGAGCCACGUAUCCUGCACCCGGCAGCCCAGCCAGGUGCGCUGGAGGCAGCAGCGGCCCAGCACCAGGCUCUCCACCAGGGAGUUCUUCCCACGAGCCAGAAAGCCCAGCCGCUACCCAAUCUCCACAAGGCCACGUGACAGGAGGUCCAGAAGUGCAUGCACGUGAAGCAACUUCAGAUUUCGUGGCUGGUUCUUCUGGUGCACGUGCAGAUAGCUCAUGAGAGCCCCAAUCGCCAGAAAAUAGAAGCUUGGCAACUUCAGAUGAAUUUUCUUCGUCUUCGACAGAACAGGAGAGGAGGGAACAUCCGCCUACGCCAGUCCGUCUUCGACCAGUGUUAGAUUUAUAUCCGAAGAAAGCGCUUCAGAAGGUAAAUCCAGUGCAUCAUGAUAGGACGAAGCACAUCGACAUACGGUAUCACUACAUACGGGAGUGCGUGGAAGAAAGCAAGAUUGAAGUCAACUAUGUUUGCACCGACGACCAGCUUGCAGAUAUCCUGACCAAGUCUUUGGGGCGGCAGAAGUUUACGGAGAUGCGGGGAAGGAUCGGUGUCAAAGCUGUGAAGUGAGGACAUCGUGCUUAGGGGGGUGAUUGUUAGAGAUAAUCACGAUUAGGCAUCUGAGUCCGGCACGGACUCGUAGCCCAGGCCGAGUCAGCUGUGUAUAGGUAGAUAAGUAGUGUUAUAUAUACCUGUACGUGGUUCCCCUUGUAAGGAUUAGAUCGAAAAGUAAUAAAAAUCAGCAGGACCGAUACGGCCCUGUAGCCAUCAAGUCGCCGCGUGUGUUUCGUGUGUGUUCCCGGCAACUAGUACUUCGUACGUGAUUGUUGUCUAGCCAGCCAGAGCAAUCAAACUACUUGUGAGUCCUACACUAGCGUAUCGUCCAGAAAGAAAUCGGCCGUAGCUAGUUCGUCGUCCGUUGUUCCGCCGGAAAGUAAACAGCGGAUCGCUGCGUCGACGUCGGGACCAGUGCUAACAGGCAGCACUGGUGUCAUUUCAUUGUUGUUUUAGUAGGUGCUUUGGCUAAAAUAGAAAAGAAAAAGAUUAUGCACGCCUAGGUUGUGUCAUGAUUGUUAUCGGCUUUGUUGAACUUCGACCUCUGUCUUCUUCAGAUACCUGUAAUGUGAAUUAAUAAUCUCCUUCCACAUUUCCCAGGUUUAGUAGAAGAUGGUAUGUUCUCGCACCUGUGAAGUAUUUAUCUUGCCAGUUAUAGUGUCAUUAUUUAGUUGAAAUGACAAGGCAUUGACUUUUUAUCUUGUGUUCGGAUAGUACUAUUUGAAGCUGUGAUUUAUCUGUUUCAAUACUGAUGGUACCCUAGUAGUGCUGGUUACUGGGGAGGUGUAUGCGGCAUGUCGAAUCAUUCUUCCGCAAGAGGCCCUAAAGCUUCAAAUUGUUUAGAACCUGUCUGCACUCUGCAGUUUGGAACCUUGCGGAAGGAUGCUGUGAAUUUCUUGGAUAGUGGGCUUCCCUGAUGGCUGCUAGCUUAGGAAUGGCUUCUACAACUGAACUGUACAACAGUCUCUUGACUGAGAAUUGUUGGGGCCUGUGGUGUAGGGCGAUUGCUUGGCGUCAAGUUGAGCUGCAACGCUGAAUCAUACCCUGUCCGACACAGACGAUCUGAUCUCGAUUUAGUUUGCAGCUGAUCCUUUGGGUUGGUGCCCAUGAGGCCAUGACAGGCAGGGGUCAGCAGCAGUUUACUGUCAUCCAUGUUGGCUUUAACCCUGCAGUGCUCUAGUUAUCUGAACAACUUCUUGUUUUUGAAAUGUCAACCGCGGGGGGAUUCCCCCACCUGAACAUAUGUAUAUUUUCAAAAAGAGGCAAUCCUUAGAUCGCGAUCAUACAGAAAAUGUGAAGAGAGGGAUACUGGCAGUUACACAGAGAUUACAAGAUACAGAGAGCAGCCGCGUCAGGUAGCGGGUCCGCUAGAACGGUCUGACUAACCUGCACCACAUUUCCUCUCAAGAUCAUGUUUUUUCUACCCAACCUAAUGAUUUCUGCCUAACAACUUUUCUACAAGGUUUCCAUAUGAAAUUGCAAUCCAAAUUUGUCUUUUCAUCUACCACCUUCAGAUGUACUUCAUCAGGCUGUAGAUGUAUAUCCCGCAGAAAACAUGCUGCAGCAGUGCAGCUGAAGCUAAAAAAUAUAUAUGUUGGUUACUGAAGCUAGGUUGUAAGCACUUUCCACAGUGAAGAUCCAGGCUUUGCCUUGUUUCCGCAUAAUUACCUGAGUUGAACGAUCUGCAUUUCUCUUGUAUCGCUGUUUUCAUAGAGGUCCACGACUCCACAUCACCAUUGUUGGUUUGGAGGGGCGAAUAGCUCCCAUGCGACGUCUUUGGUGUGAAUUGUCUCUCAUGCGACGUCGUUGGUUGUAAUAGCUCUCAUGCGACAUCUGAGUUGGAAAAAAUAGCUCCCAUGCGACACUGCUGCCUAAUCCAAAGACACAUGUUUAAAACUCGAAUCAGGUGAGCAGGACCCACAGCGUGGGACCCACUAACUUAUCCAACUCAGCAUUGGUCAGGUGAGCGGGACCCACAGCAUGGGACACACUAACUUAUCCAGGUCAGCAUUGGUACAAGAGGACACCGAGCCGUGCCCCGAGCCGUGCAGCACCCGAGCCCAUCCUCCCCCCCCCUCCCCGACCGUUGUUGUUCUUCUUCUCCGGCGACGACGCGCAGCAACGCCGUUCCGGGCCGCGACCUAGCAAUGUCGAGCUCCGCUUCAGCCUCCCGCCGCUCAUGGCCGCGCUAUGGCGCAGUGCCCAUGACAAGGUGCCCUGCAUGCCCACGUAUCGCACCCCUGAAGCGGCUAGUCACAACGACCGACAAGAAUGGCAACCUUGGGCGGGAAUUCGUGAAAUGCGAGAGCAAACCAGAGCAGGGAAAGGUGAGAUUUUACUUCUCAAUAUGCCAAUUUUGGUUUUUGUCUCCCAAUUUCAUAUUUGCCCAUUUUUCAUCGGAUUUGGGAUUUAGGGUUCAUCUUUCCGAUUUCAGAAAUUGAAGCAAACCCAUUUUGAGUGGCUAGAUUAGUACAUAGAGUGGAUUCAACUGGAGGGUGCAUCAGGGGAGCUCGAUUUACCGUUGGAGGCGGAGAAGUUGGGCAAGUUUGGAUCGGGCGCGUCUGGAUCUGGGGCCCCUGGAUCUGGCAAUUCCAUUGGGGGCGCCCAUUCCAUUGGUGCUACUGUGGGGGAUGCAGGAGUGACGGCAGAGCUGAAGAAGCUGAACAAGCAGAUGAAGAAACUCAUCGAAUUGCAGAAGCAGGGCAAUUUGAUGGGGCUGAUUGCCGGACUUUUUUAUGUUUGUGUAAUUGCUCUCGCAUUUGUUUAUGUGAUGAUAAUUAGUCGUAAGUGAAUAGACUGGGCAUCAUUUGUAAUCGUAAUGAUAUGGAUAUUUGAAUAAAAGUGUUGAGCUGUACGAAUUCGGCAUGUCUUCUCCACUAUGUUUCGGCCCCGUUUUUUCAGUUCUUCAGUUCGUCAUCAGUUUCAGUUUCAGUGGUAGAGGGAGAAACGGAAAAAAAAGGUUCGUCCACAGUUGCCCGAAAAGGCCAGGCCCAUAUAGAAGUUAGGCAGGGCCGAAUAGAACAUAUCCAGGACCAUUGAUAAAACAAGUGUAGCUAGUGCAAAAAAAAGUGCACACGGUCAUUGACAUGGCGGGCUAUUUCACAAAUUUUAAGUUUCCUGCAGUCACCUUUUUUGAGAUAACUCAUCUGAUAAUUAUUUGAGCUAUUUUUAUGCAUAAGCUAUCGUGUCCGAUGGUAGGGUCCCGUGUUGUUUCGGCUAAGACAAAAGGUUGGUUCUAGUUAGCAGUCUAACUUGCAGUAUUUGUGAACCAAAAAAGUUGCAAGUGUUUGGUUCUAGUUUAUUUCAACCAAGCAUCAUUUUUUAUUUUUUUAUUUGUGCUAUGGUGUUUUCAAAGUUUUUACUCGUGUGUUUCAACCGAAAAAGGUUGUGCCCCUCUCAAAAAAAGAAGACAUCUAGUGUGCCCCUAAUAGCAUCUCCUUACAACAUAGAGGGGCAUCCCCUUACAACAUAUAGUGCAUAAAACAUAAAAAGAAGAUAAUUAACUAGACACGUGCUAACAACAACUUAUAUGAUUGGAUCAUGUUUUAGUGCAUUUUUUAGUUCACAUGGCCACAUAAAUAAAAUGCAAUGGAGAAACUUUAGGCCCGAAAAAACAUUAAUAGAUAGCACGAUAGAGGGGCAUCGGGUACCCUAGUAGCAUAGAUAGAUAGAACAUAUAGAGGGGCAUCCCCUUACAACAUAUAGUUCAUAAAACAUGAAAGGAAAAUAAUUAAAACUAGAUAGAUAGAAGACACGGGCACACACGCCCGAACCAACACAAACACAAGCUAGAUAGAUAGAAAGACUCGCACUCGAACAACUCCUUGGCCCCUCCUCCUUAGCCGGCGCCCCUCACUCGUCGUUCUCCGGCAUCUGGGAGGGGAGGGUGUGCAUGCCGUUGGGGUGAGGGAAGAUGUGGUGGAAGUUGGUGAAGAUGUUGUAGGUCAUGAACGCGAUAAACUCGCAUCCACACCAGGACACCUCGCCGAGGAGGUGGUGAGCGUCGUAGGGGUUGGUGAAGGUGACGUAGAGGCUGAUGACGAAGCCGUUGGCGUUGCCAUCGUACUGCUCGUGGAGGUGGAACAUGGGCAGAGUGCCCGGAGGGAGGUGGCGGUAGCCGGCUUGGAGGAAGAAACGAGCCAGCUCUCUAGGGCCCCUCCACCUUGAGAUGGCCCACACCCUCAGGCUAUUCUCGACGAUGACUCCGGCCGGGUACUCCCUCUCUGGCACGGUGCGAGGGCGACGGUAGGUAGGGCCGUUGAACUGCAUGGUGGCUCGAGUGGUGGAUUUGGCUCGAAAAGAAGAAGCGGAGGAGGCUUGAGAGAUGAGUGUGAGAGGGAUGAGGAAAUGGUGCCCUUUUAUAGCCGCGUUGCAGCCGUGGUCAAUGUGUACACGGUGCCUUCUCGAUCGUUUUCUCUUCUCCGUUCGUACUAGCAUAAGUAAUUGCGGGCAUUAAUUCAAAAACGGCGGGUAGAGCAUCCAAAGAGGCACGGGCAGCACAGGCGAGAUGCAUCGUUUCGUGCACUUGCAUCGGUGACGCCGCGUGGGAAACAGGCCCGUUCAUCCACGCGUGACACUGAAAAAGGAGCUGCACCACCGACGCGUCCGUCCCGUGUCUCAGGUUCAAACAUGCAUUUGUUAAAAUAGCUUAGAUGCGACGUACCUAUACGCUGCGCCCCUGCCGCUGCUUUACUGCGUUGAUGCGUGCAUGCAAGCCCGCAUGCAAAUGGCUAGGCUGCGUUCACGAGCACAGAAUAGCUAGGCUGCGACGUUGCAUGGCAUGCAUGGGACAGGGAUGGCCCACAUGUCAUUGACCCUCUCGCAUGCAGCCCAUCCCCCCUCUCGACGGCCGUGCGCACGCACGCCAGGCUCUGCCGGGCCCGAUCCGCUCGGCCCAACGGUCACUGAGAUGCUCCCCCGCUCAACGUUAUCUGUUCGCCAGAGAGAAAAACGGUGGCCAAUCAGAUUGGAGAAUCAGGGCUCCCACUGAUCGCCCCCGCGGAAUCCUUCUAGAAGGCCUAUCCGACGGCCGCAGUUUGGCGUUAGGGUUAGAUCGACGGUGGACGUUUGGCGCUAGGGUUACAUGGGUUUUGGAGGCAGUCAACGGGGUUUUGAAAGGUUUGACCGAACAUUCAAAUGUGUUUAACUAAUUCAAAAAAAAUCUAAAAAAUGAAAAACCUGCGCAUAUAGUCUUGUUAUGUUACAUAGUUAUGAUAUAAAAUGAUAAACUUGAUCUAAUGAUCUUUGCAUGAAAAAACCUUCACAAAUUGGACUAUCUCGACUCAGGUUGCAUAGAGUUCGAAGGAGUGAGAAGAGGGUUUGAGGGUUUGAAAAUGCAAAAAAUCAAAAACCUCACCUUAGCUUCAUUUUGGAGUGACUAAGGAGGAUCUGAAGUUAUUUUGCAUUUUAAAUUUUUAAACUUGUUUUAUUGCUGACUUUGUAUUAAAGGGUGUUUUUUCAAAAAUAAAUUAAUAAUAUGAAUACUUAUUCAAAAAAAGGUGAGACUUCGUAUUGAUCCUAUAUAGGUAUAAUAUAAGCUAAGAAAAUCUUUUUUUGUGAUUUUGAGAAGGUCGAAAAAAACUUGCUUAGAAAUGGGGUCCUUUUCCCUUACUUUGGAGCCUGUUUGGACAACAUUUUCAGUGACUAUGAGUUGGACUUCACAAAAAGGGUUGGAUUUAUGAACUAAAGUGCAUAGUAGUACAUAAAACAAUGCCACAUCACAGAACAAACAAAUGAACUCCAAAAAUAUUGGAGAUAGGUUCAAAUUUGAAUGUCGUUUCAAAUUUGAAUUUUAUUUCAAGUCAAAUCAACAUCAUAGCACAUAAGUUUUCACAUGAAAGAACAUAAGUUUUCACAUCAAAUGACAACAAACAUAAGUUUUCACAUCAAAUUUGAAUGAUUUCGACUCUAUUUCUUUUUCUUCUUUCUACCACUCGAUUUCUUCUCCUUUUUUCCACCGUUUGGUCCCACGGCGCAUAGUUUGUUGAUGCUGAUGCUCUUGCUUUUUGGCCCCUUGGUUUUCUUGCCAACUCCACUAGGCCCCCUCAACUUUUGCCCCUCACCAUGUCCCACUUCUUCAGUUUGCACUUCUGCGGCUUGAGUAGAUGGCACACAUUGUUCAACUACUUCAGUUUGCAACUCAACGCUUGGCAGCACAACCUCCAAACAUGGCAACACAGCUGUCAAAGCAGAUUCGCAUGGCAGCACAACAGUUGCUUCAUCUGCAACAGUUUCAGAUUGCCCUAGCACUAGGCCCCCUCAACUUUUGCCCCUCACCAUGUCCCACUUCUUCAGUUUGCACUUCUGCAGCUUGAGUAGAUGGCACACAUUGUUCAACUACUUCAGUUUGCAACUCAACACUUGGCAGCACAACCUCCAAACAUGGCAACACAGCUGUCAAAGCAGAUUCGCAUGGCAGCACAACAGUUGCUUCAUCUGCAACAGUUUCAGAUUGCCCUAGCGCCUGCAAAACAGAUUCAGUAUGCAUCACAUCGUCCAAAACAGAAACACUUAGCUCAUGUUCAGCAGUAACAGUUUCAGUUUGCUCCAUAUCUUUGUCACCAAACAUUGUCUGCUUAGUGCUCUUCCUUCUAAAGCCAUUGAGUCUUGCUUUUUUCACUGGCCAGCACUGUUCAACAACAAGAGGUGGGGCUUUUUCUGCACGCUUCCUCCUAAAAAAUAAAGCAUUUCACUUGGUUAGAUACUAGAACAAGUAGCAAAAUCAAAAACUUGCAAAAACAGUAACAUAAACAUACUUUGGCCUCUGAGGAGUGUAGAUGCAUUUGGAUGAACCAACUCUGUGCCCAAGUACUUCACACAACUUGCACCUAUUUUUGUUACCUUUUUGAGCCCUUUUGGGCUUAUCAUUCUUUUUCUUUUCCUUUUUCCCCUUCUUACUACAACCACCUUUCUCAAACCAAGGUUUGAAUCUGCUCUGUUUUGGCCUCCCAGCCUUUCUUCUAGUGACAGGAGGACACAAGGUAAAUUCUAUUUCCACCUCAGGCCACUGAGAUUGGUCAGUCAGUGCAGGAAUUGGACUUGCAUAUGCAGCUUUGAAUUUUUGUACUGAAUAAUACUCAUGCAAAUAUGGGUGCAUAUUUAACCUGGGUUUAGAUGCCAAAAAAAGUAUGGAAUGCUCACAUGGUUUUCCAGUGUGUUGCCACUCUUGGCAAGUGCACUCAUGCAACUCAGUAUUUACCACAUGCCUCUUGCCACUCUUUGUAUCUCUAACUUCAGCACCCCACAAGGAAGAUUUCUCAACAGAUAGAUGUGAAAGAUUUCUACUCCUGUUGACCACCUGUCGUACCACUGCUGGAAGCUUGUCCCCUUCCAAAAUAUUAGCAAUUUUUCCUCUCAACUCCCACAAACGCAUGAUCAUGAUCCUUAUUUGGUCCACCAUGUCAUGCACAGGCAAGUCUUUCAAAUGCUUCACUUUGUUGUUAAAACUUUCUGCCAAGUUGUUAUUGAUAUGAUCACAUUUUAUGGCAGUAUUAAAACCUGAUCUAUACCACAACAGAGAAUGGUGUGUGUUCAACCAUGAAGCAAAUUCAUUAUCACUACAUGAUGCCAAUAUCUUACCAAGGUGAUAGGAAUGUGUCUGUCUGGUGUAGGAUCUUGCUGCUGGCCACAUGCGCCCAAAUUCAUCUCCUCUGAAUUUUUUUAUCAGAUUCAUGCACAUAUGUCCGAAGCACUCCCUCUGCUCAGCAUGGGGGAAAACAUUUUUUACUGCAUUUUCCAACCCUUUACAUGCAUCUGUGUGGAUGGCCAAAGGAGAAACUGGCCCUAUGCAUCUUUUCAGUUGCAUCAUGAACCAUAUCCAUGAUGCCUCUGUCUCUGAUUGAAACAUUCCUAUUGCAAUUGGGAACAUCCAGUUGUGUUCAUCUAGAGCAUUGCAUGCAGCCAACUGACCAUUCCACUUUCCAGUCAAAAAAGAUGAGUCUAUGCUCAAAUAUGGAUGACAACCUGCUUUGAAUCCAUCUAUGCAAGGCUUCAAACACAUAAAAAACUUGCUGAAUAAAACCUUGCCAUCCUCUGUUACCUCUGUAUCUAUCUCCACCACACUUCCAGGUGACCUCUUCUCCACCUCUGCUUUAAAACUAUACAACAUCCUAAAUGUAUUUGCCCAGUCACCAUACAAUGAUUUCAUGGCCCUUUUUUUGCUUUCCACACUGUGGUAUAUUGCAGCUGGAUGGGGUACAACUUCUCCAAGUCAACUUUAAGCCUCUUUGCAGUAGUGUUUGGAGUCUUGGCUAAAAUAGGAGUAAUCUUCUCUGUAACCCAAAGCUGUGAUGUCAUCUUUGAAACUCUCUGUGAAGUGGUCAUACAUGUAUGCUGGUGUGGUAUUUGAUUUACCCUUACUGUACUUCCAUCAGGUUGUAGUCUGGCAGACAAGUACCAUUUGCAAGGAUUGCCACCACCAUCAUAACCUUUGCACCGAGCAUAAAAUUUCUUUCGAUCAGUCCACAUAGUCUUGGCAUCAAACUCUUUUUUCACUGCAUAGGUCCUGAAAGACAUCCUAAACUCCUUCAUGCUUGGCCACAACUUUCCCACCUCAAUAACUGGGUUCUCUUUGUCAUACAAACAAACCAGCUCAUUACCAUCUGCAUCAUCCACAUCAUCUGCAGCCUCUCUCAUCAGCUCUUCUUCAUCCUCAUUUGCAUUUCUAGGGCAUGUGUUACCAUCAGCAGGCAAAGAACUGUCAUCCUUCUCCUUAUCUUUGUCAUCAACUUGAAUGCCAAACAUUUCGGCCAUAUCAAUGUCAGAUAUUGGUGUAAUGACCAAAUCUGUUUUUUCAUUGAACUCUACUACAUUCCAGUCAACAACAAUCUUCCUAGCACCAUGGGUUCCCUCCUCUCCAUCUGCAUCAAUCCCUGUAUCUUCAGCUACUAUAGUCGGUUCAGUAAACAAUGCCAACAUCUUCUUUUGUGAAACCCACUCAUUAUCUUCCACCUGUGUAGCCAUCUUUGAUGGCACAUAACCAACUCUGGAAUGAGUUUGCAGAUCAAUUAGCUCAGCAUAAAAUGUUACUUGUUUGCUUGCCCACCCUUCUUGCUGAUCAAUUUCAGCAACCAUGGAUUCUCCAUCUUCAAUUCUCACAUAUUCACCAUUAUAGUUAUCGAAACGUUGCAGAGAUACCUCUUGUUCUCGACCCCAAACAAUACUCUCCCCAAUUCUCUCCACCAAAUUGCCCAUAGCCUUCUCCUUCAUGCUCUCCAAUUCCUGGGGAUCAUCAUCUGCAAAUUCGAUAUCCAACCUCACAGUGGUAUCUCUAUCAAUGUCUUGGACACUGCCAUCACUGAGCUUGGCUUUACAGGGAAAAAUUUCCACUAUAAUUGCAAAUGUGGUGGCAGAACCUGAACCUCCCCUGUUUUGUCAAUGGCAGGCAGCGGCAGCAGUGUAAGCGACAGUCACUACCAAAUCGAGUUCGAUAACAGCUAAAAUAGAAAAGAGGGCGGCAUUACUGAUUUGAAGCACUGUCUCCUCGCUCCAUCUCAUUCAGGGGCCCCGCGCUCCUAUCCAAUCGAGAUUCUAAAACGCCAAGAAACAGGGGCAGCAUGAGGCCACAGAUUUAUCCAAAAUUUCGGGGAAUGGGACUAGGUUUGGAAAAUACUCACUCGCAAUAGCCGCUGCCGAGAAAGGAGUGGAGUUCCCGGAGAAGAAACAGCCCCCGGAUCCAAUCGAGAUUCUAAAUCGCCAAGAAACAGAGAGGCAGCAUGAGGCCACAGAUCCCCCAAAAUUCUGAGGAGUGGGACUAGGGUUUCGGGCUCACUCGCAAUAGCUUUGCCGCUACCGAGAAAUGCGCUCCACCACCGCGGAGAAGAAACCACUGCCGGAGAAGAUGCUUACGGCGGCGCCGCUCGCCCAGUCCAGCACGGGCGAGUCGAGCACGGUCACACAGUCACCGGUCGAGUCGUGGACGGUUGACUCUUGACUACGUGGCCCUAGGUGGACCCCACCAGUCAGAGCACAUAACCCCCGGUGUCCUAACCAAACCUCAGCCUAACUAACAGCCAACUAGCCGCAUAAACGGGUUGUCUUGCUUGAGCUAUUUCUGCACUGGGAGACGUCGCAUGAGAGCCAUUACAACCAACGACGUCGCAUGAGAGACAAUUCAACUCAAAGAUGUCGCAUGGGAGCUAUUUGCCCGGUUUGGAGAGGGAGGAAAGAAGCAGCGGGAAAGGCUCUUUUGUUCUUGUGGAGUUAUAUCCGGCUAACGUAACUGCUACGACAUUUUGGCUCGUAACGCCCCGGUCGCUCCCUCUCGGGCGAUCUAGGCGUGCAACCUUAGCCGCCGCGAGCCGCCACAACCCACCGUCCUUCUCCACGCCGCCGGGCAAAGCUUGCUCGGCGUCAGUGGCGGCGGGACCACUCGAGGGGGGGGGGGGGUCAUCCAUGUGGAGGCACAAGGCGACAUGGCUCAGCGGAGCGCGCUGGCUGGUGUAGCACGCGCAACACGUGGUGCUUCUGGGUCGGCACCUAAUCGGAUCCCAGCUUCGCGAGCAGGCGGCCAGACUUCUCCCAAGGUGACACAGAUGGCAUAUGGAGGCCACGGCAUAGUGGCAGCCGGCUGGUCCAAGGCAGCGACCGCAGGUGGUGUCUCCUUGAGCAGAUCCGCAGUGCAUGCGCGGACGGCGGCCUCAACUAGGUUCUGCUCGGUGGCGGCCUAGUGCCGGUGUGCUGGCGGCCGGAGUCUUGGAACCGGCGACUGUCUGCAGCAUGGCACACGCUCGGAUCUAUAGUCAUGCGGCCGUAACUUGGUAUGGCCUGGCCUGGUUGUUGAUUCACAUUUGGAAGGCUUGCGGGUGGUGAUCCAGAUCCUGUCGGCCGUUUGGUUGUGACUUAAGACUGUGGUGCAGUGACCUCCUGCGGCUCGAUGAAGAUGGUGGCCAUCCGAAGGUCUUAGGGAGGGUGCAUUUCUCCGGAUCCAGUGGCUGACUUCAGUGGUGAGAUGCAAAGCCACGGACUAAGACUUGAUGCAAAGGGAUGGUUGUGCCACGGCAACGACAAAAAUCGCAUGUAGCGGCUGGGAUUGCGGAAAAGUGGUGGCAACAACACAUUAGUGAUUUCAAUGGUGGUGCUACUCGAGCACCCAGUCUAGAGCUACGGGGUGAAAGUCUAGGUUAAACAAGAGUUGGUUAUACCUAUCAAUGGUGAUGUUUUUUUGACGUCAUUACCUUUUUGAAUGCAUUGCUAGAACAUGCCCCGGACUGAUUCUUCAGGGUGAAAACCUAGACUUUGGCCUUAGUGGCUGCAUCCGGUGACAAUGACGCUUGAGCAUGGCUCCCUUCCUGAAGGCGUUACUGUUGACGACCUCGUCGUCCAUAUAGUGUCAUGAUAUGGUUGGUGCAGAUAUGGUCAUUGUUGCAGUUUUGACAAUCGCGGAUCUGAUUGCUUUAUUUUUUUUAUAGCCUAUGCAUAGCUUUGGUCUUAUGACUUUGCUAGUUGUUGUAGUGUUUGUGUUGGUGUUGACCGUGUGCAUCUUAACUAUGCAGAGGCCGGGUGUGGGCUCAUCAUGUUCUGUAUCUUCUAUAUGCUUUAUUUUGAGUCAAUAAAAUUCACCCUUAUCGAAAAGUUAGGGGGGUCAUCCUGAGUGGAAAUCAAGAUGUCAGAGGAGAAAUCCGAUGACCAUCUAUGGGUGGGUCCAUGGAGUUUUCCUUCUCUCGGUGCAUCGAUUCAGUGUUGUCGCCGCAAUGCCGGUCAGUGGUGACAUGGGUGGGCACUUGUAACCUUUGUCUGACAAAUUUCAUCUUACUAAAAUGUUCAUUCACUCAAAUGAAAUGUCCCAACAACAGCUAAAGAUUGUUUAGAUAGAUAGAGAAUAGAAAAAUUGUUCAUGUAUUUAAAGAGAAAUAAUCACAUCUCUAGUUCAAAAUGUUCUCUAGUCCACUGUGCUAAAUUGGUAUUAUUAUCUAUGCAAACCAUAUAAGAUAAUAUAUAUACAUAGUUUGUACAUCAGUGAAGAAAAAUUUAUUACUUCCUAAAUACUUUAUAAGAUAACCGCGGUUUAGCACAUGAAAAAUUGUAAAAUAAAUUAAAUGGUUGAAAAACAUAAGAUAUUUUAAGGGAUAGCCAGUGAUGAGUGGUCCCUGUGUUCACCUUAAUGACUUGUCAAAUGUAUUUAAANNNNNNNNNNNNNNNNNNNNNNNNNNNNNNNNNNNNNNNNNNNNNNNNNNNNNNNNNNNNNNNNNNNNNNNNNNNNNNNNNNNNNNNNNNNNNNNNNNNNNNNNNNNNNNNNNNNNNNNNNNNNNNNNNNNNNNNNNNNNNNNNNNNNNNNNNNNNNNNNNNNNNNNNNNNNNNNNNNNNNNNNNNNNNNNNNNNNNNNNNNNNNNNNNNNNNNNNNNNNNNNNNNNNNNNNNNNNNNNNNNNNNNNNNNNNNNNNNNNNNNNNNNNNNNNNNNNNNNNNNNNNNNNNNNNNNNNNNNNNNNNNNNNNNNNNNNNNNNNNNNNNNNNNNNNNNNNNNNNNNNNNNNNNNNNNNNNNNNNNNNNNNNNNNNNNNNNNNNNNNNNNNNNNNNNNNNNNNNNNNNNNNNNNNNNNNNNNNNNNNNNNNNNNNNNGGCAUCAAAUGCUAGUUAUCCGCCUAUCCAUGCAAUUUGAAAAUUCACUGUUGAAUGCUGGUUGUUUUCUGCGAAUAAGUGAAUGCUGGGUGGUUAUUUGAAACCUCACCCCAAUUGUGGUGGUUACUUACAAUUUACUCCUAGAGCUUAAAGCAUACGUUUUGUGCAGUAAAUUGGAUAUAGGCAUUAUAGUUUCUUUCUUGAAAGCUAUGUGUUAUGUGACACUAAUCAGAUUAUCAGUUCUGAAAACAAAUACAUGUGCAGAUGCCAUGCCAGCUCAUGCAAGUUAUUAACAAUUUCGAAAAAUGAGUGGCUUUGUGCAUCACGGGCAUGGAGUUAACACUACUUCAGGAGUACCUAGCAGUGGCGGGUGGCAAAAGUCCAUCAGUGGCGGGCAAGGCUCUCAAGGCCGCUACCCACUAACCUCCCGCCACUCCUAGAACACCAUCAGAGGCGGGCGUCCGCCCGCUAGUGUUAGGCCACGAGUACUGGCGGGCUCUACGUCGUGCCCGCCACAACAGUCUGUGUUGCCCGUCACAUGAAUUUUGCGCUGCUAUGGCAGUCCUUUUCUACCGCUCGGUGCUGCUAUUGUUGCAUGCCAACAUGAUUGAAUUACAGCAUAUUCCACCCGGAUCAUAUCAUCAGAUUGCAUUUGAUACAUAAAUUCUGGUUUGAACCUUGAUCCACAUAAACAAACCACAUUACAAUGAUUUCAGAUUAAUGAAAAGUAGUAGUUAUAAAAUAUAACAAGUGAAUUACAAUAAUUAAUAAGCAUACAUAUGUCGCGCUCAUCACAUAAUUAAUGGUUUGACGAGUUUUUUUUAGUGAAAUGAGUGUUGGCAGAUGUUCAACACGCAGACCUUUAGUAGAAGCUGCACAUACUACAUGAAUUAGUACUUGAUGGAAUGAACGGGAACCAAUGGGCCGCUUGCUCUGGAAUUGGAGAUUUGGCCUCUCCCAGAGCCCAUUGUACAACCACAGCCGGCGUGGGUAUGGUAAUUGGACUCAUACCCGGCCAGAUCCUCUCUGGCGUUGCCUCCGCAAGGAUGCACACUGCAAGGUCAGUGAAGCGCCUCUCUGCAAUCUUAGCAAUCGCUAUGAAAGAACAAUGGACAUUGGAACACUUUUGACCCAAGCUAACAUGGCCUCCUUGAGGCGGUCGGCCCAAUACUUUUCAUGUUUCCAUAGAUAGUGCUUCUCCAUGUCCGCCGCAGAGACCCCCUCCCACAAAUCUUCUGGCGGCCCCAUCUGUUAUUUUUAGCAGACAAUGACAUUCAAAAUAUAUACAUAUAGAAAAGAUCACAAGGGUAUUAUAUAAACACAUAUGACACUCGUACAUAUAAAGUAGAGAUCACAAGGUAACAAUCAUUGUGUCAUGACAUAGUUUAAUGUUUUUCACGGUUUACUAGACUAGAAAGGAGCAUUUAUAUCGCCAUGUUGAUGUUUCAUUCUCAUGUCUCAUUCUUCUUGACUCUCUGCCCCACAGUAGAACAUCCCCUCGUCCCUCACUACAUGGCGAUUGAUGAUAUUCGUGAGCACUCUCUAAAGGCGCUCGUGCUCUGUCCAAAAGUGAGAUAGCUUAACUUCCUUCUCAUUCUCUUUGGACCAUUUCUGCAACAUUGAAUCACUUCCUAACAGUGGUCCUGUGCGCACAUAGUCAUCCAUCAAGACCAUGGCAUAGUAGCCAGACAUGCGCAUGGUUUCGCCUUUCAGUUGUUGCCGGCAACAAAAGCUAGUGUUAAAUUUGUACUGCGAAUGUGGCAUGUUCUUACGGUCGGACUAAUGACACAUAAGAAGAGCAGCAUUGAAAACUUUCUUCAGAUCGGUCCACAACUUCUUAGGGUCUCUCCUGGAAUCAAAGAAAUAAGCUCAGCCAUCCCGGGGCAUCAGUGACGAUCCGGUGUUCAUUGAUGUGCAAAAUAAUUGAACAACGCAACAUUAAUGAGAUUGACAUCAAUGUACCCAGGUGUAUAGUGCAAGCAGAAAGAAAUGAACUUAAGUUUCGAAGUAAGGCACGAUAAAGUUGUGCUUGGUCCGAGGACUACGAAGAAUGGUCUUGUGGAGGUAAUCCGUCAUAAGACGUUGGCCUUUAUCAGAAUCCACAUUGGUCGAAUGCAUGAGAUACGGAUCAAGGAAGCCAACUUCCUCAUUCUGGAGUAAUGGAUUGGUAGCAUGCCCGAGCGACCAAAGCCUCAUUAUAGAUGGCUUGAUUACGUCCACAUAAAAAAUAUUGUCGUUGACCACACUCUCAAAUCCAAGAUAUACUUUCUCAACAGGGUACUCGUCGACAAAUCCAAGAGGCCCUCUAUAACUUUGGCGGUGUAAUACAUCUCACCCUUUCCUGACCUAGCUACUACGUCUUUGUGUAGAAGCUGAAUUUCAACGCUUAGUGCACUCAACUUGUGUUGUGGCAACAUCGGUUAACCGGGCUUAAACAUUUGCAUGAAGCACCGGCUGACAGAAACAUUCACCACAUCUUCUCCUGGCGCCUUACUGGUAGUAGGUUCAUUGGCUGAUUUCUUCUUUCGCUUUCUUCCCUUUUUACGAUGCUGAGCAGAGGGGUCCAUAGAAGAUGGUUCUCCGGAAUGCAUUUAUUGGAUUUGCUAAAAUUUAGUAUGCAAUUAUGAGUCAAUGAUACUACAAUGGAUCCUACCAAUAUAAGCCAACGAUAUUACAAUGGAUCCUAGUUAAAAACUGAAAGAAAAAUUCGACAUGACCUUUGCUAACAAGAGGACAUAACAAGUGCAAGAAAUUCGGCAAAACAGAAAUGAAUCGACGUUUCACCAAAACAUUGGCACUCAUGUCAAUACCUGCCAAUAUAAGCCAAUGAUACUACAAUGGGUCCUAGUUAAAAAAUAAAAGAAAAAUUCGACAUGACCUUUGCUAACAAGAGGACAUAACGAGUGCCAGAAAUUCGGCGAAACGGAAAUGAAUCGACGUUUCGCCAAAACAUUGGCACUCAUGUCGAUACCUGCAAACAUAAGACAACGAUACAGCAAUGGAUUCUAGUUAAAAAUUGAAAGAAAAAUUGACAUGACCACACUAAUAGGGUUCCUACGCAUAAACUUACCAAAUAUUUAUGAACUACUAGUAUAUAUUUACCCUGAAACAGAUCUGACCAUCAUACAAAAUAACACUAAGAAAACAUUGGCAUGUAUUUCUAAACUAGCUACUCCAGCGACAACUAUUUCGGUACAGAUGGAGUAAUAUUUACACCAGGCCCAAAUCUGAAAAUGCAUACCGGACAGGUGGAACACUUGGAGUUUGAAUGCAACCCAAGGUCUUCGAUGUUGGCGGGGGAGGGGGACACGGCCGAACGGCCAGCCAUCGGGGUGGAGCUCGGCAGUGGCGAUGAGAUGCCUCCUGCGGUGUUGGAGGAUGAUGCCAUGCCCGCCCGCGACAGUGUGAGGAGGGGCGUGGCAACGAGGGUGAGAGGCGUCAACGAGGGGCGCGCGCGGCGGCGAGUAGCGACGGCACCGAGGGGCGCGGCGGCUAUUGGGCGAGAUUUGAGGGGGGACGAGACGGCANNNNNNNNNNNNNNNNNNNNNNNNNNNNNNNNNNNNNNNNNNNNNNNNNNNNNNNNNNNNNNNNNNNNNNNNNNNNNNNNNNNNNNNNNNNNNNNNNNNNNNNNNNNNNNNNNNNNNNNNNNNNNNNNNNNNNNNNNNNNNNNNNNNNNNNNNNNNNNNNNNNNNNNNNNNNNNNNNNNNNNNNNNNNNNNNNNNNNNNNNNNNNNNNNNNNNNNNNNNNNNNNNNNNNNNNNNNNNNNNNNNNNNNNNNNNNNNNNNNNNNNNNNNNNNNNNNNNNNNNNNNNNNNNNNNNNNNNNNNNNNNNNNNNNNNNNNNNNNNNNNNNNNNNNNNNNNNNNNNNNNNNNNNNNNNNNNNNNNNNNNNNNNNNNNNNNNNNNNNNNNNNNNNNNNNNNNNNNNNNNNNNNNNNNNNNNNNNNNNNNNNNNNNNNNNNNNNNNNNNNNNNNNNNNNNNNAUUGAACUCCAGCAUAGUGGAAUUAUGACUGGCGGGCGGGGUAUAGAGCCCGCCACACGUAUGGCAAGAAGCAGUGGCGGUCUGUACCAGGAGGCCGCCACUACUAAAAAUGACUUCCUGGCCCCCCAACAAAAAAGUUACUGUGAUUUUAGCUGUGGCAGGGCUAUAGACAGGCCCGCCACAUCUCAUAGGAAGAGCAGCGGCGGGCGCUGUAAGCCGCCCGUCACUGACGUAUUUCAUCACGAGAUAAGAUUUGGAAUGGUUCACCUGUGGCGGGCCAGAGGACUCGCUCGCCACUGCAACUCAUGUAGCUAUGGCGGGCUGAUUUUGCUAUCCGCCACCACUUGCUUUCAAAAAUAUCCGUGGCGGAUGCCCUGCUGUGCCUGAUACUAAUUUGUGAUCUCCUAUAAGCCUUUUUGUAGUAGUGUAACCUCCUUUUCGACGGGAAAAAUGCAAGUUAGUUAAUAGUUACGACCAGGUUAAGUAACUGAAGAACUUAAGCAGUUGACCGAAAUGUAGCUUUCAGGCUGCCCCAAGAAACAUUAAACUGGGCUUGCGUAAAAUACUAGUGCAGUUUAUGGUCAGAUGGCCUUGUCGAGAUCGAUGAUGGAUAUUUUAUUUUUGUCGUAUGUUUCGAUCUAAUCCAGGACUGAUGAUACUACAUGCAACUAGGACACGAGUGAAUAAUUUACUUAAGAGUUGCAUCAUGAAGGGAAAAUAAUUAAACAAAGUACAUGGAUUAGAGCAUACGCCAACAUCUCAAGUGGUUGACUUAAGACUAAUUAACAAGCUUAUGUUGUUUCUUAGGGAAGCUAGAGCAAAAUUGUAUUUCAAAGCAAGCGAGAAUGUAUAAAAGUCUUGCUCGCAUCUCCUUCCCCUCUCUUGGACCUAUAAUGCAAAAGCGGCGGCGACAACACAUGAAUGACCUCGAUGGUGGUGCUACUUGAGCACCCGGUCUUGAGCUCCGGGGUGAAAGCCUUGGUCUGGCCCGAGUUGGGUAUACCUGACAAUGGCGAUGUUUUGACGUCGUUACCAUGUUGAAGGCAUUGUUCGGAAUGUUCGGACUGAUUUUUUAGGGUGAAAACCUAGAUUCCAGCCUUGGGUGGCUGGAUCCGACGACGGUGACACUUGAAUGUCACUCCCUUCCAUAAGGCGUUGCUGUUGAAGAAUCUUGUCGCCCGCGUGGUGUCAUGAGAUUGUCCGUGCAGAUAUGGUCAUUGUUAUAGUUUGUCGAUCGUGAUGUGAUCGCUUUGGGGCUUUUUUUCUUUUUUCCUUGCCUACGCAUAGCUUUGGUCUUGUAUGACUUUGCUACUUGUCGGCGUGUUUUUGUGUGCGUGCGUUGGUGUUGGCUGUGUGCAUCCUAGCUAUGCAAACGCCGGGUGUGUGCUCAUUGUGUUUGUAUAUUCUUAAUGCUCCAUUUUGAGUCAAUAAAAUCCACCCAUUAUAAAAAAAACUAUAUAUCCCUCUAUUACCAGAUCAUCAGUAUUUACUUGUAUGACGGCACACAAUAAUAACAAAAGUUUUUUCACUGCAUAACCUCCUUUGGGCACAAAAUAGCGGCCCAAGGAAUAACGAAGUUGGUUUCAAUGAAAGUAAUUAUCUAAGGCGGAAGCCCCAAAGUGGGCACUGGACAGAAUGGAUAAGGGAUGCCGUGCCUUCUUCUGGGCAGGCUCGGAGGAAAUUCAGGGAGGCCAAUGUGCGGUGGCGUGGCGCCGGGUCUGCCGGCCUAAACAGAUGGGAGGUCUAGGGGUGGUGGAUCUAUAUAAACAUGGAAUCGCCCUAAGACUUAGGUGGGAGUGGUUGAAACGCACUGACAGCUCGCGACCUUGGUAGGGGCUCAACUACUGUUCCGACAAAGAUGUCAGGUUGGCAUUCGACAGCAUGGUCAAGUGGGAAGUAGGGGAAGGUUCGACGGCUUUGUUCUGGAGAGAUCGCUGGAUCAAUGGAUCCUGUGUGAAGGAGAUCGCUCCGCUACUUGUUGGCAAAGUGCGGCAGCAGGUGGUGAAUAGGAGGAAAGUGAAGGACGCCUUGUAUCUUCAUGCGUGGACGCAAGAUAUCGUGGGAGAGAUGAAUACCGAGGAGCUUUCGCAGUUCGUUAGGUUAUGGGAGGUGCUGGUAGACAUUGAGCUCACGCCUGGUUCGGAGGACACCCCGAUCUGGCAAUGGGAUGUAACUGGCAAGUACUUGGCAAAAUCGGCGUACAAGAUGAUGUGUGAGGGAGGGGUAAGAUUUCAAUGCGCCUCGGCUGUCUGGCACAGUUGGGCCACGAUGACCUGUAAGCUCUUCAUUUGGCUCGCACUCCAGUAUAGAGUGUGGACUUCGGACCGCAGACAGAGGCAUGGUCUGCAAGAUCAUAGCUCGGCAUGCUUCCUAUGUGACCAAGAAGAGGACAAAGUGGAUCACAUACUACUACAGUGUGUAUAUGCGAGACAAGUGUGGUUUCUGUGCUUCCGAGAGCUGGGCGUGGAUGAAGCUUUGAUUCCAACCACAGAGGAUACACUAGGUGAUUGGUGGGUAUCCGCUAGAAAGCGCAUUGACAAGAGACACCGGAGAGGAUUCGACACAAUCUGCAUUUCAGUCUGCUGGGACAUAUGGAAGCAGAGAAACGGCAGAGUUUUUCACAACAGCAACAUCGCCAACGAGUGGGGAACGGCCGAUACCAUCCACCAGGAACUUAGGCUAUGGGCAUUGGCGAGAGGGAGAGGAGUUCAACAUGGUAUAGAGUAGUAGCCUAGCAUGUGGAGUGGAGGGGUGGACGUGCAUGCCGUGUGUGGUAGUGCAUUCCGUCGUCUGUAUUUCUUGUACAUAGCUCUCUUUCGUCUAUAAAGCUAAGGUACGCAUUUUGCGUACUCUCGAAAAAAAUUAUCUAACGAGGUUUCAAUAUCCAAUGAAUUUAUGUAUCACUGACAAAUGGUCCUACUUUUACCAUAAUAUGUUGCUGGUUUACUUUGAUAAUGGUUUGGAAAGUGGGGAAUUUAGUAUGGUUUAAUCACAAGUGGCCUUCUGAUCCGACUGUUAUCAUGUUUAGGGUAGCUUAUGGAAUUAAUGACUGGUGCUACGACUGUUAUCACAAGUGGCCUUCUGAUCCGACUGUUAUCAUGUUUAGUUCCCUGUAGGUGACAGAGGGCGCAAAACUGGUGCUACGACGGGAUGCAAGACUUCUGGAAAGGAGUCUCAACUGAAGUUUUUCAAGCCAGGAAAAGCUGGGCACCAUGGAUUCCCCGCCUGGAAGAUGGGAGACUUGAUUUUGCGGUUGUGUCUGUUCCUUUAGUGGUGUUGUGCUGAUUAAUAGCUGGGUGUUGGCUUCAGCGUACUCAGUGUAAAACGCUCUGUUUUUUCGUGUCUUCGUGGUGUUGGUUGUUCCCCUAGUCUGUUGCUCAGCUAGGCUUGCGAGGAGGAAUGCCUUAAAGACUUAAGUCCAUGUCUUUGUUUUGUUGGUGGUGGUUGCGUUUUCGUUGUAAAAACAACUUGUUUUCAUUAAUGAAAUCAGCGGUACAAUCCCUUUUGAUCUAGAAAAAAUGUAUGCAUAAACCUUUUGGUGGAAUAUCCAACACGUCCGGGCCAACUUUUUGAGUGAACAUUUAGCGAUAAGAAAAUUUUGUUGUUACAGUCAGAGCUGAAAUGUUCUUAUCUAAUGCCCAUAUCAUCCAUUUAUUCUCUUGUGUUUAACUCACCAAUUUCGAACAUACUAUAGGUCGUCAAUGUAGCUCAUCUGAAGUGCGCAAUAAGUAAUGAUCCGUGGUAUGGGAGUAUGAUUCUUCAUAUUACAUUGACAACACAAAGGAAACUUUAUUAUCUGAUCCACACCGACAAGAUAUGAUCCCAAACACACAACCAAACAUAUAUCAUAACAAUAACAAACUCGUUUAAAAAAAUAAAAAUAACAAACAAACAGACGUGGAUUUUUGGAUUAAUAGAACAUCCCAGGCUAAAAAUCCACAGAUUACUUGAAAAGGAAAACAUUAACAAGCUUGUAUUGUUCCUUUCAUAGCUACCCGUAUAUGGGUAGCUACAGCCCACCUAGUUUUUGAACAUAUUACUGGAUGGUGGCGCCAGCAGAUGUAGUGUCCUGCAAAAAAAAGGUAUAAUCAACAUCGCUACAUACCAAGAAACCAGUCAUUAAGGUACUGAUGGAAAUUUGUCAGGAAAAUAUAAAUCAUAAUGCCAGAUGACUAAAACUAGUUUUGUUUGUGAACUGGCUUUGAAAUUUAUAAGCUUAUUAGUUACAUAACCUUAACUACAUCUACAUGUCCAGACCAUGACGUUUAAAUAUCUUUCAGCUGGACUAGAUAUACAUGCUAGAAACAAGAAGAAAUAUAUAUAUAAAGAUUAAGAGUUGAAUGUAUGUACUUACAGAAGGUUUGACGUAGAAUGCAUGGAUAUUAAGUUCUUUGAUAGUUUGAAACGUAGGGGGGUUGGCGAGCGCGUUAUACUUGAUGAUCCCACGUGCCAUAGCAAACUCUCCAGUUCCACCCAUAAUGGCCAUCUGGCCUUGGCCUGUUUGAAAAUGGAUCCCCAUCGCUUCGAAUGAUGAUCCAUUGUACCUGAUAUAGUUUUGUAGGGCAAUAUCACAUAUCAUAUGAAACUGGAAAAUCUUCAGUAUUUGAGACCUUUGUAACAAACCAUAUCUGCUAUAUAACUGGGAAAACUAAAACUUAUACUAGUCCAAAAGUAUAUAAAAAUGACCUAGAGUUCUUCUCGAACACCAUGCUGAAGUAGUUGAACCAGCCUGGACCGGCUACAUCAGCCUGCACUUGCAUGCCUUUGGUACGGGCAACAAUGGUGGCAGUAGCGGGGUUUGGUCCAUCAAUGACAGUCCAGUCGGUAACGGCAGUUAGACCAAACUCUGACGGUUUGCUGGAGGUAACAAUUGCUACCUGGUUGAUGCCUGGUCCGGCGGCGAUUUGGUGCAAGUACAAGCGCAUGUUAACCUCAGACUCACACUGAAGAACACAGGAUAGGGAUGCAGAUGCCAUGGAUAGAAUGGAAUGCAGGACUAGGAUCGUGGACAGGACUAAAAGGCUAGGGCUGGCCAUUGCUAGCUAGGAUUUUGUCUGGCAGAAGAAGUUGGUAGCUAGGAGGUGUGUCCGUAAACUGACUCUUUCCUUUGUCGUGUGUGUGAGCUGUGUGAGAGACACUUGAGUCCAGGGUACUAUUUGUAAUGCUCAGGACUAGCUAGCAUAUUCGUUCCAUAUCCUCUUUUUUCAUUUCUCUUUGGGAUGAUCCAUUCCAUAUCCUUUUUAGUUUCUUUUUUUUUAACUGCCAUUUCAGUUAGGAUAGACAACUACACAUGUGUGGCUGAUUCCUUGUACAUGUAUCAACCCUCGGAGAUCACAAAGGUCAAGUGCCUUUUGAGGAACUACCCUUUUAUUUCCUUGAAAUACAAUGUGUACAUUGUAAUGUAGCAUUGAAAAUGACUAAAAUGCAUUAGACGCCCAUUAUUAUCUUUACAUCUUAUUAUAUCUCCGGAAGAGCAGCAGCCUAGGUUUUCCACCUGGACAACGAGCACACUGUCAUUACUCGUACAAUACAAAGUUCAAAUCCAAGGAUUCAUGCUGCGNNNNNNNNNNNNNNNNNNNNNNNNNNNNNNNNNNNNNNNNNNNNNNNNNNNNNNNNNNNNNNNNNNNNNNNNNNNNNNNNNNNNNNNNNNNNNNNNNNNNNNNNNNNNNNNNNNNNNNNNNNNNNNNNNNNNNNNNNNNNNNNNNNNNNNNNNNNNNNNNNNNNNNNNNNNNNNNNNNNNNNNNNNNNNNNNNNNNNNNNNNNNNNNNNNNNNNNNNNNNNNNNNNNNNNNNNNNNNNNNNNNNNNNNNNNNNNNNNNNNNNNNNNNNNNNNNNNNNNNNNNNNNNNNNNNNNNNNNNNNNNNNNNNNNNNNNCUUGUUGAGGCAACCUUGAUGCUGAAGACAGGAGGAAGCUGCCUUGGCAACGUCGCUGGUCUUGUGGAGGCAGCCUUGAUGCCAAAGACAUGAGGAAGCGGCCAGGCCACACAACACUUCAGUUUGGUGGUGCUCUUCAAAUACACGAUCUCGAGUUCCAGAGGGGAAACUCUAGCUCAGGCCUUCAUUCACUGUACGUUGGAAUGGCGAUGUUUCGACAUUGUUCCCUUGUUGGAGACAUUGUCUUGAGAUUGCUCAGAAGUCCUAUUCGGGGUGAAAACUCGUGAUCUAGCCUCUAUUAGAAUGGUGACAACAGUGAUCAUCCCUUUCCUAGAGGUGUCAUUGUUGGAGAACCUUUCUCAUAGUUUGGAUAGUUCCAUUGGCGCAGAUAGGUGUUGGCCACUGAUGCGUGCCAUUGAUUGCUUCAACAUGAAUUUUGUAUGUCCUAUCUUUUUUUAAUAAUUUGGAUGUGUGCAACCCUGAUGUCUGGAUUAGCAUAUUGCUUCUUGUAGAGGCCGCAGGGUGGGUUGGGGUGGGGCUGGGGGCAGGGGUGCCGACCAAAAACUAGCAAAUUUACAAUCAUCUUGAUUAACAUAUUUUUAGCGGUUUGUUCCUUGCAAAAAAAAAGACUAUCAAUGUAUCAAUUAUGCAAGCUAGUUUAAGACCAUUCACAAAUUAUUAUCAAAUGGUUCUAUUAAUGUCAACUGCAUUCAGGAGUCAUGCAUGACGUCAACCAUGUCAAAUUAUUGAAGGUUUAACCUCUGGCUUAGAAACAAAACAAAUGCGUACCAUAGGCCGGCAAAAAGUAUACCACUAUAUAGAAGGAAAUUAAUAAUACUUAGUGGGCAAUCUCCGUACGUGACAACCACCUAAAUAUAAUACUUGGAAAAAAUUAUCAAUGCUACUUGUAUGUUUACUAAUAUAAGUAGUGACCUUUAUAAGGAAUUGCGUCGUUCCAAGGAUGACAUCUUAAUUAGCAUACUACUAAGAUUCGAAGAUAUAUACUAUCUUGAAAGUCAGUUGUGCCAUUAGUCAGAUGUGUAUGCAGUAUACAAUCCAAUUGUAUGUAUAUGUAUGUCAGUAUGUGUGCUCAUCAACAGUUCACCUUGUUUUGAAGCAACCCAGUCAUCAGUAUGAUCGAGUAUUCAGACAUAUCCAGUAUACACGUGUUUAUGCAUUUUAGCUGUGAUUUUCUGCCAAAUGUGCCAACGAAUUAUUGCAUUCACGAGUGCUCUUAUUGCUUGUGUGUAACCCAUGCAGUGUGUUAGAUGAUUUCUGCCAAAUAUGCGUCUAUAAUUGAAGGGAGAACCUAUCCUUCGAUUAUGGAUCAGUCAUUUUUCAUAGCCUACUGUUUAUCUUGUUUGCAUGCCCUUCUCCUCUUCUUUGACCCACCCCCAACCGCCUGCCACGCCGUCCGCGGUCGGUGGUGCUUCCAUGUGUGCCUCACUGCCCUGGCCUGCUCUGCUCAAACUGCCACCUCUACCAUCCCUCCAUGCCCCGGCCAUCCUAUAAACCUCCCCACUGUCCCUGGCACCGGUGAUCCUAUGAUCCUACCCCCUCCCCCGCUCCACAAACCUGUCAAGCCCUUUUCCUCUCCUCCGUCGGCAACCGUGAGUGAUAGAAAUUUGCAUGAUUAAAUAUUUCAUUUGACCAAAACCUUUCAUACAUUUCUAUGCAUGUAACAAGGAAACAAGAUGAUGAUGUGUCGAUGUCCCUUCGCAGGAUUGCAUGGCAGUAACAGAGAUCCAUGUCUUGAAAACAUGAGAAAGAAAGGAGCACGCGAUUGAAACAGAACACCUCAACAAACAUAUAAUAGUGCGUACUAUGUCGUAAGAGCAUCUACAACCACAACUCACAAAUGUGACACCUACACAUGCGUGGACACGCCCGCAGACAAUGACCGGUCAUCCCUAAUUUCUCCGCGUCCGCAGCCGCCCCCCUCAAAUCCAUGCUACCUACGCAAUGUGAUCAACAAUUUUACUCGCAAAAAAAAUGUGAUCAUCAUUUUACAUAGAAAUAACUUGAACAUAUCAGUAGCAAACAUAUAUAUAUUGGGAAUGGCAAGUUUCGUAGAAUCGGACACAAAAUGUCCAUCAAACCUAGAUAUAAUAAGCCUAAUAAAUAAAUAAACUCCUAUGCGUGGACGUUGGCGGCCAGAGGGGCUCGCCAUGCCGCUUACAUAGGAUGAUGAGGAGGAGAUGAUCCUGACCAGGAGCCGGGUGGCGCAGGCCUGCUCCUUGGCGAGUGGGUGGUUUCUGCCUAGGCAGCCGCCCCGUCCUUCACAAGGCGCCCAAAAUCCUCGAUGUCGAGCCGGAGCGCCAUUUGUUUUUGCGGCGGGCAUCCAUAUUCCUCGAGGUCGGUGACCGGAUGAUGAUGUUGCGGAGGAGCUCCUCCUCAGGGUUAGCCUGCGUGGACCUGGAGAACCCUCAGCCGUCCUGUGAGGAACCGGAUGUCUCACAGGCCUGCUGCCUAGCACGGUCGGUUCACGCCUCUACCCAUAUGUCCUCCUCGGAGGAUCAGCGAUGAGGGAAUGAGCACCCAGCUCUGUCCCGGAGGCGCAGGGCACAAAAGUGGUCGGGGGGUCGUGGAGGGCGCUGGAUCUUGACCGGCACAGAUUGUGACGGGCUGACGUGGUUGGCUGCAUUGCCUUGCCGGGCAAAGGAGGAGAAUGCAGAUCUCGAGCUCCCAUCGUCGUUGUCCAUUCGUGAGGUCCUCAUUAUCCAAAUCUUACUACAGCAAGGCAUCCCGGUCGAUGGGAUCCGCCUCGUUGUCGGAUCCGCCACUGAAAUCACUGCCAGAACCAACCACGGUAGCCCGGGAACGGAAGUGACGGGGAUGGGAGCGGACAGGUGUGGAGUGGAAGGGGAGUGAAGAUGCCGAGACUGAGCUAGUUUUGUGGGGAUGGGUUGGGCCAGCAUGGACCAGUCCAAGAUGGCAGUCGCGACUGGGCAUGUAGGUCUACCCCAUAUCCGCCCCAGACAUGAGAUGAGUUUGAGGGGUGCCGGUCGGCCCAGACAAUUGGGCAAACUAUUUGGGGCCCGGUUGGAUGGAAGUUUGUGCUUUGAGAAGUGAUCGGGCUGUCCACCCAGACGUUUUGGGGGAUUUGAGCGCUCCGGUUGUACAUGCUCAAAAUUUGGGCAUGGGAAGAGCUCGCCCGACAGGCCGUGUCUAGGCUGGGCUUGUGCCUCUCAACUCGUAAGACCCAAAAAGUCUAGGAGACCUUAUUUUUUGGAUUUUAUAUGAAAAAUAGUAUGAUAUUGCGCCAAGUAAUCAAAAAAUAAUUCAUUUAUUAUUUUUCAAUAAAAACUUAACCUUUUUCUUGCCCAAGCGGGGUGGGAUCAAACCGAGGGAGGCUUGGCAUUUUCAGGCUAGGUUCUGGCCAUUUUAAUCUAUUUAUUUAUUUCCUUUUUCCGGGACUAAGCCAUUUUAAGUACUUGGUCAGCAAUCUCUAACCAAUGAUAAGAUCACAAGACUAGGCCUAUUAUCUAUUUUUCAUUCAUAGUCAACUGUGUCGCUAAUCAUAUUACUCCAAUCCAGCUAUAUUUAUCCGUGCUCAACAUCAGUUCACCUUGUUUGAAAGAAACCCAGUUAUCUUUCGUUUUUUGCGAGAAAGCUUCGUAUUUAUACUAAAAGACUUCCAAUAUUCCUUUAAACAUAUCGUCGAUGCAUAGUUCAGUGCAUCACAGGUGGCGAGGAUGAACAGGAAGAAAUCACACCAUUUAAGGUAGUUGUUGGGGGCUGGGCCUAGUUUGAAGGUGAUGUAGGAGUGGAUGUUUGUAUUAUGGACGGAGGAUUGAGAGGGUAAGAAGAGAGAGUAGCCACAACAGUGGUGACGGGCGUCAUGGAGCUGGCGGAGCAGCUGGGAGAGGUGUGGGUGGUUUACAUCGGAAGGUUACACACCCUGUGUCUCUAAAGAAGAAGAAAACAAUACCUUGGGCCUGCAAAGUAAACCAACAUAUGGAAUUGAGAAGCAACUUAACAAUACUUAAUCGGCAAUCUCCGUGAAAACCAUUGAAAUAUUGCUAGCUGGUUAUCUAAUGUGGUGGGAUCAUUACUUUGAACAACUCUCUCAAUGAUAGAUGCAUGUUGUCUAACAAGUAGUGACAUUCAUAAGGAAUUGCAUCGAUCCAAGGAUAACAUCUCAAUUACCAUAUGACUAAUUAGGACCUACACAUAUAUACCACCUUGAAGGAACAAGUGUUACCGCAAAUCCAUGCAUCCAAUUCUUUAUGGCGGUGUAGGUUGAAUCUAAUUCCUUCACAACUUGUCUUCUUCUACAGUAAAACUAUGCCCUGAAUUUUCGUGUUUUUUUUCUUCUUAUUUACGAAUAAUACUUGUUUCCUUUGCGGUGUUUGGUCAUAAGAGCAUCUACAACUGCAACUCGCAAAUGUGACCCCUACACGUCCGUGGACGCAUCCGUGGACAGUGACCAGUCACCCACUAUAUCUCCGCGUCCGCUGUCGUCCCCCUCAUAUCCAUGCUAACAACGCAACAUGAUCAACGUUUUACGUAGAAACAACUUGAACAUAGCAGUAUAAAACAUAUAUAUUGGGAAUGACAAGUUUCAUACAAUCGGACACAAAAUGUCCAUCAUCACCUAGAUAUGAUAAGCCUAAACAAUAGAUAAACUCCUACAUGUAGGCAUUGGAUGUCGGAGGGGAUUCGUCAUUGUCGUCGCUCAUCGUGUCCCUGUCAUAGGACGACGACAAGGAGGUUAUCCCGACCAAACGCCGGGCGACACGGGCCUACUCCUUGGUGAGUCGGGCGGCUUUAGCACUGGCGGUUGCCCCCUCCUUCGCGAGGUUCCCGAAAUCCUCGAUGUCGAGCUGGAGAACCUUUACUGUUUUUCGGCGGCGGGCAUCCAUCUCUGACGAGAUCAGUGACCGGAGGAUGACAUCACGGAGGAGAUCCUCCUCCGGGUCAACCAGCGUGGACCUACAUAAUUCGCAGCCACUCUGGGAGGAACCAGCAGUCUCGCGGACCUGCUGCCUCUGAUUUUUACGUCCUCGUCGCAAGCUCGGUAGUGCGGGAACGAGCACCCUGCUCAGACUGGGAGGAGCGGGGCCCAAAGUGGUAGGGGAGGGUCACGGAGGGCGAUAUAUCUUGACCGGCGCAGACCGCGACGGGCUGACGUGGUCCGCUGCAUUGCCUCGUCGGGCAACGGGGGAGAACAGAGAGCUCGAGUUCCUUCCCUUGUCCAUCCAUGACCAGCGGAGCGCACUGCAAAGGGUGAGGUCUCCUCAUCAUCCAAAUCCGACAACCGCAAGGCAUCCCAGUCGAUGGGUUCCGCCUCAUUGCUGGAUCCGCCACUGAAAUCGCUGCUAGAACCAACCAUGGUAGCCCGAGAAGAGGAAGCGGUGGGGAUGGGAGCGAACAUGAGAGGUGUGGAAGGGGAGAGAAGAGGCCGGUACUGAGCUAUGUUUGAGCCCUAGUGGGGAUGGGUUGGGCGAGCACGAACGGAUCUGAUGUGACAGCCGAGUCCGGGCGUGUCGAUCUGCCCUCGACGAUAGGGCUAACUAUGUGGGGUCCGGUUGGGUGGCAAUUUAUUGGCUGAGUGGUGACCGGGCUGUCUGCCCAUACGUUUGGGGGGAUAUGAGCUCUUUGUUGUACAUGCUUUAAAUCUCGGCAGUUCACGUUGUUUCAAAUAAACCCAGUUAUGCUUCCAUUUUGCAAGAAAGCACCGCAUUUAUAUUAGAUGACUUCCAACAUCCCAGAAAACAGAUCGUCGAUGUGGUCCAGUGCAUCAGGAGAAUCUUAGCGGGAGGAUCUAGUUUGAAGGUGGUGUAGGAAUGGAUGUUGGUUUUAUGGACGGUAAUGGGGGCCUGGAGUUAAUAAAAAGGAUUGAGAGGGUAAGAAGAGAGAGCACCAGCUAUAGUAUUGAGGGCACCAUGGUGCUGAGAAACUGGGAGAGGUGUGGGUGGUUUGCAUCGGAAGGUUUCACACCCUCUGGUUCUGAAGAAGAAACAUAAUACCAUAGGCCUGCAAAGUAAACCAACAUAUGGAAUUAAGAAGCAAUUUAACAAUACUUAGUGGGCAAUCUCCGUGACAACCAUGAAAAUAUUGAUAUGUUGUUAAGGAAUUAUUUCUUUGAAUAAGCUCAGUACUAGUUGUAAUAGUUGCAUGUUGUCUAAUAUGUGACGUUGGUAAGAAAUUGCGUCCAGAAAAGUGUAGCAUCUCAAUUAUCAUAUUACCAAGACCUGAAGAUAUAUGCAACCUUGUAGCCUUAUAAAGAGCUAGAGCCCUUGCCUAUUUUUUCUCUUAGAAAUUGGACCAACGUGUCGCGUACGGAUUAAUUUAGUAAUUCUUCUGUAUUUUUUCAUCGAUAAAUAGGAAUAGGGCAGUGUAUAUGUGGAGUGCACACAAUCUUGUUUCACUUUUCUUUGCUGGAAAUAAGCUGUUUUAAGUACUUGGUCAGCAAUCUCAAAUCAAUGAUAAGAUCGUAAGGACUACUAUAUAUUUUCAAAGUAAACUGCGCCGCUAGUCAGAUGGCCAUAAUACAGUUAUAUAUAUCGUGCUCAGCACGAGUUCACCUUGUUUUAAAGCAACCCUGUCAUAAGUAUGAGUAUUAGUUCAAACAUAUUUGUGAAAGAACACUCAUUUAUACACUUUAGCUCUGUUUUUAUGCCCAUGAGUUAGUACAUUCACGAGUGGUUUUUUCUUCACGUAACUGGCACGGAGUGUUACUGAAUAUAACUUUAUUAUUUAUUACAUUUCUUAGGAUGCUUUCUAUCACGAAACUAGCGGUAUUGCCUGCUCAUUUGUGCGGCAAGAUUUUCAUUUCUCAUUUUAAAUUUAGAAACUAUAUUUUGGCAUUUUAAAUAUUACUUAACACUUUGUAAAUAUGUAUUGUUGUAAUUACCAAAUUGCGUAUGAGGGAUUCAUCAGCAAGGAGUGCCAAGAAACAGUCAAUUCCACACAAAAGGCUGAAAUUUAAAUGUUUUUAUUAGAAGACAUUCUAUUAAAUAUGUUAUGUAAGAAGGCCUAAAUUCAUCCAUACAUACGCAUUAGGUAUACUUGUGGGGUUAAGAAUUUUAAGCAUGUAUAUGUACAUCAUAUAUAUAAUAGCUGGACAACUAAGUUUGGGAGAACUUAUUGUGGAAGUACAUACUACGGUAGUCCCACGGUUAUACGAAGUGUGUAGUCGUUCUUGUCAUUGAGUAAGGAUGCUUUAUGGCUGAGCUCGGAUGAUACUGCCAGCCCACGUUGAUGAUAGAGAAACUCCUGAUUAAACAAGCUGAUAUAUGGGAGCGCAUCACCUUGUCGAUGCUAUGGAGGAACUUGAGGCCGAGCCCAUGAUUAGUCAUUGCCUGAUCAAUAUAUGUGAGGAACUUGAGCCGCUACCCGUACUUGGCGACAGACAUGGUGCUCUCCUUGAGAAUGUGGUACUUGCCGCUAAGACGGAUGAUGUGUGAGUUGUUAUUGUUGAGGAAGUACCGGCGGAGGCGAUUCCGUGCCGACAAGGCAGUGCCGUCAAAUCACAUAUCACAAGUCCAGACGACCGUCAUCAAACAUGGUGUAGAUCCACAACAUGAUCCUGAUGUCGGCACGCUGCCACUCGGGGUCAUCAAUUCCAAGUUCAGAUGUAUCAUUAAUGUGGUUGAGUGCAUCGGAGGUGACGAGGACGAACCAGAAGAAAUGCGCCAUUUAUGGUAGUUAUUGACACGUGGGUCGAGUUUAAAGGGAAGUAGGACUGGAUGUUGGUAUUGUGGACAACAAUGGGGCUUGAAGUUGCUAAAAGGGAUUGGGUGGUAAGAAGAGGGAGUAGAAGCAAUAGUGGCGACGGGCGCCGUGCCAUCGACAGAGAAACAGGGAGAGGUACUAGGGGUUUGCGCCAUAAGGGAGGUGGUGCUUGAAUUGGUCUUGGUGUUGCUCAUUGGCGUUACCAAGUUGAACUAUGUAAUAUGUAAUGUUUGCAUCAAGGUUUACAAGUAUCGAUGUACACAAUAUAUAGAGAAGGGUCACAGAGAGAGGCCUAACUAAUUCCAACAUACGAGAGGCGCGCACAGGUCCAUGUAUGACGACGAGUGAAGAGAACUCAGAUCCUAAUCUCCACGGGCUCUGGUACAAAAUGGUUGAGUUGCAACAGUACACACAUAUGGUGCAUAUAUGUUUAACAAUAUUGAUUUGAAUUCAUGUACGAGGGGUAACAAAUGGCAAAUAAUAAAAAUACCAUUGGGCUGCCCGUAAUAGGAGUAUCAUGCACGACAACUAAGCAAUUUUGGUGAAGUGACAUAGAAAUAAAUGUAGAAAGAGAGAAUUCAGUAUCAUAUCAUGAUACCGUAUCAUAAUAAAUGUUAUGCUACUAUGUGUCAUGCAUCACAAUAAAUAAGAUCAUAUCUAAGAUACUAAUACAUUAUAUUAUGCAUUAUAGAGGUAAUAUCAUAGAAUUGUAUCAUAUGCAUAAUACAAACUUAUGAUACUACACAUUAUCUUUGCUAUAAAUAAUCCUACUGACCUCAAAGUGCACGCAUUAUUGCACAGGUCACUUCCGUACAAUUUAGGACCAAAAAUAUAGGUGCGCAAGGUAUAUGCUAUAUCAAAGUCAACCACAGUUAAUUAAGUGAUACGAAUAAGUACUAGCUAGUUUUUUUUUGCAAGGCGGAGUACUAGCUAGCUAGCUAGGGUCGUCCUUGUGUUGGCUCCCUAUAAAUAGCAUCCUACUCCCUCAUAUGGACCUGUACCAGUUAAGCAGCUAGCUAGCUCAUCUCCAUCCCAUCUGUUCUUACUCUAUUCUCCACCAGAACCACCCAAUUCAUCAAUGGCUUCAUCUCUGAAGGUGGCCACCAUCGUCGCUGUUUGCGUCGUGCUCGUCCUCAACAUGGGUCACCCAGCGGCAGCCACAGAAUGCGAAGAUUGUCUGGGCGCCUGUGUUGCAAUUUGCAUCGCCUACGCUGAAACGACGUGCAGUGGCAUCUGUACCGUCAUAACUCCUGCAUGCCAGGCAUGUAAGGACGCGGCCAUAAUUGAGUGUGGUGCAACAUGCUAUGGCGGUUGUACACUAUUCUGCUGAACCGGCCGGUUGUGCCCUGUUGCUCGCUGUAAGCUAGGUGCAUGCUUGUGUUCGUUGUUGCCAUUAUAAGCCAUGUAAAUAAGCGAACUAAUGCCGUUGAUGUGUGCAUGUGGCAAUAGUUCCUUUGUUUUAUUGUUCCCCCUCGUUUCAACCAUCAGUAAAUAUACUUGUGUGCAAGUUGUGUAUACUUUGUGCUUCUUCGUACAUAUCAUGUGUCUAACGCGUUGUCAUACUUCAAAAAUAGGGAUAUAUAUCCUUAUCAGGAGAACGCAGUUCCAAAGUAUGUUGUUUCACUUCCCUCAUGGUAGGGUUUCACAUUUAUCUCAGCGCCUCAUGGCGGCUUAAAGAUUGCAUCUAUUUCCUUCACAACUUGUCUUCUUCCAGCAUAAAACUCUGUCCUGAAUUUUCUAUGAUUUUUCUUCUUCAUGGAAAAUACUUGUUUCCUUUGCAGUGUUUGAUCGUUCAUGAAUUAUUCCAACUAGUUCGAUGCAAUACUAGUUUAAGACCAUGGACGAAUUAAUGUCAAGUGGUAGCUUGUUAUAUUGAUGCCAACUCCAUUCAUGAAUCAUGCGCGGCCAUGUCAAUUAUAUGUAGAAGGGUUCACACCAUGGGCCCACAAAGUAAACCAAUAUAUGGAAUUAAGCAUGCAAUUUAGGAAUACUCACUGUGUAAUCUCCAUGGUAGCCAACGAAAUAUUGCAAGCGCCAUUUUCUAAUGCUAUGGAAUCAUUACUUUGAACCAGUUUCUCGGUGCUAGUUGCAUGUAAUCUAAUACGUUGUGCAUUCAUGAGAAAUUGUGCCAAUCAAUGGAUAAUAUCUUAGUUAGCUUAUUACUCCCUCUGGCCCUUUUUACUCAGCGUAUUAGAUUUGUCUAGUCAUACUUUGCAAAGUUUGACCAAAUUUAUACGAAGAAGUAUCAACAUCUACAAUACUAAAUAUAUAUACUAUAUAUGAAACUAAAUUUCAUGAUGAGCCUAACAAUAUCGAUUUGGCAUUAUGAAUGUUGAUACUUCUUUCUAUAAGUUUGGUCAAAAUAGAGAUACUUUGACUUCACACAAAACUUAUAUGUAGACUAAAAAUGACCGGAGGGAGUACUAAUUAAGACCUUAGGAUAUAUACCACCUUUAAGCAUUAAUAGCUACCACAAAUCCACAUAUUAUAGAUCCUUCUUCUUCCACUAUGUCUCCGUUGAUUGGCUUUUGGCUUUCAGACCACUCAAAAAUUAAUGUCAAGUGGUAGCUUCUUCUAUUAAUGUCAACUCCAUGCAUGAGUGAUGCACGAUCAUGUCAAAUUACAGAAGAUGUCACACCCUCUAGCUCAGAAGAGGAAGAAAACUAAGACCAUAGCCGGCAUGUAAAGUAAACUAAUAUAUGGAAUGACACAUGCAAUUUAGGAAUACUUAGUAAGCAAUCCCCGUGAAAACUACCAAAAUAUUGCUUCUUUUUGAAAAGGGGGGUAUGCCCCCAGCCUCUGCAUCUGAAUGAUGCAUAAGGCCAAUAUUAUUAAUAAGCAAAAUAUCCAACAUAAGUCUCCAAGUCUUGAACAACAAACGAAUACCAAAAUAUUGCUAGCUAGUUAUCUAAUGUGGUGGGAUCAUUAGUUUGAACAACUCUCUCAAUGAUAGAUGCAUGUUGUCUAACAAGUAGUGAUAUUCAUAAGAAAUUGCAUCGAUCCAAGGAUAACAUCUCAAUUACCAUAUGACUAAUUAGGACCUACACAAAUAUACCACCUUGAAGGAACAAGUGUUAACGCAAAUCCAUGCAUCCAAUUCUUUAUGGUGGUGUAGGUUGCAUCUAAUUCCUUCACAACUUGUCUUCUUCUACAGUAAAACUAUGCCCUGAAUUUUCGUGGUUUUUUUCUUAUUUACGAAUAAUGCUUGUUCCUUUGCAGUGUAUGGUCAUAAGAGCAUCUACAACUGCAACUCGCAAAUGUGACCCCUACACGUCCGUGGACACGUCUGUGGACGCGUCCGUGGACAGUGACCAGUCACCCACUAUAUCUCCACGUCCGUUGUCGUCCCCCUCAUAUCCAUGCUAACCGCGCAACAUGAUCAACAUUUUACGUACAAACAACUUGAACAUAGCAGUAUAAAACAUAUAUAUUGGGAAUGGAAAGUUUCAUACAAUUGGACACAAAAUGUCCAUCAUCACCUAGAUAUGAUAAGCCUAAACAAUAGAUAAACUCCUACAUGUAGGCAUUGGAUGAUUCGUCGUUGUCGUCGCUCAUCGUGUCGCUGUCAUAGGACGACGACAAGGAGGUUAUCCCGACCAAACGCCGGGCGACGCGGGCCUACUCCUUGGUGAGUCGGGCGGCUUUAGCACUGGCGGUUGCCCCCUCCUUCGCGAAGUUCCAGAAAUCCUCGAUGUCGAGCUGGAGAACCUUUACUGUUUUUCGGCGGCGGGCAUCCAUCUCUACCGAGAUCAGUGACCGGAGGAUGACAUCACGGAGGAGAUCCUCCUCCGGGUCAACCAGCGUGGACCUACAUAAUUCGCAUCCACUCUGGGAGGAACCAGCAGUCUCGCGGACCUGCUGCCUCUGAUUUUUACGUCCUUGUCGCAAGCUCGGUAGUGCGGGAACGAGCACCCUGCUCAGACUGGGAGGAGCGGGGCCCAAAGUGGUAGGGGAGGGUCACGGAGGGCGAUAUAUCUUGACCGGCGCAGACCGCGACGGGCUGACAUGGUCCGCUGCAUUGCCUCGUCGGGCAACGGGGGAGAACACAGAGCUCGAGUUCCUUCCCUUGUCCAUCCAUGACCGGCGGAGCGCACUGCAAAGGGCGAGGUCUCCUCAUCAUCCAAAUCCGAUAACCGCAAGGCAUCCUAGUUGAUGGUUCUGCCUCAUUGCUGGAUCCACUGAAAUCGCUGCUAGAACCAACCAUGGUAGCCCGAGACGAGGAGCGGUGGGGAUGGGGGGCGAACAUGAGAGGUGUGGAAGGGGAGAGAAGAGGCCGGUACUGAGCUAUGUUUGAGCCCUAGUGGGGAUGGGUUGGGCGAGCACGAACGGAUCUGAUGUGACAUCCGAGUCCGGGCGUGUCAAUCUGCCCUCGAUGAUAGGGCUAACUAUGUGGGGUCCGGUUGGGUGGCAAUUUGUUGGCUGAGUANNNNNNNNNNNNNNNNNNNNNNNNNNNNNNNNNNNNNNNNNNNNNNNNNNNNNNNNNNNNNNNNNNNNNNNNNNNNNNNNNNNNNNNNNNNNNNNNNNNNNNNNNNNNNNNNNNNNNNNNNNNNNNNNNNNNNNNNNNNNNNNNNNNNNNNNNNNNNNNNNNNNNNNNNNNNNNNNNNNNNNNNNNNNNNNNNNNNNNNNNNNNNNNNNNNNNNNNNNNNNNNNNNNNNNNNNNNNNNNNNNNNNNNNNNNNNNNNNNNNNNNNNNNNNNNNNNNNNNNNNNNNNNNNNNNNNNNNNNNNNNNNNNNNNNNNNNNNGCUCUUUGUUGUACAUGCUUUAAAUCUGGGCAUGCGAAGCCUCGCCGCCGGUGUCUAGGCUGUGCUUGUGCCUCUUAGCUGGAAACCCCCAAAAAGUCCAAGAGACCUUAUUUUUGGGAUUUUAUAAGAAAAAAUAGGUAUGCUAUUGUAUCAAUUUAUCUCAAAAUAAUUCGGUUAUUAUUUUUAAAUAAAAAUAUAACCAUUUUCGUGCCCAAUGGGGUGGGAUAAGACCCGGGCUCGGAGUUUUCAUGCCGAGCUCUCGCAGGUUCGUCCAUUUUAAUCAAUUUAUUUCUUUUUCAGGGACUAAGCUAUUUUAAGUACUUGGUCAGCAAUCUCUAACAAAUGAUAAGAUAACAAGACUAGGCCUACUAUCAAUUUUCAUAGUCAACUUUGUCCCUAGUCACAUUACUCCAAUCCGGCUAUAUUUAUGCGUGCGUAUCACCAGUUCACCUUGUUUCAAAUAAACCCAGUUAUGUUUCCAUUUUGCAAGAAAGCACCGCAUUUAUAUUAGAUGACGUCCAACAUCCCAGAAAACAGAUCGUCGAUGUGGUCCAGUGCAUCGCAGGUGGCUACAAUGAACCGGAAGAAAUUGCGAAGUUUAAGGUAGUUCUUAGCGGGAGGAUCUAGUUUGAAGGUGGUGUAGGAAUGGAUGUUGGUUUUAUGGACGGUAAUGGGGGCCUGGAGUAAAUAAAAAGGAUUGAGAGGGUAAGAAGAGAGAGCACCAGCUAUAGUAUUCAGGGCACCAUGGUGCUGAGAAACUGGGAGAGGUGUGGGUGGUUUGCAUCGGAAGGUUUCACACCCUCUGGUUCUGAAGAAGAAAAAUAGUACCAUAGGCCUGCAAAGUAAACCAACACAUGGAAUUAAGAAGCAAUUUAACAAUACUUAGUGGGCAAUCUGCGUGACAACCAUCAAAAUAUUGCUAUGUUGUUAAGGAAUUAUUUCUUUGAAUAAGCUCAGUACUAGUUGUAAUAGUUGCAUGUUGUCUAAUAUGUGACGUUGGUAAGAAAUUGCGUCCAGCAAAGUGUAGCAUCUCAAUUAUCAUAUUACCAAGACAUGAAGAUAUAUGCAACCUUGUAGCCUUAUAAAGAGCUAGAGCCCUUGCCUAUUUUUUCUUAGAAAUUGGACCAACGCUGUCACGUACGGAUUAAUUUAGUAGUAAUUCUUCUGUAUUUUUUCAUUGAUAUAUACGAAUAGGGCAGUGUAUAUGUGGAGUGCACACAAUCUUGUUUCACGUUUCUUUGCUGGAAGUAAGCUGUUUUAAGUACUUGGCCAGCAAUCUCGAAUCAAUGAUCAGAUCGUAAGACUGGGCCUACUAUAUAUUUUCAAAGUCAACUGCGCGACUGGUCAGAUUGUACCACAAUACAGUUAUAUAUAUCGUGCUCAGCACGAGUUCACCUUGUUUUAAAGCAACCCUGUCAUAAGUAUGAGUAUUAGUUCAAACACUCAUUUAUACACUUUAGCUCUGCUUUUAUGCCCAUGAGUUAGUAUAUUCACGAGUGGUUUUUUCUUCACGUAACUGGCACGGAGUGUUACUGAAUAUAACUUUAUUAUUUAUUACAUUUCUUAGGAUGCUUUCUAUCACGAAACUAGCGGUAUUGCCUGCUCAUUUGUGCGGCAAGAUUUUCAUUUCUCAUUUUAAAUUUAGAAACUAUAUUUUGGCAUUUUAAAUAUUACUUAACACUUUGUAAAUAUGUAUUGUUGUAACUACCAAAUUGCGUAUGAGGGAUUCAUCAGCAAGGAAUGCCAAGAAACAGUCAAUUCCACACAAAAGGCUGAAAUUUAAAUGUUUUUAUUAGAAGACAUUCUAUUAAAUAUAUUAUGUAAGAAGGCCUAAAUUCAUCCAUACAUACACAUUAGGUAUACUUGUGGGGUUAAGAAUUUUAAGCAUGUAUAUGUACAUCAUAUAUAUAAUAGCUGGACAACUAAGUUUGGGAGAACUUAUUGUGGAAGUACAUACUACGGUAGUCCCAUGGUUAUACGAAGUGUCUAGUCGUUCUUGUCAUUGAGUAAGGAUGCUUUAUGGCUGAGCUCGGAUGAUACUGCCAGCCCACGUUGAUGAUAGAGAAACUCCUGAUUAAACAAGCUGAUAUAUGGGAGCACAUCAGCUUGUCGAUGCUAUGGAGGAACUUGAGGCCGAGACCAUGAUUAGUCAUCACCUGAUCAAUAUAUGUGAGGAACUUGAGCCGCUACCCGUACUUGGCGACUGACAUGGUGCUCUCCUUGAGAAUGUGGUACUUGCUGCUAAGACGGAUGAUGUGUGAGUUGUUAUUGUUGAGGAAGUACCGGCGGAGGCGAUUCCGUGCCGACAAGGCAGUGCCGUCAAAUCACAUAUCACAAGUCCAGGCGACCGUCAUCAAACAUGGUGUAGAUCCACAACAUGAUCCUGAUGUCGGCACGCUGCCAGUCGGGGUCAUCAAUUUCAAGUUCAGAUGUAUCAUUAAUGUGGUUGAGUGCAUCGGAGGGGACGAGGACGAACCAGAAGAAAUGUGCCAUUUAUGGUAGUUAUUGAUACGUGGGUCGAGUUUGAAGGUGAAGUAGGACUUGAUGUUGGUAUUAUGGACAACAAUGGGGCAUGAUGUUGGUAAAAGGGAUUGGGUGGUAAGAAGGCGUAGAAGCAAUAGUGGCGACGGGCGCCGUGGCAUCGACAGAGAAACAAGGAGAGAUCUUAAGGGUUUGCGCCAUAAGGGAGGUGGUGUUGGAAUUGGUCGGGGUGUUGCUUAGUGGCGUUACCAAGCUGAAUUGUGUAAUAUGUAUUGUUUGCCUCAAGGUUUACAAGUGUCGAUGUACAAAAUAUAUAUAGAAGGGGUACAGAGAGAGGCCUAACUAACUUCAACAUACGAGAGGCGCGUGCAGGUGCACGUAUGACGACGAGUGAAGAGAGCUCAGAUCCUAAUCUCCAUGGGCGCUGGCACAACAUUGUUGAGUUACAACAGUACAUACAGUUGGUGCAUACAUGUUUAACAAUAUUGAUUCGAAUUCAUGUACAAGGGGUAACAAAUGGCAAAGAUUAAAAAUACCAUUAGACUGCCCGUAAUAGGAGUAUCAUACUAGCUAGUAUCAUGCACGACAACUAAGCAAUUUUGAUGAGGUGGCAUAGAAUUAAAGGAAGAAAGAGAGAGUUCAGUAUCAUAUCAUGAUACCGUAUCAUAGUAAAUGUUAUGAUACUAUGUGUCAUGCUUAACAAUAAAUAAGAUCAUAUCUAAGACACUAAUACUUGAUAUUAUGCAUUAUAGAGGUAAUAUCAUAGAAUAGCAUCAUAUGCAUAAUACUACCUCCUUUUCAGUUUAUAUGGCUCAAUUCAAAAAUAUCACCAACCAAGGUAGAUGGUAAAUGGUGGAAUAAUUUUUGUAGUUUGCAAAAGCACUCAAUUAAUGCGCUUGUUUUCCUCAAAAAAAUGUGUUUACCAAUGCAUUAAUUGCAAUUCAUGCAUGCAUAAAGUACAUGCAUUGGUCAAUUUUCUCUUAAUACUUGCGUGCAGUGAUUUAAUGCAUCUUGAAAUCUGAACAUGUGGUGGGGAACAACCAAAUUGAGACUUAUAAAAUGGGAAAACUAAAAUUUUGAGAUAAGCCCUAUAAACUGGAAAGGAGGGAGUACAAACUUAUGAUACUACACAUUAUCUUUGCUAUAAAUAAUCCUUCUGACCUCAAAGUGCCUGCAUUAUUGCACAGGUCACUUGCGUACAAUUUACGACAAAAAAUAUUGGUGCAGACGGUAUAUACUACUAUAUCAAAGUCAAGUACAGUUACUUAAGUGACGAAUAAGUACUAGCUAGUUUUUUUUUGUGAGGUGGAGUACAAGGGUCGUCCUUGUGUUGCUCCCUAUAAAUAGAACCCUACCCCCUCAUGUGGACAUGUACCAGUUAAGCAGCAAGCUAGCUCAUCUCCAUCGCAUCUGUUGUUGCUCUAUUCUCCACUAGAACCACCCAAUUCAUCAAUGGCUUCAUCUCUGAAGGUGGCCGCCGUCGCCGCCGUUUGCAUCGUGCUUGUCCUGAACAUGGGCCGGCCAGUGGCAGCCACAGAAUGCGAAGAUUGUUUGGGUGCCUGUGUUGGCACCUGCAUCGCCUACACUGAAACCACAUGCAGCGGCAUCUGCACCAACAUAACUCCUGCAUGCCAGGCAUGUAAGGACGCAGCCUUAAUUCAGUGCGGUCCAACAUGCUACGGCGGUUGUACCCUCUUCUGUUAAACCACCGGCCGGCUGUGCCCUGUUGCUCGCCGUAAGCUCUAUAUCUGUGCACAUUUCUUUUAAGUAUAUAUCUAUGUCCAUUGGCACCUCGUUGUUGCUAACAUAAGUUGUGUAAAUAAGCGAGUGAAUGUUGUUGCUGUGUGCAUUUGGAAAAUGUUCCUUCGUUCUAUCUAUUCCCCUUCGUUUGCUCAACAUUAAAUAUAUACAUGUGUGGAAGUUGUGUAUGCUUUGUGCUUCCUUGUAUCAUGUGCCUAAUGAGGUUAUACUUAAUAAAGGAUAAAUCCUUAUCUCGAGAACGCGGCUACAAAGUACAUAGUUUUGUUCCUUCACCAGUAGGGGUUCCGACUUUCUCCCAGCCGUCCAUGGCCACGUAGAGUUCGCAACAAAUUCCUUCACAGCUUGUCUUCUUCUAGCGUAAAACCUCAUCCUGAUUUUUCGUAGAUUUUCCGAUUUGCUGAAAAUACUGGUUUCCUAUGCAAUGUUUGAUCAUUCACGAAUUAUACCGACUAGUUUCAUGCGAGACUAGUUUAAGACCGUUGACAAAUUAAUACUAUCAAGUUGUAGCUGCUUCUCCAUUCAUGAAUUGUGCACGACCAUAUCAAUCAUAUGUAGAAGGUUUUACACCCUAUCGCUCAUAAUAAGAAAAAAAAACUAGUACCAUAGGCCCACAAACUAAACCAAUAUACAUAAUUAAGCAUGCAAUUCAGGAAUACUUAGUGGGCAAUCCUCAUUACGACAUAGAAUAUUGUAAGCUCGUCUUCUAAUAUGGAGGAACCAUUACUUUGAACAAGUUUCUCAAGCAAACACGUCCGGAUUUCAUACAAACAUGACGGGUUUCAUAUGAACAUGGUGGAUUUAACUGCAUUUCAAACAUUUAGAAAAAAUACCCGCCGGUAAACCCAUCCUACGGCGUUGGCGCCCGUCUUCUAAUAUGACGGGUUCCAAAGACGUGUCGUCCUCCUUCUGCCAUCUCCAUAAGCACCGGCGAUAAGACUGAUGAAGUAAAGGUGCGGUUUCCGGCGAGGAAGAGUAGAACUUGGGAGACGGACCGGCCCACAUGGGACACAAGGCACCGCCGCCUCCCGUGGCCUAGUCAUCCUCGGAGGAUUCCGCGCCUUGUCCGUCGCCCGUGGACAUGAGGUCCAUGAGGGAAAUGGUGGCGCCGGCGCGUCAUCGUCCCGCUGGGCCGGCUGAUAGUUCAUCGGCGGUGCGUAGGACGCGCUGCUGCCCAUGUUCUCCUCCGUGAUCGCCUGCAGGUGCACCUCUGCGGCUGCCACUUCCUGGCGAGCAGUGGCUUGAGUGCGGACGACAUUGUAGAUAGCAUGCUGCUCCUCGAUGAAAUUUGGGUUCGCCGCCGCCAUGGUCGGCACGGCCUCCUCCCUCGUGCGCUCAGCGUAGAUCUGACACUCCACCAGCCGGUGAUGCUCCAGGAGGAGCAGGUUGUACCGCUGAUCCUCCUGUGCCUGCUGGAACGCCGACAUAGGCGCCAGCGCAAGCGGCACCUCUGCCAUGGUGGCGUUGUACUGUGCUUGCGCCUACUUCAUGGUGAAGCUGACGUGCGCAGAAGGCGUGGGAGCCGCGGCGUAGUCAUCAGAGCCCGUCUCCAUCGCGGUGUCAUCCUCAUCGUCGGAGACCUCGAGCGAGCUGGCCGGCAAGCCGUCCUCGAUCCGCAUGGCAGGGCGGCUAUGCCAGGCAGCGGCAAGAAUGGCCACCACAUGCUUCAUCUCCGGUGACAGACUAUCCCACAUUGCUUUCCCGGCGAUCAUGGCGGAUGCAGUGCAAGGGAGGACGAUGUGGGGGGGCUUGUGUUGUGGUGUGGAGUUAGCCGGGUGUGGCCGUCUUUAUAUAGCAGAUUUCGGUGAGGCGAGGCGUUUCUGUGCGUCAAUGCGCUGUGCCGGAGUGGGUUUCUCGGCCGACGAGCCUGCUUAAUGGCAGUAGACGGACGGACAACUGCAUUGAACAGGCGUGGUAGAUAUCAAUCACGUCCCAUCCAGUCACACGUGUUCGGCAUUGAACAGGCACGGACACCGGAGACGCGUAACUACGACGCCCUCAGCUGGUGCGCCGCUUCAAUGGCGGAGGCAGUGAGAGGUCGCGUCCACCGUAAGCCGUCUUCAGUGAGAGGUGCGCUCUACAGCGACAUGAAUGCGGGCAACUGGUGCCGGGCGGGAAUGUGCGCUGGAGGGGAGAGGGGUUUUGGUGGGCCAGGCCGGUCAGAAAUGGGCAUGGGAUCGGUCUAGACUCUCGCAAACCUCCCCCACAUUUGUCUCCGAUUUGCAGGAAGAAUCGCGUCCGGACCACCCCGCGGACCGAUACAAGUCAGCAUUUCAUGGCUUCCACGGUCCGGACAGCCCGGUCCGGAUAGUAGCGGGAGGUUUAUAGGUCCGCCUUGGAGAUGCCCUAAUAAAUACUAAAAUCAGAAGAAAAAAAUAGUAAAAAAUUCAAAAAAUUCUGAUUUUUUGGUGCAAACUUUGAAAAAUAUUUUAUGUGCCUGCGAAAAAUUAUGUUAGAAUGACAUUUAUGGAAGUCAUGGUAAAAAAGAAAUCAAUGCUCAUAAAUGCUAUAUAAUCCAAAGCAUUAUUGGAGUGAUGUUUUUUUUAUUUUGCCAUGACUUCCAUCUAUAUUUAUGCAUGCUCAUGACCCGUUCACCUUGUCUGAAAGAAACCCAGUUAUCUUUCUUUUCGUCGAGAAAGCUCCGUAUUUAUAUUAGAAGACUUCCAACAUCGCAGAAAACAUAUCGUUGAUGUGGUCCAGUGCAUCGCCGAUGGAAAGGACGAACUGAAAGAAAUUGCACCAUUUAAGAUAGUUGUUGACGGCUGGGUCUUGAAGGUGAUGUUGGUAUUAUGGACAGCAAUCGAGGCCUGGAGUUGGGAAAAGGGAUUGGGAGGGUAAUAAGAGAGAGCAACAGCAACAGUGAUGACAGGCAUCAUGGUGUUUGCUGAGAAACUGGGAGAGGUGUGGGUGGUUUCGCACCCUCUGGCUGUGAAGAAGAAAAAGAAUAAUACCAUAGAUAUGCAAAGUAAAGCAACAAAUGGAAUUAAGAGAUGAAAGCAUGGCUGCAAAAACAUUGAAGGAACUCCUCCCCCAACAAAAGAAAAGACUAGGUUUCCUCUAUCUCCCGCCGGCUCCGCCGCCGGUCCGCCUCGUCUCCGGUGACCUUAGGGCCAUGGCGGCAUGGUGGACCCGGCCCUUGCCGGCGGGAGGGCUCCGUCUUUAGAUGUUUCUUCAAAUUUUGUUAGGGUUUGUGUCCUGCUCAGGAAGACGAGGCAGCGGCGGCUUUCUGAAGAUCGAAUAAGGUUCUCCCCACCUAGUCCACGUUCCGGUGGUGCGUCUAUCAUCGUCGGUGGGUGUGUGGAGGUGUGUCUUCAGUGGAUCUUUCAUUGGUGGAUUUGCUCAUAUAUUGUCGUAGUUCGUCUAUGUUCGUGUGUCUUAAGGUUAGAUCUUUCUGAUCUAUGCUACUCUUUAACGACGGCGGUUGCUAUUCUGGUGCGCUUGCCCUACGGGGCCUUAGCACGACGACUUCGGGAGUGUCUACUACAACAAGGUUUGCCCGGCUCCAGCGAGGGAGGGGCGAUGAUGGCGGCGUGCCUUCGGCUCAUUUCAGUGCUUAUAUUCGUCGCUAGGUGGUCUACGGAUCUGAAUGUAAUUUUUGUUAUUUCUAGUGUUCGUUGUACUACCAUGUUUGAAGAUGAAUAAAUUGAAAGUUUUCGAGAAAAAACAAAUUGAAUUAAGAAGCAAUUUUUUGCGAAAAGAAUUAAGAAGAAAUUUAAUAGUAGUUAGUGGGCAACCAUUGAAAUAUAUAUUGCUAGCUAGUUUUCUAAAGCUAAGGAAUUAUUGCUUUGAGUAAGCUCGGUACUAGUUGUACUAGUUGCAUGUUGUCUAAUAUGUGACGUUGCUAAGAAGUUGUGUCUUGCCUAUUUUUUCCUACAAAUUGCACCAACGCUGUUGCGUAUGGAUUAAUUAAUUUAGUAGUAAUUAUGCUGUAUUUUUCAUUGAUAUAUAUGAAUGGAUCAGUGUAUAUGUGGAGUGCACACAAUCUGGUACGACUGAGCCGUACAAAAAACAAAUUGCUGGAACUAAGCCGUUUUAAGUACUUGGUCAGCGGUAUCAAACCAAUGAUAGGAUCUCAAGACUGGGCAUAGUAUCUAUUUUCAAAGCCAAUUGCGCCGCUAGUCAGAUUUGACCUACAAUUCAGUUAUAUGCAUCGUGCUCACCACUAGUUCACCUCGUCUUAAAGCAACCGAGUCAUCAGUAUGAGUGUUAGUUCAAACAUACCUGUCAAUGUACAUUUUAGAUAUGAUUUUCUGCCCAUGAAUUAAUGCAACAAGUGGGUUUUUUUCUUUUUCUUGUUUUUGCUCGUGCAACUAGCGCGAAGUGUUAGUGAAUAUAACUUUAUCAAACAUGAAUAUAAUUUAAUAUUUCGGUUUUCCAAAUUAAUUUUAUAACAUUUCCAAGGAUACUUGCUAUCACGAAAACCAGUGUUGUUAUCCGCUCAUUUCCGCGGCUAUACUUCUAUUGAUAAUUUUAUAUUUUGUAAUUAAUUUUUGUAUUAUAAAAUAUUUAUUUUUUCUUUGAAAAUAUAUAUUGUUGUAGUUACCUAGUUUUGUAUGAGGAAGUCAUCAGCAAGUUGUGCCAAGAAAUAGUCAGUUCUACUAAAAGCUGAAGUUUAAAUGUUUUGAAGAAAAAAUGAUUCGAUUCAAAAAUAUUACUUAAGAAUGCCUAAAUUGACCCCACGUGCAGCAAGGACACCUGUGGUGUAAUAUUUUUUAAGCAUUUAGACGUAGAUUAUAAAAUAAUUGGACAGCUAAAUUUUUGGGAGAACUUACUCUGGAAGUACACAAUUUGAUCUUCCUACGGUUAAACGAAGUGUCUAUAGCCCUUUUUACCGGUGAAUAAGGGUACUCAGUCGGAUCAGAAUGCUUUAGAGCAUCAAACCCCUUAAAACGCAGGAAACUGUAAAAUAACAGCCGGUUUACAGUUUUAGGCGGAAAAAGCGACCCGAAUAGAACAUGUAAAUGACUCCGACCGGUAAUUUUUUUAAGGGUAAUGGAAAACAUCCCCGCCAAACCGGUGAAAAUAAGGAUUUCGGAGCCAACCCGAGGGUGCCCUGUAUAUGCCAAAGACCGAUGGUGGGAAUCCAACUGCCACCGGAACCUUCAUGGCUCGCUCCCGGCCGCCGCCUAGUGCUUUGUAGUCCGCCAGCACCGUACCCCCCCUCUCCCGGCCUUCCCCCGCCCCGGUCAACGUGUCCCGCGUAGUCUAGGCGGGUUGCACUGCUGCUGUGGUGCGUCGUCUGCCGUGCGCCCCUGCUGGCCCCGGCCAGCCGGCCUCCCUCCGCAGCGCCGGCGAGCAGAGCAACUGACGAGGCGAUGAGGGGCUCCCUCCACUGAGCCCCCACCUCGUGUUUCUGCGGCCGCCGGCUGUGUGUGGUCUGCUGCUGCCUACGGCCGCCGUGGCGCCCCACCUCUGGCUGGUAAUUUUCUCGCUGGUGGUUUGGUCUUUGGUGAAUCGGUGUAUGCAUCGUCUGCCUGUCACAGUGAAUAGACGAUUUAAAUGUUGAACUGACUUUACAAUAGAAUGGAUUAUGUAUCUGAGUAUGUGCGAUGUGCUGAUGGAACUCGGAAGUAUUCAUUUUUAGAGAAAUAGAAACAGAAAUUUAUGCAUGCUCAUGACCCGUUCACCUUGUCUGAAAGAAACCCAGUUAUCUUUCUUUUCUUCGAGAAAGCUCCGUAUUUAUAUUAGAAGACUUCCAACAUCGCAGAAAAGAUAUCGUUGAUGUGGUCCAGUGCAUCGCCGAUGGAAAGGACGAACUGGAAGAAAUUGCACCAUUUAAGAUAGUUGUUAACGGCUGGGUCUUGAAGGUGAUGUUGGUAUUAUGGACAGCAAUCGAGGCCUGGAGUUGGGAAAAGGGAUUGGGAGGGUAAGAAGAGAGAGCAGCAGCAACAGUGGUGACAGGCAUCAUGGCGCUUGCUGAGAAACUGGGAGAGGUGUGGGUGGUUUCACACCCUCUGGCUGUGAAGAAAAAGAAUAAUACCAUAGACAUGCAAAGUAAAGCAAGAAAUGGAAGUAAGAGAUGAAAGCGUGGCUGCAAAAACAUUGAAGCAACUCCUCCCCCAUCAAAAGAAAAGACUAGGUUUCCUCUAUCUCCCGCUGGCUCCGCCGCCAGUCCGCCUCGUCUCCGGUGGCCUUAGGGCUAUGGCGGCAUGGUGGAUCCUGACCCUUGCUGGCGGGAGGGCUCCGUCUUUAGAUGUUCCUUCAAAUUUUGUUAGAGUUUGUGUCCUGUUCAGGAAGACGAGGCGGCGGCGGUUUUCUGAAGAUCGAAUAAGGUUCUUCCCGCCUAGUCCAUGUCCCGGUGGUGCGUCUAUCAUCGUCGGUGGGUGUGUGGAGGUGUGUCUUCGGUGGAUUUGCUCGGAUAUUGUCGUAGUUCGUCUAUGUUCGUGUGUCUUCAGAUUAGAUCCUUCUGAUCUAUGCUACUCUUCAACGGUGGCGGUUGCUAUUCUGGUGCGCUGGUCCUAUGGGGCCUUAGCACGACGACUUCGGGAAUGUCUACUACAACAAGGUUUGCCCAGCUCCAGCGAGGGAGGGGCGAUGAUGGCGGUGCGCCUUCGGCUCGUUUCAGUGCUUAUAUUCGUCGCUAGGUGGUCUACGGAUCUGAAUGUAAUUUUUGUUAUUUCUAGUGUUUGUUGUACUACCAUGUUUGAAGAUGAAUAAAUUGAAAGUUUUCACGAAAAAACAAAUUGAAUUAAGAAGCAAUUUUUUCACAAAAAGAAUUAAGAAGAAAUUUAACAGUACUUAGUGGGCAAUCUCCGUGACAACCAUUGAAAUAUAUAUUGCUAGCUAGUUUUCUAAAGCUAAGGAAUUAUUGCUUUGAAUAAGCUCGGUACUAGUUGUACUUGUCUAAUAUGUGACGUUGCCAAGAAAUUGCGUCCAGCAAAGAAUAACAUCUUAAUUAGCAUAUUAGUAAGACCUAAAUUAACACAUGUCGCUAAUCUUGAAUAAUUUUUGAAAAUCAUGAAAAAAAAUUAAACUGGGGAACAUAUCUGAAAUUAAGAUCUCUUUUAAAAUUCAUGAAAAGUUUCACAAAUUUUCGAAUAUUUUCUAAAAAAAGAACAUUUUUGAAUUCAAGAAUAUUUUAUAAUAUUUGCAAUGAAUUUUUAAAACAUUUCCAGAAUCGACGAACAAUUUUUGGAAAUUGUUUGGUGGAACAAUUUUCGAAAUUCACGAACAUUUUUUGAUUUAAAAACAUUUUUUGAAAUGCGUGACCAUUUUUUGAAUCAGCAAAUUUUUUAUUAUUCAAUAAACUAUUUUGUAUGUCAUGAACAGUUCUUGAAUUUUUGGGAUAUUUUUUCAGUUCAGGAAUAGUUUCUAAAUUGGUGAAAUGUUUUCUAGUUCAUUAAAAAAUAAUAUAAAACUUUUCAAAAUAUCAUGAACAUUUUUUGGUUUCCCGAACAUUUGUAUUCAAAAUUGCGGAGAGUUUUUGAAUGUGCAAACAUUUUUUUAGUCACGAAUAUAUUCUGAAUCCCCAAACAUUUAUGAAAUAUUAAACAUUUUAUGUAAAAAAAUCAUUUUAAUUAAUUUUUGAAACUGUUUGAAGUUCCAAAUUAUUUAAUGUAGAAUAAAUUGAAGAUAGAAAUAAGAAAAAAAAGAAAUUUUAAAAAAAAGGUCUCCCGGACAUGGGCUAGCCCAAAUAGGUGCACUGUGUCUUCUUCCGGCGCGCACAGCACGGUAUAGAAUAUUCCUACUACAUGGGUCGGCCCAGGUCCGGAUUCCCCUGUGUGAAACGUUUAUUAUCACUUAUAGGUGGCAUCGACGGGUAAUAUUUUGCAAUUUUAGAGGUAAUUUCGGUGAUGUACCAGCAGAAGCAAGAGCCCCUUUAUUAUUAAUUAAAGGCGUAGAUGGACGGCAAUGGAGGUAUGGAGUUAGUAAAAAAGGAUUGAGAGUUUAAGAAGAGAGAGAAGCUGCAAUAGUUUUGACGGGCAGCUGGCGGAGAAACUGGGAGAGGUGUGGGUGGCUUGCAUCGGAAGGUUACACACCCUCUGUCUCUGAAGAAGAAGAAGAAAAUAAUACCAUGGGCCUUCAAAGUAAACUAACAUAUGGAAUUGAGAAGCAAUUUAACAAUACAUAGUGGGCAAUCUCCGUGAGAACCAUUGAAAUAUUGCUAGCGAGUAGUUUUCUAAUGCAAAGGAAUUAUUGUUGUCAAUAAGCUCGGUAGUAGCUGUACUAGUUGCAUGUUGUCUAAUACUCCCUCCGUUCCAAAAUAUAGUGCGUCCGCACUUUCCGAAGUUUAACUUUGACCAUAAAUCUAACCAACGAGACCGACUGUGGCGGGAGCGAAAAUUAUACCAGUGAAUUCGUAUUCAAAAGAAGUUUUCAAUUAUACAAUUUUUCCUCCCGCCGCAGUCGGUCUCGUUGGUUAAAUUUAUGGUCAAAAUUGAAGCGCGGAAACCGAGGACGCACUAUAUUUUGGAACGGAGGGAGUACUAGAAGGGUUGAGCAUGUUUUGUUGCGUGUUGUUUUAUUUAAAAAAAAUUACUCACUUUGUGUCAAACUAUAAGUGUAUUACUUUCUUGAAAGUCAAACCAUUUAAGUUUCAUUAAACUUGUAGAGAAAUAUAUCAAAAUUCAUAAUAUCAAAUCAGUAUGAUUAGAUUCAUCAUGAGAUGAAUUUCCAUACCUCUUUAUUUAAUAUGGUAGAUGUCAACAUUUUUUUGCUCUAAAUUUGGUCAAGUUAAAGAAAUUUGACUUUCAAAAAACUAAUACCCCUUAUAUUUUGAUACUGAUGAAAUAUUUCGUCUGGCGAGUAGGGAGAUUAUGGAGCGUGUUAUUUUUAUCUAUAAUGCGGUGAUUUUAUAGGCCUUUGUGGUUCUGUGUCAUCUGCUAACCAACGUAUAUUUAUGUGGGGAAAUUUCUAUGUUGAUGGUUGCAUGUACUAUAUGGUGCUCAAGUAUCACGUGGUGAUGCUUCUUUUUUGUAGGUGGUGUAAGGGUGCACUGGAGUAAUACGCUUUUAUAGGCCGGUUGCUGUUGAUAUAUUUGAAAAAGCGUUGGUCUGGUCAAAAUCGUAAACCAAACCCAAAAUUGAAUACCUUAAUUGAAUGAAAGAGCUUCAAGAUGGCAACAUAGUGAACUAAGAGAAAUUAAAUUAAGAGCCAUUGAGAAAUUGUUGACCUUGUCAGAAUCAUGCUGGCCAAAUUCUAAAUUGAAGAUUUUAAUUAAUUAUGAGGCCUUCAAAAUUAUGAAGCAUAGUGUGUAGUAUAAAAGAAAUGAAUGAGAUGGUUCUGGGAAAUUGUUAAUCCGGUCAAAAUCGGGUGACCCAAUCCCAAUGGGAGACCUCAAUCGAAUGUGGGCCCUUUAAAACUAGGGACCUUAGUGUUAUAGAGGAUGCAACGUUGGUAAGAAAUUGCGUCCAGCAGAGUAUAGCAUCUUAAUUAUCCUAUUAUCAAGACCUGAAGAUAUAUACAACCUUGAAGCCUUAAGAGCUAGAGCCCUUGUCUAUUUUUUUCUUAGAAAUUGGAGCAACGCUGCCACGUACGGAUUAAUUUAGUAGUAAUUCUUCUGUAUUUUUUUUCAUUGAUAUAUAGGAAUAGGGCAGUGUAUAUGUGGAGUGCACACAAUCUUGUUUCAUUUUUCUUUGCAGGAAGUAAGCUGUUUUAAGUACUUGGUCAGCAAUCUCAAAUCAAUGAUAAGAUCGUAUGACUGGACCUACUAUAUAUUUUCAAAGUCAACUACGCCGCCAGUCAGAUAUGUACUACAAUACAGUUAUGUAUAUCGUGCUCAGCACGAGUUCACCUUGUUUUAAAGCAACCAAGUCAUAAGUUUGGAUGGUAGUUCAAACAUAUUUGUCAAAGAACACUCGUUUAUACACUUUAGCUCUGAUUUUAUGCCCAUGAGUUAAUACAUUCAUGAGUAGUUUUUUCUUCAUGUAGCUGGCACGGAGUGUUACUGAAUAUAACUUAAUUAUUUAUUACAUUUCGUAGAUUGCUUUCUAUCCUGAAACUAGCAAUAUUACCUGCUCAUUUUGCGCGACAAGAUUUUCAUUUGGCAUUUUAAAUUUGGAACUAUAUUUUGGCAUUUUAUAUAUUUCUUAACACUUUGUAAAUAUGUAUUGUUGUAAUUACCUAAUUGUCUAUGAGGAAUUCAUCAGCAAGGAGUGCCACGAAAUAGCCGGUUCCACUCAAAAGGCUGAAUUUUAAAUGUUUUUAUUAAAAGACAUUCAAUUAAAACAUAUUAUGUAAGAAGGCCUAAAUUCAUCCAUACAUAUGCAUUAGCUAUACUUGCGGGGUUAACAAUUUUAAGCACGUAUAUGUACAUUAUAUAUAAAAUAGCUGGACAACUAAGUUUUGGAGAACUUAUUGUGGAAGUACAUACUAUCGUUGGCCCACGGUUAUACGAAGUAUGUUGUCGUUCUUGUUAUUGGGUAAGGAUACCCACUUGGAGCCGGAUGCCGGCCCAAGUUGAUGACAGAGAAACUCCUGAUUAAGCAAGCUGAUAUAUGGGAGCACAUUACCUUGUCGAUACUAUGGAGGAACUUGAGGCCGAGACCAUGAUUAGUCAUCGUCUGAUCAAUAUCUGGGAGGAACUUGAGCCGCUACCCAUACUUGGCGAUGAACAUGAUGCUCUCCUUGAGCAUGCGGUACUAGCCGCUAAGAGGGAUGGUGUGUGCGGUGUUAUUGUUGUGGAAGUACCGGCAGAAGCGAUUCCGUGCCGACAAGGCAGUGCCAUCAUAGGACAUCACAAGUCCAUGAGACCACCGUCGAUCAUGGCAUACGUAGAUCCACAACAUGAUCCUGAUGUCGGCACGCUGCCACUCGGGGUCAUCAAUUUCAACUUCAGAUGUCUCAUUAAUUUGGCCGAGUGCAUCAGAGGUGGCGAGGACGAACCAGAAGAAAUGUGCCAUUUAUGGUAGUUGUUGACGCGUGGGUCGAGUUUGAAGGUGAAGUAGGACUGGAUAUUAUAUUAUGCACGACAAUUGGGCCUGAAGUUGGUAAAAGGGAUUCGGAGGUAAGAAGAGGGAGUAAAUGCAAUAGUGGCGACGGGCGUCACGGCAUCGACGGAGAAACACGGAGAGGUCUUGGGGGUUUGCGCUACAAGGGAGGUGGUGCUGGAAUUUGUCUGGGUGUUGCUCACUGGCGUUACCAAGAUGAACUCUGUAAUUUGUAUUGUUUGCAUUAUAGAGGUAAUAUCAUAGAUUAGUACAUAUGUUAUGCAUUAUUGACGUAAUAUCAUAGAAUAGUAUGAUAUGCAUGUUAGAAACUUAUGAUAUUACUCAUUACAGGCAGCCUUAGCUACACAAAUGUAUGGGUCAUUUCGCUAUAAAUAAUCCUUCUGGCGUCAAAGUGCACGCGUUAUUGCAGAGUUCACUUGCGUACAAUUUAGGACAAAAAUUAUUGGUGCACAAGGUAUAUACUAUAUCAAAGUCAACCACAGUUAAUUAAGUGAUAUGAAUAAGUACCAGCUAGUUUUUUUUUCUUUUUUGCGAGGAGUACUAGCUAACUAGCUAGGGUCGUCCUUGUGUUGGCUCCCUAUAAAUAGCAUCCUACUCCCUCAUAUGGACAUGUACCAGUUAAGAAGCUAGCUAGCUCAUCUCCAUCGCAUCUGUUCUUGCUCUAUUCUCCACUAGAACCACCCAAUUCAUCAAUGGCUUCAUCUCUGAAGGUGGCCACCAUCGUCGCUGUUAGCGUUAUGCUCGUCCUCAACAUGGGUCACCCGGCGGCAGCCACAGAAUGCGAAGAUUGUCUGGGCGCCUGUGUUGCAAUUUGCAUCGCCUACGCUGAAACGACGUGCAGUGGCAUCUGCACAGUCAUAACUCCUGCAUGCCAGACAUGUAAGGACGCGGCCAUAAUUGAGUGUGGUGCAACAUGCUAUGGCGGUUGUACCCUAUUCUGCUAAACCGGCCGGUUGUGCCCUGUUGCUCGCUGUAAGCUAGGUGCAUGCUUGUGUUCGUUGUUGCCAUUAUAAGCCAUGUAAACAAGCGAACUAAUGUCGUUGAUGUGUGCAUGUGGCGAAAGUUCCUUUGUUUUAUUGUUCCCCCUCGUUCCAACCAUCAGUAAAUAUACUUGUGUGCAAGUUGUGCAUAUUUUCUGCUUCUUCGUACAUAUCAUGUGUCUAACGCGUUGUCAUACUUAAACAAUAGGGAUAUAUAUCCUUAUCAGGAGACCGCAGUUCCAAAGUAUGUAGUUUCGCUUCCCUCAUGGUAGGGUUUCAUAUUUAUCUCAGCGCCUCAUGGCAGCUGAAAGAUUGCAUCUAUUUCCUUCACAACUUGUCUUCUUCCAGCAUAAAACUCUGUCCUGAAUUUUCUAUGAUUUUUCUCUGUCACAGAAAAUACUUGUUUCCUUUGCAGUGUUUGAUCGUUCAUGAGUUAUUCCAACUAGUUCCAUGCAAUACUAGUUUAAGACCAUGGACGAAUUAAUGUCAAGUGGUAGCUUAUUAUAUUGAUGCCAACUCCAUUCUUGAAUCAUGCACGGCCAUGUCAAUUAUAUGUAGAAGGGUUCACACCAUGGGCCCACAAAGUAAACCAAUAUAUGGAAUUAAGCAUGCAAUUUAGGAAUACUCACUGUGUAAUCUCCAUGGUAGCCAACGAAAUAUUACAAGAGCCAUUUUCUAAUGCUAAGGAAUCAUUACGUUGAACAAGUUUCUCGGUGCUAGUAGCAUGUAAUCUAAUACGUAGUGGCAUUCAUGAGAAAUUGUGCCAAUCAAUGGAUAAAAUCUUAGUUAGCAUAUUACUCCCUCUGGCCCUUUUUACUCUGCGUAUUACAUUUGUCUCAAGUCAAACUUUGCAAAGUUUGACCAAAUUUAUACGAAAAAGUAUCGACAUCUACAAUACUAAAUAUAUAUACUAUAUACGAAACUAAAUUUCAUAAUGAGCCUAACAAUAUCGAUUUAGCAUUAUGAAUGUUGAUACUUCUUUCUAUAAGUUUGGUCAAAAUAGAGAUACUUUGACUUCAGACAAAACUUAUAUGUAGACUAAAAAUGACAUGAGGGAGUACUAAUUAAGACCUUAGGACACAUACCACCUUUAAGCAUUAAUAGCUACAACAAAUCUGCAUAUUAUAGAUCCUUCUUCUCCCACUAUGUCUCCAUUGAUUGGCUUUCGGACCACUCAGAAAUUAAUGUCAAGUGGUAGCUUCUUCUAUUAAUGUCAACUCCAUGCAUGAGUGAUGCACGAUCAUGUCAAAUUACAGAAGAUAUCACACCCUCUAGCUCAGAAGAGGAAGAAAACUAAUACCAUAGCCGGCAUGUAAAGUAAACUAAUAUAUGGAAUGACACAUGCAAUUUAGGAAUACUCAGUGAGCAAUCCUCGUGAAAACUACCAAAAUAUUGCUAGCUAGUUUUCUAAUGUGGUGGGAUCAUUACUUUGAACAACUCUCUCAAUGAUAGAUGCAUGUUGUCUAACAAGUAGUGACAUUCAUAAGGAAUUGCAUCCAUCCAAGGAUAACAUAUCAAUUGCCAUAUGACUAAUUAGGACCUACACAUAUAUACCACCUUGAAGGAACAAGUGUUACCACAAAUGCACGCAUCCAAUUCUUUAUGGUGGUGUAGGUUGCAUCUAAUUCCUUCACAACUUGUCUUCUUCUACAGUAAAACUAUGCCCUGAAUUUCGUGGUUUUUUUCUUAUUUACGAAUAAUACUUGUUUCCUUUGCAGUGUUUGGUCAUAAGAGCAUCUACAACUGCAACUCGCAACUGUGACCCCUACACAUCCGUGGACGCGUCCGCGGACAGUGACCAGUCACCCACUAUAUUUCCGCGUCCGCUGUCGUCCCCCUCAUAUCCAUGCUAACCACGCAACAUGAUCAACAUUUUACGUAGAAACAACUUGAACAUAGCAGUAUAAAACAUAUAUAUUGGGAAUGGCAAGUUUCAUACAAUCGGACACAAAAUGUCCACCAUCACCUAGAUAUGAUAGGUCUAAACAAUAGAUAAACUCCUACAUGUAGGCAUUGGCUGUCGGAGGGGAUUCGUCGUUGGCAUCGCUCAUCGUGUCGCUGUCAUAGGACGACGACGAGGAAAUGAUCCCGACCAAACGCGGGGCGACGCGGGCCUACUCCUUGGUGAGUCGGGCGGCUUUCGCACUGGCGGCUGCCCCCUCCUUCGCGAGGUUCCCGAAAUCCUCGAUGUCGAGCUGGAGAACCUUUAUUGUUUUUCGGCGGCGGGCGUCCAUCUCUGUCGAGAUCAGUGACCGGAGGAUAACAUCAUGGAGGAGCUCCUCCUCCGGGUCAAUCAGCGUGGACCUACAGAAAUCUCAGCCACUCUGGGAGGAACCAGCAGUCUCACUGACCUGCUUCCUCUGAUUUUUACGUCCUCCUCGCAAGCUCGGUAGUGCGGGAUCGAGCGCCCUUUUCAGACUGGGAGGAUCGGGGCCCAAAGUGGUAGGGGAGGGUCACAGAGGGCGAUAUAUCUUGACCGGCGCAAACCGCGACGGGCUGACGUGGUCCGCUGCAUUGCCUCGUCGGGCAACGGGGGAGAACACAGAGCUAGAGCUCCUUCCCUUGUGCAUCCAUGACCGGCGGAGCGCACUGCAAAGAGCGAGGUCUCCUCAUCAUCCGAAUCCGACAACGGCAAGGCAUCCCAGUCGAUGGGUUUCGCCUCAUUGCUGGAUCCGCCACUGAAAUCGCUGCCAGAACCAACCAUGGUAGCCCGAGAAGAGGAAGCGGUGGGGAUGGGAGCGAACAUAAGUGGUGUGGAAGGGGAGAGAAGAGGUCGGUACUGACCUAUGUUUGCGCCCUAGUGGGGAUGGGUUGGGCGAGGACGAACGGAUCUGAUGUGACGGUCGAGUCCGGGCGUGUUGAUCUUCCCUCGACGAUAGGGCUAACUAUGUGGUGUCCGGUUGGGUGGCAAUUUAUUGGCUGAGUAGUGACCGGGCUGUCUGCCCAUACGUUUGGGGGGAUAUGAGCUCUCUAUUGUACAUGCUUUAAAUCUUGGCAUGCGAAGCCUCGCCCGCCGGUGUCUAGGCUGGGCGUGUACCUCUCAGCUAGAAACCCCCAAAAAGUCCAAGAUUCCUUAUUUUUGGGAUUUUACAAGAAAAAAUAGGUAUGAUAUUGUAUCAAUUUAUCUCAAAAUAAUUAGGUUAUUAUUUUUAAAUAAAAAUAUAACCAUUUGCCUGCCCAAGCGGGGUGGGAUAAGACCCGGGCUCGGAAUUUUCAUGCCGGGCUCUCGCAGGUCCGUCCAUUUUAAUCAAUUUUUUUUCAGGGACUAAACUGUUUUAAGUAUUUGGUCAGCAAUCUCUAAACAAUGAUAAGAUAACAAGACUAGGCCUACUAUCAAUUUUCAUAGUCAACUUUGUCCCUAGUCACAUUACUCCAAUCCAGCUAUAUUUAUGCGUGCAAAUCACCCAGUUCACCUUGUUUCAAAUAAACCCAGUUAUGUUUCCAUUUUGCAAGAAAGCACCGCAUUUAUAUUAGAUGACUUCCAACAUCCUAGAAAACAGAUCGUCGAUGUGGUCCAGUGCAUCGCAGGUGGCUACAAUGAACCGGAAGAAAUGGCGAAGUUUAAGGUAGUUCUUAGCGGCAGGUUCUAGUUUCAAGGUGGUGUAGGAAUGGAUGUUGGUUUUAUGGACGGUAAUGGGGUCAUAGAGUUAAUAAGAAUGAUCGAGAGGGUAAGAAGAGAGAGCACCAGCUAUAGUAUUGAGGGCACCAUGGUGCUGAGAAACUGGGAGAGGUGUGGGUGGUUUGCAUCGGAAGGUUUCACACCCUCUGGUUCUGAAGAAGAAAAAUAAUACCAUCAGCCUGCAAAGUAAACCAACGUAUGGAAUUAAGAAGCAAUUUAACAAUACUUAGUGGGCAAUCUCCGUGACAAGCAUCAAAAUAUUGCUAUGCUAUUAAGGAAUUAUUUCUUUGAAUAAGCUCAGUACUAGUUGUAACAGUGGCAUGUUGUCUAAUAUGUGACGUUGGUAAGAAAUUGCGUCCAGCAAAGUGUAGCAUCUCAAUUAUCAUAUUACCAAGACCUUGUCGAUACUAUGGAGGAACUUGAGACCGAGACCAUGGUUAGUCAUCGUCUGAUCAAUAUCUGGGACGAACUUGAGCCGCUACCCAUACUUGGCGAUGGACAUGAUGCUCUCCUUGAGCAUGCGGUACUAGCCGCUAAGACGGAUGGUGUGCGCGGUGUUAUUGUUGUGGAAGUACCGGCAGAAGCGAUUCCGUGCCGACAAGGCAGUGCCAUCAUAGGACAUCACAAGUCCAUGAGACCACCGUCGAUCAUGGCGUACAUAGAUCCACAACAUGAUCCUGAUGUCGGCACGUUGCCACUCGGGGUCAUCAAUUUCAACUUCAGAAGUCUCAUUAAUUUGGUGGUGGCGAGGACGAACCAGAAGAAAUGUGCCAUUUAUGGUAGUUGUUGACGCGUGGGUCGAGUUUGAAGGUGAAGUAGGACUGGAUGUUAUAUUAUGCACGACAAUUGGCCUGAAGUUGGUAAAAGGGAUUGGGAGGUAAGAAGAGGGAGUAAAAGCAAUAGUGGCGAUGGGCGCCAUGGCAUCGAUGGAGAAACAGGGAGAGGUCUUUGGGGUUUGCGCCAUAAGGGAGGUGGUGCUGGAAUCUGUUUGGGUGUUGCUCACCGGCGUUACCAAGAUGAACUCUGUAAUUUGUAUUGUUUGCAUUAUAGAGGUAAUAUCAUAGAUUAGUACAUAUGUUAUGCAUUAUUGACGUAAUAUCAUAGAAUAGUAUGAUAUGCAUGUUAGAACCUUAUGAUAUUACUCAUUACAGGCAGCCUUAGCUACACAAACGUAUGGGUCACUUCGCUAUAAAUAAUCCUUCUGACGUCAAAGUGCACGCAUUAUUGCAGAGUUCACUUGCGUACAAUUUAGGACAAAAAUUAUUGGUGCACAAGGUAUAUACUAUAUCAAAGUCAACCACAGUUAAUUAAGUGAUAUGAAUAAUUACCAGCUAGUUUUUUUUUUCUUUUUUUGCGAGGAGGAGUACUAGCUAACUAGCUAGGGUCGUCCUUGUGUUGGCUCCCUAUAAAUAGCAUCCUACUCCCUCAUAUGGACAUGUACGAGUUAAGCAGCUAGCUAGCUCAUCUCCAUCAAAUCUUUUCUUGCUCUAUUCUCCACUAGAACCACCCAAUUCAUCAAUGGCUUCAUCUCUGAAGGUGGCCGCCAUCGUCGCUGUUUGCGUCAUGCUCGUCCUCAACAUGGGUCACCCGGCGGCAGCCACAGAAUGCGAAGAUUGUCUGGGCGCCUGUGUUGCAAUUUGCAUCGCCUACGCUGAAACGACGUGCAGUGGCAUCUGCACCGUCAUAACUCCUGCAUGCCAGGCAUGUAAGGAUGCGGCCAUAAUUGAAUGUGGUGCAACAUGCUAUGGCGGUUGUACCCUAUUCUGCUAAACCGGCCGGUUGUGCCCUGUUGCUCGAUGUAAGCUAGGUGCAUGCUUGUGUUCGUUGUUGCCAUUAUAAGCCAUGUAAAUAAGCGAACUAAUGCCGUUGAUGUGUGCAUGUGGCAAAAGUUCCUUUGUUUUAUUGUUCCCCCUCGUUUCAACCAUCAGUAAAUAUACUUGUGUGCAAGUUGUGUAUACUUUGUGCUUCUUCGUACAUAUCAUGUGUCUAACGCGUUGUCAUACUUAAACAAUAGGGAUAUAUAUAUCCUUAUCAGGAGAACGCAGUUCCAAAGUAUGUAGUUUCGCUUCCCUCAUGGUAGGGUUUCAUAUCUAUCUCGGCGCCUCAUGGCGGCUUAAAGAUUGCAUCUAUUUCCUUCACAACUUGUCUUCUUCCAGCAUAAAACUCUGUCCAGAAAUUUCUAUGAUUUUUCUUCUUCAUGGAAAAUACUUGUUUCCUUUGCAGUGUUUGAUCCUUCAUGAAUUAUUCCAACUAGUUCGAUGCAAUACUAGUUUAAGACCAUGGACGAAUUAAUGUCAAGUGGUAGCUUGUUAUAUUGAUGCCAACUCCAUUCAUGAAUCAUGCGCGGCCAUGUCAGUUAUAUGUAGAAGGCUUCACACCAUGGGCCCACAAAGUAAACCAAUAUAUGGAAUUAAGCAUGUAAUUUAGGAAUACUCACUGUAUAAUCUCCAUGGUAGCCAACGAAAUAUUGCAAGCGCCAUUUUCUAAUGCUAAGGAAUCAUUACUUUGAACAAGUUUCUCGGUGCUAGUUGCAUGUAAUCUAAUAUGUAGUGCAUUCAUGAGAAAUUGUGCCAAUCAAUGGAUAACAUCUUAGUUAGCUUAUUACUCCCUCUGGCCCUUUUUACUCUGCGUAUUAGAUUUGUCUCAAGUCAAACUUUGCAAAGUUUGACCAAAUUUAUACAAAAAAGUAUCAACAUNNNNNNNNNNNNNNNNNNNNNNNNNNNNNNNNNNNNNNNNNNNNNNNNNNNNNNNNNNNNNNNNNNNNNNNNNNNNNNNNNNNNNNNNNNNNNNNNNNNNNNNNNNNNNNNNNNNNNNNNNNNNNNNNNNNNNNNNNNNNNNNNNNNNNNNNNNNNNNNNNNNNNNNNNNNNNNNNNNNNNNNNNNNNNNNNNNNNNNNNNNNNNNNNNNNNNNNNNNNNNNNNNNNNNNNNNNNNNNNNNNNNNNNNAUGAAACUAAAUUUCAUGAUGAGCUUAACAAUAUCGGUUUGGCAUUAUGAAUGUUGAUACUUCUUUCUAUAAGUUUGGUCAAAAUAGAGAUACUUUGACUUCAGACAAAACUUAUAUGUAGACUAAAAAUGACCGGAGGGAGUACUAAUUAAGACCUUAGGAUAUAUACCACCUUUAAGCAUUAAUAGCUACCACAAAUCCACAUAUUAUAGAUCCUUCUUCUUCCACUAUGUCUCCAUUGAUUGGCUUUUGGCUUUCAGACCACUCAAAAAUUAAUGUCAAGUGGUAGCUUCUUCUUUUAAUGUCAACUCCAUGCAUGAGUGAUGCACGAUCAUGUCAAAUUACAGAAGAUAUCACACCCUCUGGCUCAGAAGAGGAAGAAAACUAAGACCAUAGCCGGCAUGUAAAGUAAACUAAUAUAUGGAAUGACACAUGCAAUUUAGGAAUACUUAGUGAGCAAUCCCCGUGAAAACUACCAAAAUAUUGCUAGCUAGUUUAUCUAAUGUGGUGGGAUCAUUACUUUGAACAACUCUCUCAAUGAUAGAUGCAUGUUGUCUAACAAGUAGUGACAUUCAUAAGGAACUGCAUCGAUCCAAGGAUAACAUCUCAAUUACCAUAUGACUAAUUAGGACCUACACAUAUAUACCACCUUGAAGGAACAAGUGUUACCGCAAAUCCAUGCAUCCAAUUCUUUAUGGUGGUGUAGGUUGCAUCUAAUUCCUUCACAACUUGUCUUCUUCUACAGUAAAACUAUGCCCAGAAUUUUCGUGGUUUUUUUCUUAUUUACGAAUAAUACUUGUUUCCUUUGCAGUGUUUGGUCAUAAGAGCAUCUACAACUGCAACUCGCAAAUGUGACCCCUACACGUCCGUGGACGCGUCCGCAGACAGUGACCAGUCACCCACUAUAUCUCCGCGUCCGCUGUCGUCCCCCUCAUAUCAACCACGCAACAUGAUCAACAUUUUGCGUAGAAACAACUUUAACAUAGCAGUAUAAAACAUAUAUAUUUGGAAUGGCAAGUUUCAUACAAUCGGACACAAAAUGUCCAUCAUCACCUAGAUAUGAUAAGCCUAAACAAUAGAAAAACUCCUACAUGUAGGCAUUGGACGUCGGAGGGGAUUCGUCGUUGUCGUCGCUCAUCGUGUCGCUGUCAUAGGACGACGACGAGGAGGUUAUCCUGACCAAUCGUCGGGCGACGCGGGCCUACUCCCUGGUGAGUCGGGCGGCUUUCGCGCUGGCGGUUGCCCCCUCCUUCGCGAGGUUCCGGAAAUCCUCGAUGUCGAGCUGGAGAACCUUUACUGUUUUUCGGCGGCGGGCAUCCAUCUCUGCCGAGAUCAGUGACCGGAGGAUGACAUCACAGAAACUCUGGGAGGAACCAGCAGUCUCGCGGACCUGCUGCCUCUGAUUUUUACGUCCUCCUCGCAAGCUCGGUAGUGCGGGAACGAGCACCCUGCUCAGACUGGGAGGAGCGGGGCCCAAAGUCGUAGGGGAGGGUCACGACGGGCUGACGUGACGGGCUGACGUGGUCCGCUGCAUUGCCUCGUCGGGCAACAGGGGAGAACACAGAGCUCGAGCUCCUUCCCUUGUCGAUGCAUGACUAGCGGAGCGCACUGCAAAGGGCGAGGUCUCCUCAUCAUCAAAAUCCGACAACCGCAAGGCAUCCCAGUCGAUGGGUUCCGCCUCAUUGCUGGAUCCGCCACUGAAAUCGCUGGUAGAACCAACCAUGGUAGCCCGAGAAGAGGAAGCGGUGGGGAUGGGAGCGAACAUGAGUGGUGCGGAAGGGGAGAGAAGAGGCCGGUACUGAGCUAUGUUUGCGCCCUAGUGGGGAUGGGUUGGGCGAGCACGAACGGAUCUGAUGUGGCAGCCGAGUCCGGGCGUGUAGAUCUGCCCUCGGCGAUAGGGCUAACUAUGUGGGUUCUGAUUGGGUGGCAAUUUAUUGGCUGAGUAGUGACCGGGAUUGCUGCCCAUACGUUUGGGGGGAUAUGAGCUCUUUGUUGUACAUGCUUUAAAUCUGGGCAUGCGAAUCCUCGCCCGCCGGUGUCUAGGCUGUGCUUGUGCCUCUUAGCUGGAAACCCCCAAAAAGUCCAAGAGACCUUAUUUUUGGGAUUUUAUAAGAAAGAAUAGGUAUGAUGUUGUAUCAAUUUAUCUCAAAAUAAUUCGGUUAUUAUUUUUAAAUAAAAAUAUAACCAUUUUGGUGCCCAAUGGGGUGGGAUAAGACCCGGGCUCGGAAUUUUCAUGCCGGGCUCUGGCAGGUUCGUCCAUUUUAAUCAAUUUAUUUCUUUGUCAGGGACUAAGUUGUUUUAAGUACUUGGUCAGCAAUCUCUAACCAAUGAUAAGAUAACAAGACUAGGCCUACUAUCAAUUUUCAUAGUCAACUUUGUCCCUAGUCACAUUACUCCAAUCCAGCUAUAUUUAUGCGUGCAAAUCACCCAGUUCACCUUGUUUCAAAUAAACCCAGUUAUGUUUCCAUUUUGCAAGAAAGCACCGCAUUUAGAUUAGAUGACUUCCAACAUCCUGGAAAACAGAUCGUCGAUGUGGUCCAGUGCAUCGCAGGUGGCUACAAUGAACCGGAAGAAAUGGCGAAGCUUAAGGUAGUUCUUAGCGGCAGGUUCUAGUUUCAAGGUGGUGUAGGAAUGGAUGUUGGUUUUAUGGACGAUAAUGGGGUCGUAGAGUUAAUAAAAAUGAUCGAGAGGGUAAGAAGAGAGAGCACCAGCUACAGUAUUGAGGGCACCAUGGUGCUGAGAAACUGGGAGAGGUGUGGGUGGUUUGCAUCGGAAGGUUUCACACCCUCUGGUUCUGAAGAAGAAAAAUAAUACCAUAGGCCUCACUACUAGAAAAAGGGCUAUAGAUGGGAUUAACACUAAUGGCGCACCAGACAAGCGGUGAGCCAUUAGCUUCUGAUACGUCAUUAGAGUUGAAACUACUAAUGGCGCACCUGGCCCAGGGUGCGCCAUUAGUAUCAAUUUUUUUUUUAACUAGUGCGCCUGUCCAAACAUACUAAUGGCGCAUCCAGACACAGUGCGCCAUUACUAGUUGUAAUUAGUAAUGGCGCACCUGGCCCAGGAUGCGCCAUUAGUAUCAAUUUUUUUUUAACUAGUGCGCCUGUCCAAACAUACUAAUGGCGCAUCCAGACACAGUGCGCCAUUACUAGUUGUAACUAGUAACGGCGCACCUGGCCCAGGGUGCGCCAUUAGUAUCAAUUUUUUUUAACUAGUGCGCCUGUCCAAACAUACUAAUGGCGCAUCCAGACACAGUGCGCCAUUACUAGUUGUAACUAGUAAUGGCGCACCUGACCCUGGGUGCGCCAUUAGUAUCAAAAUAAUUUUUUUAACUAGUGCGCCUGUCCAAACAUACUAAUGGCGCACCCCAUUAGUAACCUGGAUUACAAAUGGCGCAUUUAGAGUUGGUGCGCCAUUAGUAAGUGGGCAGCAACAAGAUAUUUUGGACAGCCUCUCCUACCCACACUCACUUUCUCCCCACUUCAUUCUCUCCACCUCCUCCUUGUCUCGGGUGCCUCCUCUUUUUCACCUCAUUUCCACCAUAGAUUCAUUCAAUUUAAGUGGUUAAAUUACCUUGUUUUGAUAGGUAAGUAAGGGGGGAAGCUAUAUUUAUGUUGUUCUCCCUACAACAAUGUGCACAUGCACUUUUUAUGGCCUAGCUAGAUCUAUGUAUGUUCGUGGUGUUGCAUAUGUUUGUGGUGUUGCAUAUGUGUUUGUGUUUGGAGGUGUACCGGUAUUUGAAAUGCGAUAGUUGCCAAUAUUUUGCCGGAAUGUUGAUUCAUUUCCGUUUCGGCGAGAAUUUUGGCAUUAAGCAUUCUUUUUGGUCCUAUUUUUAGGGAAAGUCAUGCCAAAUUUUUUCUUGGUUCUAAAAUAUCAUUUUUCUCUACCCCGCAGACGACCAUGGUCCGCAUGAUGACCGAAGGCAUCGUGAAUAGGUUUUUGAGGUCCGCGAAGGCCGAGAUGCUUCAAAAGAACGAGACGGAGAUAAGAUGUCCGUGUCGAAGAUGCAAGCUGAAGAGCCUUAUUGCGGACCCGGAAUCCUGGCAGGUGCGGGACCACCUGCUCUUGCGUGGUUUAAUGGAUGGCUAUCGGUGGCAAGGUGAUGAAGAUGACUACGAAGUCGUCCAUGGGGGCCGGGCAAGAAAUGAGGAAGGGCAGCAAGACAACCACCGCGGCUCGGGCGGGCGAGAAGACGAAGAAUCCCUAGGACAUGAUGAUGAGGAAGAUGCCGGAGCAGACGACGGGCAUGAUCAUGAAGAUGAUGAUGCCAGCGGAGCAGACGAUGCUGGACCAUCGAUGGGCUGGGUGCAGGACCCUCAUAUUCAAGAGCUGCUUCUCAAGCAGACGGAUAACGCAAGAGCUGCCGCCCGAGAGAAAGCCAAGAUGGAUCAACUUGAGUUAGACGCGGUUACUCCAUUGUAUGAAGGAUGCAUGCCCGAGGAUACCAGCCUGAAAGUAACGCUCAUGGCUCUGGAGAUGAAGGUAAAACACAAAAUGACCGAUGCAUGCUUCGACGAGAACAUGUCAUUCUGGCACGAACGUCUUCCCAAGGGGAACAAGUGCCCGACCAGUUUGGAGGAGGCGAAGAAAAUCGUGUGUCCUAUGGAUUUACCGCACGUGAAAUACCAUGUGUGCAUGAACAAUUGCAUCAUUUAUCGGGACGAGCAAGCGGAGUCUACCAUAUGUCCGGUGUGCGGCGUCACUCGAUACAAGAAGAGGAAGAAAGCUCCUCGAAAAGUGGUGUGGUACUUUCCGAUCACUCCUCGUCUGCAGCGGUAUUUCGCGGACCCUAAGGUAGCAAAGCUCCUUCGUUGGCACGCGGAUAGGGAGGAGAAGAAGCGAGAAGAUGACGCAAAUGAUCCGGAGAUAGAUAAAAAAGACAAGAUGCUGAGUCACCCUAAGGAUGCGAGCCAGUGGCAAGCGUUGAACUUCGAAGACCUAGAAUUUGGGAACGAUCCAAGGAACAUCGUGCUGGGCGCGAGCACCGAUGGAGUCAAUCCGUUUGGCAGCCAAAGAAGCACACAUAGCACCUGGCCUGUGUUUGUGUGGAUGUACAACCUUCCCCCCUGGUUGUGCAUGAAGAGGAAGUACAUUCACAUGAGUAUGCUAAUUGAAGGACCGAAACAACCAGGGAACGACAUCAAUCUGUAUCUGGGGCUGCUGAAAGAGGAGCUUGACACGCUGUGGAAAACGCCAGCCAAUACGUGGGACGCCGCAGAGAAAGAAUAUUUCCCUAUGAGAGCUGCGCUGCUCACGACGGUGCACGACUAUCUCGGUUACGGAUAUGUCGCGGGGCAGGUGGUCCACGGAUUUUCUGGAUGCGUCAGGUGCAUGGAUGACACAACGUAUCGCCAGCUAGAUAGAGAUCCCGGUUCUUCAAAAACCGUGUUCAUGGGACAUCGAAGGUGGCUUCGCGACGAUGACCCGUGGAGAAAACGCAAGGAUCUAUUCGAUGGUGAAACCGAACCCCGAGGACGCCCGCGUACGAGGAGCGGCGAGGAAAUAGACGAGUUGUUGAAAAAUUGGAAAGACUGCCCACUGCCGGGAAAGAAGCAAAAGGCGCCAGAGCCGGGAAAGAAGCGAAAGGCGCUAGAGCCGCUGCUGAAGGUAUGGAAAACGAGGUCUGUUUUCUGGGACUUGCCGUACUGGAAGAUCCACCGUGUGCCUCACAGCCUUGAUGUCAUGCAUAUCACGAAGAACGUGUGCGAGAGUCUGCUUGGUACCCUGCUCAACAUGCCAGAGAGGACCAAAGAUGGGCCGAAAGCAAGGGCAGCCUUGAAAUCAAUGGGCAUCAGGCAGGAGCUUCACGCUAUAUAUGAUGAUGAUGAUGAUGAUGAUGAUGAGGCGAAGCAGGACACGGAAAGUCGUCGCAAAGGCAAAAAGGCCAAGAAGACCGGAAAUGACUACCCUCCCGCGUGCUUCACUCUAAGUCAGGAGGAGAUCGAGCAGUUUUUCACCUGCCUCGUAGGAGUAAAACUUCCUUACGGUUACGCGGGGAAGAUAAGCAGAUACCUAGACCUAGCGAAGCUGAAGUUCAGCGGGAUGAAGUCUCACGACUGUCACGUGCUGAUGACGCAGAUACUUCCAGUUGCAAUCCGUGGGAUCAUGGACGCGCACGUCCGUGAAACGCUAUUUGGCCUAUGCAACUUUUUCGACGUCAUCUCUCGGAAGUCUGUUGGCGUGAGGCAACUCAGAAGGCUACAGGAAGAGAUCGUGGUGAUACUAUGCGAGCUUGAGAUGUACUUCCCGCCCGCAUUCUUCGACGUUAUGGUGCAUCUGCUGGUCCAUAUCGUGGACGAUAUCAUCCAACUCGGGCCGACGUUCCUGCACAGCAUGAUGCCGUUCGAAAGGAUGAAUGGUGUCAUCAAAGGAUACGUUCGCAACAUGUCACGUCCAGAGGGAAGCAUAGCCAGGGGCUUUCUGACCGAAGAGUGCAUCUCCUACUGCACGAAUUAUCUAGGCAUCGAGAACCCCCUUGGUCUGCCCGUCAACAGGCACCUCGGCAGGCUCACUGGAUGGGGUCACCGUGAGGGUCGCCGCGAAAUGCAUGUCGACUUCGAGGGUCGACUCGCCGACUUUGAAAGAGCAAACCUAGUCGCGCUACAACACAUAGACGUGGUCGAUCCUUGGGUGGUAGAGCACAAAACCUUUAUUAAGAAGACGUACAAUGACCGAGGCCAACAGAGGAUGGACGGAGAUAUACUCAAAGAGCACAACUCAUGUUUCACGCGUUGGUUCAAGCAGAAGCUUCUGUCGUACCCUUUACAUGAGGAUUCUUCCGUGGAAGAACAACUCAUAUUCGCCUUGUCACAGGGCGCCGAGCACAACCUGAUGACCUAUGAGGCGUACGAUAUCAACGGCUACACAUUCUACACCGAGGCCAAGGACAUGAAGAGCGAUGGUUAUCAGAACUCCGGGGUAACGAUGGAAUCCUACACCGGUAACGACAAGGACAGAUACUACGGAAGGAUCGAGGAGAUCUGGGAGCUGAGCUACGCUGGAGAGAAGGUCCCGAUGUUCCGUGUCAGAUGGGCCAAGAGCGUCCUAAAAGAAGACCGGUAUUUCACCACUAUGGUUAUACCCGAAGCCAAAUCCAAGACCGCAGGCGCAAACGUCACCGCGAAAAAUGAGCCAUGGGUACUGGCUUCCCAAGUGGACCAAUGCUUCUUCAUUACCGACCCGUCAAAGCCCAGUCGUGUUGUCGUGAGGAGAGGCAAAAGGAAGAUCAUCGGAAUGGAUAAAGUAGCCAAUGAGCAAGACUUCGACAAGUACGGCUACCCGAGAAUCGAACAUGACGACGAUGAUGAAGUAGCAGCAUACACCACAAGAAGAAGCAGGACCACCCUACCUAAAGGACGUCCGUUCCACAGAAGAACUCCAUUUGCGAAAAAGAAGGGCAAGAAGAUUGUGAACAGAUAGCUAGCUAAGAUCGAUUGUAUUUAAAUCGUAGCCUUCAUUUCUCGAUUGUAUUUCAUGGGCACUUUUUGAACUAUCAUGAAUAUUUUUAAAUUUCAUGGACACUCGAUCUCGAUCCCCCUCCGUCUCGAUCGCUAUCCCACCUCGCUAGAUCCGGUCUCCCUCGCCGCCGAGCACCCCCCGGUCCACCGGCGCCCCGCACCCCGCGCACCCUCCCCCGCUCCACCGGCAUUACUGUUUGAUGAUAUUUUUAAAAAAAAUAUUACUGUCUUAUAAAAAAAAUAUUACUGUUAUGAUUUAAACAAGUUUGAACAUAUUUAAACACAAAUAAAUAUGAAACAACAUUUUAAAUGCAUAAAAAAAAAUUGUGGAGCCUGGGAAUCAAACCCAGGACCUCCUGGUGUGAGAACUAGCUGCUGACCAGUCAAGCUAGUAGAGGGAACUUGGUGUGGAUCAGGUCAGGUGGAAGAUAACCUGUUGGCUCGAGCAGAAAUCAAAAAAAAAAUACUAAUGGCGCACCAGGGUGAGGUGCGCCAUUAGUAUGGAUGUACUUAUGGCGCACCGAGGGGUGGUGCGCCAUUAGUAUUGCGCCCUCGCCCGGCCCUCGAUCCCCUUCCCCUCUCCUAUCCCCGGCCCAAACCUAUCCCCUCUCUCUCCCUCGCCCUCGCCCUCGAUCCCCUUCCCCUCUCCUCUCCCGACGCCGCUGCCCUGCCGCCUCGACGCCGCCCCGUCGUCCUCAUCUCCUCUGCGACGCCCCGACGCCGCGACGCCGCCCUCUCCUCUCCCGACGCCGCCGCCCCGCCGCCCCGUCGUCCUCGUCUCCGCCGNNNNNNNNNNNNNNNNNNNNNNNNNNNNNNNNNNNNNNNNNNNNNNNNNNNNNNNNNNNNNNNNNNNNNNNNNNNNNNNNNNNNNNNNNNNNNNNNNNNNNNNNNNNNNNNNNNNNNNNNNNNNNNNNNNNNNNNNNNCCUCUCCCGACGCCGCUGCCCCGCCGCCUCGAUGCCGCCCCGUCGUCCUCGUCUCCGCCGCGACGCCCCGACGCCGCGACGCCGCCCUCUCCUCUCCGGACGCCGCCGCCCCGCCGCCCCGUCGUCCUCGUCUCCUCGGCGUCGCGCCCGUGGCCAGCCCCGUCAACAAGUUCGCGCUCCUCCCCGCCUUCCUCCAGGUACCCCGCCACCCGGCCUACUCUACAGCAUUCUAUACUCUGUGAAAAUGCUACAAACCCCAUUCUGUUUGUCAAGUACCAACUUAUAUCAUCACAGCCAUUCAUGAACAUGACACGAAAGAAUCAGUGAUCUUGACAUCUGAACUUGCCCUAUACGUCCCUUAAAUUGAAACCAGUAAAGAGUAACCAAAAGUACAAACUGAUAAGUAGAUAAAGAGUAGGGUAGAAAAGAAUGAAAUUAUCAAGUCAAAUAGCAAUUGAAACAAGCAAACUGACCCAGCACCAAAUAAGAUAGUUUCAAAUACUAUCCAAGGGACUUAGGAACAGCAGAAUCAGCAUAGCAAUUCAAGAAAAAGGAAGAACAGAAGACAAGAAUAAGUGCAGCUGCAGUACUAUUUCUCAAACAACAGAACUGGUUGACAUACUGCAAAACCAACAAAAUGUUAAGAAAUAGGUAAAAUAUAAACUUGCAAAACAGUCCUUUGUAUCCACCAGAACAUGAUUUUACCGAAAGAACUAAUAUCAUAACCGAACUAUCAACAUAUAUUUUAUCUAUACAUGGAUGCCAGUGAGCAAGAAUAAAAAUUCUCAAAAAGGAAAAGAUCAGUUCAAAUUUUGUUGAGGAAACGAUCAUUUGUACUCAGAAGUAGCUCUAUUUAGCAAGAGGCUCGGAGUUGGCCCAUUUAUAGAAGGUGGUAUGGUAUUUUCGCAACAAGAGGUUAUAAGAAGUAAAUGCAGGUGUAUGACAAUAUUGUGAUUUUCCACGUAUGGGCUUCUAUAAGCAUUAAUAUGAUCAUCAGCAGAAAGCAAAUUUGAGGCCAGUUAGCAGUUGCUGUGCUGGACAAUAGUAGACAAAAUAUUGACAACUGGCCAACUUGAAUGUACAUCACUGCCAACAGUAACCAUAACCCAUACCACAAAAACAAGUGAUGGUAUCUGAUCUCGGUACACCGCUAAAUGAGCCUUAUUCGUCAUCUCCAUCAACUGGACUUACCGCCAAUCCCAAAAAAAAGAAUAACAGGGAGAAGCCAAUUGUCAAAGAACCAAAUAUGAUAGAAACCACACAAGAAUCGGUGAAAGCAGAAAGAAUCACUACAUCGGGACCAAAUCAUUAUCUGGCGACACAAAAACAGGGACAUGCAUAAGAAAAUGGCUCAGAUAUACCCCCAUCUGGACACCAUAACUGAACUUCUGGUAGAAUGACCAUGAACAUAUUAUAUUUGUGGACGGAGGGAGUAAUAUUUAGCCGCUAAACUGGUUACUUGCUGUCACACAAGCCAUCCUAGUUUAGCCAGAAGGAGAAGGAGCCAAGUGAUCUGCAGCAGUACUAGUUGAGAUCAUAUCCAGCACAUAGUAUGGUGAGAUCAACACUUAAAAUUCCAUUGUGCUGCAAUAGUCUGAAUCAUGUUACAUAAGUGUUGGGUUCACAAAGCUCUGUUACUAUGUGUUCUAGUCAUGUACAGCAGUUUGACAUUCCUCAAAAUUUUAAGUGUUGAUAGAAUGACCGUGGGCGCCGUUUAUUUUGCGUGUCCAGUGGCUGUGGCUGCCUAAUGAUGACAGACUAAGUUUCUGAUUUAUUUUGUUAUAGAAGUGUAGAUUCAUUGGUAGCAAUUGUUUUCAGUGUCUCAUGUUGCUUGUAGUGUUUUGUCCAAAAUGUUGAAUGAUACUGCUUGGAGAUGCAUAUAUUGUUUCACCUCUUCACAUGCCAAUGUAUUUUUCAUGUUGUGAUGGAGGCCUUUUUUGCCUUGUCCACCCGAGAGGCCCUUGAGUUUGCCGGAAUGUCGAUUAACUUCCGUUCCGGCAAAUUCGGGUACUCCAUAUGUCCUAUUUUCAGCAAAGGUCAUGCUGAAAUUUUCCGUGAAUUUUAGCAUGACUUUGCUAAAAAUAGGACAUAUGGGGUACUUGUGACUAAUGCAUGGGCCGGGGUAUCUUAGUAGGUAAUUAAGUAGGAUCAAGUGCCCCGGCGUACUUGUGACUAAUGCAUGGCUUUUAGGGUGCCUUGGUGUCGAUAAAAACCGAAAUGAUGAAAGCUUAGGCUUUUAGGGUGCCUCGGCGUCGAAAAACCCUCAAUGAUAAAAGCUUAGCUUUUAGGAUGCCUCGGUGUCGACAAACCCUAAAUGAUGAGACCAUGAUCCUGUUCCUUGACAAUAACCAACUUUUUGACCAAACUUUGUUCCUAUUUAGAGAGAAACAUGGCCAACAACGACGAGGCCGGGGGUUCGAGCGUCAAGCCAUUCUGGAAGCUAUCCCAGGAGAUGGAGGAACAACCUCACUUGUAUGAGGACGCCGCCUUCCCCACCGAUCCUGAGACCACUGAUGGUACCGCCGAGGAUGACCCCACUGAUGGUGCCGCCGAGGAUGCCACCACUGAUGAUGGCGGCGCACGCACAGAUGGCAGCCAACCGAAGAGGCAACGGAAGGACCGGCGCCCGACCGUGCUCCGCACCCUCAAGGAGGAAGUUACUGAAGUGGACUCCGACGGGAAUCCAACGGUGCCCGAACGAAUAGUCAAGGGGUACUCGCUUCAGCUCGGGUGCAUUCUCCGGAGCACCGUCUCGAUCAACACCGAGAACCUGAGGCAUCCUGACCGAGGGAAUUUGCGCAACCUCCUCUUCACGAAGCUGCACGAACGAUACAAGUUCCCCGCUGAAUUUGAAAACACAAGCCUCAAAGGGAAUAAAGUGAACAAUGCUGCCCUCACGAAGAUGAGCAAGGCCCUGUCUACUUGGAAAAGCAAUGUGAAGAGAAUGAUCGAGAAAGGUGAGAGUUAUGAGAAGAUCAAGGAGAAAAAUCCUUCGAUCACCAAAGAUGACUACAACGACUUCAAGAUCAAUUGCUCGAGCACCGCAAACUCCGAAUCAAGUAAGUGGGGGAAAGAAAUGCGGGAGCUGAACUUAGGGGAACACACACUCGGUCCCGGCGGUUACAGAGUGGCGGAGCCUAUAUGGGACAAGGAGGAGGCGGACCGUGCCGAGCAAGGCCUACCGCCCCUCUUCGAUAAAUACGGUGACAAGCAGACCAGGAACUUUGUCAGGGCCCGGUACAAGAAGGACCCGAAAACAAAGGAGCUUACCACGGAUCCAAAGACCAGGGCGCUUGAGCUUGUUCUGGUAAGGAAUACACCCCCUCGUAAUUAGCUCCAUAUGGUUGCAUUCUAAUUAAUGAAGCCAAAUUUCUAAAUGGUUCACAUUCCUUCCGCAGGCGACUGAAAGCAGUAGCGUGGGGUCGACUAAGAGCAACCCUUGGGACACCACUCUAAAUAGGGCGUUGAAUGUAAUGAAGAACAAGGAUAAACUCAGUAAGCCGACGUCAGCUGGUCGUGUGGCCGGCAAAGGCUUGUCGACAAAAUGGUCGUCAUACUAUGACACUGCUGGGCAAAAGGAGAAAAAGAACAACUCGGAAAGCCAGGCGCGCGAGGUUCAAGAACUCAGGGCACAGGUGGCGCGGAUUCCGGAGAUUGUCCAAGAGCAAGUGCAACAACAACUCGGAGCGACGAUCACCGCCAUUGUGCCUACCUUGAUCCAGGGGAUUAGUGCGUGGAUUGCGGGCGGCCAACAGGGGCCGCCCCCGAUUCCUAGCUUCACGGCCAGCAACUCGCAGAACGCGAUGGCGGGGCCAUUGGUGUCUCCGGCGGAGGCGGCAUUGGUGUCUCCGACGCCGGCACGGGAGCUUAAUGCACCGGGGUGUACGCCGACCGGCACCUCUGCAGCAAGCGGCCCCUCCGUCAACUGCACGCCCGCUGUUGGCGGUGCCUCGACAUUAGUCGAGCUCGACGCCAUCAUCACGGUAACUAAUUAAGCCUCUCUCGGCCGAGGACUUCAUCUCCUUGCCUUUGACUGGGCAUCCCUAACGCCCUACAUGUUUUCGCAGGCGCCGCCGACGUUCCGUGCACUCUCCUGCACUUCGUGAACAACGAGUUGGUCGAUGUUGCCAAGGGCAAAAUCGUUCAACCGGGCAACCCCUUGUUCCAGGGUACCCAUACGCCACCCAACUUGUUUAGGGUUCAACUGGUUCGGGUGCUGCCAGGCUGCGACGAGGUGUUACCUCCGAUUCGACCCCUCGGGGCCGACGAUGAUGACGUGAUGAACCUCAGCGCCUGCCUGAGCUGGCCCCUGCUUUGGCUGAAGAGCCAGAUUCGUUUGGGGGCGGGGGACACCACCCCAAAGACAACACCGCCAGUCGUGCCGGCGCCAAGUCGGCCCCAUGGCAAGACCGCCGCAACGGUGCCGGACAUCCCUAUGCCACUGGAUCCAAACAUGCAUAUGGCACAGGAUCAGAACGACGACGACGACGAUACAUUUGCCACCGUCGAUCAGUACUUUGCCGAUCAUGGGUAUGGUGGCGACUUCAUGGGGCCUCCUUCUCAAGAACCCAACCCAACAAAAGACGUGUGCGAUCUGGCUGGUACCGCGGAGAAGCCAAGUUGCAAAAGGCGUCGUCUGCAGUUCAGCUCUCAGGAGACGCCUCCAGCUGCCGACUUCACCGAGCCUCAGAUAGGCGAGGUGCCAAAUAUGAUCAGCCCCAACACACUCAAGAAGGCGGUCUGUGAGCAGAACUCGGUCCCAUUACAGGAGAUCAAGAAGAAGGCAUGCAAAAGAAAGACUAACAAGGGUGCGGGCCAGCCGGCACCGAGUACGAUCCGUGCUCAGGACGGACCACCUUCAACUGCGGAUAUCUCGAGGAGGGUGCAUGUGGCGGGUAGGCCGAUGCUACCGAGAAAUAUGCUCGAUGCUGCAACCGGUGCUAUGCGGAGUCUGCAUGACAGUGUUCUUUCUUUGGAGAAGCGGCGUCUCCGAGAGAAGGAUGUGGCAUACCCGGUUUUCGCGGCCAAGGUGCCAGAGGGCAAGGGCUUUGUGGAUAACUCCAUCGGGGGUACGAUCGUCCUGCGGUUUGAUGACAUCCACGCUAUGUUGAACCUUCAUCCGCUGCACUACACCUUCGUUCGGCUAUUUUCGCUGAGUAUGGAGAUGCGGAUCAUUCGCGACAAGACCCCGGACAUCGUGAUAGUCGACCCCUUCUACAUGCGUGCCAAGAUCUUGGGCAGCGCUGGGGACCGGCAAGUCGCGAGUUCUUACCUCGAAGGCGUCAUUCUGGCAAACCAAGAUAAGGAUAACUUCCUCGUGCCUUACUUUCCCGAGUAAGUCCUUCCCUCAACCGCCCCGUAACAUAUGAAUUCUUAGAUUUCGAUCGUUUUUCUUUUAACAUUCCGUGUUUUCUGCAGUGACACACAUUGCACGCUCAUCCUCCUAAGCCCCAAAUAUUCCAUGGCCACGUAUUUCGACCCGGACCGUCAGUCGAACGUAGACUACACAAAUGUCAAGAAGGUUCUUGAUGAUGUUCUCCCCGGGUACGUCAAAUCUGGAGGCACCUUCACCAGGCCUAUUCGUAAGUACGGCAAGCACGUGUUCUCCCACAAUAUGACGUUCUGCUGCGUCAAGCAGCCGCCUGGCGGUCAGAAGGAUGCCUACUACGCCAUCCAUCACAUGCGGGCGAUCGUGCGGGGCCAUAAUCACCUUCUCCUACCAAAUAAUCUCAAAGAUUGGGCCGCAAGCUUGGGGGCAAUCCAGGACGCGGACAUCAGACAAGAAUUCUUUCGCAUCUAGUCGGAGUUUGCGGAAAUCAUCCAUCAAGAUGUCCUUCCUACCUCGGGGCAGUUCUACCUCAGAAAUCAACCGUCCAACAGUGACAUCGACACAAUCCUACAAAUGCAGGCUGACAACGCCCGUUGUUUCAUGACUCCCACGAUAGACGGCGGCUUCAUCCACGCUCCGGUCCCUUGAGUCGAGUCGAAAGCAGUGAUGCUGUGUCUAGUUCUGAAACAUCGAUUGGCUCAUGUUGUAAUUAAACUUUAAUGAACUUGUAGUAUGUCUCUUUGGUUUCGAGAGUCGUUCAACUUAGAUGUAAUCGAUGCUAUUAAUGUCUUGCUUUUCUCUUCCGAUCGUUCUGUUGCAUACUUAUAUAUUGCUUAUGUAUUGUCUGUGAAUUGGUACUAACGUUUCGUUUGGCUACUGCAUAGCGAUGCCGUGGUAUGUCGUGUACAAGGGUAAGGUUCCCGGAGUCUACGACGACUGGGAGGAGUGUCGGAGACAGGUUCACCGAUUCAGCGGUAACAGUUACAAAGGGUACGCCACUAGGGCCGAGGCCGAAUCUAGAUACGACCGCUAUCUAGCGGGAGAGGGGAGGGAGCGUUGGAGGAACCGGAUGAAGACGAGUUUCAUCGUGAUGAUGCUCAUCGUGAUGACCGCAGCUCUCUUCUAUGUGAUGGUAGUUUAGAUGAUCGAUAUCGACUUGUAAUGUGAAGACAAACUCGCGGUCUCGAGACUUGUAAUAUAAUGUCCUAUCUUUGUUCGGUCUUUUCAAUUCGGAGACUAAUAUGAUGAAUUGUAUUCGGAGACUAAAAUGAUGAAUUGUAUUCAGAGACUAAUCUUCUAUUGUAUUCGAUGAAUCUGUUGUUGAUGUGUGUUGUCUAUAUUUUGUCCAAUUAUACAUUUUGUAACCUGUGCAAAAACAGAAAAUAAAAAAAUAAAAAAAAACCUAAUAUUCAUACUAAUGGCGCAUCACAUCAUAGUGCGCCAUUAGUAUGCCAAAGGAUACUAAUGGCGCAUCACUAAACAGUGCGCCAUAAGUAUGCCGAAGUUACUAAUGGCGCAUCCUGUUGUUUUGCGCCAUUAGUAUGCCAAAGCACCUGGGUAUAGAUGGCCCCCUGGGAGGCAUACUAAUGGCGCACUGUUGUAUAUACUAAUGGCGCAUCUAGGGUGCGCCAUUAGUAUACCAGAUACUAAUGGCGCACCAGUGGUGCGCCAUUAGUAAAAUAUACUAAUGGCGUGCUACUAAUGGCGCACCACUAAUGCGCCAUUAAUGGCCAAAUUAGGUGCGCCAUUAGUAGGCCUUUUCCUAGUAGUGCCUGCAAAGUAAACCAACAUAUGGAAUUAAGAAGCAAUUUAACAAUACUUAGUGGGCAAUCUCCAUGACAACCAUCAAAAUAUUGCUAUGUUGUUAAGGAUUUAUUUCUUUGAAUAAGCUCAGUACUAGUUGUAAUAGUUGCAUGUUGUCUAAUAUGUGACGUUGGUAAGAAAUUGCGUCCAGCAAAGUAUAUCAUCUUAAUUAUCAUAUUACCAAGACCUGAAGAUAUAUACAACCUUGUAGCCUUAUAAAGAGCUAGAGCCCUUGCCUAUUUUUUCUUAGAAAUUGGACCAACGCUAUCGCGUACGGAUUAAUUUAGUAGUAAUUCUUCUGUAUUUUUUCAUUGAUAUAUAGGAAUAGGGCAGUGCAUAUGUGGAGUGCACACAAUCUUGUUUCACUUUUCUUUGCUGGAAGUAAGCUGUUUUAAGUACUUGGCCAGCAAUCUCGAAUCAAUGAUCAGAUCGUAAGACUGGGCCUACUAUAUAUUUUCAAAGUCAACUGCGCGGCUGGUCAGAUGUGUACCACAAUACAGUUAUAUAUAUCGUGCUCAGCACGAGUUCACCUUGUUUUAAAGCAACCCAGUGAUAAGUAUGAGCGUCUGUUCAAACAUAUUUGUCAGAGAACACUCGUUUAUACACUUUAGCUCUGAUUUUAUGCCCAUGAGUUAAUACAUUCAUGAGUGCUUUUCUCUUCAUGUAGCUGGCACGGAGUGUUACUGAAUAUAAGUAUUAUUUAUUACAUUUCUUAGGAUGCUGUCUAUGAAACUAGCGGUAUUGCCUACUCAUUUGCGCGGCAAGAUUUUCAUUUGUCAUUUUAAAUUUGGAAACUAUAUUUUGGCAUUUUAAAUAUUUCUUAACACUUUGUAAAUAUGUAUUGUUGCAAUUACCUAAUUGUGUAUGAGGAAUUCAUCCGCAAGGUGUGCCAAGAAAUAGCUGGUUCCACACAAAAGGCUAAUUUAACAGUUUUAUUAAAAGACAUUCAAUUAAAACAAAUUAUGUAAGAAGGCCUAAAUUCAUCCAUACAUACGCGCAUUACGUAUACUUGUGGAGUUAACAAUUUUAAGCAUGUAUAUGUACAUUAUAUAUAAAAUAGCUGGACAACUAAGUUUUGGAGAACUUAUUGUGGAAGUACAUAUUAUGGUCGUCCCACGGUUAUACGAAGUGUGUAGUCGUUCUGGUCAUUGAGUAAGGAUACCCACUCGGAGCAGGAUGUUUAUGGCUGAGCUCGGAUGAUACUGCCGGCCCAAGUUGAUGACAGAGCAACUCCUGAUUAAACAAGCUAAUAUAUGGAAGCACAUCACCUUGUCGAUGAUAUGGAGGAACUUGAGGCUGAGACCACGAUUAGUCAUCGCCUAAUCAAUAUCUGCAAGGAACUUGAGCCGCCACCCAUACUUGGCAACAGACAUGGUGCACUCCUUGAGCAUGUGGUACUUGCCGCUAAUGCGGAUGGUGUGUGCGUUGUUAUUGUUGAGCAAGUACCGGCGGAGGCGAUUCCGUGCCGACAAGGCAGUGCCAUCAUAGGACAUCACAAGUCCAGAUGACCAUCGUCGAACAUGGUGUAGAUCCACAACAUGAUCCUGAUGUCGGCAUGCUGCCACUCGGGGUCAUCAAUUUCAUGUUCAGAUGUCUCAUUCAUGUGGUCGAGUGCAUCGGAGGUGGCGAGGACGAACCAUAAGAAAUGUGUCAUUUAUGGUAGUUAUUGAUACGUGGGUCGAGUUUGAAGGUGAAGUAGGACUUGAUGUUGGUAUUAUGGACAACAAUGGGGCCUGAAGUUGGUAAAAGGGAUUGGGUGGUAAGAAGGAGUAGAAGCAAUAGUGGCGACGGGCGCCGUGGCAUCGACAGAGAAACAAGGAGAGAUCUUAAGGGUUUGCGCCAUAAGGGAGGUGGUGCUGGAAUUGGUCUGGGUGUUGCUCAGUGGCGUUACCAAGCUGAACUGUGUAAUAUGUAUUGUUUGCCUCAAGGUUUACAGGUGUCGAUGUACACAAUAUAUAUAGAAGGGGUACAGAGAGAGGCCUAACUAACUUCAACAUACGAGAGGCGCAUGCAGGUGCAUGUAUGACGACGAGUGAAGAGAGCUCAGAUCCUAAUCUCCAUGGGCGCUGGUACAACAUUGUUGAAUUACAACAGUACAUACAUUUGGUGCAUACAUGUUUAACAAUAUGGAUUCGAAUUCAUGUACGAGGCGUAACAAAUGGCAAAGAUUAAAAAUAGCAUUAGACUGCCCGUAAUAGGAGUAUCAUAUUAGCUAGUAUCAUGCACGACAACUAAGCAAUUUUGAUGAGGUGGCAUAGAAUUAAAGGAAGAAAGAAAGAGUUCAGUAUCAUAUCAUGAUAUCAUAUCAUAGUAAAUGUUAUGAUACUAUGUGUCAUGCAUAACAAUAAAUAAGAUCAUACCUAAGAUACUAAUACAUGAUAUUAUGCAUUAUAGAGGUAAUAUCAUAGAAUAGCAUCAUAUGCAUAAUACUACCUCCUUUUUGGUUUAUAGGACUCAAUUCAAAAAUCUUACCAACCAAGGUAGAUGCUGAGUGGUGGAAUAAUUUUUAUAGUUUGGAAAAGCACUCAAUUAAUGCGCUUGUUUUCCUCAAAAAAAUGUGUUUACCAAUGCAUUAAUUGCAAUGCAUGCAUGCAUAAAGUACAUGCAUUCAUCAAUUUUCUCAUAAUACUUGCAUGCAAUGAUUUAAUGCACCUUGAAAUCUGAACAUGUGAUGGGGAACAACCAAAUUGAGACUUAUAAAACGGGAAAACUAAAAUUUUGAGAUAAGCCCUAUAAACUGGAAAGGAGGAACUACAAACUUAUGAUACUACACAUUAUCUUUGCUAUAAAUAAUCCUUCUGAACUCAAAGUGCCCGCAUUAUUGCACAGGUCACUUGCAUACAAUUUACGACAAAAAAUAUUGGUGCACAAGGUAUAUACUACUAUAUAUCAAAGUCAACUACAGUUAAUUAAGUGAUACGAAUAAGACUAGCUAGUUUUUUUUUGGCGAGGUGGAGUACAAGGGUCAUCCUUGUGUUGCUCCCUAUAAAUAGAACCCUACCCCCUCAUAUGGACAUGUACCAGUUAAGCAGCAAGCUAGCUCAUCUCCAUCGCAUCUGUUGUUGCUCUAUUCUCCACUAGAACCACCCAAUUCAUCAAUGGCUUCAUCUCUGAAGGUGGCCGCCGUCGCCGCCGUUUGCAUCGUGCUUGUCCUGAACAUGGGCCGGCCAGUGGCAGCCACAGAAUGCGAAGAUUGUUUGGGUGCCUGUGUUGGCACCUGCAUCGCCUACACUGAAACCACAUGCAGCGGCAUCUGCACCAACAUAACUCCUGCAUGCCAGGCAUGUAAGCACGCGACCUUAAUUCAGUGCGGUCCAACAUGCUAGGGCGGUUGUACCCUCUUCUGUUAAACCACCGGCCGGCUGUGCCCUGUUGCUCGCCGUAAGCUCUAUAUCUGUGCACAUUUCUUUGAAGUAUAUAUCUAUGUCCGUUGGCACCUCGUUGUUGCUAACAUAAGUUGUGUAAAUAAGCGGGCGAAAGUAGUUGCUGUGUGCAUUUGGAAAAUGUUCCUUCGUUCUAUCUAUUCCCCUUCGUUUGCUCAACAUUAAAUAUAUACAUGUGUGGAAGUUGUGUAUGCUUUGUGCUUCCUUGUAUCAUGUGUCUAAUGAGGUUAUACUUAAUAAAGGAUAAAUCCUUAUCUCGAGAACGCGGCUACAAAUUACAUAGUUUUGUUCCUUCACCAGUAGGGGUUCUGACUUUCUCUCAGCCGUCCAUGGCCACGUAGAGUUCGCAACAAAUUCCUUCACAGCUUGUCUUCUUCUAGCGUAAAACUUCAUCCUGAUUUUUCGUAGAUUUUCCGAUUUGCUGAAAAUACUGGUUUCCUAUGCAAUGUUUGAUCAUUCACGAAUUAUACCGACUAGUUUCAUGCGAGACUAGUUUAAGACCGUUGACAAAUUAAUACUAUCAAGUUGUAGCUGCUUCUCCAUUCAUGAAUUGUGCACGACCAUAUCAAUCAUAUGUAGAAGGUUUUACACCCUAUCGCUCAUAAUAAGAAAAGAAAAAACUAGUACCAUAGGCCCACAAACUAAACCAAUAUACAUAAUUAAGCAUGCAAUUCAGGAAUACUUAGUGGGCAAUCCUCAUUACGACAUAGAAUAUUGUAAGCUCGUCUUCUAAUAUGGAGGAAUCAUUACUUUGAACAAGUUUCUCAAGCAAACACGUCCGGAUUUCAUAUAAACAUGACGGGUUUCAUAUGAACAUGGUGGAUUUAACUGCAUUUCAAACAUUUAGAAAAAAAAUACCCGCCGGUAAACCCAUCCUACGGCGUUGGCGCCCGGCGUCCAAGGACGUGUCGUCCUCCUUCUGCCAUCUCAAUAAGCACCGGCGAUAAGACUGAUGAAGUGAAGGUGCGGUUUCCGGCGAGGAAGAGUAGAACUUGGGAGACGGACCGGCCCACAUGGGACACAAGGCACCGCCGCCUCCCGUGGCCUACUCAUCCUCGGAGGAUUCCGCGCCUUGUCCGUCGCCCGUGGACAUGAGGUCCACGAGGGAAAUGGUGGCGCCGGCGCGUCAUCGUCCCGCUGGGCCGGCUAAUAGUUCAUUGGCGGCGCGUAGGACGCGCUGCUGCCCAUGUUCUCCUCCGUGAUCGCCUGCAGGUGCACCUCUGCGGCUGCCACUUCCUGGCGAGCAGUGGCUUGAGUGCGGACGACAUUGUAGAUAGCACGCUGCUCCUCGACGAAAUUUGGGUUCGCCGCCGCCAUGGUCGGCACGGCCUCCUCUCUCGUGCGCUCAGCGUAGAUCUGACACUCCACCAGCCGGUGAUGCUCCAGGAGGAGCAGGUUGUACCGCUGAUCCUCCUGUGCCUGCUGGAACGCCGACAUAGGCGCCAGCGCAAGCUGCACCUCGGCCAUGGUGGUGUUGUACUGUGCUUGCGCCUAGUUCAUGGUGAAGCCGACGUGCGCAGGAGGCGUGGGAGCCGCGGCGGAGUCAUCGGAGCCCGUCUCCAUCGUGGUGUCAUCCUCAUCAUCGGAGACCUCGAGCGAGCUGGCCGGCAAGCCGGCCUCGAACCGCAUGGCAGGGCGGCUAUGCCAGGCAGCGGCAAGAACGGCCACCACAUGCCUCAUCUCCGGCGACAGACUAUCCCACAGUGCUUUCCCGGCGAUCAUGGUGGAUGCAGUGCAAGGGAGGACGAUGUGGGGGGGCUUCUGUUGUGGUGUGGAGUUAGCCGGGUGUGGCCGUCUUUAUAUAGCAGAUUUCGGUGAGGCGAGGCGUUUCUGUGCGUCAAUGCGCUGUGCCGGAGUGGGUUUCUCGGCCGACGAGCCUGCUUAAUGGCAGUAGACGGACAGACAACUGCAUUGAACAGGCGUGGGAGAUAUCAAUCACGUCCCAUCCAGUCACACGUGUUCGGCAUUGAACAGGCACGGACACCGGAGACGCGUAACGGCGACGCCCUCAGCUGGUGCGCCGCUUCAAUGGCGGAGGCAGUGAGAGGUCGCGUCCACCGUAAGCCGUCUUCCAUGUUGAGCGGUGCGCUCUACAGCGGCAUGAAUGUGGGCAACUGGUGCCGGGCGGGAAUGCGCGCUGGAGGGGACUAUGGUUUUGGUGGGCCAGGCCGGUCAGAAAUAGGCAUGGGAUCGGUCUAGACUCUCGCAAACCUCCCCCACAUUUGUCUCCGAUUUGCAGGAAGAAUCGCAUCUGGACCAUCCCGCGGACCGAUACAGGUCAGCAUUUCAUGGCUUCCACGGUCCGGACAGCCCGGUCCGGAUAGUAGCGGGAGGUUUACAGGUCCGCCUUGGAGAUGCCCUAAUGAAUACUAAAAUCAGAAAAAAUAAUAAAAAAUUCAAAAAAUUCUGAUUUUUUUGUGCAAACUUUGAAAAAUAUUUUAUGUGCCUGCAAAAAAUUAUGUUAGAAUGACAUUUAUGGAAGUCAUGGUAAAAAACAAAUCAAUGCUCAUAAAUGCUAUAUAAUCCAAAGCAUUAUUGGAGUGUUGUUUUUUUUAUUUUGCCAUGACUUCCAUCUAUAUUUAUGCAUGCUCAUGACCCGUUCACCUUGUCUGAAAGAAACCCAGUUAUCUUUCUUUUCUUCGAGAAAGCUCCGUAUUUAUAUUAGAAGACUUCCAACAUCGCAGAAAACAUAUCGUUGAUGUGGUCCAGUGCAUCGCCGAUGGAAAGGACGAACUCAAAGAAAUUGCACCGUUUAAGAUAGUUGUUGACGGCUGGGUCUUGAAGGUGAUGUUGGUAUUAUGGACAGCAAUCGAGGCCUGGAGUUGGGAAAAGGGAUUGGGAGGGUAAUAAGAGAGAGCAGCAGCAACAGUGCUGAGAAACUGGGAGAGGUGUGGGUGGUUUCACACCCUCUGGCUGUGAAGAAGAAAAAGAAUAAUACCAUAGUUAUGCAAAGUAAAGCAACAAACGGAAUUAAGAGAUGAAAGCAUGGCUGCAAAAACAUUGAAGGAACUCCUCCCCCAACAAAAGAAAAGACUAGGUUUCCUCUAUCUCCCGCCGGCUCCGCCACCGGUCCGCCUCGUCUCCGGUGACCUUAGGGCCAUCACUAGUAGAAAAGGGGGCUUUUGUCCCGGUUGGUAAGGGCCUUUAGUCCCGGUUUUUGAACCGGGACUAAAGGGUCGUUACUAAUGCCUCCCCCUUUAGUCCCGGUUCUUACACGAACCGGGACUAAAGGCCGUCCACGUGGACACAGAAAUUUUAUGAUUUUUUUAAUUUUUUUUUGUGAAUUUUUUUUAUUUUUUUUAUUUUCAAAUUUCUGAAUUAUUUUAACCUCUAAUCUCUAAUCACCACCCCUCAUCACUGCUCAAUUUAUCCUCUAAUCUCUAAUCACCCCUCAUCAUUCCAAAUCAUCUAACUUCCCGGCCUCUCACUACUCCAGCCUGAGCACGCUUAACUUCCGGGUUCUAUUCUCCCUCAUUUCCAAGUCUGCAGCCUGAGCACGCUUAACUUCCGGGUUCUAUUCUCCCUCAUUUCCAUGUCUGCACUUGUUGUUUUCCUGAAAAUAGUAAGAUGUCAAUUCUAUUAACCCUCAGGAAUUUAGCUUGAGCAUGAAGUGACACAUUUCACUGUUUGAGUUUGAAACUAUUGUUUUAAAAAACAAUAAUAAUUAUUUAGUAACACUAAUAUUUCUGGAAUAAUUAGUUUGACCAUUGUUCGACCACUGUUUUACCACAGUUUGACCACAAUUUGACCAGAUUUGACCAAAAUUCAAAAAAACUGAAAUAAUUAUUUAGUAACACUAAUAUUCUAGAAUAAUUAGUUUGACCAUGUUUGACCACAGUUUGACCAUAGUUUGAAAUAUUUUGAAUUUUUUUGCCUCUCCAGAUCUUAAAAGCCCCGUAUCUUUUUUCUGUUAGGUUUUUGAGGAUUUUGAAAAUGUUCAACGGGGUUCCCCCUAAAUUCAGAUUUAACUUUUCGAGUAGAUGAUUUUUCAUAUAAAAAACGUUUUCAUCCGAGUUCGUAUGCAAAAGUUAUGCCCAUUUUAAGAAAUUCCAGAGAGAUUUUGCAAAUAAAGUCGAAAUUCAUAUUUGUUAAUUUUCCCAACAACUAGACCAAAUAUCACAUGGGAAACUUAUUUUUUUUUGACAUUUCCAUCAUUUUCUUUUGUUUUUUNNNNNNNNNNNNNNNNNNNNNNNNNNNNNNNNNNNNNNNNNNNNNNNNNNNNNNNNNNNNNNNNNNNNNNNNNNNNNNNNNNNNNNNNNNNNNNNNNNNNNNNNNNNNNNNNNNNNNNNNNNNNNNNNNNNNNNNNNNNNNNNNNNNNNNNNNNNNNNNNNNNNNNNNNNNNNNNNNNNNNNNNNNNNNNNNNNNNNNNNNNNNNNNNNNNNNNNNNNNNNNNNNNNNNNNNNNNNNNNNNNNNNNNNNNNNNNNNNNNNNNNNNNNNNNNNNNNNNNNNNNNNNNNNNNNNNNNNNNNNNNNNNNNNNNNNNNNNNNNNNNNNNNNNNNNNNNNNNNNNNNNGGUACUAAUGCCUCAAAGCCCAUUAGUACUGGUUGGUGGCACCAACCGGUACUAAUGGGCAUCGCACCCUUUAGUCUCGGUUCGUGGCACCAACCGGGACUAAAGGGCCCAGGUCAACCGGGACUAAUGCCUUAGCCGCACGAACCGGGACCAAUGCUCACAUUAGUCCCGGUUCAUGACUGAACCGGGACUAAUGUGAAUAUUGCCCUGUGACGAAAGCCCUGUUUUGUACUAGUGCAUGGCGGCAUGGUGGAUCCCGGCCCUUGCCGGCGGGAGGGCUCCGUCUUUAGAUGUUCCUUCAAAUUUUGUUAGGGUUUGUGUCCUGCUCAGGAAGACGAGGCAGCGGCAGCUUUCUGAAGAUCGAAUAAGGUUCUCCCCGCCUAGUUCAUGUUCCGGUGGUGCGUCUAUCAUCGUCGGUGGGUGUGUGGAGGUGUGUCUUUAGUGGAUCUUUCAUUGGUGGAUUUGCUCAUAUAUUGUCGUAGUUCGUCUAUGUUCGUGUGUCUUAAGGUUAGAUCUUUCUGAUCUAUGCUACUCUUUAACGACGGCGGUUGCUAUUCUGGUGCGCUUGCCCUAUGGGGCCUUAGCACGACGACUUCGGGAUUGUCUACUACAACAAGGUUUGCCCGGCUCCAGCGAGGGAGGGGCGAUGAUGGCGGCGUGCCUUCGGCUCAUUUCAGUGCUUAUAUUCGUCGCUAGGUGGUCUACGGAUCUGAAUGUAAUUUUGUUAUUUCUAGUGUUCGUUGUACUACCAUGUUUGUAGAUGAAUAAAUUGAAAGUUUUCGAGAAAAAACAAAUUGACUUAGGAAGCAAUUUUUUGCGAAAAGAAUUAAGAAGAAAUUUAACAGUAGUUAGUGAGCAAUCUCGGUGACAACCAUUGAAAUAUAUAUUGCUAGCUAGUUUUCUAAAGCUAAGGAAUUAUUGCUUUGAGUAAGCUCGGUACUAGUUGUACUAGUUGCAUGUUGUCUAAUAUGUGACGUUGCUAAGAAGUUGCGUCCAGCAAAGAAUAACAUCUUAAUUAGCAUAUUACUAAGACCUAAAUGAAUAUACCACCUUCAAGCAUUAAGAGCUAGUGUCUUGCCUAUUUUUUCCUACAAAUUGCACCAACGUUGUUGCGUAUGGAUUAAUUUAGUAGUAAUUAUGCUGUAUUUUUCAUUGAUAUAUAUGAAUGGAUCAGUGUAUAUGUGGAGUGCACACAAUCAUGUACGACUGAGCCGUACGAAAAACAAAUUGCUGGAUCUAAGCCGUUUUAAGUACUUGGUCAGCGAUAUCAAACCAAUGAUAGGAUCUCAAGACUGGGCAUAGUAUCUAUUUUCAAAGCCAAUUGCGCCGCUAGUCAGAUUUGACCUACAAUUCAGUUAUAUGCAUCGUGCUCAUCACUAGUUCACCUCGUUUUAAAGCAACCGAGUCAUCAGUAUGAGUGUUAGUUCAAACAUACCUGUCAAUUUUAUAUUUUGUAAUUAAUUUUUGUAUUAUAAAAUAUUUAUUUUUUCUUUGAAAAUAUAUAUUGUUGUAGUUACCUAGUUUUGUAUGAGGAAGUCAUCAGCAAGUUGUGCCAAGAAAUAGUCAGUUCUACUAAAAGCUGAAGUUUAAAUGUUUUGAAGAAAAAAUGAUUCGAUUCAAAAAUAUUACUUAAGAAUGCCUAAAUUGACCCCACGUGCAGCAAGGACACCUGUGGGGUAAUAUUUUUUAAGCAUUUAGACGUAGAUUAUAAAAUAAUUGGACAGCUAAAUUUUUGGGAGAACUUACUCUGGAAGUAUACAAUUUGAUCUUCCUACGGUUAAACGAAGUGUCCAUAGCCCUUUUUACCGGUGAGUAAGGGUACUCAGUCGGAUCAGAAUGCUUUAGAGCAUCAGACCCCUUAAAACGCAUGAAACUGUAAAAUAACAGCCGGUUUACAGUUUUAGACGGAAAAAGCGACCCGAAUAGAACAUGUAAAUGCCUCCGACCGGUAAUUUUUUUUAAGGGUAAUGGAAAACAUCCCCGCCAAACCGGUGAAAAUAAGGAUUUCGGAACCAACCCGAGGGUGCCCUGUAUAUGCCAAAGACUGAUGGUGGGAAUCCAACUACCACCGGAACCUUCAUGGCUCGCUCCCGGCCGCCGCCCAGUGCUCUGUAUUCCGCCAGCGCCGUACCUCCCUCUCCCGGCCUUCCCCCGCCCCGGUCAACGUGUCCCGCGUAGUCUAGGCGGGUUGCACUGCUGCUGUGGUGCGUCGUCUGCCGUGCGCCCCUGCUGGCCCCGGCCAGCCGGCCUCCCUCCGCAGCGCCGGCGAGCAGAGCAACUGACGAGGCGAUGAGGGGCUCCCUCCACUGAGCCCUCACCUCGUGUUUCUGCCGCCGCCGGCUGUGUGUGGUCUGCUGCUGCCUACGGCCGCCGUGGCGCCGCACCUCUGGCUGGUAAUUUUCUCGCUGGUGGUUUGGUCUUUGGUGAAUCAGUGUAUGCAUCGUCUGCCUGUCACAGUGGAUAGACGAUUUAAAUGUUGAACUGACUUUACAAUAGAAUGGAUUAUGUAUCUGAGUAUGUGCGAUGUGCUGAUGGAACUCGGAUUUAUUCAUUUUUAGAGAAACAGAAAUUGAUGUUUGCUUCAGCCUUCAGUCGGAAGCUUCCACCAUGGCCGUGGCCCAGACAGUCACAAGCCCAAGCUCUGCUCGGCUGCCUAUUUUGCAACCUCUACACAAGCAACCUCGACGGCGGACGGAGACGGGGGAGGACAGCUGGCGGAGGCAGAGGACGGCGGGAGGCGGGGGAGAAUGGUGGACGGCGGAGAGAACGACGAGAGGAGAAAGAUUCAUUUAGGGGAGGAAGAAGGAGCAGACCGAGCGGCUGGGAAUAUUCGUUUUCCGGGGCGAAAUCCAGUUUGCAGGGUCUAUUCCGCGCGGGACAAAAUCAGCCCGAAAACCACAUUUUCUGCAGCUUGUAAAUACAUUUUUAAGGGUCCAGUUUUAAGGGCUCUGCUGGAGAUGCUCUUAUGGUCAAACCCGGACUACCGACAGGAGUUGAUGACUGAGAAAUCUUCGAUUAAACAAGGUGAUACAUGAGUGCCUAAAAUCUUGUCGGUGUCAUGGAGGGAGCUAGAGGAAGAGAUUCGGAUCAGUCGUGGCCUCGUCAACUUCAGCAAGGGAGUCAGCGAGGAACUUAGACUAUCAUGCAUACUCAGCGACUGACAUGGGGCCCUGCAUGAGCAUGCGGUACUCCUGUUAAGAUGAAUGGCGUGGGUGGCAUUGUUGUUGAGGAAGUACUGGUGGAGGCGAGUCCAUGUUGACAAGACGGUGCCGUCGGAGGACAUUGCAAGAUCAAGAAGACUACCGCCGAUCGUGGUGUUGAUCCACCCAAGAUCCCGAUGUCGGUACGUCGCAACUCGGGAUCAUCAACGUCAAAUUCAAACAUCUUGUUAAUGUGGUCGAGUACAAUGCCACAACGCAGGUGGAGAGGACGAACAACAAGAAAUCUGACAUUUAUGAGGGGAAACAAAAAAAAUUCUGACAUUUAUGAUACUUGUUGGCGGUUGGGUCGAGUUUGAAAGGGAUGUAAGAGUGGAUGUUGGUAUAGUGCACGGCAAUGCGGACCUGAAGUUUGAAAAAUUAAUUGGGAGGGUAAGAAGAGAGAGUUGAAGCAGUGGUGAUGAUGGGCACCAUGGCGCCGACAGAGAAACUAUGAGAGGUCUGCAAGGUUUGCGCCGAAAGGGAGGUGGCGCUAGAAUUGGUCUGGGUGUUGCUCAAUGGCAAGCAGAUGGCUCUGAUUACAAAGCUGAAUUAUAUAAUGCUUGCAUCAAUGUUUACAAGUGUCGAUGUACAACACAUCAGAGAAUGAACAGACAGAGAGCCCUAACUAACUGCAACAUACGGAAAAAGGCACGCGCUGGUGCACGAGAGAUCUUAGAUCCUAACUUCUAAGGACUAUGGUACAACACGAGCUUUGCUACACCUAUGGGGGUUUACGUGGGGUUGUGGGUUGCAUAAAGAUUUGUCAAUUUCUAAUUGUUCGUUAGUGGGGGUGUAGGGCCCAUCCUAAAAUUCAGGGGUGUGUUUGAUUAGUUCAGAAUGAAGUUACGUAGGAUACAUAGGAUGCAUUACGUAGUUCUAGCGUGUUUGGUAGUACGGGUACAACGGUACAUACAGAUGAUGCAUUGUUUAACAAUAUUAAAUUGAAACCAUGUACUACGAGGGUUAGCAAAUGGCAAAGACUAACAAUACACAAACCGCGCAAACAUAUGGGUCACUUUGCUGUACAUAAUCCUUCUCAUGUCAAACUGCAAGCAUUCAAUCAUUGGUGCACAAGGUAUAUACUAUAUUGAAGUCAACAACACUUAAAUUAAAAAAUACGGAUCGCACUCAAAAAAUAUUUAAGUGAUACAGAUCAGUAAAUUAGCUAGUUCUCUCUUCUUUUUUUUUGCGAGGUGGAGAUAGAGUACUAGCUAGCUUGCUAGUACUGGGUAAUCCUCACGUUGGCUGCCUAUAAAUAGCAUCCUGCUCCAUCAUAUUGGAAUGCACCAAUUAAGCAGCUAGCUAGCUCAUCUCCAUCCAUCGCAUCUGUUCUUCCUCAAUCCUCCACUACAACCACCCACCCAAUUCAUCAAUGGCUUCAUCUCUGAAGACGGCCGCUGCCGUCGCCGUGGCCGUUUGCGUCGUGCUUGUGCUGAACAUGGGCCAGCCUGUGGCAGCCACAGAAUGCAAAGAUUGUCUCGCCGACUGUGUUGGCGUUUGCGUCGACUACUCUGACACUGCGUGCAGCGGCAUCUGCACUGCCAAACCUCCUGCAUGCCAGUCAUGCAAGUACACGUCCUUCCUUACAUGCGGUGGCACAUGCUACGGCGCCUGUGCCCAUUUCUGCUAAAGCCUACAGUGGCUGUAAGCUGCAUGUGUGUGUUGGUACCUCGUUGCUGCUAAGCCAUGUAAUUAAGUGUACAAAUGCUAUUGCUCUGUGCAUAUGGCAAAUGUUCCUUCGUUCUAUUGUUCCUCUUCGUUUUAUUAAUUGUUCCCCUUUGUUUCGACCAUCAGUAAAUAUAUAUGCAUGUGUGCAAGUCAUGUACUCCUAUAUAUGAUUUCUACUUCUUUCUAUCAUGUGUCUGACGUGCUCAUGCUGGGGUGGAUAACUGGAUAUCAGGUGAUACCACCUAUUACAUGCUCCCAUGCUAAAAAUAUUAAAAAGUCACAUUUAGAGUUUUCAAAAAAAUUGAAAACAAUUAUGGAUGUUCACAAGACAUACGUCUAUAACCCCUAAAUAUUCAGAUCAAAAUUCGAAAUAUACAUUGAGAAACAAAAAAAAAUCUGUAUGUGAAUAGUGUCAUUCCUGACACUGUUCAUGUUUCUUCUUCUUUUACACUAUUCAUUCUAGAUUUGUCAUUUUUGUUUCUCAAUAGGUAUUUUAAAUUUGGGUCUGUUUUUUUAGGGGACUUACACAUAUCUCUUGUGAACAUCCACAAAGUUUUUCAGAAUUUUUUUAAACAUCUAAAUGUGAUUUUUGAAAAGUGGUAUCAUGGUAGCAUAUAAAGGGUGGUAUCACCUGAUAUUUUCCAGCUCAUACGGUGCUUAUAAAAUAGGGAUAAAUCAUUAUCUCAAGAACACAGUUACAAAAUACGUAGUUCAGCUCCCUCAUGCUAGGGGUUUGCCUCCCUCUCAGCGGCUGAUCUGACGGCGUAGCUCGCAUCUAAUUUCUUCACAACUUAUCUUCUUCUGGGCUAAAACUUCAGGUAUUAUGCAAAAUGAAAAAAAAUAGCGUGCUAUGACAAAAUAGUGUGGUCCUUCAAAUAUGCUAUUAGCGUGCUAUUAGCAAGACACGUUGUACACUGAGAUUUUAGCGACGCAUUGCUCAGAACGCUAUAGCAUGAUAUUAGCAACGCUAUUUUUUUGCUCAUCAUGCAUCACCAUGUCAAUUACAUGUAGAAAGUUUCACACCCUUUGGCUCGGAAUAAGAAAAAUAAGUACCAUAGGCCUGCAAAGUAGACCAAUAUAUAUGGAACUAAUUGAGUAUGCAAUUUAGGGAUACUUUAUGGCACUCUCCGUGGCAGCCACCGAUAUAUUGCUAGCUCAUUUUCUAAUGAUCAAGAAUCAUUGAACGAGUUUCUCAAUGGGAGCUUCAUGUAAUUAGUAACAUUGAUGAGGAAUUGUGUCGAUCCAAGAAUAACAUCUUUAUUAGCAUAUUACUAAUUAAGACCUAAAGAUAUAUACCACCUUUAAGCAUUUAUAGCUAGCAUAAAUCCAUCCAUGAUAGAUCCUUCUUCCUUCCACUCUGCCAUCAUGUAUUGGAUUUGGCUUUGGCUUUGGGGCUGGUUCAUCUGAAAUGCUCACAGACAUGGAGCUCUGACCUAUUUUCCUACGAAAUUGGACUAAUGUUUUCGUACUGAUGAAUUUAGGAAUAGUUGUGCUGCAUUUUGUUCACUGAUAUAUAGGGAUAGGGCAGUUUAUAAGUGCAGUACUUCGCUGAUGCCAGCAAGUUAGUAACCAUCUCUUACACAAGUUAACAAUUUCUUCUAUAACAAGUAGCUUAAUAUCAUUCACAAAUUAAUGUCCAGUGGUAUAGUAGCUUCUUCUAUUAAUGUCAACUCCAUUCACCAAUCAUUCACGACCAUGACAAAUCACACAAGUUUCCACACCUUCAUAAAUUUGGCGCCACCUUUUAGCAAUUUUAGAGAUCCAAAUUUGAGCGAUUGUGAUAUGGAUGCUCUUAAUCUCAUAUUGUUUCAUUCAUUGACACACACAUUCCGUAAAUGAAACGACUAAAAUAACUUUUAUUAUUAGAAUUACCAAUGACAAAUUCAUGAAACUUAUUUUAGUUUUAGGGCGUUUCAAAAUAUAAAAAAUAAUGCGUCCGUAGCUGAGCAUUUUUAAAUGAUUUUGGAAAAUGAAAUUACACAAGAACACUGUGUGAGAGCAGAAAAGAAAAAAGAAAUGCAAAAGAGUUAGUACAUCGGGCCGCAUGACCAUCUCUCUGCGGAACAGCUGGGCUACCGUUGGAGAACGUUUCCCACAGCGCUUAGAGCAUCUCCAACCGGCGCGCGAAAUUAGCGCCACGCUGGAAAAAUACUCUUUUUUGCACGCCUGCAGCCACUCCGGGCGCUGCAGCGGAGGCUCAAAAAAUGCGCGGGCGGCAUAAGUGGUUUAGCGCGCGGAGCGAAACGGCAUCGCCCGCCGCUUAUUUCGUGCGCCCGCUCCUGCGUGCUGCAGAGUGCCUGCGCCGCGACUUCCACCUACGGCCAAAUCCAGGCGCUGGCGUCACCGCCCGUACCACCCCAUUUGCUCCGGCGACACGAUGACGCUUCCCCGGCCUAUCCCCGCGUCACCGCUACUUCCUCCGCCUCCCUCUAGUCGCCGCCGCCCCUCGCGCCCGCCAUUCCUCUGACAAACAGCGCCUGGCCUCCCACUACCGCUCGACACCCAUAAGGUGUUCGACAAAAAGCUUGCAAGGUAUGUAUUGCUUCAACUUCACAUUUUUUACAUGAAUUUGGUGCAUGUUGUUUGUACUUUUUAUAGACUAGUUUAAAUUCAAUAUUGUAGAUGAGUUUGUCGUAUGAUUCUUCUGAAGAAGAAUUUGAUAUUGCAGAGGAGGAGGACCUUGUAAUGAUCCUAGCUAUGCACAUCAAUAAAAAAGCCGAAGCACGGUGGUUCGGUUGUUGGUCGGCAAGAAAUUUGGAGGGAUAAGAUCGAUGCCGGCAACCGAUUGAUGAGGCACUAUUUUGUGGGGAAUCCCACAUACCCCGAGUCGUACUUCCGGCGCCGUUUUAGGAUGAGCACCGAGUUAUUCAGGCGCAUUGCAGAGAAACUGGCGAGCCAUGAUCGGUUUUUCAGCAAAGGAGGAAUGCUGCCGGAGAACUCGGGCAUAGCACCUUUCAAAAGGUGACAGCCGCUUUGCGUAUGUUGGCAUACGGUAUUCCGGCUGAUUUAGUUGAUCACCACUUGGCCAUGGGUGAGAGUCAAGCCAUCAUGUAUGUCAAGCGCUUCGCAGUCGAAAUUGUGCAAGUGUUUGGUCCGGAGUAUUUGAGAUCUUCCAAUGCUAGAGAUGCCGCAAAGGUUUUUGGAGAUGAACAAAGCUCGCGGGUUCCCAGGUAUGCUUGGCUCAAUAGAUUGCGUGCAUUGGAGCUGGAAGAACUCUCCUAAGGCAUGGAAUGGACAAUUCCACCGCCAGAAAAAGGGUUCCACUAUAAUCCUUGAAGCGGUGGCCGAUCAAGAGACUUGGAUUUGGCAUGCUUUUUUUGGAAUGUCUUGAUCUUUGAAUGACAUCAACGUUGUUAAUCGGUCACCACUCAUGAAUAAGAUUGCAAAUGGUGAACAGCCACCAGUGCAGUUUGUAGCAAAUGGCCAUACAUGCAACCAUGGCUACUAUCUUGCGGAUGGUAUCUACCCAAAGUGGCAAGCAUUUGUGAAGUCGUUGAAUAAACCGAAAGGCAAGUAAAAUCUAGAUUCCCACAAUGCUCAGGCGGCGGCUAGGAAAGUUGUGGAGAGAUUUUGCGAUUUUGCAAGCCCAAUUUGCUAUUGUGAGAGGACCGGCUAGAUUUUGGGAUCAAAAGAUCCUUUGGUACAUCAUGCAUGCUUGUGUGAUCAUGCAUAACAUGAUCAUCGAGAAUGAGUAUGGCCAAGAUUUAGGCUACUCUCAGUAUGAGCUCUUGAAACAUCCCGUGCGAGUGCGGCGGAGGGCUGCGAGCGUGGCACGAUUUGUUGCCUCCUAUCAUGCCAUUCGACGCGUCGAAAACAUGAUGAUCUUCAGAACGAUCUAAUCGAAGAGUGGUGGGCAUGGAAUGACCGGCAAAAUGAGUGAUUUGUAUGUUUGAUGUUGUAUUGUUGAACUAUUUGUUGUUUUGAAAUAUAAACUAUUUGUUUGAGUUGUAAUAAAAUUAAACUAUUUAUUGUUGAUUUAUUUUUUAUGUGUUCUAUCUUCUUGGUUUUGUUUGAAGUGUCAAGUGUUGUUUGUGCUGGGUGCGCGCGCCGUUUCUUUGCAGCGCCUGCUGAAACGGCUCCCGCGCGCUAUAUUUUGCGGCGGCCGCUGAAGCCAGCGCUCAGCCGUGCGCAAAAACUGGCUAUUUCGACGUUGUAAAGCUUUUUUUUUGCGCGUCGCGCGCCUUUGAAGAUGCUCUUACGGGCCCUAAUAUCUAUCUUUGGCCAGCGACCAGCAACAUCAGAUGGCAUUAGUUCUCUUCUCUCCCUUUCCAUAAAGGAAUGAUCGGGCCGAGGUUGCCCAAUUUUGCCACGGCCUCUAGCCAACCACCCCAAUUUUGCAACGUCAGUCCUGAGCGCCGGCGCACCGGCCGAAAGUUUCAGCGGGUCGGCCCACAGCCGCUCGAUUCCAGCCCGUGUAACCGUUCGAUUGGAUCCCCACGUCGUCUUCUUCCUUUCCGCCCUCGUCUUCGAUUCAGAUCGCGUGUCUUCUUCUCCCCCCCCCCCUCCGCCAGCCGCCCGCAACCCCGCGCUCAUCCCUAGGCCGCCCUGCUCGUCGGCCACCCGCGCCGCCCUGGUCGUCCUCUCCCCCUGUGCUCGUCGGCUACUAGAGAUGGCAGCUGUAACAAAAACACCAUGCAGCAAAUAACACCGCGCUCCGCCAUGGCUAUGGUUGCAGCUCCAUUGUAGGUGGUUGUAUCAAUUUUCGGUACCAGUCGUAGCAAACGCCGACAAUGGUUGCAGCAAAAAACAGUAGUCGUCACCGCCGCCGCUGAUGCCAAACAGUCAUCGUCGCCGUCGCCGCUGAUGCCCGUUCGUUGUAGCACUCCGUCGCAACAUCCUGGCUCGCUGGUUCCAACAAAAUCGAGCCUUGGUUCCAGCAAAAAUCGUCUCGCCGCCGAGCCAACGGACCUCGCCGUGCUGCCCGUUGCAGCUCGCCAUGCCGCCGGUUGUAGCAAAAUGAAAUGCUGAUUGUAGCAAAAAUCGCGACGCCAUGUGCGAUGUAGCAAAAUGCGACACCGGUGGUAGCAUAAUAUGAUGUCGAUUGUAGCAAAUUGCGAUGCCGGAUGAAGCAUGUAGCAAAAAAGACGAUGCAGGUUGUUGCUCGGUGCAGCGCCGCCCCAUGGUCACCUUGCUCGCCGUUCAUGGUCGUAAUUCCCCCGACACCGUUUGCAUCUCCCUCCAACAAAAACUGGAUGUAGCUCCUCCGCCCACUGGUUGCAGCUCUUGCGUACCGGGGUUGCAGCUCCUGGCUGUAGGAGAUAUGCCCUAGAGGCAAUAAUAAAUGAUAUUAUUUAUCUCCGAGUUCAUAAUUAUGUUUAUGUUCCAUGCUAUAACUGCUAUGGUUCUCGAGUCUGCAAUAACCACGAGGCUCGGAGGAAGACUCAUAUGCACAUGUGGAAUAAUAAACGGUAAAAUGUAUUCCUAGUCUGGCCUCUAAGACUAGCUCAAGUGUUGCAUGAUGGUUAUGUUUUCCUGAUCAUGGGCAUGUCUAUGUCAGCAACCUUGAGGGCACAAUGUUAAGAGAACAUUUGUGUUGAAUCGACCCGGAUUGAUGUUACGCUAUGAGAUUCAUUCGUCACAAGUUUAUUGGUACAUAACACAGAGAUGGUUAAAAUUUGCAUGAUUCCUUAGACCAUGAGAGUAUCGAGUUUCUUCAUGCUUGCUUCAUGAACUUUGGGGUUUGUUAAACGUCAUCCGUAAAUGGGUGGCUAUUACGGCGGCUUACGGGUUCAUGGAAAAGUGUGUCAAUUAACUUGAUAGCUCAAGAUUGGGAUUUGCUCCUCCGACGAUGGAGAGAUAUCUCUGGGCCCUCUCGGUGUUACGGUAUCCAUCAUCGUCUGGCCAGACACUUUGUGAUUUGAUCACGGGGAUGCCGGAACACGAUAACGAGAAAAGAGAACAAUACCGGUAACGAGGUAACUAGCAUAGUGGACAAGUUGUUGAUCCACCGGAAUGCCAACAUGUCUCACCUCGGGUAUUUGUAACAUAUCGCGAAGCAACAGGAAUAGCACACGACAACUGGAGGUUCACUCGAAUAUUUAUUCGUGUGGGUAUAGGGGUCAAUAUGGGUGUCCACGGCUCCGAUGUUGAUCAUUGAUCGGAAGGGGUUCCGGGUCAUGUCUAUACUUCACCGAACCUAUAGGGUCACACGCUUAAGGGUCAUCUAUCUGCUGAAUACUAGACAGGGAGUCUGAGAGAAAAUCACCGAAAAAGUUUUGGACACCGAAAAGUUUCGGACAGCGGAAUCGUACCGCAGAGAGAGGUCAUCGGAUAAGUUUCGAUGAUACCGAAAAGUUGUUUCGGGAUACACCAUUAAGUCAAAUUGGUUUCGGCACAUGCCUGAUAAUUCUUGGAGGAUGCCAGAAUCAUUCUGGAAGCUUUUUGGAAUUUUCUGAGAUAAAAACCGGAAAUGUUCCGGAGCUGCCGGAGCCACUUCAGAUGCGUUUCGCAGAUGAAAAUCACUAAAACCGGAAUUGUUUCGGAACGCGUUGAAAAUCAUUUUAGUGGGUACUGGAAAUGUUCUUAGCCCACAUAAAUAUUUUCAGUUCGAUCAGACGCUGAAAAAUGUCAUCGUGAAUAGUGAAAAUCAGCUUUAUGGUUACUUUAUGGAAAGCCACCUUUUGGGGCUUUGCUCCAAAAGAUCUUGGGGAUGACAUGGAUGGAUAGGAGCCAUUUUUGGGGCCCCUCAUGGGGGUGUGGCCGGCCACAUGGGGUAUCCCCCCUUGGGGACCCUCUAGUUCCUUGGUUUCACUCCUAGGUCCUUGUGGAAGGACUUCAUUCAUGUGCAUUUUGGGUUUUUUGUGAAACUACCCUACCCCCUUGGGAUUUCCUAUAAAUAGAGGUGGAGGGUCAGCCCUCCACACUCAUCCCUUGCUCUCAUACACAUGCCAUGCAUUAUCUGGCUUCUUCCCUCCCUCCCACGAAAAGAGUUUCGUAGAGCCGUAAGGCUGUCUGGGUUCCGGCAGGAACUAGUUCUGGACGGCGAAGCCCUGCCGGAUAGAUGACACCGUAUGUGUGCAACUCUGUAGAGAGAUCGUAGUUUCGGUCUUAGUUCGUGAGUGCCUCCCGAAGGGCUGUCCGUGUGACCGUCCGAGUUUCGAAGGUCCUCCCGAAGGGCUGUCCGAGUGACCGUUCGAGUUUCGAAGGUCCUCCCGAAGGGCUGUCCGCGACACCGUCCGGGGGGCUGUUCGACCGCCUCCUGGAGGGCUGUCUGAGGAGCAUAUGAGGGUAUACAUCCUCGCGGUUGGGAGGUUGUAAAUCCUAGCUGCGGGGAUCUGCACCGCCGAUCGUCAUCGACUCUACUUCCCGCUGCGCUAUGAGUCGGUAACGAAAAAGAUCAAACCAUGUAUGCAGUCUCCAUAGUGGUCCUGGGCUGGUGCGUAGGUCGGAAAUUUUUUGUUUUCUGCUGCGUUCUCUUACAGUGGCAUGAAGAGCCGUGCUAUGCGUAGAUGCAGGUUUCGAUCUAGAAUACAUGGAGAUGUAUGGGUAUUGCAUAAUAUAAUUAGGUAGUAGAUGAGAUCUAUUGCUGAAAAUUAUUUAUGCGGGUGACAGAUGAAAUCUGUUACCCGAGGUUCUUGUUGCUUCCCUAGAAUUUGCGUUUGCUCAAUCUCGAGACAGCAUGGUGGAAUUUGACAAAGUUCUGGCAAUCCGUGAUCCUGAUUGAUCAUGGAAGUGCUAUCAGUUCUUUGGGUUCUGCCGUAGUCAAAAGAAAGAUGAAAUUCGCAGAUGAAAGGGCAUUGCAGAUAUGAUCUGCACGGGGGUCAUGCGUAUGACGAAGUUUAGUAUGGGGCUCGAGAUUUAAUUAUCCCGUGUUUCAUACACCCCGAGAUGUUAAUGUAGCAACUUGAAUAAUCAUACUUGAUGAUAAAACGUUGGUAGCUGCGGUUUAAGUCAAAACCUUAGAAGCCACGUAAAAUAAAUUUUUGCAUAAACCUAUUAGAGGCGUCUAACUUGGUUUUGCAGGAUGUGCAUGUGAUGUGGUAUAGCAGUGCUCAUACUAAUUCGAUUAUGUAUGAGAUGACUAUAUGAUGUAAUUUGAUUAACAUGACCUGCGUGUCAUGAUUCGGCAUGAUGGCUGGAGCCAUAUGAUUGCACUUUAAUGACCUGCGUGUCAACCUUGUUGUAAUGCAUUAUUUUGUUAGCUAUAGAGAUAGCAAUAUUAUCUGGUGCAUCGACAAGGUGGUGGCAAUCUUCGCGAAGGUGAACACCGACGCGAAUGCCGAAGACGAAGAAAUAAAAUACUUCUCCGUCAGAAAGGGCUAUACCAUAUCAUGCUAUUAUGAAUUGCCUGAGAUGUUUAUCCCUUAUGAUGCACCCUUCUUGAUUGCGCGGUAGUCGCUUUUAUUAGGGUGAUCUCUCACUUAAAAUAUCAAGUAGUUAGUGUUCUCCCAAGUGUAGCACCGUCACGGCACCUAUCUUUUCGGGGUGCGCCAUGGAUGCAUGGGUACGAACGAUUAGAGAAGUGUGAGGCGGGUGAGGUCAGACCUCGCAGCAAGAUCACUUGGUUGUCUUGACGUUCAUGGCAGGAUCGUCCUGAGCUCGGAACACACGCAUCGAAAGAUGAGCAAGAGUCACAUAGAGAUGUGAUCGGCAAGUUGGCCUACCGAUUAAAAUUCCCGUUAUGAGAUGAUGAUUCUAUGGCGAUGAAUUGAAGUCUGGAUCUUGUAUCACUCAAAAUUAAUUGUGAGAGAUAUUGAUUUGAGUGGGAGCGCACUGUUGAAUUAACAUGUUUAAUUCUAAGUGCAAUUAAUUAUGAACACUGUCUAAGUGUUUCUUGCAAAAUAGUUGUAGAUUAAUGGCUCGCGUUUCCACCUUCCCUAUUAAAAUUGAAUAACUGUUAAAUAUCUGGUUAAAACUUUACGAUUGGUAACGUAAUAUGAGGAUUGUCCUCAAAAGUGCCGAGAAGGACUUUGUCCUAUCGCAUGCUUUCCGUAUCCUCCCGCUAAUGCUAUGGAUCAUGUGACUCGUCCUUCGAUCCAAAAGCUAGGAUUCUGUUACAGUCAAGUGGAAUAUGUUUGCUUCCAUGAAACCCAAACUUCGAAAGUUGGGAUAGUUAUAUGAUAUUCAUGGAACUGAAAAUUAUUUUCAGAUACAAACAAAGCAAUGUUUGUUUGCAAGUAUUAGUAAAAGUGUUUACUAUGCAUUUGACUGUUGGGAAAGGGAUCCAGAAGAACGCCUGUCAUAUAAUGAAAGGUGAAUAAAACAACAACUUAAAGAGAAAGGAAGUGUCCAAAGGGUGUUAGUAUGACUUACACGCCUAGGAAGUCCGGGGCUAAUGCCACUCUUAAGUUGGGUGCUUCUUCUGAGAGUAGGAGAAAUACUAAAAGUUAAACUGUUAGAAGUAUAAAGGCAAAAGGAAAGAAGACUGGAAUAUCCAGCUCAUGUAUGAAUGUCAUACAAGUUUUUGAUGUAUAGAAGGCUGGUCAAAGAUAUAGUUCUUGCGAAUUAUGGUUAAACAUGUUAAUCACUAAUUCUUGGGUAUUGUGAGUUCAUCACAAAAUUGCCCGCUCGAUUGCAUUCUGUUGCAACUCGAUGUAAGAACUACUAUGGCCUGAAAGACUAGCUAGAAAUGAAGUUAAGGUAUACACAGGGAACAUAGUAAAUGUUACUAUACCUUCCAUUAGUGUAUUGCCGUCUAUUUAUUUUCAUAAUUCAUUUAGAGUUUUACAAACUCUAUCCCAUUGCAUAAAGUAUCUUGCAAGAAGGUUGUUCAUAAGAGAACUUUUUAUGUUCGAUGUUAUGAAUAACACAAGGGCCAUACUUUCAUUAUGAAUGAGAUGUAUGUUAUGAAUAUUGAUAAUAAUACAAUACCUCUGGGUUUACUUUCAUAAUUCAUUUUAGAGUUUCAUACACUCUAGCCCAUUGCACAAUGUUUGUUGCAAAAGAGUUGUUCAUAAAAACAACAAUUGUUGUUAAGUAUUAUGAAUAACAUGAAGGGCCAUGCUUCCAUCCAAGAUGGCAUGUAUGUUAUGAAUAUUGAUGGUAAUAUGAUACAUCCAUAACACUGACGCUAAAUGUCGCAAGACUAAAAGAAUACCACACAAGUGUGGCACUACAUUUGGUCACAUUGGAGAAACCGCAUGGAAAAUUCCACUAUGAUGGAUUUUGAAGUCUUCUUGAUUUUGAAUCACCUGACACUUGCAACUUUCCUCCAAAAAGUGAAGUGACUAAAAUACCGUUCACAGGCCAUAAGGAACGAACAACAAACUUAUUAGUGAUCAUACAUUUGAUGUGUGUAGUCCGGUAAGUGUUGUUAGUGGUGGAUUUAUUUAUCUUCAGAAAUGACUCAAGUAGAUAUAUGGGUAUUUACUUGAUGAGACGUAAGUCUGGAUCUUUUCAAAUCAUUCGAAAGGUUCUCAAAAAUGAAGUAGAAGUUAUUGUAACAAGAAAAAUUAUGUUUCUGCAAUUUGAUUGCACAAAGGAAUAUUUGAGUUACAUGUUUAGCGAAUGUCUGAUGAGUUGUGAAAGGGGUUUCAUAACUUGCACCUCCCGGAACACCACUGCAAGUGGAAAGUCUGUGGAGAUGUAAUUAAACCAUUUAUGACAUGGUAAGGUGAAAGAUGACAUAAAUAAAUUUGCCAUUAUCCCUUUUAAAGUGAUGCUUUAGAGACUGCGGUUUUUACACUGAAAAGAGCUACAUCGGGUCUGUUGAAAUGAAGCCAUGGUAUGGUACGCCCAACCAUGUUAUAUCUUUUCUUAACAUUUGGAGUAUGGGGCUUGUGUAAAAGGUUACAAACCUAUUCCAAAUCAGACAAGUGCUACUUUGUAGGUUAUACCAAAAUGUUGGGUAUUCCUCCCUCACUAUACCGAGGCAAAUAGUUUUGCCGCGAAACGGUGUGCUUUUAAAGAGAAUGGUUCUUUCAAAAAGGUGAGUGGGAGAAUAGUGCAACUCGACGAGAUAAACAGUAUCUACGUCAUCAGAUCAAAGGAAAGAGACCUUGGAAGUAAUUCCAUAGUUUCCUACCGCGACUGAUACGGAAGUCUCUACAAUAAAAUGUAUGAACUUCGGUCGAACUUGCAGCUGAACCACGUAGGCAAGGCUCGUGCAAACCUCUCAGGUGCGCAAACGAGAUAUUGUUGUUAGACAACAUUAUACCUACGAUACACAAGGAAGCAUUGAUGGGCCCUGACUCCGGAAUUGGCUAAAUGCCAAUACAACCCGAGUUAGUUUCCAUAUAAGUGAUUCAAGAUUAAAACCUUGAUACACCUUUCGGAAGACUUAGAGUCUAAAGAAUAUUUAUGGAACUUAAAACUGAUACGGAUAAAAUGUUUUAUCCAUAAAGCUCGACUUGUUGGAAUAACAAGUUCAAGAGUUGACUACGAUGAGGUUGUUUUCAUCGUAGCGAUGCUUAAAGUCGGUUCGGGUUGAACUAGCAAUUAAUACAUAUUUCAAUCAUGAGAUAUGAAACAUGGAUGAUAAAAGGAUUUCCAUCUAAUGGAAAUGAAAGCUAGGACUUGUAUAUGAUACAGUCCAAAGUAAUUUGUCGAUCCAGAGGAUGCUAGUAGGUAUGCAAACUUCAGAGUUCCAGCAAUGGACAGAAGAGAGCAAAAUGGAGUUGGAAUCUUCGGGUUUUGAUGAAAUGGUCAAAGGGGUUUUGACUUCAUCAAUGGGUAACGAAGAUGCUUGUAAUUCAAGAAAGUAAGUGGGAGCGUAAUAAUAUUUCUAAAAACCUUAUGUGCUUGGCACAUUGGUAAUUGGAAAUAAAUUUCUUGACACAAAUUAGGACUUCAUUUGAAAAUAGUUUUUCGAUGAAGUGCUUAGGCUAAAUAGCCUCAAUAUUAGGCAUGAUGAUCUAUGGAGAUAGAUUUACCUAAUGGGGCUAAGCAAUGAAUACAUGUUGACAAGAUGCUAAAACCUUUUAGCAUUUAAAACGCCAAGGAGUGAUUCUUGCCAAAGUCACAUGGAAAGAGUUUUUGCAAGACUCGGUGUCCCAAAACACUGAUGAGUAAAAUACAUGAUGCAGAUUACACACACUUUUGUGUUUGGAUUAAUCAUGUAUUCCAUGGUAUGUAAAACAACCAGAUAUGUCCGAUACUCCCAUGGUGUUGCGAGUAUGGAUACUAAAGUGAUCAAAGUACUGAUCGUGGGACAACAGUGAAAGAUGUCAUUGAGUACUAGAGUAAGUACUGAUGAUAUGUUUUCUUGCAAGCGGAGAUCAUGAAGAGUUCGUUGUAAAAUGUUACAUCGAUAGUCUUCAUCUUUUCACCGUGCGAUUUUCGAUUUAAGUUAAGGGUUUUGUGUAACACACAUUGUGGUGGCACAGUUAGUUGGAAUUUGUUCAAACUAGUUACUGUGGCAAAUUCUAUAACAAGGGCUAAGUAUGUUGACGCUUUAGAAGCGACAAAGAAGAUGUUGAAUCAUAUAGUUCAUUCAUGAACUUAGUAUAGUUCCAAGAUGGCUUUUGACAAUGGGACACUACUGCAGGUAGUUGCUCCAAAACUCAGUCUGAGGAAUCCAGGUUCGACCUGUGAUUCACAUACAUACAAAGCCAAGUCCACAUAAAAUAUGAAUUUUGUGAAAACGUGAAAACACGAGGACAUGCAAUGAUACACACGGAACUGAAGUCGUCAGAUCCGUUGGACAUCAGGCUAUACCACAAGCGAAGCAUAUUUACACCGGUGUGCCACAGGUGUAAAGUGCAUUAGCAUUAACUAGAUUAUUGACUCUAGUGCAAGUGGGAGUCUGUAGGAGAUAUGCCCUAGAGGCAAUAAUAAAUGAUAUUAUUUAUCUCCGAGUUCAUAAUUAUGUUUAUGUUCCAUGCUAUAACUGCUAUGGUUCUCGAGUCUGCAAUAACCACGAGGCUCGGAGGAAGACUCAUAUGCACGUGUGGAAUAAUAAACGGUAAAAUGUAUUCCUAGUCUGGCCUCUAAGACUAGCUCAAGUGUUGCAUGAUGGUUAUGUUUUCCUGAUCAUGGGCAUGUCUAUGUCAGCAACCUUGAGGGCACAAUGUUAAGAGAACAUUUGUGUUGAAUCGACCCGGAUUGAUGUUAUGCUAUGAGAUUCAUUCGUCACAAGUUUAUUGGUACAUAACACAGAGAUGGUUAAAGUUUGCAUGAUUCCUUAGACCAUGAGAGUAUCGAGUUUCUUCAUGCUUGCUUCAUGAACUUUGGGGUUUGUUAAACGUCAUCCGUAAAUGGGUGGCUAUUACGGCGGCUUACGGGUUCAUGGAAAAGUGUGCCAAAUAACUUGAUAGCUCAAGAUUGGGAUUUGCUCCUCCGACGAUGGAGAGAUAUCUCUGGGCCCUCUCGAUGUUACGGUAUCCAUCAUCGUCUGGCCAGACACUUUGUGAUUUGAUCACGGGGAUGCCGGAACACGAUAACGAGAAAAGAGAACAAUACCGGUAACGAGGUAACUAGCAUAGUGGACAAGUUGUUGAUCCACCGGAAUGCCAACAUGUCUCACCUCGGGUAUUUGUAACAUAUCGCGAAGCAACAGGAAUAGCACACGACAACUGGAGGUUCACUCGAAUAUUUAUUCGUGUGGGUAUAGGGGUCAAUAUGGGUGUCCACGGCUCCGAUGUUGAUCAUUGAUCGGAAGGGGUUCCGGGUCAUGUCUAUACUUCACCGAACCUAUAGGGUCACACGCUUAAGGGUCAUCUAUCUGCUGAAUACUAGACAGGGAGUCUGAGAGAAAAUCACCGAAAAAGUUUCGGACACCGAAAAGUUUCGGACAGGGGAAUCGUACCGCAGAGAGAGGUCAUCGGAUAAGUUUCGAUGAUACCGAAAAGUUGUUUCGGGAUACACCAUUAAGUCAAAUUGGUUUCCGCACAUGCCUGAUAAUUCUUGGAGGAUGCCAGAAUCAUUCUGGAAGCUUUUUGGAAUUUUCUGAGAUAAAAACCGGAAAUGUUCCGGAGCUGCCGGAGCCACUUCAGAUGCGUUUCGCAGAUGAAAAUCACUAAAACCGGAAUUGUUUCGGAACGCGUUGAAAAUCAUUUUAGUGGGUACUGGAAAUGUUCUUAGCCCACAUAAAUAUUUUCAGUUCGAUCAGACGCUGAAAAAUGUCAUCGUGAAUAGUGAAAAUCAGCUUUAUGGUUACUUUAUGGAAAGCCACCUUUUGGGGCUUUGCUCCAAAAGAUCUUGGGGAUGACAUGGAUGGAUAGGAGCCAUUUUUGGGGCCCCUCAUGGGGGUGUGGCCGGCCACAUGGGGUAUCCCCCCUUGGGGACCCUCUAGUUCCUUGGUUUCACUCCUAGGUCCUUGUGGAAGGACUUCAUUCAUGUGCAUUUUUGGUUUUUUGUGAAACUACCCUACCCCCUUGGGAUUUCCUAUAAAUAGAGGUGGAGGGUCAGCCCUCCACACUCAUCCCUUGCUCUCAUACACAUGCCAUGCAUUAUCUGGCUUCUUCUCUCCCUCCCACGAAAAGAGUUUCGUAGAGCCGUAAGGCUGUCUGGGUUCCGGCAGGAACUAGUUCUGGACGGCGAAGCCCUGCCGGAUAGAUGACACCGUAUGUGUGCAACUCUGUAGAGAGAUCGUAGUUUCGGUCUUAGUUCGUGAGUGCCUCCCGAAGGGCUGUCCGUGUGACCGUCCGAGUUUCGAAGGUCCUCCCGAAGGGCUGUCCGAGUGACCGUUCGAGUUUCGAAGGUCCUCCCGAAGGGCUGUCCGCGACACCGUCCGGGGGGCUGUUCGACCGCCUCCUGGAGGGCUGUCUGAGGAGCAGAUGAGGGUAUACAUCCUCGCGGUUGGGAGGUUGUAAAUCCUAGCUGCGGGGAUCUGCACCGCCGAUCGUCAUCGACUCUACUUCCCGCUGCGCUAUGAGUCGGUAACGAAAAAGAUCAAACCAUGUAUGCAGUCUCCAUAGUGGUCCUGGGCUGGUGCGUAGGUCGGAAAUUUUUUGUUUUCUGCUGCGUUCCCCUACACUGGCAUGGCUGGUAGUAGCUCCAUCGGCGAGAGGGGGUUAGGGGAGUAUGAAGGGAGGCCGCCGCAUGGAGCUGUAGGAGGAAAAACGGGGGAAAUCCAUCGCAGAGGGAGGAAGAUGAAGAAAGCAAUGUAUACGAGAUGGGAAUUGUGUGGACGAGGGGUGCUGCGGCUUGCGGAUAAGGACUGUUGCGUGUGGGGACCCACGGACGCAUGCGUGUGUGCAGGGAGAGGUGCGAGUGCGCGAGACAGCCAGCACGGACCGGCCGAAAGUUCGGCCGGCAGACCGAUUAUAAACGUUUCCCGUUUUGCAAUCGGGCGUAGCCAAGCCAACGAAUGCUUCUCUUCUCUCCUACCAGAACCUGAUUUUUAGUAAUCAGGUGCUCCAAAGUGAAAAUGUGUGUCUAGUGUGCAUUAUAAAGUGCCUAGGAAGACAAUACAUGCAUGUCCAUCCUUGGGCAGCAUAGCAGCCAACCCUAUCCUACCACGUGGUGGCAAUUGUUUAUGGAGUAGGUUGAUCUCACGGCAACAUGGCCAUGUGAGUAUCAGUUAAGUAUUACUAAUACUUGUCGUUCAAACGGAUCUAUCUAGAAACGAAGAGAGACCCUUAUCUCGUGGGACUCAGCUCCCCUGACGAACUGCAGAAUGCAGUUGACUCAUUGACUGGUGGGCCCACACGUUAAUGGGCCGACUACUCCCUGCAGUACGUCAGAGGAGCCUCGUCCCAUCUCGUCGGACGCACACGGCAAGAAGACGGCCAUCCGGAUCUGCUGACCAGGAAAGACCGCCGAUGGCUACCAUCGCCCUCACGGCAGAAGAGUACGUUGCCGUGCAGUCCACCGACGUGGAAGAAAAAUUUAUCAGUUCUACUUGCAUAUAGUAUAUUGUCUAAUAAGUAGUGACCUUCAUAAGGAAUUGCGUGGAUCCAAGGUCAACAUCUUAAUUAGCAUACUACUAAGAUUCGAAGAUAUAUGCUAUGCAUAUUAGAUUCGCCUCGAGUCAAACUUUAUAAAUUUUGAUCAAGUUCAUCCAAAAAAUUGUGAACAUCCACAAUAUCAAAUCAACAUCAUCAUAAUCAUCCUUGAAUAUAUUUUCAUGUCAUAUAUGCCGGCCCAUAGUGACACGAAAGCUUCUACGUGGUAUGCCAUCAACCUUCAAUCCGGGUAGCGCAAAGUCAACCGCUCGAGCUGCUUCCAUCCAUGCACGCAUCAGGCUGACCUCCAACCGGGAGAGAUGCCCUUAAGGCGUAUACAAUGGUACUAUUUUAGAAAUGUCACGUAGGAUAAUUACUAUGGUGAUGGAAAGAGAAACAAAUAAAAAAAGUGUUCCAUUUCUUUUAAAUAAGAGAUGAUCUUUUAGUACAAUAUCUUUUACCAUUACUCCUUGUAUAUGAGAAUAUCUUUUUAUUACAGAUGAAAGUAAGAGAUAGCCCACUGUACCCAUGAUUUUUUAUCAUCUCUAAACUAUAUGGUAGGCUUAAAAGAUAAAAUUGUCUUCUCAACCAUUGUAUAUGCUUUUAGUAGGUUUUUGGCUGGGGUAACAAGUAUAGUUCUCCAAGAAAAAUCUCCUUCCUCCUUCCGCCUGCGCCGCCGCCGAUCCGCCCCACCUCCAAUGGCCCUUCGGUUGUGGAGGUGUGGAGGAUCUCGGCCCCCCUCGGCAGGACGGACCCCGUUCUCGCUUUUGUUAGGUUCAAUGUCUUGGUUGGAGCUGUGUGGCGGUGCGAUGUCCCUUUCUACGAAUAAUGUCUCCCAUGUCACAUCCCUGUCUCGAUGGUGCAAAUAGCAUUGUCGGAGGAUGUGUGAAGGUGUGUCUCUGUCAGAUCUCGUGAGAUUUGGUCGGUGCUGGUCUUCGGUGCAUCUAGUUGGAUCCAGUUUUUGUUCGUCUUCAUUCGUGUAGUUUCAGGUUUGAUCUUUCCGAUCUACAAGUCUCUUCAUCGGUGAUGGUUGCUGUUCUGGUGCGAUGUUCCUUUGGGGCCAUAGCAUCACAACUUCCCGACUGGCUACUACAACGAGGUUUGUCCGGCUCCAGUGCUUGUAGUCAUCGCUAGGUGGUCCACAGACCUGGUUGUAAUUCUUAUUACCUGUUGUGUUCUCUGUAUUGUCAUGAUUGAUAAAUAGAUUGAAAUUUCUUCUCGAGGAAUAAAGUAGGUUUUGCUAAUAGUGAUAAAUUAUGUGACAUGCACAUCAGAUGGAUUAGUAAUCUAAUUGUUGUACAGCAGAUGGGGGAGGAAACACGUCCGCCAGAGGAGAUCGGGUUUCCGCAGCCGGCAAACCAACCCUCGCCGGACGGUGUUGUGAUCGGGCCGCCGCGGAUCCCCGCAUCCUCUCCAAGUGCUCCUAUGGCGGCGCCGCCAGGAGGAAAGGAGGGCCCGGCGAGAUCGCGAGGCUCUGAUCACGGAGUCAUGGCGCAUGUAGAGAUCGGGCAGGAGAGGACAAGAUCGGGACAAUGGCGGGUUCAUUUCUCCGAUGGGACGGAUCCCGGCAAAUGGGUCGAAGGCCAUCUCCGAUUUACUCCAAAGUCGCGCUGGAUGGUUCUCCUAGAUUUGGAGAACGACAUGCUAGCCGGUGAUUACCUUCCGAACGACGACUUGAUCGAGGUAGGGCUCCAUUUCAUGACUGAUAUUUAUGAUGUGGUUGUUCCGUCCUUGUGUGCAGGUUGAUCUGGUUCUGGAGGCAGUGGAGCUAGAUGAUCUGACGGAGACGAUAGAACGUGGAAGACCGGGAGGGCGCUUUUGGGCUCUAGAACAGGCUGAGAAACAAGCCUCGCCGGAUCUGCUUGAGGUCUUGAAGGAUACGGGACCGAUGAAGCCGUCAGAGUUCAAAUCGGUACCCGAUCGGCAUCGGUCAAAGGUUCAACGACCCAAGCCGGCCGUGAAACCCUGGAUCGGCCUGAUCCCUAAGGUAUUUCAUGAACCCGUUACUUUGUCGGAUUUUAUUCAAGAAUCAUGGACUCUAGUUACUCGGAAGAACUAGGGAAAGAAAGGUCGGCCGCCGCUGCCGCCGUGGUCGCCAGCGACGAGAUCGGCGAGCGCAAUUCGAGCGGCCAGAAGGGCGCACUUGAAUUUGCUGCUGGGCCAAGGGAUCAAAAGGGAAGCGACGUUGAUCGUGGGAUCUCUAGGCUCGGGCGAGGCCCAGUUAGAAGCCCAAGCCACGUCCGACUCGCAUCUUACGUGCAUGCAAGUUUCACCGAUACCCGAGUCCUCGCUGAUCGCAGCUAGGGUUGUACACAUACCAGGCUUCCCGACUCUCGGCGCGGGGUGCGCGGCCAGGAUCCAUUGCGCCGGCAAGAUGGCUGGACGUGGACCACCGCCAGCCAAGCAUGGGCUGACGCCCGCCGCCGAAGCUGCCGGCGGCGGCCGAGGCGCUCUGCCUCCAGCUAGGCAAGGGCCGCCACUUGCGGCUACCAGUACCGCGGCGGGUCCGCAGGCAGGAACCGGCGGAGCCGGUCGUGGCGCUCCACCUCCCGUGAGGCAGGGGCCAAUGCCUGCCGCUUCAGGACCGUAGGCGCUGGUGCAGGCUGCUAGGAACGUGUGGCAGCCGGAGGAGCCGGCGAAGCCGCCGGCGGCCAAGGCGCCGGCCCUUGGAAGAGGUCGUGGUUCUCACCAUGGAUGGGAUGGUCACGGACAAGGUGGAUACGGUAGAGAUGGUCCGAGAAACCGGUACGGACAGUGGGGAGAUGAUGGUUAUGAUGCAUAUGGGGAGGGGAGCACCGUGGAUCAUCCUCCGGUGGCGGCCGAGGCUUCAACUGGUACAAUGGCGGCGGUCCAGGACGUGGAUUUCAGGGACCGCCCGGCAAUUUUGUUGAAGGUGUCACCGGCCCCAAUGAGCGUUUCCGGGGAGGUUAUCGGUGAGUCGGGAGAGGGGGUGGGAGGCGCCCACCUCCACCACGGCAACAUCCGCCGCCACCACCGCCGGCCCCGGGGGCAGUGUUGGACCAUACAGCUGGUGCGGCGGAGGCCACAACUACUGUGCCUGAGGUGGCGGUAGACACGGUCAGGGCCUUGGCGGCGGUGAAUAUUCUGGCGGCUUCUGGAGUCGCUAAGACUAGUGGUGGUGGGGUGGACAAAGGGUCGGACAAAGCACAGGGAGAAAAGCUUUCGAAGUGGGAAAUUACGAAGAAGAAAUUGCCUUGCUAUAGAUGUGGCGAACCAGGACACUUUGUGGCACACUGUACUAAUGAUCUACGUGACUAUUGCCUCAUAUCGCAGCAUGUACUAAUGAUCUACGUGACUAUUGCCUCAUAUCGCAGCAUGUGACCAGUGACUGCCCACUCUUGUCCGACCCUAAACCUGGCAUAAACAUUUUUUGGGUGUGCUGCAAGGAACAUAUGAUUUUUGAGACACUGGAGGUGGCUCCUUUGCCUCAGAUGGUUGAGAGUUCUUUCCCAGCAGUGGUUCGGGUUACUAAUGGACAGAUGACAGAGGCUCAGAUUGUGAGGCAGCUGUGUGAGCUCGUACCGGGUAAUUAUCAGUGGCAUCUUGAUAAGCGGGAGGACCAGGCUUACAAGGUGGAUUUUCCCACUAAAGAGCAUCAAUUGCAUAUUCUUAAGUGGGGUCUGUGCAGAGUUCUGAGUACCAACAUUAUCAAUGCAUUUGAUGAGUGGAAGCAGCAGGAACCAGAGGGUACACCUUUAGAGAAGGUUUGGGUACGGUUCUUUAGCGCACCACCUAAACUGAUUAAUCAUUUUCUGAUUUCCUGGAGCUUGGGAUCUUUGAUUGGCAAGACGAAAAAGGUUGACAUGCCCUUCACUCGUGCACAGGGGGCCGCGAGGCUGCUGGUCAUUGUUGUUAGUGUUGAGUUCGUGCCAGAUAUAGUUAGAUGGACACAUGCUGGAGUCACUUACAUUUUAGAGAUUGAGAUUGAGGACACUCCGACUUCCGAGGAUGGGGAUGAGAUUCAGGAUAUGGACACAACUGAGGGGGGCGGUGCACCCGGGAACAGGAUAAGGGGCCCAAGAACACACCACGGGAGUCGGCCAAGGGGCCAAAUGCGCAACCAGAUAAGGCGGAUAAGUCUGCCAAGGAGGCGCCACCGUCAACAACUCCGAUGAACACACUUCGGUUUGGUUCGUUUGGAGCGAGGUCGGCACCUAGUCGGUUAUGGAGCAACAGAGUUGAGGCGGACGACCCGGCGGAACUUGAGCUACCACCAGUGAUGGUCCCUGUCUGUGAGCCGACGGCGCUCCUUGACUCCGAACUGACGGUAAUGCAGAGAGAGAUGGAAGGCACCCCACAGCUGGCAGCACAGGGGACACGACACACUUCUGACAGUGGCCCAGACACGGUGGGUUCGAGGGACAUGAUGCUCUCAACGCCUGGUGGUCCGGUGGAUACUUGCGGGCUGACAGCAAUUGGGGGGUCAUGGGCAGGAGGCCCGUAGCGCCCUCCCACACGCGUCGGGCUCGAUCAGCUCGGGAGAGGCGCCUGGACAGGAGGUCCGAGGUGAUCGCUCUCUUCCGGUGAUACCCGGCGAGCUGGGGGAGAGGUGCAGGCCGCAGGCCCGUGGCUUACCUUCUGUGCAGGUCUCCACCGAGCAGCAUGGACAGGGACCGCGCCUUCGUGAUGGUGAGGGGGGAGCGGGACUAUCGAGCAGGUGGCUACACGGUCUCCUUCCCCCUUGGCUACUGUGGGCGAUACACGCUCCACCACGCCCUACCCUUCUUCACCGACGCUAGGGGAAGGGUGUGGGAGUCGGGUGCUAACACCUCGACAGAGGACAUCGGAGGAGCUUGUCGCUUUCGGUGGGAUCGCGGAUCCCGUGACGGCUGGCAGGCCUAUCAGCAGCCAGAUCCAGGGACAGCCGAACGCGGACGACCUGCAGCUAGCGCGCGCCAAGAGGGCGGCCAUGCUUUGCGAUGUUGGCGCUACUACAAGUAUGUCAUUUGAUAAGAGUUGUUCAAUUUUGCAUUACACAGAGAAUGAUAUAAUUGAUAAGGCAAAUGACUUAGGAAUCUCUUUGGGGUCAAAUGAAACUGAGGUGGUGAAAUCCGUAAACAAUCUUUUAGACUUAGAAGCGGAGAGGGCUUCAGAAGUUAUUCGCAAUCUUGCAUCUGUCAAACCCAUGAAUGACAAUGACAUGGAAAAUUUAGGAAUGGUUACUCUUGAAAAUAUUUGUAACAAUCUCUUGCCUAGUACGGAGGCCAAUGAUGAGGAGGGGUCGGAGACUACAGACAUCGUAGAGCCUCUAAUGAUGGAAGGCACAGUCUCUUACGCCGACGAUCCGACAUUCCCAAAGGGUGAUGGGGAGAAGCCCAAACGACCCUGGAAGUGGAAAAUUUAUCCUACUUCGGCAGUUCGUAGAAGUGCUAGAGUUAAGCUUAAGAAAAAAAUUCAUGAUGACAUAUGAAAAUAAUCUUUUGGAAUAGCAGAGGUCUAGCUGACUUGGCUAAACAAAGGUUCUUGACGGAGACAAUGGUAGUACAACACUUAGACUUUAUGGCACUUUUGGAAACAAGACAUGAUAACUUUACAUCACAGUUCCUUCAAACUCUCUCCAAAGGUAUUGAUUUUGACUAGCAUAUCUUACCUCCUAGAGGAAGAUCUGGUGGGAUUUUACUAGGGGUCUGGUGUGAAACGCUUGAGGUGCUUAAUGUGGUUCGGGGUGAUUUUGUAGUUAAGUUUCGGGUGAGAUAAAAGUUCGAUGGUUUCCGAUGGUCUCUUCUUGCUGUAUAUGGGGCAACACAACCGGAACUCAAACCAGAUUUUUUAGCCGAGUUGGUGCGGAUUUGUGGAGAUGAAACCCUGCCAAUCUUAGUUGGGGGGAGGGUGAUUUUAAUAUAAUUCGGGGGAGAGAUGAGAAGAAUAAUGACAAUUUUGAUGGACGUUGGUCUAUGAUGUUUAACAUGAUUAUCGAGAGUCUUAAUUUGAGAGAAAUUGAGCUCACCGGUAGACAAUUUACAUGGGCCAAUUCGUUACCCACUCCAACUUAUGAAAAGUUGGAUAGGGUACUCGCUAGUGUGGAAUGGGAACAAAAGUACCCUUUGGUGGCGGUCCAUGCAAUGCAGAGAGCGAUCUCAGACCACACACCACUUCUAGUAGAAUCGGGAGAGGCUACCCAUGUACUCCCUCCGUUCCAAAUUACUCGUCGUGGUUUGAGGUCAAAUCCAAAUUACUCAUCGUGGUUUUAGUUCAAAUUUGAACUAAAACCACGAUGAGUAAUUUGGAACGGAGGGAGUAGUGAAUAAAAAUGCUUUCUCCUUUGAACUAGGCUGGUUCGAGAAAGAAGGCUUUUUGGAGAUCAUUGCACGAGAAUGGGCUAAGCCUACUAGGGGCCAGCCGUGUGCGGUGCCCCACUCCACAGUUUGCUCCUCCGGUCAUAUUGUCGUAGUGCUUAGGCGAAGCCCUGCGCGGAUCAAAUCACCAACACCGUCACCACGUCAUCGUGCUGAACGUGUGCUGAACACGGAGGUGCCGUACGUUCGGUACAUGGAUUGGUUGGAUCGUGAAGAUGUUCGACUACAUCAACCGUGUUACUAAACGCUUCCGCUUUCGGUCUACGAGGGUACAUGGACCCACUCUCCCCGCUCGUUGCUAUGCUUCUCCUAGACAGAUCUUGCGUGAUCGUAGGAUUUUUUUUUUGAAAUACUACGUUCCCCAAUAGUACCUGCAUGCGUUGCUUAUUUUGCUUUCCAUCAAGUAAAAAUGUGGUAUUGCAUAAGAUCAUCAAAAGAACAAAAUAAAAUAAUGCACAAAUAAGACACAUCCAACAAUCCCCCUCCCCUUCCCCAUACACACAGACUAUUCUAGCUGGUCUAGGGCAUGACUAGCAACUUAUUUCAAAUUAACUAUCUUGUGGUGUAUGUGAAGUUCAAGAAAAAGUUGGCUUUUUUCUUGAAAAGUAAGUUAAUGUGCAAAGAAUCAAUGAACGUAUUUGCAAAAAAAGCUAGCAAACUGAAUUAAUGAUGAAACCAGUUGUGGUGGUCAUGUAGGCAAUGGUAGUAGCAAACCAAUAAAAAAACAAGAUCUCAAAGCUCCAACCAUUAAAGAGUAGUAUGUUUGUCCAUGCUUGAGUUCAACCCAAAUUUCACAAUAACACUAUUAUAUUUAAAUCUAGAUUAUUGCAAGCAUGGUAAUACACCAGGUUGAGGUUGUGACCAGGCAAGAAGGACUUGUGAACCUGCAAGCAUGGUAGUCAGAUCGAUGUCCACACGACGCCGGUAUGAACAUUGUCUAGAGAAAACUUUAUUUGUAUUUUAUUCCAGAAUUUAACUACUAGUUUGGGUGGGUCACACAUGACAUUGUGUGACACUUUAUUUUUCACCGCUUCCUCAACAUGUCCAUCGAGAAAACGACGGUGAUCUUUUCUUAUCAGUAGGCACCAACUCCGCUGCCAACACCGAAUGGCACACUAGUGAUGGAGCUGUACAACGGCACAUUAACACUGCACAUCGUUGGCAGGGUACUGAGGGCAAUGGAAGUCAUCACCUCGAGGCGAGCUAUCUGGUGUGGCUGCAAGUACCCUAUUGUACAUGUUGUUGUUGAGGCUGUUGACCCAGUUGUUGUUGAGGUUGUUGGAAAGAACAUUGUCCGAGCUGCUGCUGCGACUGCUGUUGGGGUUGGUAGACACCUUGAACCGACUGUUGGGGUUGUUGCUGCUGAGGUUGGACAAAACCCUAUUGUUGUUCUUGCAGGAUGAUGGACAAGAUGAUAGCACGGAUUGCCACAUAGCGGGAUUGUUCAGGGAUUCGCGGCAAUUGUUGGCAACAUUGUUGCCGCAUCACAUGGCAACUGCUCUGCUGCCACAUCUGCGACCUAGCAAGACGUUGUGGCAUUGCCACAGGGCUACAUUGCUGCUGGAGGAAUACCUUGCAUGGGUUUAGCUGCUGCAAAACGGAUGGAUGAACAAUAGGGAUUUGUUG